AGACGCAAUUGGCCCAGUUGGCCCAAUUAUAGUCGGACGGUGACUGUGUGAGCCUCAGAAUUAUCCCACCUCGCUUAACUUUGGAGGAGGAAGCCACUUUAAAAGGGAGAGCCACCCUUCCCCCAUUGGACUAGUCUUUUGGGGUGAUUGGGCCUUUCCCUGAGUUGGGUGUGCUUAAUGAACUGUUGGGCUCCGGGCAACCCUAAAUUGUUGGGCCUUGGCCAACCCCACCUGGGCUGAGUGUAUCAUCUAGUAUUGGAGCUAGGGUCCAUUUUAAGAAGGUGGGAAUGCUGAGGACAUCCUCCACUAUUACCCGUUGGCAAAGACGCAAUUGGCCUAGUUGGCCCAAUUGUAGUCGGACGGUGAUCGUGUGAGCCUCAGAAUUAUCCCACCUCGCUUAACUUGGGAGGAGGAAGCCACUUUAAAAGGGAGAGCCACCCUUCCCCCAUUGGACUAGUCUUUUGGGGCGAUUGGGCCUUUCCCAGAGUUGGUGUGCUUAAUGAACUGUUGGGCUCCGGGCAACCCUAAAUUGUUGGGCCUCGGCCAACCCCACCUGGGUUGAGUGUAUCAACAACCGUGUGUGCGCACACACAGAAGGCCUGUAGUUUCGUCGCGGCACCGUCAGUUUUAGUCAUAACGCCAUUACCAAACAUAACCAAUAAGAAAUCUCACGUGGCACAAAUAGACUAAGCCAGGAUGACAAUAUACAAAAGAGACUCCACUUGUAAGAAUGAUUACAAGCAGAAAGCCAAAUAUAUCAUGGCCCGAUGGAAUGAACAAGGCAUGACCAUAACCAAAAUUGGAUGAUCAAGGGAGUACGAUGGGAGACUGUUAAUUUAGCCCCAAGCAUAUUUCUAUGUCCAUCAUAAAGAUUACAAGGUCAAGGAUUAGUAUCUGACUAGACAUGGAGAGAAAAACAAUCAUAAGAUUAAGUUGGUAUGCCUUCGAUAGAUAUGGGGAAACCAAAGGCAUCAAACUCAAGAAAAUGAUCGGACAUGCCUUUCCUAGGUUAGGUUGGUAAAGCGACAAUGCAAUCCUUAAGAACAGGCGAACUGGAUAAGGUACAUCAGCUUGUGCCAAUCGAAGAAGGGCAUGAUCGAGGAUGGAAAUAUGACAACUAAAACGUCACAGAUUAAAUAGCGAGAACACGGACUCGAGAUCCUAGCUUUAAGCUCAUGCACAUUUUACGUUGGAUAAAGAAAUCAUCCAAACAUCCAUUUGUGUUUAGUCAUGGAGUGAUAAUGGAGAAUUCAAACUUUGGGUCAUGGUUCACUAAAUACAAACAUGGCCUAGUUUUGGGUUUAGACAAACAAGCCACAAACAUUCUAUCGGCACAUCAAGUACAAGAGCAAGCACAUAUAACACCUAAAUAGAUUACCUAAAGAACGGAGGACAACUAUUUCAUUGACGUUCAUAAUACAACAUUACCUACAAUCACUGGUUACUGGAAUAAAGAUGAGAGAAGCAACUUGGGUGUAUAGGUGACAAACAUGAUGCAACAAUCAAGAUUCAUGCUCGUCCUAUGCGUCCUCACAAAUUUUCGCCAAUCUAAUGUGGUAAUAGAGUUCUAUAUCGGUGGCAUACUUACGACUCUCUCGGUAUUUUGCUAGUCGUCAGCUACACAUACGUUUUCAGGGUUAGUGUACCUACAGAAAAUUCCAUCACAGCCCAAUUUCCCAUGAUGCAAGAUCCACACAUGACAGUUUAUCACAAUUUAUACUUCAUAUAUUUCUAUAUGGAGGCCAGCUCUUCAUUAAGCGCCGAGCCACGCAUAGGUGUCGCUGCCACACUUUAACCAUAGGGCAGCCCAUUAUGGUAACUCACUGUGACACCCCAGGUGUCUAUUUCAUGUUAUGUCAGGAGAUUUAUCCUAAUAUCGUAUGCUCAGUGAAAAUUUCUAUUUCUCGCUUGCGUAUGUCUCUGAUUAUCCAGACUAUUCAUUCACAUUUCACUGAAUUCGGAGUUAUUCGAUCGCGAGAAACAGCCAAUUUUGGAGUCUGUUAAAACUUUUAAUUCUCGGCACGAAUGCAAACUCGAUAAUCAAUCUCAUAUAUCAAUCUCGUCUAAAGCUUAUUUAAUCAAGCGCUUGACAGUUCCUAGUCAAGCUGUGUACGAAUCCGAUUCCUCGACCUUUGAUCUAUGUCCAAAGUUUAAUCCAAAUCCGUACUCUCAAAUGGAAUACUCAGUAUGUCGUCCUCUAAUUAAUUCUUACUCGACUCAGCCUAGCACCGUUGCGUCUAAACUGAAUUCAAAACCCACUCCGGCAGCGAUUUUAAAAUGUCACGAUUCGCCUUCUCCGACUAAAAAUCCAAGGCCGUUCAAAAGUUUGAGAGAAACAUUGUUUCUAAAAUAGUGCGCGAGAAAAUUUCAACACAAAAUCUCCAAUGUGUUGUCCUCAAAUAUAGUCUUAUCCGACUCGGCUUAUUACCUCUGUGUUCGGUCCGAAAUUCGAAAAUCAACAUCGGCCAAGAUUUUCAUUAAUCCAACUCGCUUUAUUUCGAUGCCGAAUCCGAAGCCGAUCGACCUCAAGUCUUUUAUUUUUAUUUGUGCACGAGGAAUUAUUUCCAGGAGAAGUCAAAUCAGACUCUCGGCCGAAUUAAUCGCUCAAUCUUUCGUUCGUCCGAACUCUAAUUCACUCUGUUCUGCGUACAGACGAAUUCCACAGGAGCAUUUUUGUUCCAAAGGAAUAAAUAGCGCAGCCUGACUGAGUGUUUUGGGCCAGCCCAGCCUAGCCCACUAAGAAACCCUAACCCUAGGGCUUCUCUAUAAAUAGGAGCCCUCUCCCUUGCAAAUUGGCUUUUAUUCAUCUACCCCCCUAGCCACCACCUCCUUUUUUUCCCUGUCCCUUUCUUCCUCACGGCAGCAGCCCGCGCUCCUCCUCCCACACGGCAGCGCGCAGGGAGCUCCCUCUCCUCCCAUGGCGUCCUGCCCUUCUCCCCCUUGACUCCAACUUCCUCGACGCCCCCUUCUCCUUCUCCCUCGCGCAGCAGCACCCGGCGCCCCCUUUUCCUCCUCCCUGGUUCCCACGGCUGCCAGCAGGUCCUUCUCCCAUGGUGCUCGGCGCCCCUGCAGCAGGGAGCUCGGCUCUUCCCCUCCCAGGGCGCCACCUUUUCCCUCGGCGCCUCCCCCCAGCGAGACCUCCCAUGGCCGACCUCCACUUUCCCUGUCCAUGGCUGUUGUUCCAUGCGCCCUACUUUUUUUCUCUCCCAUAGAAAGCAGCAGGAGCAAUGCCGCCCGGGUCUAGGCCCCUGCUACUCCUCUCUUCCCCACAAAACAGCAGCCGCAGCGAGCUCGCUGUCGUCCAUGGCGCCCCCCUGCAAUCUUCCCCCUUGGCUAUUUGACGGAAUGCCCGUGGGAAAUAUUGUGUUGUGCGCAGCAGCCCCGACAUCUCCACGCUCUGUCUGCUCGCUGUUUUGUGAAGCCAGUGGACAGCACGCCGUGAUGCCCGUCGGGUGUUUGCUGUUUUUAUGCAGCCCCAACGUCGUCGUCGUUCACCCUCGGUGAGACCACGACGAUCCUUAUUCGAUUCCGCAUCGGCGUUGUUUUCCAGUGAUUAAUUGUGUAUGUGUGCUGUUUUGUUUUGUUUUGUUUUGUGGAGGAGAGGAAGCCCGUGUUUUGCGUGAAGGAGAAGGCAAGCCGCCCAACGCUCGUCGAUGUUCGGAGCGAUGCACAAAUUGGAAUCGACAUCAUUCUCACAAACACCGAUUGAGUUUAUUUAUGGUGAGCCGGUGCAUGUCGCUCUCGAUUGACUCGAUUAAUAACUUAUAUAGACGUGGUUGAAAUGUUUCGGUGGUAGGUCAUAGUAUGGUUGUGUUCAUGAUUUCAAGUUAGAGAUUGGUGGUUUACGAUUCGUAUAAAUUGGUCGAUGUUGUGCAUGUGUGUGUAUAUGUGUAAAAAAUGUAUUGGUAUGGAUUGAAGUUUGUGGCGAAAGAAAACGAGUUAGAAAUAUGGCUCGGAUGUUUUUAAGUUUCGGUAAGAUUGUAUUUGAUGUGUGGUUUGCUGUUAGGAUAAUUUUAAAAUGCCGGUUAUGUUGUGAGAAAUGCAUCGAUAGAAAUUUAUGUGAGGAGUAAGUUUGGAAAUACAAGUUAUGUGAGGAUUGAAUUAGUACACAUAGGCGUGUGUGUGCCGUGGUGUGUUAUUGUAGUGGUGGCGUAAGAUAUUUGAUUGAGGUGUGCGGGUAUAUGCCGUAAUAUGGUUAUACCCGUGACGAGGAAAAAUGUAUGCAUUGGGUAACACGACGCUUAGGUCGCUAUUGUAUAAUCGAAUAAAGGAUGUAUUAUUGAGCUUGAGUCAAAAUGUGGGGUACUAGUGAUACGCUAGGCAGGCGGUGUUCCAAAUAAAUAAAUCGGUUGAUGUGGUAGUUGUCGUGCGUGAUUUAUUGUUAGUGAGUAGUUGAACUACGAGUUAUGUGAGAAUCAUGUUAGAAACUAGUGUGCAACGUGUAAUUGUGUUCGUGUAGUGAAUAAUAGGUCAGUAGGUAUCGUUGGUGUCAUUGGCAAAUGGGGAUCAUUCCUGUUGUGCGAUAAAUUUUGAAAGGCAAAGAACAUGAGUAGUGUGUCGAUCAAGUUAACCGAUAGGUUCUGUAAACACGCUUGUGAUGCUUUUAUGUGCAUGAUAAGAUCGAUGCCUUGUCGUCGUAGUCUCAGGAAAUUUUCUGAAAUGUGCUAGUGCUCUACUGAUGGGGUUAAAUGAACUUGAGAUGUAUUACAAUAGCUGUGUGUCGCGCAGGUUAUCCAAAAAUGGCGAAAGGUGGUGUAUGUUGGUAAUUGGGAAAUAGUCACGUCAUAAGCCAACUCGUGUUAAGCAGAAGUCGAUUGCGUUAAGUGAUUGUUAUAUACAUGUUGUGUCUCGGAUUUCGAUAAUAAUAGGCUAGUCGACAAGUAUGUUGUAUAGCGGCCUAGGGUGUUGCCUUGGUUAACCAACUUGUUAGAUGGCUUUAGUUAAGCUCGUAGUCACGAUGAAUUGCUUGUUGUCGUCUAAAUGCGUAUGGUUAUGGUCGCGGAUGAAAAGUAGUAGUGCUUAUGUGAUGUCUAAGUUAAAAUGCAAACUAUUGGGUGAAAAGCGCUUCGAUAUUGAUUAUCGUAGAUAAUGCGUUGUUAAUUGAGUAUGGUACUUCUAGUGCUCGAAAUGACUCGGAUAAAUAUUAGUAAGUCUACUUGUUAGUCCCCAUUUGAUUAAUUUAACUCUAACAAAUGGUAAAGUGUUAGAAUAAUUCAAGUCUCUAAAACGCGACAAUUCUUGAAGUAAAUAGGGGCUGGAAAUUAUUAGUUGUCGUUUUGGACUGCACGCAGUGAAUUCCUCGUGUUGUAUGUUUGAUGGACUAAAUUAUGUUUUCUGUAGAAAAGCAAUAUUGUAGAUAACUUUAUUAUCUUACUUGCGUUAAAAUUUGACAGUCAUAAGUCUGAUCGUUUGGGAGUUAUACUUUUCGCAAAUUCGGUAACUGAAUUUGUCCACUUUCUGCACAGAUUUCAGAAACUGCAUUGUUUGCUUAAUUUAAUGUUGCAAUCAGUUCAUGGUCGUUAUAAUAAAGUUGUAGAUGUUUUUCUUAUAUUGCUUGUGUUAAAAUUUCAUAACCAUAGGCCUGAUAGUUUAAGAGUUAUGAAUUUUACAAACUGGUUGCUAUAUUAUGUCCACUGUCAGAACAGAUUUCGAAAACUGUAUUGUUUGAUUCAGUUAAGCAUAGAAUCACUUCUUGGUGAUUAUAAAAGUUAUGUAGUGCUUUUGCCAAGCUUUCCAAAAAGUCUUGGAUCACUCUUUUUGGUGGUCUGAAGAUUAAGUUAUGGAUGUUUAAAGUGUGAAGACUGAAUCUGCCCAGUUUUGGACAGCAAAGCCUUCAUAGUGUAUUUUACCCUUAAUACAUAUUAAAUCAACCGAAGAUGUUUAUAAAUAUUUUGUUGACAAUUUCAUUAGCUUUCCAAAAAGUCUAGGAUCAAUUUAUUUGGAUGCCUAAAUCUUAGUUGUGAAUUUUUAAAGCUUUCCAAAAAGUCCUCCUUUGCUAUUUUUAGAUUAAUAUUUAAAGAGUUAUGAUUAAAACGAUUAACUGCUGUGUUGCUGUCCAAAAAUCUGCAAGUGCGCAUUUAAUUGUUUAGUUCACCCUUUUGGCUAAAAAUGCUUAAUUAGCACUUAACGGACAUAGACUUGUAACAGCUAAGCUUGAGAUAACAUGUAUGUCCUGUUUUAUAUGUUUCUUUCUCUAGUUGAUUGUGAUAUAGGGGUUCUGUAGACAUUGAUGCAUAUGCCCUCUGUUAAACUUGUGUUGGGAUGAUUUUGUGUGAUUAAUAGAAGAACUAAUGAAAAGCCGUAGCAAAUUAAAAAAUGCUCAUACUUGUGAUGUCAUGUUUGUGUUGGUUAAGUAUAGUAAGUGUCGUCAACUUUCCAGUGGUAGUGACUACGUAUGCCUGAUGACGUGUAGAUAACUAAUGCUAACGUGUGGUUGUUUAUGGUGUCUUCCAAUUUAUUGUUAGUUCGCCACUGUGUCUUUGUAUAUCUUGUGGUAUUUUUCAUUAUAUUCAUACAUAUGCAUCUUGCUUCUCAUUUAGGACCGAGAGAUGAUGAUCGUGCAAGUGAUGUGGUGCCAACCACAAGAUAUAGUUGGUGGACGACCUAAGGAAGGAUGGACAUACCCAGUGGCUGCUCGCCAAGCGAGUAUCCCACAGCAAACACUAUCUAUGUGUUGAAUUCCAAGCAAGCAUCGAUUUUAUGCAUAACCGUUAAAUAUGCUAUUUUACUGCACUUAAUGUUUGUAGGCUUGUACUGUGCACUUAAGUGUAGGAGUUGCAUGAAUCCCUAGCUGCAUGAUUUCAGGAUUCCUUUUGAGAUGGAUACUAGUAUGCUAGGUCGAGUAGUUGCUUUGCUAAUUAGGGAUCUCGGAAGAAGUCGAGUGAUUUUUCUAGUACUCGCGCGAGGUCAGGAUAUGGUUGUAUCUAUUUUGAUAACAGAAUGAUGAUGGUUUGUGGACACAGAUCCAAGGGGAUGCGUUGUCUACGAGACGAAAUUGGAAUAAGGAUUAAGGUGUGGUACCUCUGUCAAGCGUUUGAACAUACUAAACACAUGUCGAGAAAUAUGGUAAAUCGACAAGCCUAGUACCUGAGUGAACCUGCCCACAUAUUGCCCUCCUCACGUGACUUGAGAUGUGGUCUCCCAUUCCAGUUAUGGUGGGUACAAGUGCGGUCACCGCACGACGGCAGUCGGGGUCAGUGAGGCAUUGUACGCCAAGGCGGUGAGCCCCUUUCUGUUGACGGGGAAUCGAUGGGGACGGUUGAUGUGUGUGGGGACGGAGUGCCUCGCCACGUCGUGUGUUUAGGUUUACCUUGCAAGGUUAAAAACUCGAUUCGAAUCGUCUGCUUCUCGCAGCUAAUGAGACUGCUUGAUCCAUUGUAUUGUAUUGAGUAAGAAGUGGAAUAAGGUGACAGUCAAAGGAUAUUGAUUGAAACAAUGUUUGACACCAUGUAUGAAUAGCUAGGUAUUCAUCUAGUCUAAAGGAUUACACUAAAACUUGAAAAGUUAAAACUUGUUUUUAGACUCAGCUAGUGCUUUUGGCAAAACAAACCCCUCAGCCAAACAACUACAUGGUCUAGAGGUAGAGGAGUAGAUUUCUCACACCGGGUAAGUCUAGCUGAGUAUUAGUAUACUCAGCCUUGCUUGUGGCAUAAUUUUUGCAGGUACUCCUUAGGAUGAUUGGUUGCUGGUGUGACUUGGCCUUCAUCCCUGCCGCCGGGAUAGAUGGUCGAGAGGGUUACUGCUUCCGCAGGAGAGGACCAGGAGGAGUAGCGUGGCCAGGCUUCACUAUGUUACUCGGUUUUCUCCGUUAGUUAUUUCCGCUACAUUAAAAUUAUGGUUAUUAUUUCUGAAACUCCGAUAUUGUAAUCACUAUUGAUACUUCUUAAAUUUGUGGUAUUAUGCUUUAUUGUAUUUCUCUGUGCCUCACCUUCGAGUGAGCUAGUGGUAUUCUAUCCUGGAUAAGUGGCUUUAUCGGACUAGAUCCGAGGGACUGACGGGUUAUUCCGAUUUAAGUGUGUCAUUGCCUUUAAGGGUGCAAUUUGGGCACUUAAGUUGGAAUAAUUCAGGCGGUUCCGCCACAGCUGGUAUCGAAGCGAAUACCAUUAAAGAGAAGUCAAUAAGUCAUGAUUCCAACCUUUUCUAAAUUAAAACUUGCUUAGAAACUAAAGUUGGAUAGAUGUCAGGACGAUAAGGAUAGACCUAGGACGUGAAACCUUAGGAGAUAGAUGGGUAGCUAGCUAGGUGGCUAUAUUUAUAUAGGACAUAAAGGCUACUACUACUACUACUACUAAUAGGAAGGAUGCUGUAGAAGCACCCAAAAAAAUAGUUAGGUCUGAGAAGACGACUAGAAUGAGCAUGCAUCAUGAUUCUUGCAUUAUAAUUGUCUCUUGUGCACCAACAUGCUUCUCUCACCUUUAUUCCAAUAAUAAGAAAUUGUGAAUAUUGUGUUGUAUUGCUAUGAACUGCAAAAAAUGCCUUAUCUCUUGCCUAAUUAGUAAGUCUUGCUAGGUUGUGUUAUGUGUUUCUCUUGCCUUGCUAUCUAGGUGGUAUUGUAAAUGUUCAACCCUUUUUGUAAAAAAAAUUGUUGCUUGUUCUGUUCAUAAAAAGACCCCCAUCCAAACAACCUUGAGUUUAACAAGUGAAACCUCAAAAAAUAUUUUCAUUCUUAUGUGGGUAUUUUCUAACCCUUGUGUGUUUUACCCUGAAGUUGCACCUACACAACUUGUAGACCCCCAUAGCUUAACCGCUAGACCAACCCAAGUCUCCUUGUGCACUUGUUACGUCAAAAAAAUUGUUGUUUGGUGUCUAGUUGCACAAACCCUAUCAAGGCCAUGUUUCAUUCCAUAAAUCCUUGCCCCCUAAAACUUCCUAGCAUUUCUGUUGAUCAUCCUAGCUGAUCUUGCUUGAUGACCUCUCUUUUUCACCUAGAUCUAGUAAUCUUUUCUUUUCCUUUGUGAAUCGUGUUGUGGCUUAUCAUCCGAAUCUCCGGAUCCCCUAUUGAUCCUGCCCUACUAUCUAGAUAUCUGCUAUAACUCGUUCUCAAGUAUCAGAUGUUGAUCUACCUAAAUCUCUCAAUUAUGGUCAUUCUCAUACCCCUUCUCCGAGGAUUAUGACGUUGUUUUAUCAAUUUUAUCUCUAAACAGUGUAUCCAUUUGGUUCAAGGGAUUUUUGUUGUCAUCUUGUGGUUCUCUCAUGUCUCUACAAGUUCAUCAACAUGAUCUCUUGAGUGCUUCCUUCUCAUAUCCCAUAUCAUACUAAUCUCUGGCCUGAUAAUCUCCGUGUUGAUCAUAAAAUAGUUCUCUGAGUUGAAGAAAAUUCUCAUGUGAUGCUCUUUCGCCAGCAAUCUCUACUUCAACUCCGGUCACAUUCUUAUUUUCUGAGCCAUACUAUCAUGGGCUCCAUCUAUCUAUGCUAUAUGGAUUUCUCAUCGGUUGCGUAUGGUAAUGGUGUUAUGACUAACGACUGAUGGUGCCACAACCAAACCGAGAGCCUACUAUGGUGCACACAUGGUUGAGCUGCUCGGCACACACUGGUAUCGCGGUUAAUAGUCGUGAUCCAUUAUGGGACUAUAUCGAUGUGCUAUCUUUUGUGGACAUUCUCUCAAAGUGAUCGCUACAUUUUAUCUCAAUAUGUCACGAUAUUCUAUCCAAAUCUGUCAUCAAUAUCUUGUUAGAUCCCUUCUCAUAAAUUUGCAUAUAUCUCCAGCCUUGGAGUUACAUGCUUCUCCACCCUUGAAGAUCCUCAUUCGAAUCUCGGGACAAGAUUCUUUUAAUGGGAAAGGCUGUGACACCCCAGGUGUCUAUUUCGUGUUAUGUCGGGAGAUUUAUCCAAACCUCGGAUUAUCAAUUUUAGAGUAUGUUAAAACUUUUAAUUCUCGUCACGAAUGCAAACUCGAUAAUCAAUCUCAAUUUAUCAAUCUCGUCUAAAGCUCAUUUAAUCCAGCGCUCGACAGUUGCUAGUCGAGCUGUGUACGAAUCUGAUUCCUCGACCUUCGAUGUAUGUCCAAAAUUUAAUCCAAAUCCGUACUCUCAAACGGAAUACUCAGUAUGUCGUCCUCUAAUUAAUUCUUACUCGACUCAGCCUAGCACCGUUGCGUCUGAACCGAAUUCAAAACCCACUCCGGCAGCGAUUUUAAAAUGUCACGAUUCGCCUUCUCCGACUAAAAAUCCAAGGCCGAUCAAAAGUUUGAGAGAAACAUUGUUUCUAAAAUAGUGCGCGAGAAAAUUUCAAAGCGAAAUCUCCAAUGCGUUGUCCUCAAAUAAAGUCUUAUCCGACUCGGCUUAUUACCUCUGUGUUCGAUCCGAAAUUCGAAAAUCAACAUCGGCCACAAUUUUCAUUAAUCCAACUCGCUUUAUUUCUAUGCCGAAUCCGAAGCCGAUCGACCUCAAGUCUUUUAUUUAUAUUUGUGCACGAGGAAUUAUUUCCGGGAGAAGUCAGAUCAGACUCUCGGCCGAAUUAAUCGCUCAAUCUUCCGUUCGUCCGAACUCUAAUUCACUCUGUUCUGCGUACAGACGAAUUCCGUAGGAGCAUUUUUAUUCCAAAAAAAUAAAUAGCGCAGCCCGAUUGAGUGUUUUGGGCCAGCCCAGCCCAGCCCACUUAAAAACCCUAACCUUAGGGCUUCUCUAUAAAUAGGAGCCCUCUCCCUUGCAAAUUGGCUUUUAUUCAUCUAUCCCCCUAGCCGCCACCUUCUUUUUUUCCCUGUCUCUUUCUUCCUCACGACAGUAGCCCGCGCUUCUCCUCCCACACGGCAGCACGCAGGGAGCUCCCUCUCCUCCCAUGGCGUCCUCCCCUUCUCCCCCUGGGCUCCAGCUUCCUCGACACCCCCUGCACCUUCUCCCUCGCGCAGCAGCGGCGGGCGCCCCCUUUUCCUCCUCCCUGGUUCCCAUGGCUGCCAGCAGGUCCUUCUCCCAUGGCGCUCGAGCCCUGCAGCAGGGAGCUCGGCUCUUCCCCUCCCAGGGCGCCACCUUUUCCCUCGGCGCCUCCCCCCAGUGAGACCUCCCAUGGCCGACCUCCACUUUCCCUGUCCAUGGCUGCUGUUUCCUACACCCUACUUUUUUUUCUCCCAUGGAAAGCAGCAGGAGCAAUGCCGCCCAGACCUAGGCCCCUGCUCUUCCUCUCUUCCCCACAAAACAGCAGCUGCAGCGAGCUCGCCGUCGUCCAUGGCGCCCCCCUGCAAUCUUCCCCCUUGGCUGUUCGACGGAAUGCCCGUGGGAAAUAUUGUGUUCUGCGCAGAGCGCAGCAGCCCCGACAUCUCCGCGCGAUGUCGACUCGCUGUUUUGUGAAGCCAGUGGACAGCACGCCGUGAUGCCCGCCGGGUGUUUGCUGUUUUUGCGUAGCCCCAACGUCGUCGUCGUUCACCCCCGGUGAGACCGCGACGAUCCUUAUUCGAUUCCGCAUCGACAUUGUUUUCAUGUGAUUAAUUGUGUGCUGUUUUGUUUUGUUUUGUGGAGGAGAGGAACCCCGUGUUUUGCGUGGAGGAGAAGGCAAGCCACCCAACACUCAUCGAUGUUUGGAGCGAUGCACAAAUCAGAAUCGCCAUCGUUCUUACAAACAUCGAUUGGGUUUGUUUAUGGUGAGCCGAUGCAUGUCGCUCUCGAUUGACUCGGUUAAUAAAUUAUAUAAACAUGGUUGAAAUGUUUCGGUGGUAGGUCAUAGUAUGGUUGUGUUCAUGAUUUUGAGUUAGAGAUUGGUGGUUUAUGAUUCGUAUAAAUUGGUCGAUGUUGUGCAUGUGUGUGUAUAUGUUUAAAAAAUGUAUUGGUAUGGAUUGAAGUUUGUGGCGAAAGAAAACGAGUUAGAAAUAGGGCUCGGAUGUUUUUAAGUUUCGAUAAGAAUGUAUUGAUGUGUGGUUUGCUGUGAGGAUAAUUUUAAAAUGCCGGUUAUGUUGUGAGAAAUGGAUCGAUAGAAAUUUAUGUGAUGAGUAAGUUUGGAAAUACAAGUUAUGUGAGGAUUGAAUUAGUACACGUAGGUGUGUGUGUCAUGGUGUGUUAUUGUAGUGGUGGCGUAAAAUAUUUGAUUGAGGUGUGCGGGUGUAUGCCUUAAUAUGGUUAUACUCGCGACGAGGAAAAAUGUAUGCAUUGGGUAACACGACGCUUAGGUCGUUGUUGUAUAAUCGAAUAAAGGAUGUAUUAUUGAGCUUGAGUCAAAAUGUGCGGUACUAGUGGUACGCUAGGCAGGCGGUGUUCCAAAUAAAUAAAUCGGUUGAUUUGGUAGUUGUCGUGCGUGAUUUAUUGUUAGUGAGUAGUUGAAUUACGAGUUAUGUGAGAAUCAUGUUAGAAACUAGUGUGCGGCGUGUAACUGUGUUCAUGUAGUGAAUAAUAGGUCAGUAGGUAUCGUUGGUGUCAUUGGCAAAUGGGGAUCAUUCCUGUUGUGCGAUAAAUUUUGAAAGGCAAAGAACAUGGGUAGUGUGUCGAUCAAGUUAACUGAUAGGUUCCGUAAACACGCUUGUGAUGCUUUUAUGUGCAUGAUAAGAUCGAUGUCUUGUCGUCGUAGUCUCAGCAAAAUUUUCUGAAAUGUGCUAGUGCUCUACUGAUGGGGUUGAAUGAACUUGAGAUGUAUUACAAUAGCUGUGUAUCGCGCAGGUUAUCCAAAAAUGGCGAAAGGUGGUGUAUGUUGGUAAUUGGGAAAUAGUCACGCCAUUAGCCAACUCGUGUUAAGCAGAAGUCGAUUGCGUUAAGUGAUUGUUAUAUACAUGUUGUGUCUUGGAUUUCGAUAAUAAUAGGCUAGUCGACAAGUAUGUUGUAUAGCGGCCUAGGUUGUUGCCUUGGUUAACCAACUUGUUAGAUGGCUUUAGUUAAGCUCGUAGUCACAAUGAAUUGCUUGUUGUCGUCUAAAUGCGUAUGGUUAUGGUCGCGGAUGAAAAGUAGUAGUGCUCAUGUGAUGUCUAAGUUAAAAUGCAAACUAUUGGGUGAAAAUCACUUCGAUAUUGAUUAUCAUAGAGAAUGCGUUGUUAAUUGAGUAUGGUACUUCUAGUGCUCGAAAUGACACGGAAAAACAUUAGUAAGUCUACUUCUGGUUGAUGUGUUAUGUCCACUGUUAGAACAGAUUUCGAAAACUGUAUUGUUUGAUUCAGUUAAGCAUAGAAUCACUUCUUGGUGAUUAUAAAAGUUAUGUAGUUCUUUUGCCAAGCUUUCCAAAAAGUCUUGGAUCACUCUUUUUGGUGGUCUGAAGAUUAAGUUAUGGAUGUUUAAAGUGUAAAGACUGAAUCUGCCCAAUUUUGGACAGUAAAGCCUUCGUAGUGUAUUUUACCCUUGAUACAUAUUAAAUCAACCAGAGAUGUUUAUAAAUAUUUUGUUGACAAUUUCAUUAGCUUUCCAGAAAGUCUAGGAUCAAAUUAUUUGGAUGCCUAAAUCUUAGUUGUGAAUUUUUAAAGUCACAAGUCUGAAUCUGUCCAAAUCUGGACAGUGCUGUUGUGUUAACACUUUUUGACCUUGCUAAGUGUCGAAUCAUGUUGAGGUAAAAAUACCAAAGUUGUAGUUCACUUUUUAAGCUUUCCAGAAAGUCCUACUUUGCUAUUUUGGAUUAAUAUUUGAAGAGUUAUGAUUAAAACGAGUAACUGUUGUGCUGCAGUCCAAAAAUCUGCAAGUGCGCAUUUAAUUGUUUAGUUCACCCUUUUGGCUAAAAAUGCUUAGUUAGACAUGUAACGGCUAAGCUUGAGAUAACAUGUAUGUCCUGUUUUAUAUGUUUCUUUCUCUAGUUGAUUGUGAUAUAGGGGUUCCGUAGACAUUGAUGCAUAUGCCCUCUGUUAAAUUUGUGUUGGGAUGAUUUUGUCUGAUUAAUAGAAGAACUAAUGAAAAGCCGUAGCAAAUUAAAAAAAUGCUCAUACUUGUGAUGUCAUGUUUGUGUUGGUUAAGUAUAGUAAGUGUCGUCAACUUUCUAGUGGUAGUGACUACGUAUGCCUGAUGACGUGUAGAUAACUAAUGCCAACGUGUGGUUGUUUAUGGUGUCUUCCAAUUUAAUGUUAGUUCGCCACUAUGUCUUUGUAUAUCUUGUGGUAUUUUUCAUUAUAUUCAUACAUAUGCAUCCUGCAUCUCAUUUAGGACCGAGAGAUGAUGAUCGUGCAAGUGAUGUGGUGCCAACCACAAGAUGCAGUUGGUGGACGACCUAAAAAAGGAUGGACAUAACUAGUGGCUGCUCGCCAAGCGAGUAUCCCCCAGCAAACACUAUCUAAGUGUUGAAUUCUAGGCAAGCUCCGGUUUUAUGCAUAACCAUUAAAUAUGCUAUUUUACUGCACUUAAUGUUUGUAGGCUUGUACUGUGCACUUAAGUGUAGGAGUUGCAUGAAACCCUAGUUGCAUGAUUUCAGGAUUACUUUUGAGAUGGAUACUAGUAUGCUAGGUCGAGUAGCUGCUUCGCUAAUUAGGGAUCUCGGUAGAAGUCGAGUGAUUUUUCUAGCACUCGCGCGAGGUCAGGAUUUGGUUGUAUCCAUUUUGAUAACGGAAUGAUGAUGGUCUGUGGACACGGAUCCAUGGGGAUGCGUUGUCUACGAGACGAAAUUGGAAUAAGGAUUAAGGUGUGGUACCUGUGUCAAGUGUUUGAACGUACUAAACACAUGUCGAGAAAUAUGGUAAAUCGACAAGCCUAGUACCUAAGUGAACCUGCCCGCAGAUUGCCCUCCUCAUGCGACCUGAGACAUGGUCUCCCAUUCCGGUUAUGGUAGGUACAAGUGCGGUCACCGCACGACGGCAGUCGGGGUCAGUGAGGCAUUGUACGCCAAGGCGGUGAGCCCCUUUCUGUUGACGUGGAAUCGAUGGGGACGGUUGAUGUGUGUGGGGACGGAGUGCCUCGCCACGUCGUGUGUUUAGGUUUACCUUGCAAGGUUAAAAACUCGAUUCGAAUCGUCUGCUUCUCGCAGCUAAUGAGACUGCUUGAUCCAUUGUACUGCAUUGAGUAAGAAGUGGAAUAAGGUGACAGUCAAAGGAUAUUGAUUGAAAUAAUGUUUGACACCAUGUAUGAAUAGCUAGGUAUUCAUCUAGUCUAAAGGAUUACACUAAAACUUGAAAAGUUAAAACUUGUUUUUAGACUCAGCUAGUGCUUUUGGAAAAACAAACCCCUCAGCCAAACAGCUGCAUGGUCUAGAGGUAGAGGAGUAGACUCCUCACACCGGGUAAGUCUAGCUGAGUAUUAAUAUACUCAGCCUUGCUUGUGGCAUAAUUUUUGUAGGUACUCCUUAGGAUGAUUGGUUGCUGGUGUGACUUGGCCUUCAUCCCUGCCACCGGGAUAGACGGUGGAGAGGGUUACUGCUUCCGCAAGAGAGGACCAGGAUGAGUAGCGUGGCUAGGCUUCGCCAUGUUACUCGAUUUUCUCCGUUAGUUAUUUCCGCUGCAUUAAAAUUUAUGGUUAUUAUUUUUGAAACUCUGAUAAUGUAAUCACUAAUGAUACUUCUUAAAUUUGUGGUAUUAUGCUUUAUUGUAUUUCUCUGUGCCUCACCUUCGAGUGAGCUAGUGGUAUUCGAUCCUGGAUAAGUGGCUUUAUCGGACUAGAUCCGAGAGACUGACGGGUUAUUCCGAUUUAAGUGUGUCGUUGCCUUUAAGGGUGCGAUUUGGGCACUUAAGCUGGAAUAAUUCAGGCGGUUCCGCCACACUCACCUUCUUACCUGAGCGUAGGUGUGUCAUUGCAAGUACAUUACACUUCUCAGUAUUCCCAUGUCUGUAUACCCAUACACAUCCAUGGGGUACUGAAUCCCAGAAAAUUAAUUACUCCACAUCGCAACCUUCAUAUAUACAUAUGUGUAACAUGUAUAUAUUCAAGCGCUUUUCAUGCUCUUCCCUAGACCAACGUUUGUUCGGUCAUGCUCUCACAUCUCACCUUUCCUGAGCGUCGAUCCAUUCAAAAUUAAAUGGCCUCAAAAAUAACAUUACACAUGUAAGCAAUAUUUCCCCCAGUUGUGGGUUAGUGUUUUAAUCUAAGCCACCAGAUACUCCUUAAUUUUAGGGCUUAACAGAGGAUGUCGCUAGCAUUAAAGUUUUUCAAAUCUGUUUUUCAAAACCAAACAAUGUGUUUAGUUGAAAAUAGAAUUUCUAAAACCAAAACUUUGUUUUGAAAGUAUGUAUGUGACCGUAUUAUACUUAAUCCUGCUCCGAUACCAGCUGUGGUAGAACCUCCCAAGUUUUUGGGCCCACAUGCACCUGCCCUUAUCUCAAAGACCUCAGACGGCUAUGCAUGUGCACCAGAUAACAUAACAUGAUCUGUCUGAGUGUCCCAAGGACCCCGGAUAAACCACUUACAACCAGGAACGCGAAAUUAAGUAAACACAAAUCACACACCAACAUUUUUGCAGUGGAAUUUCUUUAUUACAAAAGUUACAAAUUACAACAAAUUUACAUUAUAUUUAUCGGAGUGGUUACAAACUGAUUCAAAGAAAUAUACUUUGAAAUGUUAUAAAUUAUUUAUAAUUUUGAAAUAUAUGGUAGCUUAAGUGACCAUCCUCAAUAAGAAGUAUAGAAGAGUUACUUAGCACCAUCAACAGCAUUACAAAUCUAGUACCUGCAACAACAUGGGUUCGAAAACCCUGAGUACGAAGUGUACCUUCGCAAGUCUUACCCGUCUAAAGAAAAAGACUCUCAAGGAUAUGCUGGCUGUUGGGAAUCAAGGUAUGUCUUAUCAAGAAUCAAAGACUCUAUUUGCAGAAAAGCUUACUAUGAGUGGAUCCUUAAAAAUCCAUUUUUACUUGUCAAGUUAAGUAAAGUUACCUGCAUCUAGAGUUCUUUCUAUCCUAGUUCAAGCACUUGGCCUAUACUAGCCGUUUUUUCUCAUCCCUUCAGUUCACUGGAUUGCUAUGUGUAGGACAGUGACCAAGUCUUCAUGUCCGAGAAGUAACGGCGAUCUGAAUCGAUUAAUACCUAGCUGGGGAUCUCCAACCACACGACAUAUGUAGCACUUAACCCUUGCAUAUGUCAACUCGCCACCGGGUUUCUCAAGACCAGAUCGGGUUCACGCCAACUGAGACCAUAGAUACACCACCGUCUAGCCUCUUGCCACGAAGGGUACACGCUACUCUCGCCAUCUCUCCACUCCCAUUGUGUGUUGGCCUUUCUGGUAUUGGUCUGCCCGAGGCAAAGCUUACCCAUGACGAGGCAUGUGGCCAGUUUAAAGGUCCUCAAUCAUCAAGCCUACAUCGGUACGGUCCUUAAUCGACUGAAACAGAGACACUACACCGAGACUUCCUUCUUGUGCAAGUCACCCGUCCGGUCUCAGCUUUAUUAUUUAAAACCCAAAGUUUGGUACCUGACAGAGGUACAUCUUUUCAGAUGUUGAACCCAUCACGGUCGUGAUGGAUCCACCAUCAUAAGUCUUUUCUUUGUAAAAAUUCCCAUCCAAUUUGAAGCAUCACAAUCUGUUUUAAAACAAAACAUUUUGUUUUUCUAAAGCAACGCUAAGCAUCAUAAAAAUCAUUUUAGUAAAAGGGUAUCAAGGAAGGGUAAUCAAUUUUCCAAGGAAGGAAAUGCAUCAAUUGUUUAGCACACAACUCCUAUCACUUAAUGCAUCAAACAAGGUGAUAAAGAUUUUAAAACAGCAAGGAGGUGGCAAAUGCACCGAGGCUUGCCUGGAAUAAACACUACGUUAGUGUUUGUUAGCUGACGAUCACUUGAUGAUCAUCCUUUUGUUCUGAUACUUGCUUCGUCUGUCCAUCUUCAGUUUCGUCCAUCAACAUCAUCUUGUGGAGAAGCUCAUGCUUUCCAUCCUCUUGUGGUCGACUCAGCUUUGGUCCUCCGCAUCACAUGAUUAAUUAACAUACCUCAUGGGAUAAACAAUGCACAUGUAUGAAUAUACAGAGGAAUAGCAUAAGACAGAUAAUCUACACUGAAGAUGAUGAAACACUUAUAACAAAGCAUUAUAAUCAAUCACAAGCAAGUACUAGCUAGCGAUAUAUGACUAAUUAUAAUAAUUACACUUUUCUAGCCUAUUUGGAGGUAUCUCAUAUAUCACAAAACAAUAAAAUAUACACACGCUCUACUCCCCUUAACUAACGUUCAACUCUAGGGAAUUAACAAAUUAGAUUUAUUAGUAUUAGCCAUCUAAAUUUAGAAUAAGGAUAGAAGCAUCGUAACUAACUUUCUAAACCAUUUAUCCAGAUUAAUUUGCAUAACAUGCCAAAUACAUGAACAUCACAUUAUUCUAUGACCUAGCAGAUAGAGUGUUUUUAUUCGAAUCACACCAUGCCUACAAUUAUAUUAACAUAUUCUUCACAUCAUUUAUACCUCAAACCUAUCUCCCCACGUCACCACUUCGACCAAACAAACCAAAUUCAUGACAAACAAUACUAACAACACUUAUUUGUCAAGUGUUGAAAAAUUCUAAACUCAUCUAUCGAAAUUCAUUAAAUAGUUGAGCAUUAACAAGAGGACUGGUGGUGCCCUGCUAACAGCGAGAACAUAAUUAUUAACCUAAGAAAUUUACAUAGAAUGUAAUAUCUAUUAAGACUAAACAUAAAAUUCACCAUACACUAGGAAUUCUCAUGAAAAUAUUGAUAGCACUUUCGACUAAACAUCUAAAAUGUUAAACAUACAUUCGCAGUACUACCAAUAUACUUUUCACUGAAAGUAGCAAUUCAAAUUUAGUUCCUAUAUCAAACAAUUUUUAUUUUAUUAUUUUUAAUCGCAAAUAUGAACACACCAUUACAAGCGAUUACGACAUUUCAUCACACAAGCCUACUUAUAUUCUACUCGGUCCACAAAUUAAACUAAUUAACUGGAAUACUGAAAUAACUCACCAUAACUAAAUCUGACUUGAUAAUCGCAAGAACGACGAAGUCAACGAGGGUUUCGUAACUCAGGCAUUUUGUCAAGCACCUAGUGAGCAUCACACUAGCACAUUAAUUAUUCAAUGAUCAAACUAUCCUGAAUUACUCAUCGGCUUACCACGACCAAAACAAUUUGAUAAUCGCAGAUUGAUGAUGAAUAUUGGUUCAGACUUUCCAUCGAACACUUGGCAUGGGUUGUGCUCGAAGACGGCUUCCAGGGGAGGAGCUUGACGUGGACUGGGCACGACCACACGAGAUGAGCGCAGGGCUGUCUUCGGCAGGACUCGAGACAGCUUAUCGGCGUUGGGGCUUGAAGACCACAACCGACGCAGGAAAGAUUUGGACACAGUCCGGCGAGCUUCCAUGGGCGACGUCCACGAAUUUGAAGCUGCAAUGGCCAUGGCGAGCAGGGACGCACGCGACCAAAGGGAGUGCCGCGCCAUGGACGGAGGAGCAGAGAGAAAAGCAGGGGGCGAGCAGGGAGAAGAACAGGCAACCUCAAUCACCAGGGGGUGCGGCCAAGUGAAAUCCGAGUAGAGGGCACGACUGCGCGCACCAUGGGAGGAGAGAGAGAGAGAGAAAAGCAGGGGGGCCGCGACCACAGGGGGCGCCAUGGGGGAUCUCGACCAGGGGCGCGGUGCUUCAGGAAAAAUCCAAGGCGGUGGAGAGCUUGGCUUCUUGCAGCGAGCAGAGGAAGGGCGCGACUUGGGGAAAUGCCAGGGAGAGGGACGCACCACCAUGGGCGAGCGCAGGGGCACACAGGCUGAGCAGGGAGCACGGUUGUGAAGAACACGGCUGGGCAUGGAAGGGAAGCAGCUUCAUGACGCACGGAGGGAGUUCAGGGCGAUGGGACGCGCAGGAACUCCAGGGUGCGACAACAGGGAGACGGGCGGCCGAGCUGGAGGAGCAAGGGGGCACCAUGGGGAGCUCGGCUGGGCGCACAACGCGUGGAGGAUAUAAGCAUCACAAGAAAUAUCCAGGGAGAGAGAUAGCGACGGGAAGAGAUGGAGAGGGAGGCUGCGUGUUGGGUACUUGUUCUCAAAUGCUAUGAAUUAAGAACAAGGUAACACAAAAAGAGGUUAAUGGUUAAUGCCCUUCGUCCUUCGAAGCAUUAUUUCCCUUAGGAUAUAACGAUCUUUGGACAAAGGUCAUGAAGGACGUACCUUCAUCAUCACAGUAUAUGUUAAUGAAAGAAGAAGCAUAUGAAACAUGAGAAAUAACAUGAAUAAUCAUAUGACAUCAUUAGUAUAUCUUUAUUAUAUCAUCAUGGAUGAAAAAGAACAAUAUUGAAUUACAUUUGUACCUUCGGCUUGACAGAAGGCAAAAGUCCAAGCGUGACGCACGAGUGAAUAUAAAUCAGCGUGAACAGUACUGGGGUACUGUUCACCUAUUUAUAGGCACGGGACGCAGCCCGAUCAAAAUUACAUUUAUGUCCUUGAUAGCUAGUUUCAAUCAUGACACAAAUUAUCAUAGGUUGAUCGGUCUUUUCCUCUUUAAGUCGGUGCAGCCCUUCGUCUCAAGCCGUACCAUUAUGCCGAAGCUCCUUGGAUAGCAGCUUCGUGUGUACCUUCACGCUAUGUUUGAUUAUACGCUGAUCUUUCGAAGGUGUUUCUUCUUAAAGGACUUUCGGCGACGAAGCAGGCCCCCAACAGUAGCCCCUUCGUGGUGCUAGAUCGUUUUUCGUAAUGAACUUGAUCCGUGCAAAAUCUUCAAGGCUUCAGAAUGCCGAAGAUCCGAAAACACCUUCCCUGAGCUCGUUGCCGAGAAACAAUUAAAGUAUUCCGGGUGCAAGGUGGCCCACCACACAGCGGGUAGUGGUCCACUGUUCUGAGGGUGCGGGAGACUGGUCGGCGGGUGCGGGCGACUUGGCGAUUCACCUUCCCACCUGCAACACUAUAUAAACAGACGGGUAAGUGUGAAGUUACCACAACAUUCAUUGCCAUUGCACUGUUGUGCCGUUGAAAAAUUCAACCAUAGCCAAAGCUUUUUCACUGCAUUCUCGAGCGAACCAUCUCUUUUGAAUUAUUUUUGGAAAAAGAAAGAGCUUCGUCAAAACUAUAAAAAUCAUUAGCUUCGUAAAAACCGCAAAGGAUUCAUCAUAAUAUGGCGAGAGUACGCUCGACUGCGAGGGUGACCCGUGAAGGGGAGGAGACUGAAGCUACUGAGACAGCUCCGAUCUCCGAAGUCAUGAGACAAUUGAGCCUAGUUAUGACGGAGGGAGACAUUGAAGAAGGUGCACCUGCUGCCGAAGCUGAACAAGUUGAUAUCGAGGAAGAAAAUGUUGACGAAGAAGAGGAAGACUAUAACACUCUGAUCCCAACAAAACCCAGCCACUUGGAUUUUGAAAAAUCUACUGUGUCUAAGGCCGACGUGCCCACGAUGAUGAAGCUGGGUUACUUCGGAGAAGGUGAGAAGAAGCUUAUUCGUUUUGCCGGAGAAGAAACCACUCCAAAGCCGAAAGAUGACGAAGUAGUGGUUUUCAAAAGCUUUUUCAGAGCAGGAUUACGGUUUCCGCUUCACGAGAUGAUUGGAGAAGUUUUGGAUAAUUAUGAAAUCUAUCUUCAUCAGUUGACCCCUAACACCAUCGUUAGGCUCAGCAUCUUCAUUUGGUCCCUUCGAAGCCAAGGAAUGGACCCAAAUGCUAAAGCUUUCUGUCGAGUGCAUGAAUUGCAUUACCAAACAAAGGCCAGAGAAGACAGGCUACACGAAAAUUUCGGUUGUUAUAACUUCGCAUAUCGCAGGGAUACGAAGGCUCCGGUGCUCAGUUAUCGUACCAAGUGGCCAACCGGCAGGAAGAGCGAAUGGUUUUAUUUCAAGGCCGAUGAGAAGAAGAGAGAGAAGCUGAUGCAAAUGGUUAUGUGUCCGAUGACUCUAAGCUUCGGACUGACUAGGCCAGUGUGCCACAUGACGUUGGGGUCACCAUGCCAACAAGCCGUAGCAGAAUUUAGGGUGGUGGCUAAACAUAUUAGCACUAGAGAUCUAGUGCAAGAAUACCUGGCCAACAGGGUAUCUCCAACAUUGAGCGAAUGGAGUAUGCCAAAGCUAAAAGGAACAAAGAAGAAGAGUGAACUUGUUCGAUUGCACUAUCGCUUCAAGUUUGAGAAACAAUUCAAAGAGCCUUGCCAAGAGUGGAUAGAAAUGAUUGAAACUAUGUGCAACGAAAUUUUGGGUAUUCAUACCAAAAAAGAAGAUCAACUGAUGACUGCAGCCUUCGGCACCCGACCAAAAUAAAGGUUGAAUCGGGUAAUGGACGCUUUAAACUUUGAAUACCCUGAUUAUGAACGGCUAAGCAAGGGUGCCAAAGGGACAAAGAGAAAAAGGGUUGUCAGUGUUCUGAGAAGACAGGCUGCUAGGAUGGUGAAAGAGGAUGAAGAAGCUCUAAAAAAGAGAAAAUCCAGUCCUGAGCCGAAGGUGGCUACUUCGAAGAAGAGAAAGGCUGCAACUCCGGAGCCAAAAGCAGCUGAGAUAGAAGAAGAAACUCCUUCAACACCUUCUGCUGCUGAAGUAGAAAAAAAUUUAAAGGCAAUGAUCGAAUCCUUACCUAUAAAGCUGCUAAGUCCUCUAGGGCCGCAACUGACGAAGCUUUUACAGAAGAAGGAUGAGCCCUCGGCAGUGAAAAAGGCGGUUGGGCCAAAAAAGUGAAGAAUUGUUACUGUUAUGCAAGCCAUUGAGGAAACGCAACCACCGGCCACAGCAUAAAAAAUGACACCAUCUGCCGAGGCUGUUGCUUCUGCUGAAGCUGCGACUCCCAAAGCUACCAAUCUGGAGAGUACAUUAUCCGCUAUUGAUAAAGUGCUCUUGGAUUUGGCCAUGGAGGAGACUGUUGCGGAUGCAGAAGAAGCCCUGGCCGCAGUGCCUGAGAAAGGGAAGGAAAUUGCUGAAGAUGCUUGGGAAGAAAAAGGCUUCAGCUUCCAAAAUCUAGUUGAUCAAGAAUUAUCCAAGGCCGAGAAAAAGGAGCUACAGGAGUAUGCUAUAUCCUGUGGCUACCAGCCAGGAGCCAUGCUCUUUGGUAGGAUUAAUGAAGAAGCCUUAGGAUGUAUUCGAGAUCAUACUGGGGCGAAGGUUAUCAGCACUCUAUCGAAGAGUGUUGGUUUUCCGAAGCUUGAAGCUGACAUUAGCAGAUACCGACGACAACACAUCGUUGGUAGCUUAUUCUAUUCCAAUUUUAAGGUAAAGUUUCUUCCUCAGCUUUUACUGUUUUGUGAUGAAGCAAGGAUUUCUGACAAAGGUUAAUUUGCACAGAGUAUGCUGCUAAGCAAAGCCUUGAGGAUGCAACAGGACCUCGAAGAUAAGAAUAAUGAGGUUAUAAUCGAGGGCUUGGAGAAUAAAAUCAAAGAUCAUGAAGCUUCACUAGAAAAGAAAUUUUCCUUCUUCAGACAAUGGAGGGUUCAUUGGCAGAAGCCCAAGCCGAAAUUGCCAGAUUAAACAAUGAACUCCUCCGAAAAUCAGGAAGCCUUGAGCAAGAAAAGAAGAAAUUUGAUGUGAAGAUUGAAGCCGAAGUCGAGAAAAGUUCGAAUCUGCAAAAAUCCUUAAAAGAGCUUCAGGACAAAUGCUUGAACUUCGGCAACCGGUGUGUGCAAUGGCUGAAACAGGUCUUCAACUCAGUGGGGGCCAGCUCUAAAAAAUUUGAACCUUCGGUUGAAGACCUGCCAAGCACCUUCGAACAUAUUGAGAGCGAAGUUGAGGAGCUUGAUGAAGUUAUAGCUAGGCAUGGUGACUUCUGUGCCCUGCUGGCUUCUCGCAGCACAGCUGUAGCUUUUAUGAAGGCUGGUUGCACACACGGGAAGAUUGUAAACUGGCCGAACUUCAGUAUGUCCCCAGUGGACCUAAUUGAUAUCCCUAGCCUAGCUCGAAGCAUUGGAAAUUGAUUUAUAACAUAAAUUUGGACGAAGGGUGGGCGGGACUUAGCUAGUGACGAAGCUCGAAGUCAUCUUAAGCCGGUAUUAAACUUGUACCUGUUGCUUACCUUCUCCUGAGAUUACUUUUUACCUUAUACUGCUUUGUUGUGUAAAGGAUGACGAUGCCGAAGGUCAAUAAUCCAAAGCUUGACGGAGACUGAUGAAGCUGCUGCACAAAGCUUUAGAGACAUUUGAAUUAUCUUUGUAAAAGAUAUUGUAAUUUAGGAAUCAAAAUAUUACUUUGUUAAUUUGUCCAUACCUUGUAAUAUAUUUAUACCUUUUCAUCCGUGUGUGAAUUCCUUUGAUGUGGACGAAACUUGUGUCUUUUGAGCCGAAGGCGAAAAACACCUUCUCUUCUUUUCGUACACAACGAAGCAUAUAUUUGCUUAUUUAUACUCAUCGAAGCCUUGUCAUCAAAGCCACAACAUCUGUUUGUAUUCUAUGUUAUGAUGAUGAUGAUCCUGCGAAUGUCUAAAUGAAUGUGUAUGAAUGCAAUGAAUGAUGUGAUGUAAUGUGCAAAUGAAUGUCCAAACACACGCAUACGAAGCCACACCCAGACUCUGUAUCCCCUUAGGAACGUCUUUUGAGUCUUAAGCUCUGCAUCCCCUUAGGAACGCCUUUUGAGCUUCUUCACCUUCUAUUUUGGUGGUAUAAGUUCUGCAUCCCCUUAGGAACGUCUUUUGAACUUCUUCGCCUUCUAUUUCGGCGGUAUAAGUUCUGCAUCCCCUUAGGAACGACUUUUGAACUUCUUCGCCUUAUAUUUCGGUGGUAUUUGGCUCUGCAUUCCCUUAGGAACGACUUUUGAGCAGAAAACUUACGAUGUGCUCCCUUAGGAACGAGUUUUUGUAGCUUUGUCAUGCUCUGCAUCCCCUUGGGGACGACUUUUGAGCUUCUCCCUGCUUUUGCUCUUUUUUUUCUCUCUGCACUCGAUGGUGCAUGCUCAGAUUUUACAUUUUACAUUCUUUUGGGGGAUUUGGCUCUCGUGGAGCUAAAUAAGAAAGGAAAAAUUACAAUCUAUGGCCCCAUUAAAAACCUUUCUCCCCCUUUAGAAAGGAAAAGGGUGCCUUAGAAAAAUGAAAAAAGAUUACAUCAAAUUACACAUAAUAUCGCCGAAGCUCAUCCGCAUUCCAAGAUCUGGGUAUGUCGUUGCCGUCCAUAUCCUUCAAUCUGUAAGAACCGGGCCUUGACGAAGAUACCACCAGAAAAGUUCCUUCCCACUUCAGCUGCAAUUUGCCUACUGUGUCUGGAUUGGCCACUCUCCGAAGCACCAAAUGCCCUGGCUUAAUAUUUUUGAACCGAACUUUUCUGUCAUGCCAUUUUAUUGUUUCGGCUUGAUAUUUAUUGAUGUUCUCCACAGCCUGAAGUCUAGUCCCCUCUAUAGUAUCUUUUGCUACGUGAUAAUCAGCUUCGUCUCCUGCCGAAGCUAUUGUUCUUAUUGAUCCUGCUUUAGCUUCUUCUGGAGUUACAGCUUCGUCACCGAACAUAGUUUGAAAGGUGUAAAUCCUAUUGAUCUUGACAUAGUUGUAUUGUGGCUCCAUACCACUUUAAUCAACUCAUCUGGCCACUUUCCUCUGGGCUGAUUGAAGAUUAACUUCAUUAUUCCUGUCAUAAUAAUGCCAUUUUCUCUUUCUACCAACCCGUUUGACUCCGGAUGCCUAACUGAUGCAAAAUGGAUCUUCGUGCCAAUGUGGUCACAGAACUCUUUGAAUGUUUCGGCAUCAAACUGCGUUCCAUUGUCCACAAUUAUAGCCUUCGACACGCCGAAGCGACAAACAAUAUUCUGCUAGAAGAAUUUUUGGACUGUGACCGAAGUUAUUGUAGUCAAAGGCUUCACUUCAAUCCACUUGGAAAAAUAUUCUACAGCCACCACAACAUAUUUCAAAUUACCUUGUGCCGGUGGAAGUGGACCUAAUAAAUCCAGGCCCCAUCUUAGUAAUGGCCAAGUAGGUUGUAUCAGCUGUGUGAGAGACGAAGGCUGCUUCUGAUCUCUUGCACAUUUUUUACAAUUCUCGCACUUUUGAACCAACUCUGUUGCAUCCGAAGCUGCCUUCGACCAAUAAAAGUCUGCUAACGCAAUGAAGUCUUUAUUUGUUUCUUCUUCCAGAGCACCUGGCGUCCAAUCGGCAAUGAAGUCUGCUAACGUCUGGGACUGAAUUGAGGAUCUAUGGACAUAAUCAAUACUGAACUUGUUAAGCUCCGCAGCCCAUUUUCCAAUCCUUCCAGUAGCUUCUCUGUUCCUCAUUAUGUCCUUUAGAGGCUGUGACGAAGGAACAAUUAUGUGAUAUGCUUGAAAAUAAUGCCGAUGCUUCCUGGAAGCCAUUAACACAGCAUACAACACCUUCUCCAAUUCCGUAUAAUUUUUCUUUGAUAAACUUAAAACUUCGGAGACGAAGUACACUGGAGCUAGCCUUUUGAUUUGGCCAUCUAACUUCUCCUGUACAAGAGCCGCACUAACUGCAGAGUGCGAAGCUGCCACAUAUAAGAGUAAUGGAGCCCCUGGCGAAGGUGGAGUUAGUGUUGUUAGAUCGAUCAAGUAUUGCUUCAACUCUUCGAAAGCUUUUUGCUGAGCCGGGCCCCAUUGAAAAACUUCGGCUCACUUCAGUAUUUCAAAGAAUGGCAAAUUUCUUUCUGCUGAUCUGGAUAUGAAUCUGUUCAAUGAUGCUAGUCUUCCUGCCAGCCGUUGGGCCCCCUUCUUUGUGCUUGGCGGCUCCAUCCAAAGGAUAGCUUCAAUCUUGCUCGGGUUGGCUUCAAUUCCCUUCGUUGAUACCAAACAGCCAAGGAACUUGCCCUUCUUCACCCCAAAAACACACUUGUCUGGAUUUAACUUCAGGCCAACUUGCCUGAUAUUGGCAAAUGUCUCUUGCAAAUCAGCAAUGUGAUUUUCUUGCUUCGUGAUUUUCACUAUGAUAUCAUCAACAUAGGCUAGUACAUUCCUGCCUAUUUGAGAAUGAAGGACCUUGGCUGUCAUUCUGCUGAAGCUUCCUCCAUCAUUCUUGAGCCCCUCAGGCAUCCAAAGGUAGCAAUAGGUGCCACUGGGAGUUAUGAAGCUAGUCUUCGGCUCAUCUUCCUUCUUCAUCUAGAUUUGAUGAUACACUGAGUAACAAUCCAGUAGACUCAUGAGCUCUAAAGAAGCUUCCGCAUCUACUAGAGAGUCUAUUCUUGGCAAUGGGAACUCGUCCUUUGGGCAUGCCUUGUUGAGAUCUGUGAAAUCAAUACACAUUCUCCAUUUACCAGUGGCCUUCUUCACCAUAACAGUGUUGGCUAGCCAUUCCGGGUAUUUCUACUCUCUGAUGACACCAGCACUAAGAAGUCUCUUCAGUUCGUUCCGAGCACCGUCAGCUUUGUCUUCAGACAUCUUCCGAAGCCUUUGUUUUCUUGGCCUAAAAGAUGGAUCCACAUUGAGUGAAUGAUCAAUAACAUCUCUGUUGACACCACAGAGAUCAUUGGCUGACCAAGCAAAAAAAUCUUUGUUGUUGAAUAAAAAUAUUAGCAAAGUCUUCUCUUGCUCUUCAGAUAGCUAAGACCCCAGCAGUACCCUUUAUUCUGCUAUGUCUUCACAUAAGAGCAUAGGCUUCGGCUGAUCCACCGAAGCAGCCUUCUCUCUUUUGUAUUUAUACUGCUGACAAGCUUCGGCUCCAUCUAUGUUAUGAAUUGCCUUUGAACCUGUCCAGUUUCCUUCGACCCUUCUGGCAGCUUCUUGACUCCCAUGGACAGCGAUGGGCCCUUGUUCCGAAGGUAUCUUCAUGCAUAAAUAUGUUGGGUGAAGUAUGGCUUUGAAGGCAUUAAGUGUCCCUUGACCAAUGAUUGCAUUAUAGGGGUACUCCAUGUCAACGAUGUCAAAGACAACCUGUACAGUCCUUGUGUUGUGGACGAAGCCGAAGGUCACUGGCAUUGUGAUUUUGCCGAGUGCUACAAUCUGCCUUCCUCCGAAGCCACAACAAAGAGGGUGUGUAGCAUCAUGAAUCUUGUCUUCUGGCUCUUGCAUCUGUCUGAAGGCCUUAGCAAAUAUGAUAUCUGUUACACUGCCUGUAUCGACUAGAACAUUAUGGACCAGAAAUCUCUUGAUGACACAAGAUAUGACCAUAGCAUCAUUGUGAGGGUAAUCCUUGAGCUGAAGGUCCUCCUAAGAGAAGGUGAUUGGGAUGUGAGACCAUUUGGACUUGAUGAAGCGUCCCUGCACCCCAACGUGCUACACCCUUCUCUGCGCUUCCUUCUUCUGCUUCUUGUUGGCCGGCUCUGAACUUGAACCUCCUGUUAUCGAGAGCACCAACUUCGUAGUCGAAGGUGCUACGACUUGGUUGUUGAACGAAGCCAUCAGCUCUAAAGUGGAAGUGAGUUCACCGAAGGUGGGCGCCAAUGUUGGGGACUUGUUCUCAAAUGCUAUGAAUUAAAAACAAGGUAAUACAAAAUGAGGUUAAUGGUUAAUGCCCUUCGUCCUUCGAAGCAUUAUUUCCCUUAACAUAUAACGAUCUUUGGACGAAGGUCAUGAAGGACGUACCUUCAUCAUCACAGUAUAUGUUAUUGAAAGAAGAAGCAUAUGAAACAUGAGAAAUAACAUGAAUAAUCAUAUGACAUCAUUAGUAUAUCUUUAUUAUAUCAUCAUGGAUGAAUAAGAACAAUAUUGAAAUACAUUUUACCUUCGGCUUGACAGAAGGCAAAAGUCCAAGCGUGACGCACGAGUGAAUAUAAAUCAUCGUGAACAGUACUGGGGUAUUGUUCACCUAUUUAUAGGUACGGGACGCAGCCCGAUCAAACUUACAUUUAUGUCCUUGAUAGCUAGUUACAAUCAUGACACAAAUUAUCAUGGGCUGAUUGAUCUUUUCCUCUUUAAGUCGGUGUAGCCCUUCGUCUCAAGGCGUACCAUUAUGCCGAAGCUCCUUGGAUAGCAGCUUCGUGUGUACCAUCGCGCUAUGUUUGAUUAUACCCUGAUCUUUCGAAGGUGUUUCUUCUUAAAGGACUUUGCCUAGUGUAAAGCCCAAUUAAGUGAUUAAUCUAUUUUCAACUAAGUCUGUCUAUAUAUAAGUCAUAGCGAACUUGUGUACUUAACUAAGUUAAUGUUAAGAAACUUAUGGAUGAUUAAAGUGAACAUGGAUAAAUGCUCAUACUUGCGAUGUCGUGUUUGCGUUGGUUAAAUAUAGGAAAUGUCGUUGUCUUUCCAGUGGUAGUGAUUACGUGUGCCCGAUGACGUAUAAAUAACUAGCGCUUGCGUAUAAUUGUUGUAGUGUCUUACUAUUUAGUGUUUAGUUCGUUACCGUGUAUUGGAAUAUCUUGUGCUACUUUCAUCAUAUUCAUACAUAUGCAUCCUGCAUCUCAUUUAGGAUCGAGAGAUGAUGAUCGUGCUAGUGAUGUGGUGCCAACCACAAGAUUGAGUUGAUGAACCACAAAAUGCUUGAUACCAUGUAUGAUUAGCUAGCUACACAUCAAGUCUUAAGAGAAUCACACUAAAACUUGAAAAGCUAAAACUUGAUUUUAGACUCAGCUAGUGCUUUUUGGCCAACCAAACCCCUCAACCAAACAACUGCAUGUCUAGAGGUAGAGCAGUAGACUCCUCACACCGGGUAAGUCUAGUUGAGUAUUAGUAUACUCAGCCUUACUUGUGGCAUAAUUUUUGCAGGUACCUCCUUGAUUUGGUUGCUGGUGUGACUUGGCCUUCAUCCCUGCCACCAGGAUAGAUGGUCGAGAGGGUUACUGCUCCCACAGGAGUGGACCAGGAGGAGUAGCUGUAACACCCGGGCUUUAAGGAACAAAGCCGGGUGCAUCUCAUACAUGCGUCAAAUAAGACAACAUAUAUAAUAACAGAGUGUAUAGAGAUAAAUGUCACAAUAAUGAGAGUAUUUAUUACAUAGCGGAAGUCUUACAAAAUAAAAGAUAAAUAUAAAGGAUCUAAAAUCCAUCCUUGGCGCUAGAAAGUCGACUAGGAGACGCCACCUAGAUCGAAUCGAACUCCUCGUUGCGUGGCUCCACUUGAACCACCUGUUCUUCUCCUGUGGGGGGUGUGAGACAGAAAGGGUGAGCUCACACAUGUUCAUCGCUCAACAAGUUGUGGGGAAUAAUGUGACAUGAACUCACGAAAGGUGGGAGUUCAUGUGAUGUGUAAGGCUAAUCAACAAUAUAAAGGUUGCAGCUGAGCAUUGCUUUUAUAAGUUGGUCAAAGUUUUAUUAGCAGUUACUAAGUGUAAGUAAAUACAAGCCCAUAAUAAAUAAUAAUAGAACAAAAUUAAUAAUAAACCCAUGCAAAUGCAAAUGACAAAUUGAAUUUAGGUUCCAUAAUUUAAUCAUGCGAGAGUUCUGAGCUGCUCAUGACCGUGAGCUCGGCUAGUAUACCAAUUUUACACUCUGCAGAGGUUGUACCCUAUACCCACAAGUCGUGUAUCCCAUGUCGUCAGGGUUUGCAAGGCCCUUAGACACUACCGAGGUGAAUGACUAGGGAUCCACUACGAGGCCUUUACAAAGUUCCACUAGCUUCCGAAAACCCGCUACAAUUUAUGGGAAGAGCACUUGCAAGAAUCCCCCAUCUGACCGCCAUCGCAGCAACAUCAACCCGAGAACCUCCUUGCAUGCAACUCCCCUACUGCCCUUUCCCCUUUCGGGUAAGGUAGUCUUCCACUAGCUUUCCUAAUUAGUCAGCCAAGGGCGUCCCAUUCCACCCUUGUGGUGGCACGUGUUUCUCAAGUUAAGCUCCAUGUUCCAAUUAAAAAUAUAAUGAUCUUGACAUGAACAUAAAUAAAAUAACAGAAUAAUUGGAACAUGGAUAUAAUGAAAUAUUAUCCCAAAACCAUUUAAAGCAAUAGCAAAACUACCAAAGUGAUUCAGGGAUAACAAGGUAAAAUGGAUAAACAGAAUAGGGUGACCUAUUGGGUCCCAUCAAAAUUAAACCUGUUGGGGGCCUUCAUCUUUCGAAGGUCCUCAAAAACACAACUAACAUGUUUUCCAAGUAUAAUACAUUCACAGGGACCUUUGACCUUAGGAUGAAGCUGUACACGAUAUGAAAAGCAUGGUCUGGGAGAAGGAUGAACCAAUUCCGAAGAAACGCGUGAAGAAGCUUCGGCUUAGCAAUGGGAAAACAAACCAACUAAAGAGGAAAAGGCUAUCUAGUCCUCGAUAGAUUGUCCUUAAGUCAAUAGUAAAUAUCAAGGGCAUGGAUGUAAUUUUACACAGGCUGCGUCCUGUGCCUAUAAAUAGAUGAACAGUAGCACCGUAUUGAGCACGCUGACUGGUAUUCACUCGCACGUCACUCUCGGACUCAAACCUUCUGUCAAGCCGAAUGUACAAAUGUAACUUACUGUUAUUAAUGUUUGCCCAUGAUGAAAUAAUGAGAAUAUAAAUAAUGUUACAAUUCAAUAUGAUUGUUCAUGUUGUUUUCCAUGUUUCAUAUACUUCUACUUUCAUUAUUAUAUACUAAGAUAAUGAAGGUAUGUCCUUCAUAACCUUCGUCUGAAGAUCAUUGUAUCCUAUGUGAGAUAAUGCUUCGAAGGAUGAAGGUCUUUAACCAUUAACAUUUUGUGUUGCCUUGUUCUGAACUCAUAGCAUUUUAGAACAAGUCCCCAACAUUGGCGCCCACCUCCGGUGAACUCAUUCGACCACCUUCGGCAAGCUGUGACCUUCAUCAUGCUGCUGAAGAAAGAUUCAGUGCUAGGGGCUGCAUUGCAGCCACUGGACGUCAACCAAGAAACAUUGCGUGAAGCUAGAAGCCAAAAAAGGAAGGCUACAAGUCCAACGCCUCAGGAGGAGGAGCUGGACCAAGAAAUAAGGGACCUCAAAGACAUUCAUCAACAGGUCCAGAGGAAGAAGGAGAAGAUGCUUCGUCUCUCCGAUUUACAAAAGAAGAUCGAUGAGGCUGCUGAGGAAAUGCGUCAUCUCACUCAAGAUGACCAGGACCGAAGACCUCAAUGUAGAGAGCUUGGUCAGGAAAAUUCCUACAAUGAUGAUGAAUGGUAUGAUGAUUUCCAUCAUGGAAAUUUUGCUUUUGAUGAUGCUUCUCCUCUAUCAGCAGAACUGCAGGCUACCCCAUGGCCCCCAUCAUAUAAGUCACCCCAGCUCCCCAUGUAUGAUGGGCACUCAGAUCCGUAGCGCUUCUGAUGAGCUACGAAGCAACCAUAUCUUCAUAUGGGGGCAAUACUGCAGUCAUGGUGAAAUCCUUCGUCAUGGCAGUCAAGAAUGUUGCACAAACCUGGUACUCCUCUCUUCGGCCAGGAACAAUCACAUCAUGCAGAAGCUGAAGAACAUGCUGAUUACCAGUUUUCAAGGGUUUCAGACGAAGCCGGUUACUGCUCAAGUUUUGUUCCAGUGCACGUAAGAUCACAAAGAAAACCUCCAGGCGUAUGUCCGAAGGUUUUUACAUUUGAGAGGAUAAGCGCCCAUAGUGCCCGAUGAAAUCGUCAUUGAGGCCCUGAUCAAAGGGCUUCGGCCAGGACCUAUGACUCAAUACUACGCCAGGAAACCCCCUUAGAGUCUAGAGAAGCUGCUUCAGAAAAUGGAUGAGUACAUCCGGGCCGAUAAUGAUUUCCACCAGAGAAGGGAAGAAGCUUAUAGGUUUUUUGAGAUGACUAGGGGCUUCGGAGGAAGAAUCCACCCUAAGCAUGUUAGAUCAAUCCACAAUUCCAUUCAGAGUGAUGACAGAGGCAGCCAGUUUUAGAGGCCACAUCAUAGCUCACAGUCUUCAGGGCAACAAAAGAGUUCUUUCAGGCCACCAGCUCCAAGGGGCAGAGGAGGCAGGGGCUUCAGAGGAAGAUAUGGGGAUCAGCCCAGGAAACUCUAUUGCUUAUUCUGUGGUGAAGACAAGGGCCACACUACAAGAACAUGCUAGGUCACCAUUCAGAAGCAAAAAGAGAUUGCCGAAGCAGAAGUGCGGUAGAAUCAGCCGAAGCAGGUUUUACAUACUGCUUCGUGCUACUCUCCCUAUAUACCAGAAUACGUGGGUAAUCAACCUGCAGCUUCUGUUGCUUCGGCAAGUCAUUCACAAGCUUCCUAGCCCUAGCUCCCACUACCACCACCACUGCCACCUACUCAUACCCGAAGCCAACAGCCAAAAGGGCACCAACAUGCCCAACAUCAGCACGACUUCAGGGAGGAGUCCGAAGCUCGUACAAUCAAUAGCACUGUACCAGAAUCGAAGCAUAUAUACUGAGGAAUAUCCUACUUUUGAUGAACUUUUAUUUUUUAUGCCAUUUUAUUUUUUCGUAAGAAACAAGUAAUGUAGAAUUUAAUUUCAAUUUCUUGAAAUAAUUGUGCUUUCGCCAGAGUGAAAUAUAUUUUCCUCAUGGAUUUAUGAAGCUCGAAAGACGUGUCUAAAAAAGCGGAGCAAAAUUUCGAAGCUCAAAAAAGUCGUUCCUAAGGGAGCGCAGUGUAAGUUUUCUGCUCAAAAGUCGUUCCUAAAGGAAUACAGAGCCAAAAAUUAUGAUCCGAAGCUACAAAAAAAGUCGUUCCUAAGGGAGCACAGCGUAAUUUUUCUGCUCAAAAGUCGUUCCUAAGGGAAUGCAGAGCCAAAUACCACCAAAAUAUAAGGUGAAGAAACUCAAAAGUCAUUCCUAAGGGGAUGCAGAGCUUAAAUGCCACCGAAAUAGAAGGUGAAGAAGCUCAAAAGUCAUUCCUAAGGGGAUGUAGAGCUUAAAGACUCAAAAGACAUUCCUAAGGGGAUGCAGAGUCUUAUGUAUUCCAGUGUGGGCGGGUGGGUGUGUGUCUUCGGCAUCAUCAUCAUUUUGCAUCAUAUCAUCAUAUCAUUUCGCAUAACGUUACAUCAUACAUCACAUCGCAUUAACGUCACAAAAAUUACGAAGCAAAACUUCGGCAAAUGCUUUGUCAAAAUGAAAAUGUGCUUCGGGAAAUACAGUUUUAAAAGACUUGUCAUAGAAGGGCUCUUUCUUUACGAAGCAUGAAAAGAAGGGAAGGUGUUUUUUCACUGAAGGCUCAAAAACUGUAUGUGUACAAAUUUCACGCAUCGUAAAGAAAUACAUUAUAGUAAUUUACAUGUCCCAUCAAUUGUUCCAUACAUCAAAUAUUACAAAGUAUUCUUACAAUAAAGUUACAAAGUAUUAUUACAGCAAAGUCUACUCUUCUCUAAGGAUCUUUUCUGCAGCUUCAUUUAAUAAUUUGUCGACAACUUUGUCGAUAAUAGAGUUUGUAAUGCUUAUAACAUCUAGAGCUUCCUUCUUCUCCGGAUCAGCCAGGGGAUUGUGCGGCUCUGGCAGUGGUGAUUGCUCAGCUGUAGAAGGUGAACUAUUAGUUCGAAGCCACAAAGUAAGUACCGAAGUUAAAAUUCAAAAACAAUACCUAUGUGCCUUUCCCGUUCAGCAGCCUCUUUAGUUCGCCUAGCUUCUUCUCGGGCGUCAUGGGUGUCUUUUUCAUUCUUUUUUAUAAUUUCAUUGGCCAAUUCCUGGCCACCAUUUACCUAGACAUCAGAAUAAAACUUUCCAUCCACUAAAGUUGCUUCUGCUGAAGGGUCCUUCGUGUCGUUUAUGGAGAAGGCAGCUUCAGCUUGAGCUAUAGCUUUCACGUGAUCGCAUCCAGCCUUCUCUAGAAUAGCUGCAAUUCCCCAGGCGUCGGAGAAAGCACAAAUAUCUCCGCGAUCAUUCAAAAUUUCCUCAAAAGCUUCGGCUUCCCCGCUUAUUUAUUCAAUGAUGCCUUCGGGGUCGCCUUGAACGAAUUUCUCCUCAGAGGAGUAGGCACCUACCUUUGCAAAGCUGUUUUUUCAAAUUUUUCACGCAAUCCAAGGAUUUUUCGAAGCAUCUAUCCUUGGAUUCGCAAAGCUUUUCAAUAUUUUUCUCUAGCCUGGCCUUCCACCAUUUGUUGAUUUCUUGGCUGCCCUUUGCAACUUCACAAUUUUCUUUGGCUUCAGCCAGUUGUUUCCGAAGGUCUUCAACCUCGGUUUUUUGGGCUUCGGUCUGACCAUUGUAUUUAGCUUCGUCUUCUUUCAUUUUACUCACCAAUGAAAUUAAAAUUUUGUCUUUCUCUAGACCUUCGUUUCUCAGCUCAAUUACCUCUGAGCGAAGGUUGUUGAGAGCUAUUGUACAACUUUCAUCUUCGGCGCUUUUUGAGCCCUGAAAGCAUUGCUAAGAAUUAAGCCCUGAAAGAAAAAGAAAGAAUUAAGCAUGACAAUGAAAUACUUCAUUUCAAACUUUAAAGUUAACAGCUUUUGUACCUUUAUACUGUUGUAUGCAAGGCUAUCAGCAAGAUCAUCCUUCGACAUGGCCGAAAGGCCUUCCUCAAGCUUCGGAAAUCCCAUACUUUUGGCUAUUUCUCGGCAAACCGAUAUUUCUUUGUUGUCCGGGAGACAGUAUAGGAAGUCAUCUUUGUCAGUGCCAUUGAACACUAAGGCUCCCUUCGGAUAUUUUAGUUUCUGGGCGUAGUGUCUGGCUUCUAAGAUUUCUUCUUUGGAUAAUUUUUUCCCGAAGCAUGUCGAAUAAUGUAAUCAACAUCUUCGGCUAGAGCUUCGGGGGCAGGAGAUUUUGCUUUUUCUAUCAUGCCUUGCCCCACCGCCAUGCCGGUAUCUGAAGUUUGUUGCUCAGCUUUAUCCUCAGGUGCAAUAGCCUUCGUCUCAAUGGGCAUCGAAGGACCCAGUUUUGGCUCCGGCCUGGACUUUAACAGCUUCGGCAACUUUCUUAGUAGGAGCAGGGCUCAAGGCCUUUGUGGUCUCCAUGAUAGCGUCUAGCACACUAGCCAUCCUCCUUCUCUUGGGAGUGGAGGCAGGAGCCUUUUGCACUUUCGACAAUUCUGCCUUUGCUGGUGGACUCAGAAUUUCUAGCAUUAUCACUGUUUUUCCCAAUUUUGGCUCUUCGGCCGCAUCAUCUUUGGUUUCGGCUGGCCCGACUGUAGACACCUUCGGCACUACAAUCGAUUCUUCAACACUCUGCACGAUGGGAGCAGCUUGUUUUGCUUCAGUAGUUGAAGAGGUCCCUUCACCAAAUUCAGGCACUACGGCCGGUUCAAUAUAUCGCGGCCGGUGGGUCAGAACCUUCAUUUUCUUGCCCUUCGGCAUAGCAGUGGUGGCUGAAGUGGCAGUUUUUCUCUUCUUUCCUUGCCUUCGCAAUGGGUAGUGAUAAUCAGGGUAUACGAAGCCAAUUGCAUCAAACACCCUGUUCAAUCUUUUUUUGCCCCGACCCCCAAAGGCUGCGGACAAGGCAUCAUCUUCGGCCUUCGAGUAUGUCCCAAGCAGCUCGUCGCUGGUAGCUUCAAUGCAUUUCAACCAGUCAUCGUUUGGUUCAUCAAACUUCUCUCUAUAUCUGAAGGUAUAUUUCAAUCGAACUAGACCACCUUCACUGGAUUCAGCAGUAGUCUCCUUCGGCAUUUCCCAGUAAUCCACAAGUGGCCACACCCUAUAGGCUAUGUGCUCUUGGAUUAUAUCUCUUGUGCCAAUGAAGGCACAAACAUUGCUAAAGGCCUUUUGGCAUGCUUCGACGUCACCUUCAAUAGCCACCUUCGGCCUUCGGAGGCCGAAGCGAGACCAGAUGGUGCGCUGGAUGAUUUCCUUGAUAUCCUUCCUUUCAAUCAAACCAUUUUUAACAUAAAACCACUCCUCCAUCCAGGCCCCAGGCCAUCUUUUCCGGUAUGUUGGCACUGGGUAGCUUGCAUUAGAGCGAGCAAUGAAUCCGUAACAACCGAAGUUAUUGUGGUAUUGUUCCUUGCCGGUAGCCUUCGUCUCAUAUAACAGCUCGUGCAUAUUACAGAAGCACUUCGCGCUCGGCUCCAGCCCCUGGCUUCUUACAGCCCAGACAAACAUCCCCAUACUAAUUAUAGCUUUGAGGGUAAUUUGAUGAAGAAAGAUUGGAAUAUCUUUAACACUUCAACCACAAAUUUGCUCAACGGGAACCGAAGGCCUGCCUUCAAGAAGCUUCGGUAAAUAACAACUUCAUUUUCCUCAGGAGCAAGGGCAGUGCUGUCUCCUUCAACCCUCACAAUAGACAUGUCGCGAAAAUAUCUCCCUCUCAUGGUGUCAAUACGACUUUGUUUAAUGGUCGAUUUUCCGAAGAUGGUAUGGCUUGGCCGGUAGGGACGGUCCUCAGAAUCUUCAGACAAACCCUCCAUUAUCUUCGUAGUAAUUUUUUCUGUAUUUGUUUUUGCCAUAGACUCAUAAAACCCAGCAAUAAAAGGAUCCGCAAUUUUCUUCUCUUCAAACAGCUUCUUCUCCUUAGUGAGCUUUUUCUCCUCAGUCAUCUUCUCCUCAGUCAUCUUCUCCUCAGACAUGGAGCAAGCACGUCUUUAAACCAAAGCUCAAAAAUCAGGCGAGAGCUGAUAAGCAAGAGUUAAAAAUUCGAGAAAAUAACACAAACAACGAAAAUGGCGCAUCAAAUGCCACCGUUGUGGGUUCCUAUUUAUACGCCUAGCGCUUUGCACCUUGGCGGUGUAACACCCCAGGUGUUACCCAAGGCCCUGGCCAAAGGAGCACACUUGUGUCCUGCUUACCCUAUAUGCUAAAUUGGAAAGUGAAGGCACUAAAAGCUUUAGAAUCAUGGUUAAGCUAAGUAUUGAUCAUAACAAGAAAGAAACCCUAGCCUUCAUCCAUUCUCACUCAUGAAAAAGAUUCUCAAACCCUAAUUCCCCUCUUAAGCCAUUAAACCCUAAACAUGGGGUUAAAGGGGAAAGAGUGGGCAAAUGGCCAAAUCAUGGAAGGAAACCUUUACCAAAGAUGAAGUAUAUUAGAAAAUCUACAAAAUGUAUUAAGGAUGAUAUUACAAAAAGGCCCAACAAAAACCCUAAAUCAGUUCACUAAGUGGAGAGCACAAAAAAGCCAUCAAAAUUUUUCUAAGUCCCAAAACCAACCCUAGCCUAAAGAUCAUAUGUGUUCACCUUUGUGCUGGUGCCAAAACCACUUGGACCAAAUAACAAAAAAUGGCCAAAUUACCUAAGGCACACCCCUGAAAAGUUUGAAAACAAACCAAGGUCGUUUGACAUGGUUUGGCAUAAUUUUUGUCGGUGGUGAACAGUGCAGACAAACAAGACUUGGCACCCACAUAUCUUGUAAGCUAGGGCAGAUCUUACAUUGGGACUUACACAAACUAGCUAGCCCUAGGUGCAAGGAAGAAAUCUUGCACAAGACCUUUGGCGAGAUUCGCACGGUUGUGACCUCUACAGUCGCAAGAACUUGGGCAGAUGAACACGGCCACGUGUUCGACGCGCCCUGGCAACGCCAGAGCACGCCCUCGACGCUCAGCCCGCGCGCGCAGCCCCACGCCGUGCCAACCCCGCGUCCACACCCGCGCCCGUGGCUAUAAAGCCCACCUUGGCCUCGACCGUACACCCCCGCGCGUCCCUGACCCAGCCCGAGCACGAGUUCGCCGGCGUUUUCCCAGAGAACCCCGUGCCAGCGGCCGCACAAGCCACGACCACCGUUGACCAGCCAAACUAGCCAUCCUCCGCCCCUUCCAAUCCUUGGGUUAGCUUCUACGAACCCCAGUAAAGCUCCCCGAGCCGAGGAUUGAGCAAUACCUCACCAGAGACGCCGGAUCGACGUCGCCGGACUUCAACUGGCCGCCGUCGCACGUAAACCGAGCUCCACGGUAAGCCAUUCGUCGAUUCCUUGUACCUAUAGCAUCCUUAGUAUCCCGUGAAGCUCCCUGUGCCAUUUGAUUGAACCCUACCACCAUGAGCAGGCCGGAGCACACGCCGCCGACGAGCCUGACCGCCUACGCACGUGGUCAGCCCUAUCCCGCCCAUCACCGUCGACGAUCCGCACCUCGACUUGACCGCCAGGACCUCCCGAACCUCACCCAACCCUUCACCGGACCUCCCUCGCCGCCGGUAAGUCAUGCCACCCUUUUUCCUGUCUGCGGUUACUAUUGCAAGGGGAAUGAGCCCGGGUUGAAAGAAAGAAAAGCCGGGGGGUUUUGCGAGGUCAGUGACUUAGAGGAAUAGUUCUGCAGGGGUACGGUUUAAAGGAUUAGUUAGAGGAAACCAGAGGGGCCUCGGUGCAAACUGAUUUUUCCUUAAACCUUUUAGAGUUUCAAUUUAAUUAAGUGUACUGCCCAAACCUCAAUAAAUAGAGGAAAAAUAGAAAUACUUUUGGUCUAAGGGUAAGAAAGUCAGGGGCAUGCUUAACUACUAACUAACCUGUGUAAAAAUGUUAAACUCCCCAGUAUACUAUAUGUUGGGACCAUGCUUCGUCGCCGAAGGUCCUGCGGAAAGGAAACAGCUUUGGCUGAAGCUGCUUGAACGUAAUGCCGAAGGUAUCAUUCAUGAAGCUUCGGUAUUACAGCAUGUCCGAAGAUGAGGGAUCGAACCGACUUAGAGAUAGAAUGACCUUUUAGUCCAUAAGGGUCUGAGUCAAUGUUGUAAACAUUUAUGAGGGGCAUGAUUGUAAUUCCUCACAGGCUGUGUCCUGUGCCUAUAAAUAGUGAACAUUAUUCCUUUACUGUUCACACAUUCCUGUAAUUGCAAACGCUUCACUCGGGAAUUAUUAUUAUUUGUCAAGGCAGAGGUAUAAAUGUACUUAAACAUUAUGUUCAAGCAUCUUAAAUUCGUAUGAUAAGAUAUGUGAAUAAUGUCACUUAUUUCCGAUAUAUUUAUCUUUAAUGUUUCACAUUGCACAUUUCUUUGUAUUAUCUGUAUAAUUUUAAUUACGAAGGUAUAACCUUCGUAAUAUUCUGCUCAUGGUCUUCGUCCGAAGUUCAUUAAAUCCUUGAGGAAAUAAUGCUUCAGCGGAUGAAGGGCAUUAAUAUUUAACAUUUUAUGUUGCCUUGUUCUUAAUUCAUAACAUUUGAGAGCAAGUCCCCAACAUUGGCGCCCACCUCCGGUGAACUCACUUCCACUCUUUUGAGCUAAUGGCUUCGUCCAACAAUCAAGCUGAAGCUGCUUCGGCUCCGAAGUUGGUACUCCCGAUAACAGGCGGUUCAUGCUCAGAGCCAACCAACAAGAAGCAGAAGAAGGAGGCACAGAGAAGGGUACAGCAUGUCGGGGUGCAAGGACCCUUCAUCAAGUCAAGAUGGUCUCACAUUCCAAUUACCUUCUCUCAAGAGGAUCUUCAACUCAAGGAUUACCCACACAACGAUGCUAUGGUUAUCUCUUGUGUGAUCAAAGGAUUUCUGGUCCAUAAUGUUUUGGUUGAUACAGGCAGUGCAGCUGAUAUCAUAUUUGCUAAGGCCUUCAGACAGAUGCAAGAGCCCGAGGACAAAAUCCAUGAUGCCACACAUCCCCUUUGUGGCUUCGAAGGAAGGCAGAUCGUAGCACAUGGAAAAAUCACAAUGCCAGUAACCUUCGGAUUCAUUAACAACACAAGGACUAAACAAAUUGUAUUUGAUAUUGUUGAUAUGGAAUACCCUUACAAUGCAAUCAUUGGUCGUGGUACUCUCAAUGCCUUCGAAACAAUUCUUCAUCCAGCUUAUCUUUGCAUGAAGAUACCUUCGGACCAAGGGCCUAUUGCUAUUCAUAGAAGUCUGGAAGCUGCCAGAAGUGCCGAAGGAAAUUGGACAGACUCAAAAGCAAUCCAUAACAUAGAUGGAGCUGAAGCUUGUGAGCAAUACAAGUUCAGAAGGGAAAAAGCUGCUUCGGCCGAUCAGCCGAAGCCCAUGCUCUUGUGUGAGGAUAUAGCAGAGCAGAAGGUGCUCUUGGGAUCUCAACUGUCCGAAGAACAGGAGAAAACCUUGAUAAGGUUUUUGUUCAACAACAAAGAUAUUUUUGCUUGGUCAGCUAAUGAUCUUUGCGGAGUUAACAGGGAUGUUAUUGAGCACUCGCUCAAUGUUGAUCCAUCCUUCAGACCCAGAAAGCAGAGGCUUUGGAAGAUGUCUGAUGACAAGGUCGAAGGUGCUCGGAAUGAAGUGAAAAGACUCCUCAGUGCCGGAGUUAUCAGAGAGGUAAAAUACCCAGAAUGGCUGGCUAACACCGUUAUGGUAAAUAAGGCCAAUGGUAAAUGGAGGAUGUGUAUUGAUUUUACUGAUUUCAAUAAGGCCUGUCCGAAGGACGAGUUUCCAUUGCCAAGGAUAGAUUCCCUAGUUGAUGCAACAACUUCAUCAGAGCUUAUGAGUCUGCUGGAUUGUUAUUCAAGCUAUCACCAAAUUUGGAUGAAGAAGGAGGAUGAACCGAAAACCAGCUUCAUAACCCCUAGUGGAACAUAUUGUUACCUUCGGAUGCCUGAGGGGCUUAAGAAUGCUGGAGGAAGCUUCAGCAGAAUGACAGCGAAGGUUCUUCAUUCCCAGAUAGGCAGAAAUGUGCUAACUUAUGUUGAUGAUAUCAUUGUAAAAAGCACGAAGCAAGAUAAUCACAUUGCUGAUCUACAGGAGACCUUCGCUAAUUUUAGACAGGCUGGUUUAAAGUUGAACCCAGAAAAAUGUGCCUUCGGAGUGAAGAAAGGGAAAUUUCUUGGUUGUCUAGUCUCAACAAAAGGAAUUGAGGCUAAUCCAAACAAAAUCGAAGCUAUCCUUCGAAUGGAACCACCAAGUACAAAGAAGGGGGCUCAAAGAUUGACAGGAAGACUGGCAUCUCUCAACAGAUUCAUAUCUAGAUCAGCAGAGAGAAAUUUACCAUUUUUCGAAGUGCUGAAGUCAGCCAAAGUUUUUCAAUGGGGACCAGUCCAGCAGAGAGCCUUCGAAGAGCUGAAGCAAUAUUUGAUGGAUCUAACAACACUAACUCCACCAACGCCAGGGGCUCCUUUGUUGUUAUAUGUGGCAGCUUCGCACUCAGCGAUAAGUGCAGCACUUGUCCAGGAGAAGCUUGAAGGCCAAAUCAAAAAGCAAGACCCAAUAUACUUUGUAUCCGAAGUUCUUAGUUUAUCAAAGAAAAAUUAUACAGAAUUGGAGAAGGUACUGUAUGCUGUUUUGAUGGCCUCCAGGAAGCUUCGGCAUUAUUUUCAAGCUUACAAUAUAAUUGUUCCUUCUUCACAACCGUUGAAGGAUAUUAUGAGAAAUCGAGAAGCUACUGGAAGGAUUGGAAAAUGGGAUGCAGAGCUCAAUGAAUUUUGUAUUGAUUAUGUGCAUAGGUCUUCGAUUCAAUCCCAAACGUUGGCAGACUUCAUUGCUGACUGGACGCCAGGGGCUCAAGAGGAAGAAACGAAUAAAGAUGCCGAAGUAUCGACAGUGUUUUGCGAUGGGUCUUGGGAACCUUCGGAGCAGGAGCAUCUGCUGUGUUGGUUUCACCUUCCAAAGUUAAAACUAGUUAUGCGACAAGACUUGAUUUCAGUUGCACAAACAAUAUUGCUGAGUACGAAGCUCUACUCUUGGGUCUUCGGAAGUUAAAGGCAAUGGGAAUCAGAAGGGCCAUUCGUAAAACUGAUUCCCAAGUUAUUUCUGGUCAUAUUGACAAGAGCUACAAAGCAAGAGAUCCGAAGCUUGAAAAAUAUUUAGAUACAGUCCAAAGGAUUGAGGCUUCCUUCGAAGGAUUCUCUGUUAAAAAUAUUCCUCGUGGAGAAAAUGAAUAUGCUGAUCUAUUAGCCAAGUCAGCAGCACAGGGGUUGCCCUUACCUUCGGAAGUAUUUUUCGAAACAAUAAAAGCACCUUCGGUCGAGCUUCUUGAAAGAGCAGUCCUCAACAUAUCCCCCGUCUAUAGUGAAGAUUGGAGAACUGAGAUCAUCUCUUUCCUUCAGGGUAAUUUUCUUUCAGAUGACGAAGCUUAUAACAGGAGGAUAGAAGCAAGAGCUCGACCAUAUGUCAUAAUAGAAGGGGAAUUAUACAAGCGGGGGGUCUGUUCCCCGUUACUCAAGUGUUUAUCCAGAGCCGAAGGCAUAGAAUUGAUGAAGGAAAUACAUGCAGGCAUGUGUGGAUCUCACAUUGGAUCUAGGCCUUUGCUCGGAAAAGUUUUUCGUCAAGGAAUUUAUUGGCCAAAAGCAGCUUCGGAUGCAGCGGAUUUAGUUCAAAAGUGCGAAGGUUGUCAGAAAUGUGCAAGAGAUCAAAAACAACCUUCGUCUUUAACUCAAUUAAUACAACCCACUUGGCUGUUGCAAAGGUGGGGCCUUGAUUUGCUAGGUCCAUUACCACCAGCACAGGGGAACUUAAGAUAUGUUGUAGUGGCUGUGGAAUAUUUUUCUAAGUGGAUUGAGGCAAAGCCUUUAGCCACAAUAACUUCGGUUACUAUUCAAAAGUUUUUCUGGCAAAAUAUUGUUUGUCACUUCGGAGUGCCGAAGGCCAUUACUGUGGAUAAUGGGACACAGUUUGAUUCUGAAGCUUUCAGAGAAUUUUGCGAUCAAAUUGGCACGAAGAUCCAUUUCGCAUCAGUUCGACAUCCGAAGUCAAAUGGACUUGUUGAAAGAGCUAAUGGGAUCAUAAUGACAGGAAUAAUGAAGUUAAUCUUCAAUCAGCCCAAGGGAAAGUGGCCAGAUGAAUUAAUCAAAGUGGUGUGGAGCCAUAACACAACAAUGUCAAGAUCAACAGGCUUUACGCCAUUUAAACUAUUGUUUGGUGACGAAGCAAUAACCCCGGAAGAAGCCAAAACAGGAUCAAUAAGAACAGUAGCUUCAGCAGAAGACGAAGAUGAAGCUGAUUAUUCUGUGGAAAAAGAUGUUAUAGAAGGGAUCAGGCUUCAAGCUGUGGAAAACAUCAACAAAUAUCAAGCUGAAACAAUAAAAUGGCGUGACAGAAAGGUUAGGUUGAAGAACAUUGAACCAGGACACUUGGUAUUUCAAAGAGUAGCCAACCCUGAGACAGUGGGCAAAUUACAGCUGAAGUGGGAAGGACCUUUUUUGGUAGUAUCUUCGUCAAGACCCGGUUCCUACAGAUUAAAGGAUAUGGACGGCAACGACAUUCCUAGAUCAUGGAAUGCGGAUGAGCUUCGGCGAUAUUAUGUUUAGCUUGAUGUAAUUUUUUCUAUUCUUUUUUGUGGCACCCUUUUCCUUUCCAAAGGGGGAGAAAGGUUUUUAAUGGGGCCACAACAUGUAAUUUUUCUUUUCCUCAUUUCAAUUCUAUAAGAGUGAUAUCCCCCAAAAAAUGUAAAUGUAAACACAAAGGAAAAAGAAAAGAGAACAGGGAGAAGCUCAAAAGUCGUUCCUAAGGGAAUGCAGAGCUUACAGCGAAAAAUAAACGCUGAUUUCGCUGAAAGUAAAAGGCGAAGAAGCUCCUAAGGGAGGCUUACAGCGAAAAAUAAACGCUGAUUCCGCUGAAAGUAAAAGGCGAAGAAGCUCCUAAGGGAGGCUUACAGCAAAAAAUAAACGCUGAUUCCGCUGAAAGUAAAAGGUGAAGAAGCUCCUAAGGGAGGCUUACAGCGAAAAGUCAACGCUGAUACACCGAAAAGUAAACGGUGAAGCCGAAAAGUAAACGGCAAAAAGAUUUGAAUCAUUCCUAAGGGGAUGAAGGGCAAUGAUUAUGGUUUUUGAAUAUGUGUUCCGAUAUUCAUUUGCACGAUACAUUACAUCAUGUCAUUUGCAUUCAUAAACAUUCAUUUAGACAUAUAUAGAAUCAUCAUCAUCAUACCACACAAAAAAGACAGAUGCUUCGGCAAUGAGGAAAAACUUCGAAGAAAGAGGAAAUUUUCAUGCUUCGUUGUGUACGAAAAGAAGGGAAGGUGUUUUUCGCCUUCGGCUCAAAAGAGAAGUUUCGUCCACAGCAAAGCAGAUUGUACAUGGGUAAAGGAGACAAGAUACAUUGCAAGGUAUGUACAAAUUUACAUAAGUUUUUUCCACAAUUAUAUUACAAAAAUCUCUCCAGAAUUUUUUACAGGAAAGUCUAUUAUAGCAACUAUUAAGCUUCAGGCCGUCAUACUUCAGCUUCGUCAUAUUUCAGCUUCGUCAUACUUCAGCUUCGUCAUCCUGCACAUAUUAAAGAACAGAAUAAGAAAGGUGCAAAUGUCAAGGAGAAGGUAAAAGUAACAAAUAUAAGUUUCUCACUGGCUUAAGGUGGCUUCGAGCUUCGUCACCAGCCAUUUUUUGCCUGCCAUUUACCCAAAUUUGGGUCAUAAAUCUAUUUCCGAUGCUUCGGGCUAAGCUUGGGAUAUCAACCAAAUCUGCUGCUGACAAGCUGAAGUUUGGCCAAUUCACAAUCUUUCCGUGCGUACAGCCCACCUUCAGAAAAGCGGUAGCUGUGCCUCGAGAAGCUACCAGGGCGCAGAAGUCGGCAUGCCCACCAAUAACUUCGUCAAGAGCAUCAACCUCGCCUUCAAUAUGUUCCAAGGUGCUGGGCAGGUUUUCGGCUGAAGGUGAAAAUUUUUCAGAACUAGCUCCGAUAGAGUGAAAUACGUCAUUCAGCCGCUGCACGCAUCGGCUGCCGAAAUUUAGGCAUUUCUCUUGGAGAUCCUUCAAUGAUUUUUGCAAAUUUGAAUUUUUCUCGACCUCAGUCUUGAGACUUGCUUCAAGUUUCUCCUUUUCUUGCUCAUAUUUUUCUGACUUUUUGAGUAAUUCAUUCUUUAAACUGUCAUUUUUUGGCUUGGACUUCAGCCAAGGAGCCUUCCAUAGACUCAAUAAUAAAGUCUUUAUUUUCUAAGACACCUUCGUGUUCUUUAGCCAUGAUUUCAAGGCCUUGAAUGGCGAAGUCCUUCUUCUUCAGAACAGCUUCAUAAUUUUCAACUUUUUCUUCUAAAUCUUUGAUGAUAGCUUUGUUCUUCUCCUCUUCAAGAUCUUGUUGCAUUUUUAGCACCUUACUUAAUAGUAUACUCUACCAGAACAACCUUCGUCAAAAAACGACAUAAAAAUAAUAAUAAUAAUAAAAUAAUAAUAUUUUUUACCUUAAAAUUAGCAUAGAACAGGCUACCAGCGAUAUGUUGUCACUGGUACCUGCAAAGGUCCGCUUCUAUCUUCGGCAGGCCAACGCUUUUGGAGAAGGUUCUAACAACUUUGGCCUCGGUGCGAUUCCGAAGGCACCUUAGCUUCCCUUCGUUGACCCCACCAAAUAGCAUAGACCCUGGUUUAUAUCCGCAAGAUAUGGCAUAUUUCCUCAACUCUUCUUUUUCAGCACUUGUUAAAUCUUGUCCAAGUAAAUCUUGAAAGUUAAAAUUUUCUUCCUCCAAAAUGUCUUCAACCUGCUUUUUUCCCUUUUCAGUAGCCGUGUUCACCACAGCCACAGCAGCUUCUUCUUCAGCCAUUUUCAGAAGAAUAUUGUCAAUAACUUCCAGUGUGGUUUCCAGGUUUGAAUCUUCGGUGGCCCCGGCUUCGGUUCCGGUAGCUUCGGCUCCAAUAGUUUCGGCGGUUUCGACUCCGGUAGCUUCGGCUCCGGCAGUUGCAAUAUCAGUGGUUUCAGCCCCGGUAGCUUCGGCUGCGGCGGCUUCGGCUGCGGCGGUCUCGGCAAUAACAAUUUUUGACGCCGAUACCGGUGGCGGCGUCUGAUGAAUCACAUCUGUCACUUGGAUAAUUCUGCAUUUUUUCGGCUUUGCAGGACUUUCUGCUGCUGAAGCUUCUUUGUCCUUCUGAAAAACUUCGUCAGUUCCGGUGCCAGCGGACUUAGCUUGACAGGCAAAGAUUCAGUCAUUACCUUCAGAAUUUCUUCUACUUCGGCAGCAGAAGGUGUCGCAGGAACUUCCUCAUCUCGGACUAAUCUCUCUGGUUCUGGAGAUACAGGCUUUGGAGAUGCAGCCUUCCUUUUUCUUGAAGCAGCUACCUUCGGUUCAAACUUUUCUUUCUUCUUUUUUGGUUGAUCUUCGUCAUCUUUAAUCAAAGUGCCUGCUACUCUUUUCCUUUUCAGCCCUUCGGCACCCUUAUCGAGCCGCCCAUAAUCAGGAUAUUCAAAGCCUAUAGCAUCAAGCACUCUGUUUAGCCUUCGUUUCGGCCGGGUGCCGAAGGCUGCUGUCAUCAACUGAUCCUCUUUUUUAGAAUAAUUCCCAAGAAUUUCAGUACUCAUCACUUCGAUUGUUUCGAGCCAUUCUUGGCAGGGUGCUUUAAAAUAUUUCUUGAACUUAUAAUGGUAGGGCAGUCGGACAAGCUCCCCCUCUUUCUUCUCUCUUUCAAGCUUCGGCAUAGCCCAUUCCUUCAUAGUUGGAAAUAUUUUGAAAGCCAAAAAUUCCUGCACUAAAUCUCUAGUGCCAAUGUGCUCUGCAAUAAUCCUGAAUUCAGCCAACGCGAUAUGGGUUGGACCUUCUGGUGUCAUACUGCAUUGGGGUCUGGUCUCUCUGAAGAUCAGUUCAAGCGGACUCUGUACCAGCUUCUCCUUGUCAUCCUCAACUUUGACGUAGAACCAUUCCGAUUUCUAGCCUGCCGGCCACUUGCUUCGGUAGCUGAUCACAGGAAAUUUUGUACUUUUCCGAUAGGCAAAAUUAUAGCAACCAAAAUUUUCAUGUAACCCAUCUUUUCUGGCUUUGGUUUGGUAAUGUAGCUCAUGCACCUGGCAGAAACCUUCGGAAAACGGUUCCACCCCCUGGCUUCGGAGAGCCCAAAUAUAAACACUAAGCCUAACAAUAGCGUUAGGAGUUAGUUGAUGAAUAUAGAUCCCAAACUUCUUUAGCACAUAAGCAAUCAUCCUAUUCAAAGGAAAUCUCAAACCAGCUUUGAGGAAACUCUUGAAAAUCACUAUUUCAUCUUUCUGUGGUUUCGAGGUAGUCUCUUCUCCACCAAAGCGAAUCAGCUUUUUCUCAUCUUUGCUAAAGUAGUCCGACUUCACCAUCUUAGGAAAAUCAGCCUUAGAGAUGGUUGACUUUCCGAAAUCUAGGUGGCUAGGCUUGCUUGGUACUGCGAUACUGUGAUCACCUUCAGAAUAAGUCUCUUCAAUAUCUGCUUGUUCUGCUUCGGCAGCAGGGGUGUCUUCCGAUGUCACCAACCCAGAUCGCCUCAUUGUUUCCGAGAUAGGAACAGUUUCCGCAGCUUCGGCUUCAUCUCCUUCGCGCUCAGCUCUAGCAGUAGAACGCACUAUGGCCAUUUGAUUUUGAAUUUCUUGAAAAUUGCUUGGAAAUUAAUAACCUUUCUUCCGAAGCUCUUCUUCUGACGAAGCAGACACUAAACUGGAGCUUCGUUUGAAUGCGAAAGUCAAGCUUCGGCUAUGGUUAAAAUUUUUGGCAGCAAAACAGUGCAAUAGCAAUGAAUGUUGUGGUAACUUCACACCUACCCGUCUAUUUAUAUAGUGCUGCAGGUAAGAAGGUGAAUCAUCAGGAUUUUUACACCAGGCAAACAGUUGCUCGCACCCGCUGCACGGUGGGCCGCAAAGACUAAAAUAGUGAACCUGCAUGGUGGGACCGCUACGUGCUCGAAAACUGUAUCGUUUCUCGACAACGAGCUCAGGGAAGGUGUUUUUCGGACCUUCGGCUUCCUGAAGCCUGAGAGACUUUUUCACGGAUCAAGCUCGUUACGAAAAACGAUCUAGCACCGUGAAGGGGCUACUGUUGGGACCAUGCUUCGUCGCCGAAGGUCCUGCGGAAAGGAAAUAGCUUCGGCUGAAGCUGCUUGAACGUAAUGCCGAAGGUAUCAUUCAUGAAGCUUCGGUAUUACAGCAUGUCCGAAGAUGAGGGAUCGAACCGACUUAGAGAUAGAAUGAUCUUUUAGUCCAUAAUGGUCUGAGUCAAUGUUGUAAACUUUUAUGAGGGGCAUGAUUGUAAUUCCUCACAGGCUGUGUCAUGUGCCUAUAAAUAGUGAACAAUAUUCCUUUACUAUUCACGCAUUCCUGUAAUUGCAAACGCUUCACUCGGGAAUUAUUAUUAUUUGUCAAGGCAGAGGUAUAAAUGUACUUAAACAUUAUGUUCAAGCAUCUUAAAUUCGUAUGAUAAGAUAUGUGAAUAAUGUCACUUAUUUCCGAUAUAUUUAUCUUUAAUGUUUCACAUUGCACAUUUCUUUGUAUUAUCUGUAUAAUUUUAAUUACGAAGGUAUAACCUUCGUAAUAUUCUGCUCAUGGUCUUCGUCCGAAGUUCAUUAAAUCCUUGGGUAAAUAAUGCUUCAGCGGACGAAGGGCAUUAAUAUUUAACAUUUUAUGUUCCCUUGUUCUUAAUUCAUAGCAUUUGAGAGCAAGUCCCCAACACUAUAUUAAGGAAGGAUUAACCACAAAAACUUGCUUUGAUUCAAACCUAAAGAAAAUAAAAAAAGGGGAUUUAAAGGAAGAACCAGAGGGCACCCACAUUUUUCCUAGCUUACUUGAGGGACAUAGAUCACAAGAAAAUUUUGUUGAACCCUCUGUUAGUACAAAAGAAAUGCCCCAUAUUUUAUUUCUUAAAAACAGUGAGAACUUAGAAAAAUCCUUGAAAAAUAACCCUAAGGAGAAACCACCCCAAUCCUUGGGAUAACAAAUAAUAUGUUAGUAUGAAUCUAGGAAAAAUAUAAGUUUUGUUGUUUGAUAUUUUUCAAAUGACAAGUUAGCUAUAAGUACAUUUUUGACAUUAAACUUUAGAAAAUCACAACUAAAUAACCAUUAUGUCACUUUCUGUGAUUUUUAGCACAUAGACCUAUUAUCACACAUGAAUCUUGGUAAAAAUAAGUUUUAGUCCAGAACAUUCACCUAAAUCAGAGCUGUAGUACAAAGUGACUUUUUACCCUCACUUUUGUCAUUUUUGCCCAAGGGUUAUCUGAAUUAAUUCUAACCUCAAAAUUUUAGAAUAGACUACAGAGAUCAAUGUCUACACACUGUAAUUUUUGUAACAUUUUUGGAAAAACCUAAUUUGCCAUGGUAGUUCAAAAGCACUCAAUAAUAAGCAUAAUAGAAAGUAAAAGAGGAAUUGUGGAAGAAAUUAAUAUUGUGCAACUAAAUUCUCCUAAGAGUCCCAUAAAACAAAAGGAGAUGAUUAAAAUCCUUAAGUUCACUAAGACCCAAAAAUAGUUGUAUACCAAACACUAAGAGCACCUCCCGAUAAAGAAACCCUAGUUUACCCACUGUUUUAAUAUUGUUUCACCAUACAUAGUAUUUACUAAAUUAACAUAUUAUUAGUAUACAUGUAUCUUAUUCAUCGCAUUCGAUAGAUUGUAAUCUCGUGGAUGGAGAGUACAUCCUCGUUCCGGAGCAAGGAGUUGCUCACGAGGUAGUCCAGGAGCCACCACCAGAGCCUGCCAUCGAGGAUCUGUCUGCCCCAACUUUGGAAGGCAAGCCUCGGUUUUAUGCAUAACCAUUAUAUAUACGCUAUUUUAUUGCACUUAAAUGUUGUAGGCUUGUACUGUGCACUUAAGUGUAGGAGUUGACUGAAACCCUAGUUGCAUGAACUCAAGAUUUCCUUUGAGAUGAAUACUAGUAUGCUAGGUCGAGUAGCUGCUUUGCUAAAUAGGGAUCUCGGUAGAAGUCGGGUGAUUUUCUAGCACUCACGCGAGGUUAGGAAUUGGUUGUAUCCAUUUUUUAUAACAGAAUGAUGGUAGUCUGUGCACACAGAUCCAUGUGGAUGCGUGGUCUACAAGUUGAAAUUGGAAUAAAUAUUAACAAGCGGAUACCUGUGUCAAGCGUUUGAACAUACUAAGCACAUGCCGAGAAAUGUGGUAAAUCGGUAAGCCUAGUGCUUGAGUGAACCUGGCAACAAACUUUAUGCCUCACGCGACCUGAGACGUGGUCUCCCAUUUCGGUUAUGGUGGGUACAAGUGCGGUCACUGCACGACGGCAGUCGGGGUUAGUGGGGCAUUGUACGCCAAGUCGGUGAGCCCUGUUCUGUUGACGGGGAAUCGAUGGGGACGGUUGAUAUGUGUGGGGUUGGAGUGCCUCACCAUGUCGUGUGUUUAGGUUUCCCUUGCAAGGUUAAAACUCGAUUCGAAUCGUCUGCUUCUCGCAGCUAAUGAGACUGCUUGAUCCAUUGUACUGCAUUGACUAAUAAGUGGAAAUGAGUUGAUUGGCAAAAGAUGUUUAUUGUAAAAUGCUUGAUAACAUGUAUGAUUAGCUAGGUACACAUCUAGUCUUAAGAGAAUCACACUAAAACUUGAAAAGCUAAAACUUGAUUUUAGGCUCAGCUAGUGCUUUUUGGCCAACCAAACCCCUCAGCCAAACAGCUGCAUGUCUAGAGGUAGAGGAGUAGACUCCUCACACCGGGUAAGUCUAGUUGAGUAUUAGUAUACUCAGCCUUGCUUGUGGCAUAAUUUUUACAGGUUCUCUGGAGGAUAUGGUUGCUAGAGUGACUUGGCCGUCUACCUUGCCACCGGGUUAGACAGUCGAGUGGGACCCUACCUCAGCAGGAGAGGAGCAAGAGGAUUGAUGGGCCAGGCUUCCCCAUCCUCCCUUAUGUAUCGUUAGUUAAUUUCUGCUGCAUCCCGAACAAUGAAUUCUACUGUUGCAAAACUCCGAUGAUGUUGUAAUAACUUUAAGUACUCCUUUAACUUGUGGUUUUAUGCUUUAUUGUAUUUGCUCUGUGCCUCACCUUCGAGUGAGUACGUGGUACUUGAUCCUGUUAGUGGCCUUGUCGGACUAGAUCCGAGGGACUGACGUUUUAUUCCUAUUUAAGUGUGGUCUAGCCUCUAAAGUGGGACUUAGACACAUAAGUUGGAAUAAUUCGGGCAGUUCCACCAUAGCUGGUAUCGGAGCUUGUACCACCACAGAGGAAUCAAUAAAUCGUAAUUACCAACCUUUUCAAAAGUAAAACUUGCUUAGAAACCAAUGUUGGAUAGAUCGUUAAGACGAUAAGGAUAGACCUAGGAUGUGAAGCCUUAGGAUAGUAGAUGGGUAGCUAGGUGGCUAUUUGAAUAUGCCCUACAGGCUGCUAUGGUAUAGGUGGGGGAUUUCUAUACCCCUAUAUACUUGAUGUGAGGUCACUUAGGACGAGCAUGCAUGCAUUAUUUUUCUAGCUACUUAGUAAGAGGUCAAUAUUAACAAAGACUACUUAAUCAAAGAGACACCCGUAAUAAGAAAUUAAGUCUACAUCGAAGAUCGCAACUUAACCAUGGGAAAGCCAAGCACUAGUUUCCCUCUUAUUUUUGGUAAUUCUUUUUCUUUUUUCGCUUACGAUUGCCCUUACACAGAUGACUUCUCACGAAUCCAUGGAAGGAGGGAACACACAUUCCCACACAGACAGACUUGCACGAGAGGGUUUUCCCCGUAUUUUGUGGGAGGUACUGCAGGGAGCCGGUUAUGCUAUGCCUCCCCAGUACGCGGUGCAGUUGUUCGAGGAGCACCGGGUACCCCGCUGUAGGGUGAGGAUGACUUUGGAGCCUCAUCCCUUGCAGCCCGGCUGGCGUUCUUUGGACUCUGAGUCUUUCGGUUUCAGAGCCGAGGAUACUAUUGAGUCCACUGCUCUGCACGUGCUAACAACCUUCUGCGGCUUUCAUCCCUUGGAGCUGUCAACCCACCCCAUCGGCUUAUUCCACGCUGAAAAGGAGGACGACCCGAUGUGGAAGGAUCGGGUUGAGCACGCCAAGGAUGUGUGGGCUCUCUACCCUGGACAUACUGCUCACCUGACGGUUUGGUGCAUGAAUGCCCUGUAUCGUCUACAGGCAUUGCGAGGUGAGGAAAUGUCCCAACUAAUGGGAUUAGUAGAGUCUACCAAGAUCACCCUGGAUAACAGGGAGGACCUUGUGGUCGACUUGUCCACUAAGCUGGUGGAAAAGGGUCUCCAGGUGGAACAGAUGGCCACCCAAAUCCAAGAGCUUGAGGAUCAGGUGGAGGCAAGGGGGAACACCAUCAAGGUUCUGGAAGAUCAACUCCAGACCACACAGCAACAGCUUGAGGAAGCCAACUAGCACUUGGAUCUGCACCAUCAAGAGAUUCAAGACAUGGAGGCAGAGGGGGCCGAUGAGGAUGCAGACAACGAGGGAGGAGAGGAGCCGGAUCCUGCAUCCAAUUUGGACACUGCUGGUUCAGGAAGACCACCUUCCCCCGAGUCUAGCGUUGCCUUGUUUGCUCAGUAGAUUUCAAAGUUAGGAUAGAAGUGUGCGGCAGUAGAACUCCUCGAAACUAGCUUAGCUUUUGCACCUUGGAGGUACUAGGAUAGAGAGAGUUGAGUAUUUUGGGCACUGCUGUAACUAUUGGAAAAACUCUUUUGGCAUGUUGAAUGAUGGAUGGCUUCUGCUUUUAUGUAUGAAUGAAAUUUUAUUAUGAUGGUACCAGUUGUGAAAAGCAAGGAAACAUUUGGAAUCUUACAUACCUCGUUAUUGAAGAUCUUUUAUCAUGUGCAAUCACGGAUUUCAAGUAUGAUAUUGAGAACAUCCUAAAUUUCAGAUGGCAGGAAGAGCGCGCUGUGGACAGAAUGAACGCAUUCCUCCACCACCGCCGCAACCUCCUACCAUGCAGGAGCUAAUGGCUCAGCAGAAUGAGAUUCUGCGAUAGCUAGCUCAGCGUCAGCCACCACCCCAACAUUAUGGUAAUGGUGAUCAUCAUCAGCGUCCCCCAGUAGCGGCCACCUAUCAAGAGUUUCUCAGUACUCAGCCGCCGUUGUUCACUCGGGCAGAAGACCCACUCGACGCGGAUGUUUGGCUCGGGGUGGUGGAAUCCAAAUUUCCACUGCUUAAUGGUGAUUGUUCAGAUGUGACCAAGGUCCGUUUCGCCACCCAGCAGCUUCGUGGGCCUGCGCGGACAUGGUGGUACCAUUUCCUCGCCAUGCAGUCGGUUGACACGUGGUUGAAUGGGGAGAGUUCAAGGCAGCAUUCAGAGGGCAUCACAUACCAGAAGGCAUCAUGGACCGCAAGCUCAAUGAAUUUCUGGCACUCACUUAGGGAAGUAGUAUAGUGUUGCAGUACGCCCAAGCCUUUAAUGACCUGUGUCAGUACGCAGGCUAUCAUGCUGACACGGAUGGGAAGAAGGGAGACAGAUUCAGGAGGGGCCUCAGUACUAAGCGUCGCGACCAUCUCAACACAGUCAGGGCCAACAACUACAAUGAGUUAGUCAACAUGGCAUCUCUCAGGAGGACUGCAUCACAGCCCGUUAGGCAGAAAAGAAGAGAAAGACCCCUGUGACAAGACCUUCAGCUUAGCCUCAGCGCUUCAGGAUUGUGUCCGACACUUAGAGUAGAGGACCUCAGCAACAACAGGGGCGAUGGGUGAUCCGACCACAAUAGCAGCAGCAGGCACCCAACCGCUCUCAACCCCCAGUUCAGAGGAACAACAACCAGCCACAACAGCAGUACCGUCAGGGCAAUGAUAACAGGUGUUUCACUUAUGGCAGCACCAGGCAUUAUGCCAAGAAUUGUCCCAAGAACCAGCAGAGGCAGGGGCAGAAUGCAAAUCAAAACCAAGGCAAGAGGCGGAAGGUGCAAGUGAGGCAGGGCAGGCUAAACUUCACCACAGUGGCUGAUAUUCCGGAGGGAGCACCCAUCAUGACCGGUAUCUUUUCCGUUUUGAAUUACCCUACUGUCAUUCUUUUUUAUUCCGGUGAAUCACACAGCUUCAUCAGCACAAAAAUUAGUGCAAAAUGUCACCUAACCUUUUACCACACAGAUGGGGUUAUUAUGAUUUCAACCCCGGGAGGCAGGGUUGCCACCUAUCAACUCAACUGGCGUGUGCCAAUAAAAUUGGGUAGCCUUGUAUUUAAAACCACCCUCCUUAUCAUGGCAUUGGAGAGCGUGGAUGUCAUCUUGGGAACUGACUGGUUAUCCCGACAUCAUGCAUUAAUAGAUGUCGCAGCGAGAGCCAUUGAAAUACACUCACCUUUUUUUGGAGACUUCACAUUGUACUUGCCUAACCAGGAUUGUACCCAUUCUUAUGCACUCGCCCUGAUAGAGUCACCCGUAGAGAGUAUUCUAGUGGUUUGAGAGUACCCUGAUGUUUUCCUAAACGAAUUGCAAGGGAUGCCACCCGACAGAGACAUAGAGUUUGCAAUUGAGCCGCAACCCGGAACUGCACCUAUAUCCAAGAUACCCUAUAGGAUGCCUCCAGCAAAGUUAGCAGAACUGAAAAAGAAGUUACAAGAAUUGUUGGACAAGGGGUUCAUUCGCCCAAGUACUUCACCAUGGGGAUGUCCGGCCUUGUUCGUGAAGAAGAAGGAUGAGAGUUUGAGACUGUGUGUCGAUUACCACCCUCUCAAUGAGGUAACGAUUAAAAAUAAGUAUCCUUUGCCCCGCAUUGAUGUGUUGUUUGAUCAGUUGGUGGGAGCCAAGGUAUUUUCCAAGAUAGACCAUCGCUCUGACUAUCAUCAAAUCAAGAUCAGGGCCAGCGAUAUUCCGAAGACGGCUUUCUCUACCAGAUACGGACUUUAUGAGUACUUGGUGAUGUCAUUCGGGCUGACCAAUGCCCCAGCAUAUUUCAUGUAUUUGAUGAAUUCAGUGUUUAUGCCAGAGCUAGACAAGUUUGUGGUGGUCUUCAUUGAUGAUAUCUUGGUCUAUUCAAAGAAUGAAGACGAGCAUACUGAGCAUUUGCACAUCGUACUUCAACGACUGCGGAAUCAUCACUUAUAUGCUAAAUUGUCCAAAUGUGAUUUCUGGCUAAGGGAGAUUAAAUUCUUGGGUCACACCAUUUCUCAGGAUGGGAUAUCAGUUGAUCCUGAGAAAGUGCAAGAGGUGAUGGACUGGAAGCCUCCUACCACAGUGCGGCAGAUUCGGAGUUUCCUAGGAUUGGUAGGAUAUUAUCGGCGAUUCAUUCCGGAUUUCUCUAGGAUUGCAAACCAAUGACUAAAUUAUUGAAAAAGGGAGUAAAAUUUGAAUGGAAUCAGAAAUGUGAAGAUGCCUUUCAUGCACUAAGGCAACAUCUGACAACAGCACCCGUGCUAGCACAGCCUGACAACACCAAAUCUUUUGAUGUGUAUUGCGAUGCUUCGGGCACUGGAUUGGGUUGUGUUCUGAUGCAAGACAAUAGAGUUAUUGCCUACGCCUCCAGAGCACUCAGGCCCCAUGAGCAGAAUUACCCCACGCAUGAUCUAGAGUUAGCAGCAGUAGUUCAAGCUCUAAAGAUAUGGAUACAUUAUCUAAUGGGAGCUCAUUGUAACAUCUAUAUUGACCACAAGAGUCUCAAGUAUAUUUUCACUCAGACUGAUCUUAAUAUGAGGCAGAGAAGAUGGUUGGAAUUGAUCAAGGACUAUGAUUUGGAUUUGCAUUACCAUCCUGGCAAGGCCAAUGUUGUGGCAGAUGCCUUAAGUCGAAAAGCCUAGUGCAACUGUGUAACUAUGGAUUCUAAGAUCGCCACUCUGUGUGACGAGUUGCGCAAGCUAAACAUGGAAGUUGUUUCCCGAGGUACCUUGGAUUAUAUCUUCGUGGAGCCAACUCUAUAAGAGCAGAUAGUCCUGGCACAGAUUGAUGACAAGGGUGUUCAAGUCAUUAAGGAAAUGCUCAAACAAAAGGUGGAUAAGUACAUAUGUUUUCGUCAGGACAGCAAGGGAGUUCUAUGGUUUGAAGACCGAUUAGUUGUUCCUAAAAACCUAGAACUCAGGAAGAAAAUAUUAGACGAAGCUCAUCUCUCCAAAUUUUCCAUGCACCCCGGCAGUGAUAAGAUGUAUCAUGACCUCAGAUCCUUGUAUUGGUGGACCAGAAUGAAGAGAGAAAUUGCUAAGUAUGUAUCUAAGUGCGACACUUGCCAAAGAAUCAAAGCUAGUCAUUUGAAUGUAGCAGGUACCCUACAACCUCUUCCCAUUCCUUCUAAGAAGUGGGUGGACAUUUGCAUGGAUUUCGUUGUGGGAUUACCAAACACCUCCCGACACCACGAUUCUAUUUGGGUCAUUAUGGAUAGGCUAACUAAGACAACUCAUUUCUUGCCAGUGCAUACUACCCACAAGGCAGAAAAAUAUAAAGAGAUCUAUAUUGACCAUAUAGUGCGUUUGCAUGGAAUCCCGAGGACUAUUGUGUCUUAUAGAGGAGCACUGUUCGUGGCACGUUUUUGGGAGCAGCUACAAAAGUCACUUGGAACAACCGUGAUUAGAAGCUCAGCAUACCAUCCUCAAACCGAUGGUCAGACAGAAAGAGUAAAUCAGAUUCUGGAGGACAUGUUGAGGGCAUGUGUGUUACACUAUGGUAAGAAUUGGAAUAAGUGACUUUCCCUGGCGGAAUUCUCUUAUAAUAACAACUACCCUAAAGAUGGCACCUUUCGAGGCCUUGUAUGGGAGAAGGUGUAGAACACCGCUAAAUUGGUCACAAGCUGGAGAAAGGGAAGUAUUUAGACCUGACCUAGUACUUGAAGCCAAGGAUAAAGUCAGAGUCAUUAAGAAGAACUUGGAAGCUGCUCAGGCCAGGCAGAAGAGCUAUCAUGAUAAGAGAAGGAAGCCUCUACAAUUCGAAGUGGGGGAUCAUGUGUAUCUCAAAGUGUCACCCACCAAAGGUGUUCAGAGAUUUGGGAUCAAGGGCAAGUUAGCUCCUCGCUAUAUUGGGCCCUAUGAAAUCAAGGAGACUUGUGGACCUGUAGCAUACCAAUUGAAGUUGCCACCUCAUAUGUCAGCAAUUCAUGAUGUAUUUCACAUGUCUCAGCUAAGGGAGUGCGUCCGCUUACCCACGGAAGUGCUACCUGUACCUGAGUUGGAGAUAGAACCGGACUUGUCAUAUCAAGAGCACCCCGUCUAGGUAUUGGACCAAAAGGAAAGGUCAACUCGAGCAAGGUAAAUCCGGAUGUAUAAGAUUUAGUGGAGCAACCAUUCAGAAGAAGAGGCUACAUGUGAAACUGAGGAUUUUUUGCGCUCUCGCUUCCCCGAUUUUCUGCCUAAAGGAAUCGGUACGUAACCCAAAACACCCACCCCCACCUGCCCUUUGAAUCUAAAUAUAAGAGAAACAUAGUUGAUAAGAGCAGAGUAAGUUGUGAAACUAAAUCAAGAAGGACUUCCUUCUGAAGUUGCAAAGAGGAUGACAUUCGAAGAGUAGUUUACUAGAGAAUCUUGACCAAAAAGGAACCACAGUACACCAACACGCACCUUCUUGGCACCCCACUAAAGGAUCCCUACCCAAUCAAGGGACGAGAUUCCUUUAAGGGGGGAGGGCUGUAACACCCCAGGUGUUACCCAAGGCCCUGGCCAAAGGAGCACACUUGUGUCCUGCUUACCCUAUAUGCUAAAUUGGAAAGUGAAGGCACUAAAAGCUUUAGAAUCAUGGUUAAGCUAAGUAUUGAUCAUAACAAGAAAGAAACCCUAGCCUUCAUCCAUUCUCACUCAUGAAAAAUAUUCUAAACCCUAAUUCCCCUCUUAAGCCAUUAAACCCUAAACAUGGGGUUAAUGGGGAAAGAGUGGGCAAAUGGCCAAAUCAUGGAAGGAAACCUUUACCAAAGAUGAAGUAUAUUAGAAAAUCUACAAAAUGUAUUAAGGAAGAUAUUACAAAAAGGCCCAACAAAAACCCUAAAUCAGUUCACUAAGUGGAGAGCACAAUAGAGCCAUCAAAAUUUCUCUAAGUCCCAAAACCAACCCUAGCCUAAAGAUCAUAUGUGUUCACCUUUGUGCUGGCGCCAAAACCACUUGGACCAAAUAACAAAAAGUGUCCAAAUUACCUAAGGCACACCCCUGAAAAGUUUGAAAACAAACCAAGGUCGUUUGACAUGGUUUGGCAUCAUUUUUUCGCUGGUGAAAAGUGCAGACAGAUAAGACUUGGCGCCCACAUAUCUUGUAAGCUAGGGCAGAUCUUCCAUUGGGACUUACAUAAACUAGCUAGCCCUAGGUGCCAGGAAGAAAUCUUGCACAAGACCUUUAGCGAGAUUCACAUGGUUGUGACCUCUACAGGCGCAAGAACUUGGGCAGAUGAACACGACCACGUGUUCGAGGCGCCCUAGCAACGCCAGAGCACGCCCUUGGCGCUCCGCCCACGCGCGCAGCCCCACGCCGUGCCAACCCCGCGCCCGCGGCUAUAAAGCUCACCUUGGCCUCGACCGUACACCCCCGCGCGUCUCUGACCCAGCCCGAGCACGAGUUCGUCGGCGUUUGCCCUGAGAACCCCGUGCCAGCGGCCGCGCAAGCCACGACCACCGUAGACCGGCCAAACUAGCCAUCCUCCGCCUCGUCCGACCCUUGGGUUAGCUUCUACGGACCCUAGUAAAGCUCCCCGAGGCGAGGAUUGAGCAAUACCUCACUGGAGACGCCGGAUCGAUGUCGCCGGACUUCCUCCGGCCACCAUCGCACGUAACCGAGCUCCACGGUAAGCCAUUCAUCGAUUCCUUGUACCUAUAGCAUCCUUAGUAUCCCGUGAAGCUCCCUGUGCCAUUUGAUUGAACCAUACCACCGUGAGCAGGCCGGAGCACACGCCGCCAACGAGGCGGACUGCCUGCGCACGCGGUCAGCACUAUCCCGGCUAUCACCGUCGACGAUCCGCACCUCUACGUGACCGCCAGAACCUCUCGGACCUUACCCAACCCUUCACCGGACCUCCCUCGCCGCCGGUAAGCCGCGCCACCCUUUUUCCUCUCUGCGGUUACUGUUGCAAGGGGGAAGGAGCCCGGGUUGAAAGAAAGAAAAGCCGGGGGGGUUUUGCGAGGUCAGUGACUCAGAGGAAUAGUUCCGCAGGGAUACAGUUUAAAGGAUUAGUUAGAGGAAACCAGAGGGGCCUCGGUGCAAACUGAUUUUUUCUUAAACCUUUUAAGCCUUAUUCUUUUAAAUGAAUACAGAACUUGCAAAAUUCAUAACUCGAAUUUUACCCAGCCAAAUUUGGUCAAACUAAUUUUGUUAGGUCCUAAAUAUUAUGAACUACUUAAGAAAAAUAACAAACACCCUAAGUACUGCAAGACUUUUUAGAGUUUCAAUUUAAUUAAGUGUACUGCCCAAAACUCAAUAAAUAGAGGAAAAAUAAAAAUACUUUUGGACUGAGGGUAAGAAAAAUCAGGGGCAUGCUUAACUACUAACUAACCUGUGUAAAAAUGUUAAACUCCCCAGUAUACUAGAUUAAGGAAGGAUUAACCACAAAAACUUGCUUUGAUUCAAACCUAAAGAAAAUGAAAAGGGGGAUUUAAAGGAAGAACUAGAGGGCACCCAAAUUUUUCCUAGCUUACUUGAUGGACAUAGAUCACAAGAAAAUUUUGUUGAACCCUCUGUUAGUACAAAAGAAAUGCCCCAUAUUUUAUUUCUUAAAAAUAGUGAGAACUUAGAAAAAUCCUAGAAAAAUAACCCUAAGGAGAAACCACCCCAAUCCUUGGGAUAACAAAUAAUAUGUUAGUAUGAAUCUAGGAAAAAUAUAAGUUUUGUAGUCCAGGAGCCAGCACCAGAGCCUGCCAUCGAGGAUCUGAUGAAGACAUCCACACUACUGAUACAUCUAUGCCAAUACAAGUACCAAUUUCUGGUCCCAUUACUCGCGCUCGUGCUCGUCAACUCAACCAUCAGGUGAUUACACUCUUGAGUUCAUGUCCAUCAUAUUUAGACCAUGGAGACCCGUGCACUCUUGUUUUGCUUAGGAACCAGGGAGAAGACCGAAAGGGAAAAGGAUUUGAACAUGCUAGAUUCGGACUGCAGAAGAACACCAACUUGUGACGGUCACCAUGAUCACAUGCGGGCUCGGAUUGGAAUGUUCAAGCACAACAUGGAAAGCUUAUUGUUGGGGGCAUGCUUCGUAGCCGAAGAUCCUAAAAAGAACACCUUCGAAAGGUCUUCUCAGAAGCAAGCGCCGAAGCUAUUAUCUAUAAAGCUUCGGCAUAAAGACAAAUCUCAAGAUGAAGGGUCGAACCGGUUUAAAGAUGAAUUGACUUAAAGACCCAUGAUGUUUUGUAUCAUUAUUGUAGUCGAUUGUAAAGGACAUAAAUGUAAUUUUGCGCAGGUUGCAUCCUGUGCCUAUAAAUAGGUGAACAGUAUCCCGACACUGUUCACGCGAUCCUGUAAUCACGGACACGUUACGCUUGGAUUAUUGUUUUCUGCCAAGGCGAAGGUAUAAAUGUGCCUAAAUAUUAUGUUUUAAUACUUGUAUAUUCACAUAAUAAAACAUGUGAAUAUAUUUUGUGAUGUAUAUUUCAUUUCUCAUUGUUGUCUUAAAAAUAUGAUCACGAAGGCGAAACCUUCGUGAUACUUUACUUAUGACCUUCGUCCGAAGCUCAUUAAAUCCUUGGGGAGAAAAAGCUUCAGCGGACGAAGGGCAUUUAUACUUAACAUCUUUGUGUUGCGUUGUUCUUAAUUCGAAGCAUUUGAGAACAAGUCCCCAACAUUGGCGCCCACCUCCGGUGAACUCACUUCCACUUUCUGAGCUGAUGGCUUCAUUCAAAGCUGGAGUUGCUUCGGCUCCGAAGCUUGUACUCCCGAUAACAGGCGGUUCAUGCUCAAAGCCAGCUAACAAGAAGCAGAAGAAGGAGGCACAGAGAAGGGUACAACAUGUAGGGGUACAAGGACCCUUCAUCAAGUCAAGAUGGAAUCACAUCCCGAUUACCUUCUCCCAAGAGGAUAUUCAGCUCAAGGACUACCCUCACAAUGAUGCUAUGGUUAUCUCUUGUGUUAUCAAAGGAUUUCUGGUCCACAAUGUUUUGGUUGACACAGGCAGUGCAGUGGACAUUAUAUUUGCUAAGGCCUUCAGACAGAUGCAAGAGCCCGAAGAUAAGAUCCAUGACGCCACACAUCCCCUUUGUGGCUUUGGAGGAAGGCAGAUUGUAGCACUUGGCAAGAUCACGAUGCCAGUAACCUUCGGAUUUAUCAACAACACAAGGACUGAACAAGUUGUGUUUGAUAUUGUUGACAUGGAGUACCCUUACAACGCAAUCAUUGGUCAUGGUACUCUCAAUGCUUUUGAAUCAAUUCUUCAUCCAGCAUAUCUUUGCAUGAAGAUACCUUCGGAUCAAGGGCCUAUUGCUAUUCAUGGAAGUCAGGAGGCUGCCAGAAAGGCCGAAGGAAACUGGACAGAUUCAAAAGCAAUCCAUAACAUAGAUGGAGCUGAAGCUUGUGAGCAAUACAAGUACAGAAGGGAGAAAGCUGCUUCGGCCGAUCCGCCGAAGCCCAUGCUCUUAUGUGACAAUAUAGCAGAGCAGAAGGUGCUAUUGGGAUCUCAAUUGUCUGAGGAACAGGAAAAAACUCUGAUAAGGUUUCUGUUCAACAACAAAGAUGUCUUUGCAUGGUCAGCUAAUGAUCUCUGCGGAGUCAACAGAGAUGUUAUUGAACACUCGCUCAAUGUUGAUCCAUCCUUCAGACCCAGAAAGCAGAGGCUUCGGAUGAUGUCUGAUGACAAGGCUGAAGGUGCUUGGAAUGAAGUGAAAAGACUCCUCAGUGCCGGAGUCAUCAGAGAAGUGAAAUACCCAGAAUGGCUAGCCAACACUUUUAUGGUAAAAAAGGCCAAUGGCAAAUGGAGGAUGUGUAUUAAUUUUACUGAUCUCAACAAGGCUUGUCCGAAGGAUGAGUUUCCAUUACCAACGAUAGAUUCCGUAGUUGAUGCAACUGCUUCGUCAGAGCUUAUGAGUCUGCUAGAUUGUUAUUCAGGCUAUCAUCAAAUUUGGAUGAAGAAAGAGGAUGAGCCAAAAACUAGCUUCAUAACCCCUAGUGGAACAUAUUGUUAUCUUCGGAUGCCUGAGGGGCUCAAGAAUGCUGGAGGAAGCUUCAGCAGAAUGACAACGAAGGUUCUUCAUUCUCAGAUAGGCAGAAAUGUGCUAACUUAUGUUGAUGAUAUCAUAUUAAAAAGCACGAAGCAAGAAAAUCACAUUGCUGAUCUGCAGGAGACCUUCGCUAACUUUAGACAAGCCGGACUGAAGCUGAAUCCAGAAAAGUGUGUCUUCAGAGUGAAGAAGGGGAAAUUCUUUGGUUGCUUAGUUUCAACAAAAGGGAUUGAGGCUAAUCCAAAUAAAAUCGAAGCUAUUCUUCGGAUGGAACCACCAAGCACAAAGAAGGGGGCUCAGCGACUGACGGGAAGACUUGCAUCUCUGAAUCGAUUCAUAUCUAGAUCAGCAGAGAGAAAUUUACCAUUUUUUGAAGUGCUGAAGUCAGCCGAAGUUUUCCAAUGGGGAUCAGUUCAGCAGAAAGCCUUCGACGAGCUGAAGCAGUAUUUAAUAGAUCUAACGACAUUAACUCCACCAGUGCCAGGGGCUCCUCUGUUGUUAUAUGUGGCAGCUUCGCACUCAGCGGUAAGUGCGGCACUUGUCCAAGAGAAGCUUGAAGGGCAAACCAAAAGGCAAGCCCCAAUAUACUUCGUCUCCGAAGUCCCUAGUUUAUCAAAGAAAAACUAUACAGAAUUGGAGAAGGUGUUGUAUGCUGUUUUGAUGGCUUCCAGGAAGCUUCGACAUUAUUUUCAAGCAUACCAUAUAAUUGUUCCUUCUUCACAGCCUUUGAAGGAUAUUAUGAGAAAUAGAGAAGCUACUGGAAGGAUUGGAAAGCGGGCUGCGGAACUCAAUGAGUUCUGCAUUGAUUAUGUGCAUAGAUCUUCAAUUCAGUCUUAGGCGUUAGCAGACUUCAUUGCUGACUGGACGCUAGGGGCUCAGGAAGAAGAAGCUAGCAAAGAUGCCGAAGCUUGGACAGUAUUUUGCGAUGGUUCUUGGGGAACCAUCGGGGCAGGUGCAGCUGCCGUCUUAAUUGCACAUUCCAAAGUUAGAACAUGCUACGCAGUGAAACUUGAUUUUAGUUGUACAAAUAAUAUUGCUGAAUAUGAAGCUUUGCUUUUGGGUCUUCGGAAGUUGAAAGCAAUGGGGAUAAGAAGGGCAGUCCUCAAAACUGAUUCCCAAGUUAUUUCUGGCCAUGUUGACAAAAGUUGCAAAGCAAGAGAUCCGAAGCUUGAAAAAUAUUUGGAUACAGUUUGAAGACUUGAAGCCUCCUUCAAAGGGUUUUCUGUUAAGAAUAUUCCACGAGGAGAAAAUGAACACGCUGAUCUACUAGCCAAGUCAGCGGCACAGGGGCUGCCAUUACCUUCGGAAGUUUUCUUUGAAACAAUAAAAGCACCUUUGGUUGACCUUCUUGAAAGAGCAGUGCUCAAUAUAUCUCCUGUUUAUAGCGAAGAUUGGAGAACUGAGAUCAUGUCUUUUCUCCAGGGCAAUUUCCUUUCAGAUGACGAAGCUUAUCAAAAGAGAAUAGCGACAAGAGCCCGUCCAUAUGUAAUAAUAGAAGGGGAGUUAUACAAGCAUGGAGUCUGUUCUCCAUUACUCAAAUGUCUAUCACGAACUGAAGGUAUAGAGCUGAUGAAAGAAAUACAUGCAGGCCUGUGUGGAUCUCACAUCGGAUCCAGGCCUUUGUUGGGUAAAGUUUUUCGUCAAGGAUUCUAUUGGUCGAAGGCAGCUUCGGAUGCAGCAGAAUUAGUCCAAAAAUGCGAAGGUUGUCAAAAAUGUGCAAAAGAUCAAAAACAACCUUCGUCUCUAACUCAAUUAAUACAGCCCACUUGGUUGUUGCAAAGAUGGGGCCUUGAUUUGCUAGGCCCACUGCCACCAGCACAAGGGAAUUUAAAAUAUGUUGUAGUGGCAGUGGAAUAUUUUUCUAAAUGGAUUGAGGCAAAGCCUUUAGCCACAAUAACUUUGGUUACUGUUCAAAAGUUUUUCUGGCAAAAUAUUGUUUGUCGCUUCGGAGUGCCAAAGGCCAUUACCGUGGACAAUGGACCGCAGUUUGAUGCCGAAGCUUUCAGAGAAUUUUGUGAACAAAUUGGCACGAAGAUCCAUUUUGCAUCAGUUCGGCAUCCGGAGUCAAAUGGACUUGUAGAAAGAGCUAAUGGCAUUAUAAUGACAGGAAUAAUGAAGUUAAUCUUCAACCAGCCCAGGGGGAAGUGGCCGGACGAAUUAAUCAAAGUGGUGUGGAGCCACAACACAACAAUAUCAAGGUCAACAGGUUUUACACCAUUCAAAUUGCUGUUUGGUGACAAAGCAAUAACCCCAAAAGAAGCUAAAGCGGGAUCAAUAAGAACAAUGGCUUUGGCAGAAGACGAAGCUGACUAUUCUGUGGCAAAAGAUGCUAUAGAAGGGAUCAGGCUUUAGGAUGUAGAGAAUAUCAAUAAAUAUCAAGCCGAGACAAUAAAAUGGCGUGACAGAAAGGUUCGGCUAAAAAAUAUUAAGCCAGGACACUUGGUACUUCGAAGAGUUGCCAACCCAGACACAGUGGGCAAGCUACAAUUGAAAUGGGAAGGGCCUUUCCUGGUAGUAUCUUUGUCAAGACCCGGCUCCUACAGGCUGAAGGAUAUGGACAGCAGCGACAUUCCUAGAUCUUGGAAUGCGGAUGAUCUUCGGCGCUAUUAUGUGUAACCUGAUGUAAUCUUUUUUAUUCUUUCCAAUGGCACCCUUUUCCUUUCCAAAGGGGGAGAAAGGUUUUUAAUGGGGUCAUAGCAUGUAAUUUCUCUUUUUCUUAUAUCAGCUCUACAAGAGCAGUAUCCCCCGAAGAUGUAAAUGUAAAAACUGGGCAUGCAUCAUCGAGUGCAACGAGAAAAAGAAAAAAACACAGAGAAGCUCGAAAGACGUCCCUAAGGGGAUGCAGAGCAUGACGAAAUUACAAAAAGCCGUUUCUAAGGGAGCGCAGCGUAAGUUUUCCGCUCAAAAGUCGUUCCUAAGGGAAUGCAGAGCUUACAGCGAAAAGUCAACGCUGAUUCCGCCGAAAUAAAAGGCGAAGAAGCUCCUAAGGGAGGCUUACAGCGAAAAGUCAACGCUGAUUCCGCCGAAAUAAAAGGCGAAGAAGCUCCUAAGGGAGGCUUACAGCGAAAAGUCAGCGCUGAUACACCGAAAAAUAAGCGAUGAAGCCGAAAAAUAAACGGCAAAGAUUUGUUAUUAUGGUUUUAUAUGUGUCUUCAAACAUUCAUUUGCACGAUACAUUACAUCAAACAUUUGCAUUCAUAAACAUUCACUUAGACAUACAUAGGAUCAUCAUCAGCAUAACAUACAAACUUGCUUCGACUUCGAAAGAGAAGGCUUCGGAAAAAAGAGGCAAUUUUAUGCUUCGCUGUGUACGCAAAGAAGGGAAGGUGUUUUUCGCCUAUGGCUCAAAAGUAUUAAUUUCGUCCACACCAAAGCAUUUCAUACAUGGACGAAAAAGUAAGAUUAUAUUACAAAGUGAAAUUUAAUUACAUCAUACUUUAUACAAGUUGUCACAAGAGUUUUUUGAGCUAUUUUUACAGACUAUUCGAGCUUUGACAACAUCUCUGGAGCUUCUUCCUUUUAUUCUGCAGCUUCAGCUUCGGCUUGGUCAACCUGUAUGUAAGUACUAUAAGCUAAAUUCAAAAUUCAAAGGAAAAGGUAAUCAUAAGGUAUAAUAUUGUUACUAGCUUAAGGUGGUCUCGGGCUUCGUCACCAGCUUUCUCUCGCCCACCCUUUGUCCAUAUCACCUUUAUAAAUUUAUUAGCAAUGCUUCGGGCGAGAUUAGGAAUAUCAUCUAGAAUUGCUGGUGAUAGGCUGAAAUUGGGUUUGUUGAUAAUUUUUCCAUGUUCACAGCCAGAUUUCAGGAACGCAGCAGCGGUGCCCCGAGAAGCUACCAGGGCACAAAAGUUGUCGUGUCCAUCAAUAACAUCAUCGAGGUCAUCAAUCUCACCUUCGAUGUGUUCGAAGGCUCCUGGUAGAUCUUCAUCUGAAGGAAUAAAUUCUUCACUACUGACCCCGACUGAAUAAAACACCUUCUUCAGUCGUUGAACACAUUGAUUGCUGAAUUUCAAACAUUUGUUCUGAAGGUCUAUCAAUGAUUUUUUCAAAACUAAACCAUUCUGGAUUUCAGCCUCAAGUUUUUCAUUAAGCUUCAUCUUUUCUUGUUUAGAACCGAGAAGCUUCGUAUUCAGUUCCAUUAUUUUAGCUUCGACUUCCGCUAGUAAACCUUCAGUUGUUUGCAGUUUGAACUCUUUUUUCUCAAAAGCAGUUGUUUGAUCUUUUAUUUUGUUUUCUAAGUUUUCAAUUAUAGCCUCCUGCUUUUUGUCUUCUAAAUCCUGUUGCAUCCUCAAAGCUUUGCUCAAUAGCAUACUCUGUACACGAACAACCUUCGUUAGAAAACAUUUUUUAUGAAAACAGAAAGUUAGAGGGAGAUUGUUUACCUUGAAAUUGGAAUAAAAGAAACUACCGACGAUAUGAUGUCAUCGGUAGCGACUAAUAUCGGCUUCGAGCUUCGGAAAACCGAUACUCUUUGAUAGAGUACCGAUAACCUUUGCUCCGGUCUGAUCUCGGAUGCAGCCUAGCUUUUCAUCAUCAACACCUCCGAAGAGAAGUGCCCCUGGCCGAUAGCCGCAAGAAAUGGCAUAAUCUUUUAAUUCUUCUUUUUCGGCUUUUGUUAAUUCUUGACCAACCAAGUUUUGAAAAUUGAAAAUUUCAUCCUCCAGUGUUUCUUCGGCAAUUUCUUUCUUUUUCUCGGCCUCUGGGGCCAAAGCCUCUUCGGUGGCUCCAGCAGCAUCUUCUGCAGCCAUGUCUAGCAGAAUUUUAUCUAUAUUAAGAGCCACACUUUCCAAAUUAAUGUCUUCUGUUCUGAUAGCUUCGGCAUCUGUGGCCUCCGAAGGUGCAGCUUCAGUAGCUGUUGUGCUUUCAAUAGCAGACACCUUCGGAGCUAAAGCCCUGGGUGGAGUUGCUUCAAUUACUUCUGUCACAGUAACAAUCCUUUGCCUCUUUGGCCUAGGUGCCUUUGUUUUUGUGGGCUCCUUUUCCUUAUGAAAAAGCUUCGUCAGAUGAAGCCCCAAUGGACUUAGUUUGACAGGCAAAGUUUCAGUCAUUACCUUUAGGAUUUCCUCUAUUUCAGCAGUAGAAGAUGUCGCAGAAGUCUUCUCUUCCUCAUCAACUGAUUUUUGCUUUGGGGUCGAGGUCUUUCUUUUCUUCGAAGCAACUGCUUUUGCCUCAGAUUCUUGUUUCUUCUUCUUUGGUUGAUCUUCGUCGUCUUUUUUCAAAGCACUAGCCACUCUUUUUCUUUUUUGCCCUUCGGCACCCUUGUCCAGUCGCUCAUAGUUAGGAUAUUCAAAGCCUAUAGCAUCCAUCACUCUGUUUAGCCUUCGUUUCGGACGGGUGCCGAAGGCCGCUGUCAUCAGUUGAUCUUCUUUUUUAGAAUAAUUUCCAAGAAUUUUGUUGCACAUUACUUCAAUUGUAUCCAGCCAUUCUUGACAGGGUACUUUGAAAUGUUUUUUGAACUUGUAGUUGUAAGGCAACCGAAUAAGCUCCCCUUUCUUCUUCUCCCCCUCUAGUUUCGGCAUUUCCCACUCCUUCAAAGUAGGAAAUACUCUAAAGGCCAAAAAUUCCUGCACUAAGUCUCUAGUGCCAAUAUGAUCUGCAAUUACUCAAAAUUCAGCCAAAGCAAUCUGGCUCGGGCUCCCCCGUAUCAUGUUGCACGGAGGUCUAGUUUCUCCGAAGGUCAAUUCUAAUGGACUCUGGACCAAUUUUUCUUCAUCUUCGUCAACUUUGACAUAAAACCAUUCAGAUUUCCAUCCUGCUGGCCAUUUGCUUCGGUAGCUAAUCACUGGGAAUUUUGUAGUUUUACGGUAAGCAAAGUUGUAGCAGCCAAAAUUUUCAUGCAAACCAUCCCCCCUAGCCUUGGUUUGGUAGUGCAGUUUGUGUACUCGGCAGAAACCUUCGGAGAAUGGUUCCACCCCCUGGCUUCGGAGGGCCCAGAUAUAAACACCCAGCCUAACAAUAGCAUUAGGCGUCAGCUGAUGAAGGUAGAUCCCAUAUUUCUUCAACACUCCAGCAAUCAUCUUGUUCAGAGGGAAUCUUAAACCAGCUUUAAAAAGACUUUUGAAAACCACCACUUCAUUUUUUCCUGGCUUCGGGAUAGUUUCUUCUCCACCGAAACGAAUUAAUUCCUUCUUUGCUUCACUAAGAUAGCCCAACUUCACCAUCUUAGGAAAAUCAGCUUCGGAGAUGGUGGACUUUCCGAAGUCCAGGUGGCUAGGCUUGCUCGGCACUGCGCUGCUGUAAUCAUCUUCGGAAUCAGUUUCUUCAACAUCGGCCCGUUCUGCUUCGACAGCAGGGAUGUCUUCGGCAGCAGGCGUGUCCUCCGGUGUUACCAACCUAGAGCGCUUCAUUGCUUCUGAAAUAGGAACAGUGUCAGUAGCUUCGGUCUCAUCUCCCUCACGAUCGACUCGAGCAGUAGAGCGAACUCUAGCCAUUUGAUUAUGACUUGUUUGAAAUUUUUGGUGUUGACUUUUUUGUUUUCUCCGAAGCUCUUACUCUUGUGCCGAAGCAGAAUCACAAGCAAAGUUUCGUCUAAACAUGAUGGUUAAGCUUCGGCUAUGACUAAAAAUUUGGCAGCAAAACAGUGCAAUAGCAAUGAAUGCCGUGGUAACUUCACACCUACUCGUCUGUUUAUAUAGUACCGCAGGUGGGAAGGUGAAUCGGCAAGGUCUCCAGCAUCGAACAAACAGCCACCCGCACUCACUGAACGGUGGGCCACAGGGUUCGAGAAGGUGAAUCGCUAGCGCGCGCGUAAUUGGUGCAAGAUGGGGCACGCGCGACGAUUAUUUUAAUCGUUUCUCGCCAACGAGCUCAGGGAAGGUGUUUUUUGGAUCUUCGGCGUCCCGAAGCCUAGAAGACUUUUUCAUGGAUCAAGCUCGUUACGAAAAACGAUCUAGCACCACGAAGGGCUACUGUUGGGGGCAUGCUUCGUAGCCGAAGAUCCUAAAAAGAACACCUUCGAAAGGUCUUCUCAGAAGCAAGCGUCGAAGCUAUUAUCUAUAAAGCUUCGGCAUAAAGACAAAUCUCAAGAUGAAGGGUCGAACCGACUUAAAGAUGAAUUCACUUAAAGACCCAUGAUGUUUUGUGUCAUUAUUGUAGUUGAUUGUAAAGGACAUAAAUGUAAUUUUGCGCAGGUUGCAUCUUGUGCCAAUAAAUAGGUGAACAGUAUCCCGGCACUAUUCACGCGAUCGUGUAAUCACGGACACGUUACGCUUGGAUUAUUGUUUUCUGCCAAGGCAAAGGUAUAAAUGUGCCUAAAUAUUAUGUUUUAAUACUUGUAUAUUCACAUAAUAAAACAUGUGAAUAUAUUUUGUGAUGUAUAUUUCAUUUCUCAUUGUUGUCUUAAAAAUAUGAUCAUGAAGGCGAAACCUUCGUGAUACUUUACUUAUGACCUUCGUUCGAAGCUCAUUAAAUCCUUGGGGAGAAAAUGCUUCAGCGGACGAAGGGCAUUUAUACUUAACAUCUUUGUGUUGCCUUGUUCUUAAUUCGAAGCAUUUGAGAACAAGUCCCCAACACUUAUCAAGUCUACUUUCAUAUGGAUCCGGAAUUAUAGUCAUAUCUAUUCUGAGGCCGCCGUAAUCAUUGUUUCCUUACCAAGACAUUUCCUGUCUUUUCUGCCCAUGGUGCUGCGUCACCCUAUUUUGGCCCAAUGGGUUGUGUAUCGAGUUGGGUCCAUUAGGGACGCAUCAUAGGGUUGUAGCACGACCUCAAUACCCUUGUGGUCAUCCUCCCAUGUUUAUAAACCUCCAAUCCGCCACCAAGAACAGCGGGUUUUGUUAGAUCAAGUUUAGUUCUCGCUACUUUCUUGUAAGUGCGCGUGCUAGUUCAGCCGCCCGUCUUCUUGUCUUCGGAACCCCACCAUAUUGGAGUUUGAUUUUGAAACCUACAUUUACAUCUGGUAAUUCAGUACUUGUUCUACUUGUCCUUGCUAGUUCUUCGAUUGCUUGCAUGACGAGUGCCCUAGUGGCCGGGUGUCACGCUCCACAAGAUCGUGACAGCCAUAGGAGGUGGUCUAUCGGUUGCUAAGGCGCAGCGUCUUUGGAAGGCUGUAGUCGGGCCAUGAACGUCGUCUCCUCCACCAAUUGAGUUAUUCCAUACCCUCUCAUCGAAAGAUCAGGCAUUCACCCAACGGGUGCACAUCAGUUGGUAUCAGAGCAAGGUUUAUCGGUGAGAGAUUUAUUUUUCUUCGCUGUUUUCUUAUCUCCUAUAGUCCAAAAAAGCCCAAAAUAGUAGACUAGUUUUACCACAAUCCUAUAGACCAUUGAGCCUUUACUAGUACUACUUAGCUAGGGCUUGUUGAGUUUUCGGUUGCAUCGGUUGUGUCGAGUUGCUGGUCUUAGUUUAUUCCUUUAGAGUUUUGAGUUCUACCACGUUUUGGUCACCACGAGAUCCACCAUUACCAUAAACAUCUCUGGCUCGUUUUUGCCACCACGGAUACAUCUCAUGUCGGAUUUGGAAGUUUAAAUACAAUCUGGAAAGCUUAUCUUAUCUUCUUUCCAACGGAUCUGACCUUGCCUCAAAAUUCAUUCUGAGUGCUCCGCAAUCAUCAUAGAGAUUUCUGGACCUUCUAUAUUAACAAGAUUUGUUAAAUCUGAUUUCAAAGGGGCUGUUAGCAAUAUCCUUAUUGUUUGGGUUGUCAUAGUAAAAAAAAGGGUUCAGGCCCCAGCAAAAAAAAGAAGAAAAAAAAGAAAAAAAGGAAAAAAAGGAAAAGAAAAAGAAAGAAGGGGGAUGAAUCUCUAAAUCUAUUGUUUCUCUUUGUGCUGUGCUAGAUGUUCUUUUUCAGUGACUAUCUUUGUGCCUAGGCUCAUGUCUCUAGCAUGGUUUAGCCUAGGACUAGCACAGUACCACCGUUGAAUGAUUAUUCAGCUUGCUUUUGUAACUAACGUGGUACUAGUGUAUUCCUUGCUUCAGCCCGCCUACAAUUCUACAUAUUUCGACUACAGUUUGACAGGUCGUGUUGCUGUGGCACCGAUACACUUAUUCCACGGUUGUAGACUUGUUGGUUGCUGACCCCUCCUAUUGAGCAAGGUAAGAAUUGGUAAGAGCUUGUGUAGCAGGUUGAGAGUGAGCGCCUUGCAGUAGCUACAUCCAAAUAGUUGUAGAGUUUUUAUUCCUUCACAUUUUUUUAUCUUGUUGCCUCUGUUCGUCUAACCAUGGCAGGAUUGGAGGUUGAUGAUGCUUCUCGUAAUAUGCCACACUCUCCUCGCACCAAGGGCAUCAUACAACACUUUGUAAGGCUGGUGAAGACACACACGGAAGGUCUUGAUAAUGACUUGCAGGUGACGAAUGAAAAGAUGGGGCAAUUGGAGGCCACACAGAUCGACACAAACACCAAACUUGCAAAUGUGGAAAUGACAGUUGCUCAUAUUGACAAGAGCCUUAUCGCACUCUUGAGGAGAUUUGAUGAGAUGCAUGCUAAUACCAAUGGUGGGCAUGAUGAGGGCGCCGAAGGUAACUGGGAUGACUAUGUUGCUGAUACUAAACAAGAUGACCAAGAAGCACCUAAUCACCGGCGACUACGUACUAACCGCAGAGGUAUGGGUGGUUUUCGCCGACGUGAGGUACAUGGUAAUGAUGAUGCUUUUAGUAAGGUUAAAUUUAAGAUACCUCCUUUUGAUGGUAAAUAUGACCCCGAUGCUUACAUUACUUGGGAGAUUGUGGUUGAUCAAAAGUUUGCAUGUCAUGAAUUUCCUGAGAAUGCGCGUGUUAGAGCUACUACUAGUGAGUUUACUGAAUUUGCUUAUGUUUGGUGGAUAGAACAUGGUAAGAAGAAUCCUAAUAACAUGCCACAAACUUGGGAUGCGUUGAAACAGGUCAUGUGGGCUAGAUUUGUUCCUUCUUAUUAUGCACGUGAUAUGUUAAACAAGUUGCAACAAUUGAGACAGGGUACUAAAAGUGUAGAAGAAUAUUAUCAGGAAUUACAAAUGGGUAUGUUGCGUUGUAACAUAGAGGAGGGUGAGGAAUCUACUAUGGCUAGAUUUUUGGGCAGGUUAAAUAGGGAAAUUCAGGACAUCCUUGCUUAUAAAGAUUAUGCUAACGUAACCCGAUUGUUUCAUCUUGCUUGCAAAGCUGAAAGGGAAGUGCAGGGACGACGUGCUAGUGCAAGGUCUAAUGUUUCUGCAGGAAAAUCUACACCAUGGCAGCAGCACACGACUACGUCCAUGACCGGCCGUACACCAGCACCAACUCCCUCGCCGAGUCGACCGGCACCACCACCUUCCUCCAGCGACAAACCACGUGCAUCUUCCACAAAUUCAGCAACCAAAUCUGCCCAGAAACCAGCAUGUAGUGCCUCUUCAGUAGCCUCCACGGGUAGAACAAGAGAUGUUCUAUGUUAUCGAUGCAAGGGCUAUGGACACGUGCAUCGUGAUUGUCCUAAUUAGCGUGUUUUGGUGGUAAAAGACAAUGGUGGUUAUUCCUCUGCUAGUGAUUUGGAUGAAGCUACACUUGCUUUGCUUGCGGCUGAUGAUGCAGGCACUAAGGAACCACCCGAAGAACAGAUUGGUGCAGAUGAUGUAGAGCAUUAUGAGAGCCUCAUUGUACAGCGUGUGCUUAGUGCACAAAUGGAGAAGGCAGAGCAGAAUCAGCGACAUACGUUGUUUCAAACAAAGUGUGUCAUCAAGGAGCAUUCAUGUCGUUUGAUCAUUGAUGGAGGUAGCUACAACAACUUGGCUAGCAGCGGCAUGGUGGAGAAGCUUCCACUUACGACCAAACCGCACCUGCAUCCAUAUCACAUUAAAUGGCUUAACAAUAGUGGUAAGGUCAAGGUAACCAAGCUGGUACGAAUUAAUUUUGCUAUUGGUUCGUAUCAUGAUGUUGUUGAUUGUGACGUUGUGCCUAUGGAUGCUUGUAAUAUUCUGCUAGGUAGACCAUGGCAUUUUGAUUUAGAUUGUAUGCAUCAUGGCAGAUCAAAUCAAUAUUCUCUCAUACACCAUGAUAAGAAAAUUAUUUUGCUUCCCAUGUCCCCUGAGGCUAUUGUGCGUGAUGAUGUUGCUAAAGCUACCAAUGCUAAAACUGAGACCAACAAGAAUAUUAAAGCUGAUGGUAAUAACAAAGAUGGGAUAAAAUUGAAAGGACAUUGCUUGCUUGCGACAAAAUCUGAUGUUAAUGAAUUAUUUGCUUCCACUUCUGUUGCCUAUGCCUUGGUAUGCAAGGAUGUUUUGAUUUCAAUUCAAGAUAUGCAGCAUUAUUUGCCUCCUGUUGUUGCUAACAUUUUGCAGGAGUAUUUUGAUGUAUUUCCAUGUGAGAUACCAGAGGUGCUGCCACCUAUACGAGGGAUUGAGCACCACAAUGAUCUUAUUCCUAGUGCAUCUUUGCCAAAUCGUGCGCCAUAUAGGACAAAUAUGGAGGAAACAAAAGAAAUUCAGCGACAAGUGCAAGAACUACUCGACAAAGGUUACGUUUGUGAGUCUCUUAGCCCGUGUGCUGUUCCGAUUAUUUUAGUGCCUAAAAAAGAUGGAACAUGGCGUAUGUGUGUUGAUUGUAGAGCUAUUAAUAAUAUCACCAUACGGUAUCGACACCCUAUUCCACGUUUAGACAAUAUGCUUGAUGAAUUGAGUGGUGCUAUCGUGUUUUCUAAAGUUGAUUUGCGUAGUGGGUACCACCAGAUUCGUAUGAAAUUGGGAGAUGAAUGGAAAACUGCUUUCAAAACUAAGUUCGAAUUGUAUGAGUGGUUAGUCAUGCCUUUCGGGUUAACUAAUGCACCUAGCACUUUCAUGAGAUUAAUGAACGAGGUUUUGCGUGCCUUCAUUGGAAAAUUUGUGGUGGUAUACUUUGAUGACAUAUUGAUCUACAACAAAUCUAUGGAUGAACAUGUUGAUCACAUGCGUGCUGUUUUUAAUGCUUUACGAGAUGCACGUUUAUUUGGUAACCUUGAGAAGUGCACAUUUUGCACCGAUCGAGUGUCGUUUCUUGGCUAUGUUGUGACUCCACAGGGAAUUGAGGUUGAUCAAGCCAAGGUAGAAGCGAUACAUGGAUGGCCUAUGCCAAAGACUAUCACACAGGUGAGGAGUUUCCUAGCACUUGCUAGCUUCUAUCGCCGUUUUGUGAAGGACUUUAGUACUAUUGCUGCACCUUUGAAUGAGCUUACGAAGAAGGGAGUGCAUUUUAGUUGGGGCAAAGUACAAGAGCACUCUUUCAACGUGCUGAAAGAUAAGUUGACACGUGCACUUCUCCUCCAACUUCCUGAUUUUAAUAAGACUUUUGAGCUUCAAUGUGAUGCUAGUGGAAUUGGAUUGGGUGGUGUUUUGUUACAAGAAGGCAAACUUGUUGCUUAUUUUAGUGAAAAACGGAGUGGGUCUGUUCUAAAUUAUUCUACUUAUGAUAAGGAAUUAUAUGCUCUUGUGCGAACAUUGGAAACAUGGCAGCAUUAUUUGUGGCCCAAAGAGUUUGUUAUUCAUUCUGAUCAUGAAUCUUUGAAACAUAUUUAUAGUCAAGGAAAACUGAACCGUAGACAUGCUAAGUGGGUUGAAUUUAUCGAAUCUUUUCCUUAUGUUAUUAAGCACAAGAAAGGAAAAGAGAAUAUCAUUGCUGCAUUGUUCAUGAUGUUUGGAUUAGAGAUGAUUAAAGACCAAUAUGUUCAUGAUGUUGAUUUUAAAGAUGUGUUGCUGCAUUGUAAAGAUGGGAAAUGAUGGAACAAAUAUAUUGUUAGUGAUGGGUUUGUGUUUAGAGCUAACAAGCUAUGCAUUCGAGCUAGCUCCGUUCGUUUGUUGUUGUUACAGGAAGCACAUGGAGGUGGCUUAAUGGUACAUUUUGGAGCAAAGAAAAUGGAGGACAUACUUGCUGGUCAUUUCUUUUGGCCCAAGAUGAGAAGAGAUGUGGUAAGACUGGUUGCUCAUUGCACGACAUGUCAAAAGGCGAAGUCACGGUUAAAUCCACACGAUUUAAAGCCCUACUUGGGAGAGGAAGUUGAGCUUGAGUCGAGGACGACUCAAAUGCAAGAAGGGGAGAAUGAUGAAGACAUCCACACUACUGAUACAUCUAUGCCAAUACAAGUACCAAUUUCUGGUCCCAUUACUCGCACUCGUGCUCGUCAACUCAACCAUCAGGUGAUUACACUCUUGAGUUCAUGUCCAUCAUAUUUAGACCAUGGAGACCCGUGCACUCUUGUUUUGCUUAGGAACCAGGGAGAAGAUCGAAAGGGAAAAGGAUUUGAACAUGCUGGAUUCAGACUGCAGAAGAACACCAACUUGUGGCGGUCACCACGGUCACAUGCGGGCUUGGAUUGGAAUGUUCAAGCACAACAUGCAAAGCUUAUCAAGUCUACUUUCAUAUGGAUCCAGAAUUAUAGUCAUAUCUGUUCUGAGGCCGUCGUAAUCAUUGUUUCCUUACCGAGACAUUUCCUGCCUUUUCUACCCAUGGUGCUGCGUCACCCUAUUUUGGCCCAAUGGGUCGUGUAUCGAGUUGGGUCCAUUAGGGACGCAUCCUAGGGUUGCAGCACGACCUCAAUACCCUUGUGGUUGUCCUUCCAUGUUUAUAAACCUCCUAGCUGCCACCAAGAACAGCGGGUUUUGUUUAGAUCAGGUUUAGCUCUCGCUACUUGCUUGUUAGUGCGCGUGCUAGUUUAGCCGCCCGUCUUCUUGUCUUCGUAACCGAUAUUGGAGUUUGAUUUUGAAACCUACAUUUACAUCUGGUAAUUCAGUACUUUUUCUACUUGUUCUUGCUAGUUCUUCGAUUGCUUGCAGGACGAGUGCCCUAGUGGCCGGGUGUCACCCUCCACAAGAUCGUGACAGCCAUAGGAGGUGGUGUAUCGGUUGCUAAGGCGCAGCGUCUUUGGAAGGCUAUGGUCGGGCCGUGAACGUCGUCUCCUCCACCAACCGAGUUAUUCCAUACCCUCUCAUCGAAAGAUCGGGCAUUCACCCAACGGGUGCACAUCAGGAUCUGUCUGACCUAGCUUUGGAAGGCAAGCUCCGGUUUUAUGCAUAACCAUUAUAUAUAUGCUAUUUUACUGCACUUAAAUGUUGUAGGCUUGUACUGUGCACUUAAGUGUAGGAGUUGAUUGAAACCCUAGUUGCAUGAACUCAUGAUUUCCUUUGAGAUGAAUACUAGUAUGCUAGGUCGAGUAGCUGCUUUGCUAAAUAGGGAUCUCGGUAGAAGUCGGGUGAUUUUCUAGCACUCGUGCGAGGUCAGGAAUUGGUUGUAUCCAUUUUUGAUAACAGAAUGAUGGUAGUCUGUGGACAAGGAUCCAUGGCGAUGCGUGGUCUACAAGUUGAAAUUGGAAUAAGGAUUAACGUGCGGAUACCUGUGUCAAGCGUUUGAACGUACUAAGCACAUGCCGAGAAAUAUGGUAAAUCGGUAAGCCUAGUACCUGAGUGAACCUGAUAACAGACUUUAUCCCUCACGCGACCUGAGACGUGGUCUCCCAUUCCGGUUAUGGUGGGUACAAGUGCGGUCACUGCACGACGGUAAUCGGGGUCAGUGGGGCAUUGUACGCCAAGGCGGUGAGCCCUGUUCUGUUGACGGGGAAUCGAUGGGGACGGUUGAUAUGUGUGGGUCGGAGUGCCUCAUCAUGUCGUAUGUUUAUAUUUCCCUUGCAAGGUUAAAAUUGAUUUGAAUCAUCUGCUUCUCGCAGCUAAUGAGACUGCUUGAUCCAUUGUACUGCAUUGAGUAAUAAGUGGAAAUGAGUUGAUUGGCAAAAUAUGUUGAUUGCUAAAAUGCUUGAUACCAUGUAUGAUUAGCUAGGUACACAUCUAGUCUUAAGAGAAUCACACUAAAACUUGAAAAGCUAAAACUUGAUUUUAGACUCAGCUAGUGCUGUUUGGCCAACCAAACCCCUCAGCCAAACAACCGCAUGUCUAGAGGUAGAGGAGUAGACUCCUAACACCGGGUAAGUCUAGCUGAGUCUUAGUAUACUCAGCCUUGCUUGUGACAUAAUUUUUACAGGUUCUCUAGAGCAUAUGGUUGCUGGAGUGACUUGGCCAUCUACCUUGCCACCGGGUUGGACAGUCGAGUGGGACCCUACCUCAGCAGGAGAGGAGCAGGAGGAGUGAUGGGCCAGGCUUCCCCAUCCUCCCUUAUGUAUCGUUAAUUAAUUUCCGCUGCAUCCCGAACAAUGAAUUCUACUCUUGCAAAACUCCGAUGAUGUUGUAAUAACUUUAAGUACUCCUUUAACUUGUGGUUUUAUGCUUUAUUGUAUUUGCUCUGUGCCUCACCUUUGAGUGACUACGUGGUACUUGAUCCUAUUAGUUGCCUUAUCGGACUAGAUCCGAGGGACUGACGUUUUAUUCCUAUUUAAGUGUGGUCUAGCCUCUAAGGUGGGACUUAGGCACUUAAGUUGGAAUAAUUCGGGCGGUUCCGCCACAGGCGGGCCCCGUUUGUCAUUGACUUUCUCUAUUCUAGCAAAGGUAAGGUGUUUUUUCGGACCUUCCGCUUAAGGCCUUCGUUCACAUCACAUUUGAAUUUGUUGUUACAACAAAUUAAUACUGCGAGGGCUACUGUUGGGGGCCUUCAUCUUCCGAAGGUCCUCAAAAACACAACUAACAUGUUUUCCAAGUAUAAUACAUUCACAGGGACCUUUGGCCAUGGGAUGAAGCUGUACAUGAUAUGAAAAGCGUGGCCUGGGAGAAGGAUGAACCAAUUCCAAAGAUACACGUGAAGAAGCUUCGGCUUAGCAGUGGGAAAUCAAAUCGACUUAAAGAGGUAAAGUGAUAUAGCUGAGGUGCCCGUUCUUUCGGUGAGUGGAGAUAAUUCCGAUUUGGCGGAAGAUGACCCUUGCGAUCCGACUACGACGAGCAAGCCCGAGGCGCCAAUGCAUUCGCUGAACCAACUCCCUAUGGUUACCGACCUUGCUGAUGCGAGAUCGGCCUGAUCACGAAGAUCGUUUCCUGUGCGCAGUCGAAGAACGAACAAGAAAAAGAUGCGAGCAAUCUAAUUUAUUACUCUAGGGUGGAGUUCUGAAUACACGAAGACAAUGCUGAUUUGCGCGUGUUCGAGAGUAGCUAAAGAUAACGUAAAACAAAACUCAAAGAACAAAGGAGGCACAGCUCCUGGAUAAAUAGAGAGAGGGGGCGCAGCCCCUAGUGGCGGCCAAAGGGGGAAAACGCAACCCUAGGUCGCCCACUAUGGGCCGCAGUUGGGCUGGUCGUCUAUUCUUCUGAGCCCUCAUUCUUCAGUAGCAUGACGAAGUUAAGAUCUCUGGCACGGGCCCGAGUGAUUGGCCCAACUAUUGAAGGAAGUGGCGCUUGAUGUGGAGGUGCUACUGGUGUAGUCGUACUCAUGUUGCAGGUGAUGUCCUCAUCAUCCUCCCUUUCUUGAAGUGAAGUCAUCCUCGACGGCAACUCCUCAUCCUCGGCCAUAUAAGGUUUCAAAUCUGCAACAUUAAAACUAGUGGAAACACCAAAUUCCGCAGGUAGGUCAAGGAUAUAAGCAUUAUCAUUAAUCUUUGUUAGCACCUUAAAAGGACCAGCAACACGAAGCAUUAAUUUAGAACGGCGCAAAGUAGGAAACCAAUCCUUUCUCAAGUGCAACCAAACCAUAUCACCUGGCUCAAAAGUAACAAGUUUUCUUCCUUUACUACCAGCAUCCUGAUUUUUUGCAUUAGUAGCAGCAAUGUUCUGUUUCGUUUGUUCAUGUAUGGUAAUCAUUUGUUCAAUAUGUGCAGCAACAUCUACAUGUGGGGCGUUCGUAGCAUUAAGUGAAAUCAAAUCAAUAGGUGCCCUAGGGAUGUAACCAUAAACAAUCUGGAAAGGGCACAUCUUUGUAGAAGAAUGUGUGGCAUGAUUGUAAGUAAAUUCAACAUGAGGCAAGCAAUCCUCCCAAUGUCUCAAAUUCGUGUCUAAAACAGCCCUAAGCAUGGUAGAUAAAGUUCUAUUUACUAUCUCAGUUUGUCCAUCAGUCUGAGGGUGACAAGUAGUGCUAAACAGCAAUUUAGUUCCCAAUUUAUUCCAAAGAGAUCUCCAAAAAUGGCUUAGAAACUUAGCAUCACGAUCAGAGAAUAUUGUUUUUGGAAUACCAUGUAAACGAAUAAUUUCUCUAAAGAACAAUUCAGAAACAAUGCUAGCAUCAUCAGUUUUAUGACAAUGUAUAAAGUGAGCCAUUUUAGAGAAUCUAUCAACAACUACAAAAAUACUAUCCCUCCCCUUCUUAGUUCUAGGCAAGCCCAAAACAAAGUCCAUAGAAAUAUCAAGCCAAGGAGAAGAAGGGACAGGCAAAGGCAUAUACAAACCAUGGUUGCCCAAACGUGACUUAGCUUUCUAGCAAGUAGUGCAACGUGCAACAAGAUGCUCAACAUCACGGCGCAUCCGAGGCCAAAAGAAGUGUGCGGCCAACACCUCAUGUGUCUUGUAAAUGCCAAAGUGCCCCAUGAGACCGCCUCCAUGAGCUUCCUGCAGCAACAAAAGACGAACCGAGCUUGCUAUCGCGGAACAAAAAUCCAUCGUGUAUGUGAAAUUUUCCCCAGGGUUUGCCAUCCUUACAAUGUAUAUAAAAAUCUUUAAAAUCAGCAUCAUCCACAUAUUGAUCUUUCACAGUUUGCAAGCCAAAGAUUCUAAAUUCUAACUGUGAAAGCAUGGUAUAUCUAUGGGACAACGCAUCAGCAAUGACGUUUUCCUUCUCGUUCUUGUGUUUAAUGAUGUAAGGAAAGGACUCGAUGAAUUCUACCCAACUAGCAUGACGACGGUUCAGAUUUGUUUGGGUACGAAUAUGUUUUAAAGCCUCAUGAUCAGAAUGAAUUAUAAACUCACAAGGCCAAAGGUAGUGUUGCCAUGUUUGCAAAGUGCGAACUAAAGCAUAAAGUUCCUUAUCAUAAGUAGAAUAUCUCAAGCUAGCACCGCUUAAUUUUUCACUAAAAUAAGCAGCUGGUUUUCCUUCUUGUAACAAAACAGCACCUAACCCAAUACCACUAGCAUCACAUUCAAGUUCAAACACUUUUUGAAAGUCGGGCAAUUGUAAGAGUGGAGCAUGGGUUAACUUAUCUUUCAAAGUGUUGAACGCCUCUUCUUGUGGGGAUCCCAAGAAAAAGACACACCUUUCUUUGUGAGUUCGUGCAAAGGGGCAGCGAUGGAGCUAAAAUCACGCACAAAACGGCGGUAAAAUUCUGCAAGUCCAAGAAAACUCUGAAUUUGGGUGACCGUCGUUGGUGUAGGCCAGUCCUGAAUGGCUUCAAACUUGCUGCUAUCCACCUCAAUGCCCUGUGGAGUAACCACAUAACCAAGAAACGAGACAUGUUGCGUGCAAAAUGUGCACUUUUCCAUGUUACCAAACAAGCGAGCAGCACGCAAAGCAUCAAAAAUAGCACGCAAAUGUUCUAAAUGCUCCUCUAUAGACUUGCUGUAAAUAAGGAUAUCAUCGAAAUAAACAACAACAAACAAACCUAUGAAGGCUCGUAGAACUUCGUUCAUUAAACGCAUAAAGGUGCUGGGAGCAUUAGUCAAUCCAAAUGGCAUAACCAACCACUCAUAUAAACCAAAUUUCGUUUUAAAAGACGUUUUCCAUUCAUCAUCGAGUUUCAUUCUAAUCUGAUGGUAACCGCUACGCAAAUCAACCUUAGAGAAAAUAACGGCACCACUAAGCUCAUCUAACAUAUCAUCAAGGCGUGGAAUAGGAUAUCAAUAACGAACUAUAAUGUUAUUAAUAGCACGACAAUCUACACACAUACGCCAUGACCCAUCUUUCUUUGGAACGAGUAAAACAGGAACCGAGCAAGGGCUAAGAGACUCACGAAUGUAACCUUUAUCAAGCAGCGUCUGCACCUGGCGCUGGAUCUCCUUCGUCUCAUCUGGAUUUGUACGGUACGGGGCACGGUUCGGAAGAGAAGCACCGGGGAUGAGAUCGAUCUGAUGCUCAAUGCCACGGAGCGGAGGAAGACCCGGUGGUAAGUCCGUAGGAAAAACAUCAGCAUACUCCUGCAAAAGGUUAACAACAGCAGGGGGUAUAUCCAAAGACGGUGCAUCAUCAAGCGGAACAAGCAUGCGCGAGCAUACAAGUGCAUAACAGGGCAUAUGAGCUUCGUGGAAAUCAUCAAAAUCAGCACGUGUAGCAAGUAAAACAGGAGAGUGCAACUUGAUUUCAGAUUUAAUAGGUGCGGCUGAUGUCGAUUUGACUUGUUGUGCAGUUUUAGCAGCCCUAGUAAGAUCAUCUUUCAAAAUUUGGUCAGGGGUCAUUGGAUGUAUAAUUAUUUUCUGGCCUUUAAACAUGAAAGAAUAAUGAUUUGAACGAUCAUGAUGUAAACUAUCAGUAUCAUAUUGCCAAGGUCGACCCAAUAACAAAGAGCAUGCUUCCAUAGGAAUAACAUCGCAAUCGGCAUAAUCAGAAUAAGAACCCAGCGAAAAGGGGACACGUACCGAACGUGUUACCUUUAUUUUACCACCAUCAUUAAGCCAUUGAAUGUGAUAUAGAUGUGGGUGUGCGCGAGUGGGCAAGGAUAAUUUCUCUACCAAAGCUGUACUUGCUAAAUUAUUGCAGCUGCCACUAUCGAUGAUGAUGCGAAUCGACCGUUCGUUCACAACGCCCUUGGUAUGGAAUAGAGUGUGUCGCUGAUUUUUUCGGCCUGGGCAACCUGUGUGCUGAGAACACGCUGCACAACAAGACUCUCAUACCUAUCGGCGUCGAUGGGAUCAAUGUGGACUUCCUCAUUUUCUGCAUGGUUAGUGGCAAUCAUAGCAUGACUAGUUUCCUCAGAAUCACUGGCUGAAGAGUACUCACCAUUGUCACGUAUAAGCAAGGUACGCUUGUUUGGGCAGUCCUGAAUCAUGUGCCCAAACCCUCUGCAACGAUGGUACUGAAUAUCCCGUGUACGUCCUGUGGAAGAAACGGCGCCUUUGGCAGGGGGCGUUGCUGGCUUGGCCGUCCCUGUGCGCGGUGUAGUGCUAGGCGUAGAAGGUGCAGGGCUGGAAGGAGUAGAGCUGUGUGUCAAACCCCGGCCUGCAAAAGAGUUAGUAUAUGUCUUUGAUUGUCGUCCCUGCACUUCACGUUCAGCUUUGCAAGCAUAUUCAAACAAUGUGGUUAUAUCAAAAUAAUCCUUAUAAUCAAGUAUAUCCUGAAUUUCCCUGUUCAAACCACCACGAAAUUGCGCCAUAGCAGCGUCAUCCGACUCAACCAAACUACAACGAAGCAUACCCUUUUGUAAUUCCUGGUAAUAUUCCUCAACAGAUUGUGAACCUUGUUGAAAACGCUGCAUUUUGUUAAGCAAAUCACGGGCAUAAGAGAAAGGAACAAAUCUGUGGCGCAUGGCAGUUUUUAAUUGGGUCCAAGUAGUGACACUGUUAACGGAAAGUUUUUGCUUAUACUCACGCCACCAAAUUAAAGCAAAAUCAGUAAAUUCACUAAUGGCAGCCUUCACUUGGCUAUUAGCAGGACUAUCAUGGCAUGAAAAUUUCUGUUUUACCUCCAAUUCCCAAUCAAGAUAUACAGCAGGAUCAUAUUUACCAUUAAAAGAUGGAAUUUUAAAUUUAAUCUUAGCAAAUAAGUCAUUAGGGGGAUGAUGAACCACACGGCAUGCACGACCACGACGAUCUCAAUCGUCCUUCUCAGUGUCACCGCCAUAGUCCUGCUCCAUCUUUGUGGUCAACGCAUCAAGGCGUGCCAGGAUGGUGUUGAGUGUGGUGCGAGUCGCCGUUUGAGCAAGGCCAAGCUGGUUGAAACGCGUGGUCGUCGAAGUGACCGUUGAAUCAAGCCAUUCAUGCAUCGUCCUAAUGUCAGCAGCAAGUCCAUCAACUUGUCCCCUUACUUCCUGCAACUGGACAUCCACCGUGUCAUGUGCUCCUGCCAUAGUUAGCGCAAACACCAAAAGGAGAAAAACCGACGACAAUAAGGGAAUGGUGGUGACAACUCGCUCAAUGGAAUGUUGUUAUCAAGUUCUUAUCCGUUCUUACCAAGCCACAGGGGUGAACUGCAACCAACAGGUGGAACUGAUGAAAGAUUGGAUGAGCGAUUGCUUGGAGAAAUAGAAACCUGCUCAUCGUAGAAAUAUGUGGAGUUCUGGGUAGGCUGCACUCAAGUCAAGGAUUAGCACGAUCAAACAAUAAUGCAAAGUUGAAUUAUAGUGCAAAACACGAAACUAUAUUGCUGGCCACAAGUGCAAAGGACACAACAAGUUGGAACAAAGAACAAUGGAACUAGCAGAAUGGUAGUACCGUAAAUAUUGUACUAGCGAGGCCAAAAAGGCACUAGUAGGAAUCACAGGUGAUUUUGUUUUUCUUUUUUGUAUGAUUUUUUUAUAUUUUUCUCAGCACAAGAAGCAACAAAAUAGGAGCUACACCAAGUUUCACCUAAAACAGAGAUCAGAUGUGGCUUACAGAAAAAGAGCAAGUUCUCUAAAAAGCGUGUAAGAGCUUUGACGAUUUUUUUUUCUUUAUUUCCUGAAUUUUUUUGACAUUUUUAUCGAAACCAAACAUGUCGUAGGCCAGUUUGGCUGGCCUCAGAAUGGUGUCAACAAUCUCCUGUAAAAAUUUCAGAUUUUUUGAACAACCGAGCGAAAAGUUAUGCCCGGUUUAAGGAAGGUACCUCAAGUUAUGUUUAAAACGAUCGAGAUGAGACAACCGCUUUGUUUCCUUUCCCCUUUUUUGUUUGUUCUCUAGUUCUAUCCUUUCUCUUUCUUUUUCUUUCUUUUUCUUUUCUUUUUUUUGUUUCUGUUUUUUUACGUAACCGAAGGAGAAAACAAGGAAGCGGCGUUGACUCGGUUUGUGGCGUGAUCAAACGGGAGAUGGUGGCGGCGCGCUAGGGUUUGAAUGGUGGAAGAAACAAGGAUGGUGAAAAAACACAAUGCAACCAGCAACAAAUGACGCGCAAGCACACAAAUUCAAAAAUGCAGAUUAUUGAAAGAAAGUGCGAGUCUCAAAAGGGUGCUGGGAUAAGGUCUAACCUGAAUUUUUAUGUGGUUUUGUUGAUAGUAGGAGGAAAAAAACACUCGAUAAACUCACCAAUCAACCUGGAAAUCUGAUACCACUUGAUAUAGCUGAGGUGCCCGAUCUUUCGGUGAGUGGAGAUAAUUCCGAUUUGGCGGAAGAUGACCCUUGCGAUCCGACUACGACGAGCAAGCCCGAGGCGCCAAUGCAAUCGUUGAACCAACUCCCUGUGGUUACUGACCUUACUGAUGCGUGAUCCACCUGAUCACGAAGAUCGUUUCCUGUGCGCAAUCGAAGAACGAACAAGAAAAAGAUGCGAGCAAUCUAAUUUAUUACUCGAGGGUGGAGUUCUGAAUACACGAAGACUGCGCUGAUUUGCGCGUGUUCGAGAGUAGCUAAAGCUAACGUAAAACAAAACUCAUAGAACAAAGGAGGCGCAGCUCCUGGAUAAAUAGAGAGGGGGACGCAGCCCCUAGUGGCGGCCAAAGGGGGAAAACGCAACCCUAGGUCGCCCACUAUGGGCCGCAGUUGGACUGGUCGUCUAUUCUUCUGGGCCCUCAUUCUUCAGUAGCAUGACGAAGUUAAGAUCUCUGGCAUGGGCCCGAGUGAUUGGCCCAGCUAAUGAAGGAAGUGGUGCUUGAUGUGGAGGUGCUGCUGGUGUAGUCGUACUCAUGUUGCAGGUGAUGUCCUCAUAAAAAAGGCUAUCUAGUCCUCGAUAGAUUGUCCUUAAGUCAAUAGUAAAUAUCAAGGGCAUGGAUGUAAUUUUACAUAGGUUGUGUACUGUGCCUAUAAAUAGAUGAACAGUAACAUCGUACUGGGCACGCUGACUGGUAUUCACUCGCACGUCACUCUCUGACUCAAACCUUCUGUCAAGCCGAAGGUACAAAUGUAACUUACUGUUAUUAAUGUUUGCCCAUGAUGAAAUAAUGAGAAUAUAAAUAAUGUUACAAUUCAAUAUGAUUGUUCAUGUUGUUUUCCAUGUUUCAUAUACUUCUACUUUCAUUAUUAUAUACUGAUAUAAUGAAGGUAUGUCCUUCAUAACCUUCGUCUAAAGAUCAUUGUAUCCUAAGGGAGAUAAUGCUUUGAAGGACGAAGGUCUUUAACCAUUAACAUUUUUGUGUUGCCUUGUUCUUAACUCAUAGCAUUUGAGAACAAGUCCCCAACAAAACUUAUGCAUGAAUAGUGAUAAUAAAGAAUAUUAUUGGGUAAUAAAAGUGGAUCAAGGGCACAACUUGCUUGGCACUUGAGAUUCCAGUAACCAAGGUGAUUCUUCAGAUCCUCGUGACCUCACUGCUAAUCGUAGCAAUACAAACAGACAUGGUAUAGACAAAAUUAACAUCACACCAUGCAUAAGAACAAACUUCAUAAUAAUGAUCUACGCGAAGUUACGAGGUCGUGGGAUCGAGAACUACUAAGAUCGAAGUCGGGGGUCAUCAAGUUAUGAUGUGAUUAAAUGAUUAAAACUAGGUGUUAUUUUAUAAUACCAGAGAAAAGAUAACCAAAAAUAGUAAUUAAUUCAACUUUAAUCUAAAUUAUAAAUUGACUAUAGAUCACAGUUUAGUAGAUAAUGAUGAGCACAUUAACAAGAAUAACCAACAUAAGUUAAGUAAAGAUUUAAUCAUAAAAUAAUGAGACAUGGUAUAAUAAAUGUUGUUAUUGCAUAGUAAAUAUUCGUACGAGACUAACGCAACUUGACCGGAUCAAAUCGGAAUCAUAGAUUUUAAGUUAUGAAUUUCUAAUGAUUUUAUGUGUUUUGUACAAUAUUAAAUGGGAUAUAAAUUUUAAUAUGACUUUCAUGUGAAAACAGUGGUACUAGAUGAUAAACCAUAAUAUUACAAAAUUAUAGAAACUCGAAUGGACUAAAAAGGAGCUAGAAUAGAUUUUCUAUGAUUUAAACAAGUUUCUGCAAUUAGUUUUAUAUUGAAAAUCACUUUUUAAAUGGAUUUCUCAAUUUCCUUACAGAUCUGGUCUGCGCGCAAUAUUAACAAAAAGUCCAAGGACUAAAACAGAAACAUUCCUAAGACUCAGAUCCCCAGUCGCUAGGACUCCAGGUUGUUUUGUCACUUUCUCAGGGUCUCUUUUGAAAGAAGAGCACGACGAAGGGGUAUCGGCAACCCACAGUCGUCCGAUCUCCACUCAACGCGCCAGAUUAGAUUGCCAAACGGGAAUAUUCCUAUGCCAUCACAGCCACCCGCGGCAGGAUCAACGACCCUGAUCUAUUGUGUGGGAGGGAAAACACGGACAACCGAUCCGGCCAUCCGUUUCGAUCUCGACGGCCAAGAUCAACCUAACGCGAACCGUUACACCGUCCUAAUCCUGACCGCACAACAAAAUCGAACGGCCAGGAGCCGAUUCCCACUCAGGUGACGACCGACCGGCGGCGGCAUUCCACCCACGGCGGCGCGGCAUUAACGGGCCACUAGCUUAAUCUCCGAUUUCUGCCUACAACAUGAUUCUGAUGCUUGCAUAACAAAGCAGAGAGUAUGGGGAAUGUAAUGGAGUGCAUCAUACCGUUCUCGGUGGCGACAGCAGCACUGCCCACGGUGACCCACGGCCCGACUGCCUGGAUGAAGAACCGAUGAGAAAUUCCGCCGCACCGCAGGCCUCAGCGCUGGAUUAGGCCCGUGUACACGAUCUACCAACCCUGUAGAAUGCCUGGAACCGCACAACGGAGGUUGGGAGGCGACGAUGGCUACAAUCAAUGGCGGCGUUGCAGAUUCGCACGGCUACAGCGAGCAAUUCCCCACCGUCCAGCCACACAUCACCCCCUCGAUGCGGACAUAAGCACCACCCGAGCGGCUGUACGCCAUGAUGAAGUACUCCUCCACAUCCGGCCGCCACCGCAGCCUCAGGCUGUAUGUGUACCGUGCCGUUUCAGCAGCUUCCGGCUGUACCGCCAAGGGGGGAGUGGGAGUCCAUUAAUGGUGAGGGCCGCCGGUUGCGAGCCAAAGGCGGAUGGGGAGGUGAUGUAGGACUAGGUAGGGAAGAAGCACGGAACGACGAGCACGAGGCAGAAGAAUCGAGCACGGAGGUGGCGGCUCGAGAUGGCAGAAAAAAAUGAAAAGGAAAGUCUAGUUCUGCAUUUAAGCACCAUGACCGGGAGGUCCAGCCAGCCGAAGGGAAUAGUUGAAUUCCCGCAAAAGUUUGUUGCUAGGAUCCGAUUUCAUGGCUAGAAGCUCGGACCCCACGAAUUUUUCUAUUCUCGGGUUAUUACGGAGGGGAAAGAGAGAUGACAUGCGGGGCCCGCACCGUCAGCGAGUGGUGGCCAGGGUGAUGCGCGCUGCUGCCGCGCCCUAAGAUGAGUUGGGCUGGCUGCGCGAGGAGAUGGGAGAAGUGGGCCGAAUUGUGAGGGUGCGGCCCAACAGCGGGUUUUUCUUCUUUUUCUUUUAUAUUUCCAUUUCUAUUUUCUAUUUUCUAUUUCUCUCAUUUUCAUAUUUAGGUUUCGAAUUUGAAUUCAACUAUGAAUAUGAAUUUUGUACUUAAACUAAAGGUAGACUUUAAUCUUACAAGUAUGGAUAGAGUUUACGUUUUUUAUGAAUUUUAUAAUAUUUCUUUUCUUCCUUUCUCCACAUCUUAAUUUCCAAAUUUAGGUUUAAAUGCCUAUUUGACCAUUUGUAUAUUCCUAUUAUCAUUAUUUUUAAAUGCACAAUCAAAUAAACUCCAACAUGAUGCCAAGUGUAUAAAUAUUUAUUAUUAUCUCAUUUAAGUAUCAUGUUUUUUUAAAUAUGCAAAUUCACAUACACAAAAAUAGUUGCUUUUAAGAGGAGCAAAUUUCUAGUGUACAACCUUUACUAAAAGAUGCUUUAUCUAAAUUUUAUAGCUCAAAUAAAAGAGAGAACCUAAUUCAUAUAGAUGUCCUUUAUUAGAAAACAUGUUUAUUUUGUUAAGGAGAAAAUUCUUUUCUAGAGGAUUUACUCAAAAAUUUUGGAAAGUUUUACUAAAUUCUUAAGACAAAAUUUUUAGGUGUUACAGUAGAGUGGUCAGGCUUCGCCAUGUUAUUCGGUUUUCUCCAUUAAUUAUUUCCGCUGCACUAAAAACUGUUGUUACUGCUUUUGAAACUCCGAUAAUGUAAUCACUACUGAUACUUCUUAAAUUUGUGGUAUUAUGCUUUAUUGUAUUCUCUGUGCCUCACCUUCGAGUGAGCUAGUGGUAUUCGAUCCUUGGUAAGUGGCUUUAUCAGACUAGAUCCGAGGGACUAACGGGUUAUUCCGAUUUAAGUGUGUUCCUGCCUUCAAGGCGUGACUCGGGAACUUAAGUUGGAAUAAUUCGGGUGGUUGCGCCAGAGCUGGUAUCGGAGCGAAUACCAUUACAGAGAAGUCAAUAAGUCAUGAAUACCAACUUUUCAAAAGUAAAACUUGCUUAGAAACCAAUGUUGGAUAGAUCGUCAGGACGAUAAGGUUAGACCUAGGACAUGAAGCCUUUGGAAAUAGAUGGGUAGCUUGGUGGCUAUUUAUAUAGGCCGUAAAGGCUACUAUUGCUACUAUUAGGAUGCUGUAGAAGCACCCGAAAAAGUAGUUAGGUCUAAAAAGACGACUAGAAUGAGCAUGCAUCAUGUUUGUCGCAUUAUAAUUGUCUCUUGUGCAUCAACAUGCUUCUCUCACCUUUAUUCCAAUAAUAAGAACUUGUGAAUAAUGUGAUGUACUGCUAUGUUAGGAAUUAUAAGAAAUGCCUUACCUCGCGUCGGAUUGGUAAGUCUUGUUAGGUCGUGUUAUGUGUUUCUCUUGUCUUGCUAUCUAGGUGGCAUUGUAAUUGUUCAACCCUUUUUGCAAAAAAAAUGUUGUAUGUUCUGCUCAUGAGAAGACCCCCAUUUCCAAACAACCUUGAGCUUAGCAAGUGAAAUCUCUUAAAAAUUCAUGCUUGUGUUGGUAUUUUCUAACCCUUGUGUGUUUUACCCUUGAAUUUACACCUGCAUAACUUAUAGACACCCAUAGCUUGACCCCUAAAUCGACUAAAGCUUCCAUGUGCACUUGUGUAUGUCAAAAAAUGAUUUAUUGUCUAUUUUUCCAAAACAAUAUCCAGUCCCAAAUCCUUUUUGGAAACCUUGUCCAAAAUCCUCAUUAAAUUCUCUUUUGCUCAACCUAGAAGCCAUCUGGGUUGAUGACCUCUCUUUUCACCUGGAUCUAGUAAACCUUUACCUUUGUGAAUCAUGUUGUGGCCUUAUCAUCCAAAUCUCUAGAUCCUUUAAUGAUUCUACCCUAUUAUUUGGUUAUCUGCUAUAACCCGUUCUCAAGUAUCGGAUGUUGAUCUACCUAAAUCUCUUAAUUCUGGUCAUUCUCAUACCCCCUUUCUCCGAGGAUCAUGACGUCAUUCUCAUACCCCCUUUCUCCGAGGAUCUACCUAAAUCCUUUAAUGAUUCUUAUUGUUGUUGUCUUUAGUUCUCUCAUGUCUCAGCAAGUUGCCAAUCUUGAUCUCAUGGUUGGUUCCCCUCAUAUCCACUCUCGUAUAAAUCUCUGACUUGAUAAUCUCCAUGAUGAUCAUAAAAGAGUAUAUGGAGUUGAAGAAGAUUCUCAUGCAUUGCUCUUUUUGCCAAAAAUCUAUGUUUCAACUCCUGUCACGAUCUUAUUUUUUGAGCCAUACUCCCAAGGGCUCCAUCUAUUUAUGCCACGUGGAUUUAUCGUUGGUUGUAUUUGGUAAUGGUAUUAGGACUAACGACUGAUGGUGUCGUGACGAAGCCGAGAGCCUCCUGUGGGCGCGCACACAAGAUUGAGCUGCUCGGCACGCGCUGGUAUCGCAGUUAAUAGUCGUGAUCCAUUAUGGAAAUUACGCCAACAUGCUAUCUUUUGUGGACAUUCUCUCAAGUGAUCGCUGCAUUUUGUCUCAAUAUGUCGCGAUGUCAGGUUCAAAUCUAUCUUCCGUAUAUUGUCAGAUGACAUCUCAUGAAUUUGCUUCUACCUUUAGCGUAGGAGUUACAUGCUUGUCCACCCUUAAAGAUCCUCAUUCAAAUCUCGGGACGAGAUUCUUUUAAGGGGGGAAGGCUGUGACACCCCUGGUGUCUAUUUCGUGUUAUGCUGUAAGUGUCCUGAGUUCUGAUGGUGAGUGAAAAUUUCUAUUUCUCAAUCGUGUCUAUCUCUGCUUAUCAAGUUACUCAUGUUCAGUUCCCUUGAAUGUCUGAGUUAAAUGAUCUCUAAGAAAGGAUAGAUUUAGAGCCUGUUAAAACUUUUGUUUCUUGAAUGAGUGCAAAUUCGGAUGUCAAUCUCGUUUCGCAAAUCUCGUCAAAAACUCCUCGUAUCCGAAGUCUCAAUAGUGGCUAUCUAAUCUAUGCCUGAACCCGUUUUCUCGAUAUUUGAUCAAUGUUCAAAUAUCUUUAUCCAAAUCUGUACUCUCAAAUAGAAUGCUCCGUUAUGUCAUCCUCUAAUUAAUUCUUAUCCGACUCAGCUUAAUAUCUCUGUGUCCAAUUCGAUUUAAAAAAUCAGCAUCGGCGAUUUUUUUAAAUGUCGCGAUUUGUCUCCUUCAAUCAUAAAUUGGAAAGUUGGUCAUAUCUCGAUUCAUUUUAUUUUCGAAUCAUGUACGAGGAAUUAUUUCCAAGCGAAGUCAAAUCAAAUUCUCGGUCGAAUUAAUCGCUCGAUCUUCCGUUCGUCCGAACUCUAGUUCGCUCUGUUAUCCAUACAAACAAAUUCUACAGGAGCAUUUUAUUCCUGUAAACAAGAAUCCUUAACCUGGAAGCAACCUUUGCUUCUACCCUAAGAAAGCUCAAGGAAAACCCUAGCCCUAGAGCUCCCCUAUAAAUAGAAGUGCUUAUUCCUUACACAUGGAAAAAUUUGCACUCCUACCCCUAGCCGCCAGCCACUUCCUUCUUCCCCACGAAGCAAACUCUUCUGUUCCUAGACGCAGCAGGGGGCAACCACUCACCUCCAUAGCUCCCUCUGGCAUCGGCUGUCAAGCAGGCUUCCCUGCCUUCCUCCCUCUUGAGCCACCUGGUUUUCGUCUGUAAGCUUGCCGGCCGCCAUCUUCCCCAAGUGCUGACGCAUGGGAGCCAUGUCCCCUCUGUCUAGAAAACGCAUAGCUCGAGCACACCUCUCUGCUCCCUUCCAUGUUCGUCUGUGGCUCCUCUCCUUGAGCACCCCCAUGGUCGGCUCUUCCUCAGCUCCACAUCCAUGGCGGCUUGGCUCUAGCCCCCUCCUCUCUGUUCCUUGCACAGAGGAACUUCUUCUCCAAGACCGGUGCUUUCUUCCCUCUGUGUCUUCUUCCCUGCGCACCUGCAGGCCGCCGGACCUUGCUCCAUCCAGAUUUCGCGCCAUAUGCUCCUUCAUCGAGGCCAUGGCGAGAUCUGUCACCAGAGCCAUGCUUGGCCUCGCCCCGGACCUCGGGUUUGCACCAGCGAGCUCACCUAUAGGUCCGGCCAUGGCCCCUACAGUGUCUAGACCAUGUGUUCCUUCUUCGCCUAGCCCCACAUCGGCUCGCCUCACCUCAGCCUGACUGGGCGCCGACACCCAGCGAGCUCCUCCUCCACAAGCAGACCGUGGCAUGGGAUGCUGAGCUCGCCUAGAUCACGUGCGCCCUUGUGUUUCCCCUCAUGGCGCACCCUACGCACCGUUGCCGACAUGCUCUACCUCGUCGUCCGCCCCAUCUGAAUCCUAGCAGCAGCUCGUGCAUCAGUUCCCCAUACGCAGCCAUGGUGGUUCUCUACUCACCAUUCUAACCACAAUAGCAAGCCCCAAGCCACUCUCCACUUCGCUCGGUCUGCUCGACGAAAUGCCCCUCAGUGUACGCUGCUGCCCCCAUGUCGUGUCACCUGCGCGAGUGUUCACCGAGUGCAGCCCUCUACUCCUCCCCGGUAGCACUCGCGCCCCUUCCUCGCUGCACGCCACGCAGUGUGUCUCUCCCUCGUAGCACAGCCGCCUGGUGUUCGGCAAAAUAUCCAAACCAAGAACAGUUGCCAUUUUCGCUGUGGGUUCUGUCGUGCUGCGUCCUUGCCACUCUCGCAGCCACACCCUCCUUGUUGUUGUGUCAUCGUUGCACUUAUGCACUGCGCAUCUGCAUCCCUUCCGCACCGCACACUCCAAUCAUCGCGCUCGCGAGUAGUCGCCUUGCGACGUCGUCAUCACGACUCCCCGCAAGUCGCACGUGGCCGACACUGUGCUUGUGCGAGUGCGUGAUUGGAGAACCCCGUCGGAGAAGAAAGUAAGUGCAAGGUGAUGGGACCUUUCUUUAUGUUCUAUGCCCCAGUUAAGUGUUAAUUAAGUAAUGCGUAAGUAUUCGACGAAGUUUCUCUUUUGCACUCAGUGGCGUGAACGCGCAGGUAGAUCGAAGAAACAAAUGUGUCGCGCUUGUUUGAUGUGAUAAGUAAGUUGGAGGUACAAGUUAUGUGAGAGAUGAAUUAGUGAACGUGUGUGUGUGCCAUGGUGCAUCGUAUAUAUGGUUGCGCUACGUGGAUCAAGUGUCUCGAGUGCAUGCCGCAACAUGGUUUUAUGCGAGACAGGGUAAUAUAAGGUGUGCUCGACACAAAUGUUCGGUUGGUAUAAGUAGAAACUGUUCUGGAUUAAUUAGAGAGGUGGUGACAUGCCAAAGUAGUCAUCGCUUCCUCUAUGUUUAUAAGUCGAGUCGACGUGCAUUAUGCAUUCGUAAAAUUAUGCUUCACAUAUAGUGUAUGGCUGUGCUCACGAUUUCGAGUAGACACUUCAAGUAAUCAAGUAGGUUCGUGAUACAAGUUGUGUAAUGCAGUUAGUUGUUUUGGGAUAAUUAUUGAAAUGCUCUGUUCAUAUGAUAAAUAUGUAUGUGUUCAUGAUUUGGGAAGUAAGUGCAUGGUGGUUGCGAGUUGGAGAUUGGUGGUUUGCGGUUCGUAUGAUUUGGUCGAUGUGCGAAUAUACGUGUAAAUAUCUAUGUUUACAAAAAUGUUGUAGUGAAUGUUAUGUCUCGGAUUUCGAUAAUAAUAGGCAAGCCGGCGUGUAUGUUGUAUAGCGGGCUAUGUCAUUGCUCUGGUUAGCCAACUUGUUAGGUGGCUUGGCUAAGCUUGUGGUCACGAUGAUUUGCUUGUUGCAGUCUAAAUGUGCAUGGUUAUGGUCGCGAAUGAGAAGUAGUAGUGCUCAUGUGAUGUCUAAGUUAAAAUGCAAAUUAUUGUGUGAAGAGUGCAUCGAUAUACAUAUAUACCGGGUCUGAUUAUUGUAGUGAAUGCGUUUGUUAAAUGUGUGUAGUAAUUCUAGUGCACGAAAUGACUUGGGUAAAAUUUGUAAGUCGAAUUGUUGGUGCUCAUUGAUUAUUUUAACUCUAAUAAAUGGUAAAGUGUUAGAGUAAUUCAAGUCUCUAAAAUAUGGCCAUUCUUGAAGUAAAUAGGAGCUAAAAUUUAUUAGUUGCUGUUUUGGGCUGCACGCACUGUUUUCGCCGUGCUGUCUGUCUAAUGAACUAAAUUAUGCUUUCUGUAAAAAAGGCAUAUAUAUAGGAAAGUUGUACAUAACUUUAUUAUCUUACUUGUGCUAAAAUUUUACUGCCAUAAGUCUGAUCGUUUAUGAGUUAUGCUUUUCACAAGUCCAGCACCUGAAUCGGUCCAAUUUCUGAACAAAUUUCAGAGAUUGCAAUGGUUGCUUAAGUUAAUGUUGAAAUCAGUUAUUGGUGGUCACAAGAAAGUUGUAGAUAACUUUAUUGCCUUACUUGUUUUAAAAUCUGACGCCCAUAAACCUGAUCGUUUAGAAGUUAUGCCUUUCAUAAGUUCAGUAACUGAAUCUGUCCAAUUUUUGUACAGAUUUCAGAGAUCGCAUUGUUUGCUUAAGUUCAUAUUAGAAUCAGUCCUUGUCCACUAUAAGAAAGUUGUAGAUAGUUUUCUUAUUUUAGUUGUUUUAAAUGUUCAUGACAAUAAACCUGAUAGUUUGAGAGUUAUGAAUUUUAUAUGAUGAUUGUUGUAUUCUGUCCACUGUCAAAACAUAUUUCGAAAACUGUAUUAUCUGAUUUAGUUAAACAUAGAAUCACUUCUUGGUGAUUAUAAAAGUUAUGUAGUACUUUUACUAAGCUUUCCUAAAAGUCUUAGAUCAUCCUUUUUGGUGGUCUAAAGCUCAAGUUAUAGAUGUUUUAAGUAGGAAGACUGAAUAUGUCCAAAUCUGGACAGCAAAGCCUUCCUAGUGUCUUUUAGCCUUGAUACACUUUAAGCCUUCCUAGUUAUUUAUAAAUGAGUUGUAGACAAUUUAAUUAUAUUUCCAGAAAGUCUAAGAUCAAAUGAAUUGGAUGUCUGAGUCUCUAGUUAUGAAUUUUUAUAGUUGUAAGUCUGAAUCUGUCUAAAUCUAAACAGAGCUGUCGUUUGUCACUAUUUAACCUUGUUAAGUGUCUAAUCAGAUUGAGAUGACAAUACCAAAGUUGUAGAGUGUUUCUUAUGCUUUCCAAAAAUUAUUUGAUCACUAUUUUUAGACAAAUAUCUUGUAAGUUAUAACUGAAACAAUCAACUGUUGUGCUGCUGUCCUAAAAAGGAUAGAUGUGAGUGAUUGUUUCACCCCCAGUGUGUUUUGUCUUGAGUCGAGUACUUGUUUGUCUUGAUCUUGAUUGAACGAAUUAAUGAUAAUAUAACUAAUAUAAUUGAGCCUAAAUAUAUAAGUAACUAGUGCACGUCUCGCUAAGUUAGUGAACCAAAUUGGUUAAGGUCUAAUAAGUGUUUGCCUAGUGAAUAAUUGCAAAGCCCAAUUAAGUGAUUAAUUCCUUUUCAACUAAGUCUGUCUAUAUAUAAGUGGUAGCGAACUUGUGUACUUAACUAAGUUAAUGUUAAGAAACUAAUGGAUGAUUAAAUUGAACAUGGAUAAAUGCUCAUACUUGCGAUGUCGUGUUUGCGUUGGUUAAAUAUAGGAAAUGUCGUUGUCUUUCCAGUGGUAGUGAUUACGUGUGCCCGAUGACGUAUAAAUAACUAGCGCUUGCGUAUAGUUGUUGCAGUGUCUUACUAUUUAGUGUUUAGUUUGCUAUAGUGUAUUGGAAUAUCUUGUGCUACUUUCAUCAUAUUCAUACAUAUGCAUCCUACAUCUCAUUAGGACCGAGAGAUGAUGAUCGUGCAAGUGAUGUGGUGCCAACCACAAGAUGCAGUUAAUGAAUGACCCAAAGAAGGAUGGAAUUAACCAGUGGAUGAUCGCCAAGCGAGUAUCAUCUAACAAACAGUAUCUAGUGUUGGAUUCCAGGCAAGCCCCGAUUUUAUGCAUAACCGUUUAUAUAUGUUAUUUUACUACACUUAAUGUUUGUAGGCUUGUACCGUGCACUUAAGUGUAGGAGUUGCCGGAAACCCUAGUUGCAUGAACUCAGGAUUCCUUUUGAGAUGGAUAGUAGUAUGCUGGGUCGAGUAGCUGCUAUGCUAAAUCAGGAUUUCGAUAGAAGCCGAGUGAUUUUUCUAGCACUCGCGCGAGGUCAGGAAUUGGUUGUAUCCAUUUUGAUAACAGAAAUGAUGAUGGUAUGUGGACACAGAUCCAUGGGGAUGCGUUGUCUACGAGACAAAAUUGGUAUAAGGAUUAACGUGUGGAUACCUGUGUCAAGCGUUUGAAUGUACUAAACACAUGUCGGGAAAUAUGAUAACCGAUAAGCAUAGUACCUAAUUGAACCUGCCCGUAGACUUUACUCCUCACUAGAACUAAGACGGAGUCUCCCAUGCCAGAUUAUGGUGGGUACAAGUGCGUCCAUUGCACGGCGGCGGCCAGGGACAAUUGGAGCAUUGUACGCCAAGGCCGUGAGCCUUGUUUUGUUGCUAGGGAAUCGAUGGGGACGGUUGACGUGUGUGGGACGGAGUGCCCCUACAUGUCGUGUGUUUAGGUUUACCUUGCAAGGUCAAAACUCGAUUCGAAUCGUCUGCUUCUCGCAGCUAAUGAGACUGCUUGAUCCAUUGUACUGCAUUGAGUAAAAAGUGGAAAUGAGGUUACUUUCAAAAGAUGUUGAUUGAUAUAAUGUUUGAUACCAUAUAUGAAUAGCUAGGUACUCAUCUAGUCUAAAAUUACUAUUCUAGAACUUGAAAAUCUAAAACUUGAUUUUAGACUCAGCUAGUGCUUUUGGCAAACCAAACCCCUCAACCAAACAGCUUCAUGGUCUAGAUGUAGAGGAGUAGACUCCUCACACCGGGUAAGUCUAGCUGAGUAUUAGUAUACUCAGCCUUGCUUGUGGCAUAAUUUUUGCAGGUACCUCCUUGAUUUGGUUGCUGGUGUGACUUGGCCUUCAUCCCUGCCACCGGGAUAGAUGGUCGAGAGGGUUACUGCUUCCACAGGAGACGACCAGGAGGAGUAGCGUGGCCAGGCUACGCCAUGUUACUCGGUUUUCUCCAUUAGUUAUUUCCGCUGCACUAAAAACUAUUGUUACUGCUUUUGAAACUCCGAUAAUGUAAUCACUACUGAUACUUCUUAAUUUUUUGGUAUUAUGCUUUAUUGUAUUUUUCUGUGCCUCACCUUCGAUUGAGCUAGUGGUAUUCGAUCUGGUAAGUGGCUUUAUCGGACUAGAUCCGAGGAACUAAUGGGUUAUUCCGAUUUAAGUGUGUUGCUGCCUCCAAGGCGUGACUCGGGCACUUAAGCUAGAAUAAUUCGGGUGGUUCCGCCACACGCAAGGUCAAGUCUGUCGCACGCCUUCCUCGCACCCACGCCUAUAAAGGCCAGUAGCCCUUGAACAAUCCUUGGCUCAGCCUCGGACACUCGCCGCGCUCAAUCACCGGAAGCAUUGGCUGUGAACCGAGAGCUCCACCGCCCGCCAUGCCGCCCGAGCUCCACCCACCGCAGCCAGCUCACCUCAGCCAUCCCUCGCCCACGCCAGCAAUUCGAUUAGCUUCACUGGAGACCCAUGAAGCUUCCCAAACCCUCAGACCGGGUGCAACAUCACCGGAAACAUCGGAUCACCCUCGCCGGACUCCUUCCGCUAACCGGAAAGCGUGGACCAGGUAAGCCACUGCAUCAUUUCCAAAUUCCUCGCGCAUACCACCUCUGCGUCACUUGGUAAAGCUCCCCGAGUCAACCAUUUGAACCAUUCCGCCGUGGUUAGGCCGGGACACUCACCGCCGAUGAGCUCCCCCGCCUGCGCACGAGGACCGACCGACUCCGACCAUCUUCGACGCCGGCCCGCACAUCGACGUGACCGCCGUAACCUCCCUGACCUCCCUGGACACCUCACCGAAGCUAGAUCGCCGCCGGUAAGCCUCGCCACUUUUCUCCACCGCGGUUACUGUUCUAAUAAGGCUAGGAGCACGGGUUAGAUUUAGGUUAACCCUAGGGGGUUUUCUGCAUUGUCAGAGACUUAGUUGAAUAGUAGCCCGAGGACCUGUUUGUAAGAGACAUGGGAAAUAUAUGCCAGGGACCCUAGCGCAAAGUAAAUUUCCUUUUCCAUUUAAAAUCAAAAUUCUUUAAAUCUGCAGCAAAAUAGAUAAAUGCAUAACGUAAAGAAUAUUCAUCCAAAUUUGGUCAAACAAAUUUUGUUAGACUAUGUGAACUAUGCACUAUCAAACAAAAAUAGUAAACCCCAUGUUUUCUAUACUAAUUUUUAUAAUUUUGAAUUAAAUUAGAAAACUGCCCAAACCUUGAUAAUACAGAGAAAAAUAGAAAUACUUCUAUACUAGGCUUGAGAAAAAUUGUGAAGACACUCACCAAGUAUAUACACUGUUUAAAAAUAAUAAACACCAUAGUAUACAAGACUAAGCCAGAAAUAUCCAUUAAAGACUAUUUCUACCUAAACUUUAGGAAAUUGAAAAAGGGGAUAUAAAACAGAAACCAGAGAGUGACCACAUUUUUCCUAGGAUGCCUAAGUGACAUAGAUCAUAGGAAAAAUAUAUGGAACCCUGGUCUAGUAUUGAUCUAAGGUCAUAAUUUUAUUUAGGUAUUAAGAAGUAAAUAAAGGCCAUAAUUAAAAAUAUAAGGGCACAUGCAAUAAUGGCACGAAAAAUUCAGUAGACUCCUGACCACUAAUAUACCACUGCAAAAAUGGUAAACACCCCAAGCCAUCACAGUAAGUGAGUUAAACAAGUAGAACUUGAAUUUAGCCAAUAAUUCAAAUAAGUUAAAAGAAAGACUAAAAAAGGGAAACAAUGAACAACCCAAUUUUUACCUAAAUAUUUAUGAUGUAAACUACCAGAGAAAAAUAUGAGACUAAGAUAAAAAUAUGAUGUAAUACACCUCACCCCUGCCCCAUGAAAAAGACUGUAUAUUCCAAGAAUUUUACAACCCCUUCCCUAUGAGCAAAGUUAACCAACUUAAAGAAUGAUUGCUCUUGCACAAAGAAGAAGAUAGGAAAAUUAGGAAAUCUGUUGUUUGACAUUUUUCAAAUAUAGAAAAGCACCACUAAGCCCCCAAAUUUUAGAAAAUCACCAUAAAUUAACCAGUAGGUAUUAUUGGCUAAAAUUUGGUAUAAAGUCAUUUUAUUACACCUGGAUACCAGCAAAAAAAACAUAGGAUAAAAUUCACUGUUAGAGGAGAGUUGUAGUUCAAAGCACCCUCUCUGCCCUAAAUUUUAGUAUUUUUGUAUUGAGAAAACCCUUCUCAUUUUAAGCCUCAAUUUUUGAGACUGAAUUAUAUGAACCAUUAAGAAGCCACUGUAAUUUUUUCAGAAUUUUUGUUAAUUUUUAAAUUAGUGUUGUAGUUCAAAUCCACUCCAAAAGCAUAAAUAGAAAAGGAAAAAGAGAGAAUUAGUCAAAGUGAUGAAUCUUACCCAUAAUAAUUUCAGCAAGGACCUUGUUAAAUUUUCACUAAGACACUAAAAGUCAGUGGAGUACCAAAAUAAUCUAACCACCUAAACUUGACCAUACCUGAUUCUAAAUGACUGAGUAUACCACUAAACCUCCAAUAGAAGGGUUUAGCUUUGUAUCACUAACUUAAUCAUUUCACCAUGCAUCAUCAUUACUAAAUUUACAUACCAUAGCAUACACAUCUCUUAUUCAUUGCAUUCAUUUAGAUUGCAACUUCGCUGAUGGAGAGUACAUGCUCAUCCCCGAGCAAGAAGUUGCCCAAGACGAAGUUCAGGAGCCAGCUCAAGAGCCUGCCACCAAGGAUCUUCCCGCAGCCCCAGCUUUUGAAGGCAAGCCCCGGUUUUAUGCAUAACCGUUUAUAUAUGCUAUUUUACUACACUUAAUGUUUGUAGGUAUGUAAUGUGCAUUUAAGUGUAGGAGUUGCUUGAAACCCUAGUUGCAUGAACUCAGGAUUCCUUCUUGAGAUGGAUACUAGUAUGCUAGGUCGAGUAGUUGCUUUGCUAAGUAGAAAUCUCGGUAGAAGUCGAGUGAUUUUUCUAGCACUCGCGCGAGGUCAGGAAAUUGAUUGUAUUCAUCUUGAUAACGGGAUAUAUGCUAGUCUAUGGACUUGGAUCCAGGGUGGAUGCCUUGUCUAUGAGACAGAAAUGGAAUUAAGGAUUAAUGUGCGGAUACCUAAGUCAAGCGUUUGAAAGUACUAAACACAUGCCGGGAAAUAUGGUAACCGGUAAGCCUAGUACCUGAGUGAAGCCGGGCGCGGACUUUCCUCCUCACUUGUCCUGAGAUGGGUCUCCCAUGCUAGCUAUGGUGGGUACAAGUGUGGUCACUGCAUGGCGGCAGCCAGGGUCAGUGGAGCAUUGUAUGCCAAGACGGUGAGCCCUGGCCGCGAACAGGGAAUCGAUGGGGACGGUUGACGUGUGUGGGGACGGAGUGCCCCUACAUGUCGUGUGUUUAGGUUUACCUUGCAAGGUUAAAACUCGAUUCAAAUCGUCUACUUCUCAUAGCUAAUGAGACUGUUGACCCCUUGUACUGCAUCGAGCAAAAAGUGAACUAAGGUGUUACUUGAGAUAACAUGUUGAUUGUACUAAAUGAUUGUUACCAUGUAUGCUUAGAAAAGGAGCAAAGCUAGCUUAAAUAAAUAUGCUAGAAUGGGAAAAGCUAAAAUUGUUUUUAGACUCAGCUAGUGCUUUUGGCAAACCAAACCCCUUGGCCAAACAGCUGCAUGGUCUAGAGGUAGAGGACUAAACUCCUCACACCGGGUAAGUCUAGCUGAGUAUUAGUAUACUUAGCCUUGCUUGUGGCAUAUUUUUUUCAGGUACACUACAUGAUAUGGUUGAUGGUGUGAUUUGGCCUUCCACCUUGCCAUGAGGUUGGACGGUCAAGUGGGAUGCUGCCUCGACAAGAGAGGACCAGGAGGAGUAGUGGGCUAGGCCUUGCCCUAUUCCUUAGUGUCGAUGUUAUCGAUUAUCAGCUCCAUUUAAUUCUGAACUUGUUAUCUUUUGUCAAAACUCCGAUUCAUGUAAUAACUCCAAUUCCUUAAAUUGUGGUUUCAUGUUUAUUGUAUUCUCUAUGUGCCUCACCUUCGCGUGAGCUAGUGGUAUUCGAUCCUUGGUAAGUGGCUUUAUUAGACUAGAUCUGAGGGACUGACAGGUUAUUCUGAUUUAAGUGUGUUGCUACCUCUAAGGCGUGACUCGGGCACUUAAGCUAGAAUAAUUUGGGUGGUUCUGCCACAGCAUGGCCCACACAUCCUUCACAUGACUCACUCUGUUGCACCACAUUGGGUCAUCCCUCUUCUCGGCAGGGAAGAGUCCACAGAAGGUCAUUGUUGGUGACUUGUUCUCAAAUGCUUCGAGUUAAGAACAAGGCAACAUAAAAAGUGUUAAAUAUUAAAGUCCUUCGUCCUUCAAGACAUUAUGUCCCUUCGGAUAUAAUGAAUUCCGGACGAAGGUUAUGAAUGAAGAAAAUCUUAGUAAGCACAAUAGAUGAUAAAGAAGAAUUCAUAUGUGAAAUACGAAGAAUAAUAUAGAUAUUAUCAUCAACUUAUUUUUAUUUGUAUUAUCAUAUCCAGAAUUACAAAUUAUAAAUGUACCUUCGGUUUGACGGAAAGUAAAGGUACAAGCGUGAUGCAAAAAGCGAUUGCCAAGUCAACGUGAACAGUACGGGAGUACUGUUCAUCUAUUUAUAGGCAAGGGACGCAGCCUGUGUAGAAUUACAUUAAUGCCCUUUACAUUUAUCAAUAACUCUAUAGUAAUUCUUCGAGGUCUAAUUUGCCUUUUCAUCUUUAAGUCGGUUCCCCUUCUCUGCUAUCAUGCUGAAGCUUUUCUGCGCACAGCUUCGUGAUCAUCUUAUCCUUCGUCAUAAUUGCCUUUGGUCUCGCUCAGGCUUCGUCCUGACCAUACUCUUGUAUACUCAUAACCCGAUUCCGAAGAUACAUGUUCACAUAUUUCACUUGGAAAACAUUGUCAAAUCAUGUUUUUGAGGACCUUCGGAAGCCGAAGGCCCCCAACAGUAGCCCCUCGCAAUAUUAAUUUGCUAGAAUGAUAAAUUCAUAUUGCGACAUGGACGAAGGCCUUAAGCCGAAGGUCCGAAAAAACACCUUCCCUUUGCUAGAAUAGCAACAGUCAUUGACAAGCGGGACCCUCCAGUUUUCAACGCAUUAGGUGUAUAAAUAAGAGCUCACCACGAGUUUAUUUGGCACACUUUCUUGCCAUCUGCUCUUGCUCACUCGACUUUUAGCCUAUGUGCAACAAUACUUGCUUGGCUUUUUAAAUUUUUAAGCUUCGGUUUCGAGAGCAUUUUCUCAGCAUUUGCGAAGAUGUCUGAAGAUAAGAAAGUUGUUGCUGAAUCGAAGCUGAGCCUUUCUGAGGAGAUGCAUCUCGGCUUUCUUCAAUCAAUAGCAAAGACCGAUACAGAGAAGAUCGCUAGGGAGAUUUUGGAGGGUUUAUCUGAAGACACUGGUGACAGUGACAGUUAUGAUGUGGAUAGUGGUGGUGAAGAUUCCGAAGAUCGACCUUAGCGACCAAGCCAUGCGGUUUUUGGUAAAUCAAGUAUUAAACAAAGCCAUCUUGUCAAUAUGAGGGGUAGAUAUUUUCGGGACUUGUCUAUUGUGAGGGCUGACGAAGGAGAGAAAACUUGUCCGACUCCCGAGGAGAAUGAAGUCGUGAUAUUCUGAAGCUUCUUAAAGGCUGGACUGCGGUUUCCUUUGAGCAGUUUUGUCGUGGAAGUACUGAAGAUAUUUGAAAUCUGCCUUCAUCAACUUACUCCCGAAGCAAUCAUAAGGAUGGGCAUCUUCGUCUGGGCCGUGAGAAGCCAAGGUUUAGAACCAAAUGCAAAAAGUUUUUGCAACAUACAUGAGCUAUUGUAUGAGACAAAACCCUGGGGUAAAGAGCAGUAUCACAACAAUAUUGGCUGCUACAGCUUCGGCGCCCGGUCUGGGUCAAGCUGUCCCGUGCCAACCUUUCGAAAGAGGUGGCCCGGCGACUGGAUGACGGAAUGGUUUUAUGUGAAGAGUGACUUGAAAACACGGGAAGAUAUUAAAGAUAUCAUUAUGCGCCCUAUCUGGCAACGCUUCGGCCUCCGGAGGCCGAAGGUGGAAAUGAAUGAAGCAGCCGAAGAAUGCCAGAGAGCCUUCGGCGUGGUUUGCUCUUUUAUUGGGACAAGGGAUUUGGUCCAAUUACACAUUGCCUUCAGAAUAUGGCCACUUGUAGAAAAGUGGGAAAUGCCGAAGGAGACUGUUAGAGAAACUGACGAAGGUGGAUUAGUUAGGCUGAAAUACACAUUCCAAUAUGGAGAUAAAUUCGUCGAGCCAGAUGAUGACUGGCUAAAAAGUAUUGAGGCCAUAAGUGAUGAAUUGCUUGGAUUAUACUCGAAGGCCGAAGACACUGCACUAUCAGCGGCCUUCGGAGGCCGAAAGAAGAAGAGACUCAACCGAAUAUUUGAUGCAAUUGGGUUUGUCUACCCCGACUACCGUUAUCCAACGCGGGGUCAAAAAAGAAAGAAUACAUCUUCUGCGAAGGAGGUUGCUUCAGCCGCUCCUAGCGAGCCGGCGCCGAAGAGGAAAAGGGUGAAGGUUCUCACACACCGGCCACGUUAUUUUGAACCGGCCACAGUGCCUGAGUUUGUCGGUGAGACCUCUUCGGCCACCGAAGCUAAAGAACCAACCCCCCUGUCGAAUAUUGAAGGGCUGGCCGAAGUGCCGGCGACGGAAAAAAUAGAAGAACCGAGGGCUGAAGAAACAAAGACAUCAGAAAUUCUAAGUCCUUCAGCAAAAAUUGAGGUGCCAAUGCCAAUGACGACCCCAAAGAGAAAAAGAAUGGUUAAUGUACCGGAUGUAUUGGAGACAAUAAAGUCUUCAAGCACUACUCUGAAGAAAUUUGGCAAGACUUCCGAAGUGCAAAUCGAAGCAUUUGAUGCCGAAGCUUCAAAGCAUCAAUCUGAGACUGAAGCUGGGCCUUCAGAGCCCACCAAGGUGAAAUCCUUGUAAGCCGAAGAAACUGAAAUAGCAGAAGAAAUUUCGGCUGAAAAAACUGGCACUGCCGCCCCCGAAGCAUCUUCCGAAGCCUUCGAUUAUAUUUUUCGUCAUGCUUCGGGGAAAAAAUUGACUGAAAAAGAAAAGCAAGAGGCCCAAUUUUACGCCAAAAAACUGAAAUAUCCAAAGGGGGCGUUGAUAUUCAACGGCAGUGGAGAAGAAGACUUUUUGUAUUGUCUUCCUGACAGCAAGCAGAUUUCUGUCUGUCGGGAGAUGAGCAAGAGCUUCGGAUUCCCAACACUAGAAAGCGGGCUCUCGGUGCUAUCAAAAGACGAGCUAGCCGACAGCUUGGCGUACAACAGCUUAAAGGUGCAAAAAUGAGAUUUUUGUAUUAUUUGUUGAAAUCAAAAUUUUUCAUUUGUUUAAACUUAUUGAAACCAAACUUUUUGUAGGGUCUCAUACUUAGCAAUGCCCUCAGGGCUCAAAAAGAUGCUGAAGACGAAGGGUGCGUUAUGGCCCAGAGCAACCUUCGUUCCGAAGUAAUUGAACUAAGGAACGAAGGUCUCGAAAAGGAUAAAAUAUUAUAUUCAUUGAUAAAUAGAAUAAAAGAAGACGAAGCUACUUUUAAAGCUCAAGCUGAGGCUCAGAAGCGUGAAAUUGAUGAUCUUCGAAAACAACUAGCCAGAGCUAAAGAGGAGCGCACACUUGAAGAAACAAAACGAGAAAUCAGUGAACAAUGGGCAAAUCAUUUGGAGAAAAAUGUUGAAGAGCUUCGUGCAUCUAAGAAAAGAUGCUAUGAAAAAUCUAUGGAAUGUGUUAAGACAAUAAAAACCAGCUUCGCCAGAGUUGGCGCAUUCUCAAGUGAGGAGAACUUCGUAAGGGGUGACCCCGAAGGCCCAAUUGGAUGGAUCAGCCACGAAGCUAAGGCUUUUGAAGAAAUUUUAAGUAGUCGAGGAGACAUAUGCGCCUUUUCGGGUGCUAGGGGGAUCGCAACCAUUUUGGAGAGGAAAGGCUGUGACCACGUGAAAUUCUUGGCACAAUCCGAAGCCGCCUUAUCCUCUGAAGAUAUAAAGGACCCCUCGGCCGAAGCGAGCCUGGUCGGUGGAAAAUUUUUCACCGACAUCUGGGACAAUGGUGGCCGGGAAAUGGCCCAAGAAAUUAUACGAAAAAGCGAAAAAGGCAUUCAUGACGCUACAAAAGUAGCAGAGGCCGCUGAGAAAAGUGCAGAGCCCGAAGUGCAAAUAGGUAUUGACUAGUGGUUUUUGACUCUGUUGUAAUUUUUUGAUUUCAAACUUGUUCACGGUUUGUAAUAGUAAUAUAGUCGUAUCUUCUCCCCAGAACCUGCCAAUCCAUCUGCGGACCCCCACGCGAAGGGGGACGACGAAAUUAAGAAAAUGGCCGAAGCCAUCAUGGAUAAAGUUGUUGAUCAGCUACUAAACGAGGCUGCAGAAAUAGUUCUAAGGGAAGAUUAGCUGUUAUUGUAAAAAAGAUUUAGAAUGUAACAUUUGUUGAGAAACAUGUGUGAUAUUUUGUAACCUUGAAUGUAAUAUAUUAGUUGUUUACAGUUCUAUUCUUUACGAUGCAUGAAACUUCAUAUACAUACCGUUUUUGAGCCUUCGGCGAAAAAACACCUUCCCUUCUUUUCAUGCUUCGUAAAUAAUAUCUGCGUUCUCAUAAAAUCAGUAACCAAUCCUCGUAAAAUCAAUAAUCAAUAGAUCUUUUCAUUUUGACGAAGGUAUAAUUCCUCGAUAGUUAUUUUUGUGCCCUGUCACUGUUUCUUCGAAACAAUCUUCAAAUAUCAAUACUGAGACCCCCUUCUUGCGUUGUUGAUGCAAUAUGAUGUAUGAUGUUAUGCUGUGCAAAUGAUGUAAUGAUGUGAUGUUGUGCAAAAUGAUAUUUGCCGAAGAUCGACGUUUUUUCACUGCAAGCCUCCCUUAGGAGCUUCUUCGCCUUUUACUUCAGCGGAAUCAGCGUUUAUUUUUCGCUGUAAGCCUCCCUUAGGAGCUUCUUCGCCUUUUACUUUCAGCGGAAUCAGCGUUUAUUUUUCGCUGUAAGCCUCCCUUAGGAGCUUCUUCGCCUUUUACUUUCAACGGAAUCAGCGUUUAUUUUUCGCUGUAAGCUCUGCAUUCCCUUCAGAACGACUUUUGAGCAGAAAACUUACGCUGCGCUCCCUUAGGAACGACUUUUUGCUGCUUCGAAGAAAUUACGCUGUGUUCCUUAGAACAAAAUUUUUGAUAACUCGAAGGUCCUCCUUGCCACCAUAAAUUCUUAUGCUUCGGCAACUUAAGCCUAUGGAGAAGAUAUAUUUUCAUUAUAGUAAAAAGCAAAACUGUUACAAGAGAUUAAAAACGACAAAAAGCACUUAAGCCUCCCAUAAUUGUUCCUUAUUAAAAAGAAAAUAAUACUGAAUGUGAAAAACUGCUGUCGGGGUAGGAUAUUUGUCAGUAAAUAUGCUUCAACUCUGGCACAGUGCUAUUGACUGUGCGAGCUUCGGACUCUUCUCUGAAAUCCCGUUGAAGGUGAGUGUGCUGACUCCCUUCUGGCCGCUGGCCUCGUUGCGUUGGUGGUGGAGGUGGAGGUUGUUGCCAAGAUGCUUGAGGUUGGCUUGCCGAAGCAACAGAAGCUGCAGGGUGGUUGCCUACAUAUUCUGGAAUAUAAGGCGAAUGGUACGAAGCAGUAUGCAUGACUUGCUUCGGCUAACUCUGUUGUGCUGCAGCUUCUGCUAUCUCCUUUUGCCUCUGGAUGGUAACAUGGCACAUCCUGGUGGUAUGGCCCUUGUCCUCACCACAGAAUAGACAAUAAAUUUUCCUUGGCUGAUCCCCAAAUCUUCCUCCGAAGCCCCUGGCGCCUCUGCCCCUUGGAGCUGGCGGCCGAAAAGAGCUUUGCUGCUGCCCCGAAGCUUGAGAGGAGUACUGUGGCCUUUGCUGUUGAUUCCCUCUAUCAUCAUUCUGAGUAGAGUUGUGAAUUGACCUGACGUGCCUCGGAUGGAGUCUUCCUCCGAAGCCCCUGGUCAUUUCAGAGAACUUGUAUGCUUCCUCCCUUCUUUGGAGGAAGUCAUUGUCAGCUCGAAUAUACUCGUCCAUCUUCUGGAGCAGCUUCUCCAAAGUUUGAGGAGGCUUCCUGGCAAAGUAUUGAGCUGAAGGUCCCGGCCGAAGCCCCUUAAUCAUGGCCUCAAUGACAAUUUCAUUGGGCACUGUUGGUGCCUGUGCCCUUAGACGCAGGAACCUUCGGACAUAUGCCUGAAGGUAUUCUUCGUGGUCCUGGGUGCACUGGAAUAAAGCCUGAGCAGUGACCGGUUUCGUUUGAAACCUUUGGAAGCUGGUUAUCAGCAUGUCCUUCAGCUUUUGCCAUGAGGUGAUUGUCCCUGGCCGAAGAGAGGAGUACCAGGUUUGUGCAACACUCUUGACAGCCAUGACGAAAGAUUUUGCCAUGACUGCAGUAUUGCCACCAUACGAAGAUAUGGUUGCUUCAUAACUCAUCAAGAAUUGCUUCGGGUCUAAAUGACUGUCGUACAUGGGGAGCUGGGGUGGCUUGUAAGACUUGGGCCAAGGUGUAGCCUGCAGUUCUGUUCACAAAGGAGAAGUAUCAUCAAAAGCAAAAUUUCCAUGAUGGAAAUCUUCAUACCAGUCGUCCUCGUUGUAGAAGCCCUCCUGAUGAAGCUCUCUGUGCGGAGGCCUUCGGUUCUAGUCAUCUUGAGCAAGAUGACGAACUUCUUCAGAGGCUUCGUCUAUCUGCCUUUGCAGGUCAGCUAGACGAGCCAUCUUUUCCUUCUUCCGUUGGACCUGUUGAUGGAGCAUCUCCAAGUUUUGGAUUUCUUGAUCCAAGUCAUCCUCCGGAGGCGUUGGGCUGGUGGCCUUCCUCUUCUGGCUUCGAGCCUCCCUAAGAGAAAGGACAUCCUGAUUGGGGUCCAGCGGCUGCAGAGUGGCAGCCUCUGUUGCUGAAGCUUUCUUCGGCGGCAUGACGAAGGUGAUGCUUGCCGAAGGUGUUUAAAACUCAAAAAAUGGAAGUGAGUUCACCGGAGGUGGGCGCCAAUGUUGGUGACUUGUUCUCAAAUGCUUCGAGUUAAGAACAAGGCAACAUAAAAAGUGUUAAAUAUUAAAGUCCUUCGUCCUUCAAGACAUUAUGUCCCUUCGGAUAUAAUGAAUUCCGGAUGAAGGUUAUGAAUGAAGAAAAUCUUAGUAAGCACAAUAGAUGAUAAAGAAGAAUUCAUAUGUGAAAUACGAAGAAUAAUAUAGAUAUUAUCAUCAACUUAUUUUUAUUUGUAUUAUCAUAUCCAGAAUUACAAAUUAUAAAUGUACCUUUGGUUUGACGGAAAGUAAAGGUACAAGCGUGAUGCAAAAAGCGAUUGCCAAGUCAACGUGAACAGUACGUGAGUACUGUUCAUCUAUUUAUAGGCAAGGGACGCAACCCGUGUAGAAUUACAUUAAUGCCCUUUACAUUUAUCAAUAACUCUAUAGUAAUUCUUCGAGGUCUAAUUUGCCUUUUCAUCUUUAAGUCGGUUCCCCUUCUCUGCUAUCAUGCCGAAGCUUUUCUGCGCACAACUUCGUGAUCAUCUUAUCCUUCGUCAUAAUCGCCUUUCGUCUCACUCAGGCUUCGUCCUGACCAUACUCUUGUAUACUCAUAACCCGAUUCCGAAGAUACCUGUUCACAUAUUUCACUUGGAAAACAUUGUCAAAUCAUGUUUUUGAGGACCUUUGGAAGCCGAAGGCCCCCAACAGUCGUCAAGGCCUUUUGUGCUGCGACCUCAGUGGUGUCGUCCGCCCUGAACCCGACAGUCUUGGAAUCAAGGGAACGCCACCUAGGCUACAGAGGAUAAGACUCCAGGGUCAGCCAAACCCUGCAACGUGGCACCCAAUGCUCCUCAUAUAACUGCACCAUGUAAAGAGGGGGUGUGGGGUAUCCAGUGGAGCAGAGCACCUCCCACAAGAUAGAGGGAAAGCCCUUGUGGGAAAGAUAGUCAAAGCUGAAGCGGGUGUCUCCUAUGUUGGCGGGGGUGGGUGAAGGCAUCUGUAGAAGAGGGUUAAGUGUAAGUGCUAAGGUAGCGGUAAGGAGAUAAGUGUGCUUACGUUUAAAGGAGGUGGAUCAACUUAGAUUUAUCUAUUCCAACUCAUUUUCUUGCUACCCAUUUUAACUAAUGUUGCUAGGGGUCAUGAUUCAAUGCAAUUUCUUUAUCUUUUAAUUAUUCAUGUUUUAUAAUGCAUGCAUGCUUCAAUAAACGUCCUCUCAUCGAUCAGAGGGGUGCUCCUAGGGCAUCCUUACUUAUCUUAGUGUCAGCCUUUAUGGCCUAUUUAUAUAGCCACCUAUCUACCCCACCAUUAUUAAGGUCUUUUGUCCUAGAUCUAGCGUUCUAGUACUGACAAUCCAACACUGGUUUCUAAGCAAAGUUUUAUGUUCCAAAAGUUGGCAUUCAUGAUUUAUUGACUCAUCUGUAAUGGUAUUCGCUCCAAUACUAGCUGUGGCAGAACCACCCGAAUUAUUCCAGCUUAAGAGCCCAAGUCGCACCUUUAAAGGCAGCAACACACUUAAACCAGAAUAAACUGUUUAAUUCUUUGGAUCUCGUCCGAUAGAGCCACUUACCAAGGAUCGAGUACCAUUAGCUCACACGAUGGUGAGGCUCAGAGAGAAUACAAUAAACAUGAAACCACAAAUUAAAGUACUGGAGUUAUUACAUAAAUCGGAGUUUGAUAAAAGAUAACAAGUUCUUAAUAGUGCGGUGGAUAAUAGAUAACGUUGGUGCUGAGGAAUAGGGCAAGGCCUAGCCCACUACUCCUCCUGGUCCUCUCCUGCCGAGGCGGCAUCCCACUCGACCGUCCAACCUAGUGGUAGGGUGGAAGGCCAAGUCACACCAUCAACCAUGUCCUGUAGCGUACCUGAAAAAAAUAUGCCACAAGCAAGGCUGAGUAUACUAAUACUCAGCUAGACUUACCAGGUGUGAGGAGUCUACUCCUCUACCUCUAGACCAUGCAGCUAUUUGGCUGAGGGGUUUGGUUUCCCAAAAGCACUAGCUGAGUCUAAAAACAAUUUUAGCUUUUCCCGUUCUAGCAUAUUUAUUUAAGCUACGUUUGCUCCUUUCUAAGCAUACAUGGUAACAAUCAUUUAGUACAAUCAACAUGUUAUCUCAAGUAACACCUCAUUUCACUUUUUACUCGAUGCAGUACAAGGGGUCAAGCAGUCUCAUUAGCUAUGAGAAGUAGACGAUUCGAAUCGCGUUUUAACCUUGCAAGGUAAACCUAAACACGCGACAUGUUGGGGCACUCCGUCCCCACACACAUCAACCAUCCCCAUCGAUUCCUCGUUCGUGGCCAGGGCUCACCGCCUUGGCAUGCAAUGCCCCACUAACCCUGGCUGCCGCCAUACAGUGGCUGCACUUGCACCCACCAUACCUAGCAUGGGAGACCUUGUCUCAGGAGAAGUGAGGGGGAAAGUCCGCGCCCGGCUUCACUCAGGUACUAGGCUUACCGAUUACCAUAUUUCCUGACAUGUGUUUAGUACUUUCAAACACUUGACUCAGGUAUCCGCACAUUAAUCCUUAAUUCCAUUCCUUUCUCAUACACAAGGCAUCCACCCUAGAUCCAAGUCCAUAGACCAUCAUAGAUCUCGUUAUCAAGAUGAGUACAAUCAAUUCCUGACCUCAUGCGAGUGCUAGAAAAUGACUCGACUUCUACCGAGAUCCCUAAUUAGCAAAGCAGCUACUUGACCUAGCAUACUAGUAUCCAUCUCAAAAGGAAUCCUGAGUUCAUGCAACUAGGGUUUCAACCAACUCCUACACUUAAGUGCACAUUACAAACCUGUAAAUAUUAAGUGUAGUAAAAUAGCAUAUAUAAACGGUUAUACAUAAAACCGGGGCUUGCCUUCAAUUGCGGGUGCAGCAGGAGAUUCUUCGGCGACAAGUUCGGGAGCUGGUUCCCGAACUUCCUCCUGUUGUUUCUCUAGCUCUUGGGUCAAGACGUACUCUCCGUCCGCGAGAUUGCAAUCUAAUGAAUGCAAAUGUAUCAGUAUGAAUGCAACAUAAUUACCCAAUUGUACAUGUCUAAAGUGCAUACUAGGUUUCAAGGAUUUCUUUACCUUUUAACUUUUAAGGUCUUUUAUAGGGUAGGUUGAACUACGCCUCUGUUUUAGAAAUUUCCAAAAAUCCUAUAAAACUUACAGUGGCUUCCCAUUGGCUCACAUAAGUCUGUCUCAAAAAUUGAGGCCUAAAAUGGGUGUGGUUUUCUCUGCACAAAAAAUAUUAAAAUCUAGGGCAGAUGGGGGUACUUUGAACUACAACCCUUGAGUAGAGAUGGUUUCUGCCCUAAUACUUAUUUUUGCUGGUGUUUGUGGGUGAUAAUUUGCUCUUAUGCCAAAUUUUAGCCAAAGAUACCUAAUGGUUAAUUUAUGGUGAUUUUCUAAAGUUUGGGGCUUACUGGGUGCUUUCUACUACCACUCUAUUUGAAAAAUGUCAAACAACAGAUUUCCCAAUUUUUCUAAUUUCUUCUUUGCGCAAGAGCAAUCAUUCCUAAAGUUGGUUAUUUUUACUUAUAGGGGAUGGGUUGUACGAUUUCUUAGAAUAUAUAAUCUUUCUCAUGGGGCAGGGGGUGGGGUGUAUUCCACUUUCAACUACCUUAGUUUUAUAUUUUUCCCUCACAGUAUACAUCAUAAUUAUUUAUGUUAAAAUAGGGUUUCUUGCUGGUUCCCACUUUUAGUCUUCCUUUUUAAUUUUUUGAAGUAUUGGCAAUUUCCUAGUUUUAUUUGUUUGACCCACUUACUGUGAUAUUCUGGGGUGUUUUUUUACAGUAGUACAAUAGUGGUCAAGGGUCUACUAAAUUUUUCUUACCACUAAUGCAGAUCUUCUCAUAUUUUUAAUCAUUAUCUUUCUUAAAUACUUAAUACCUAAAUAAAAUCAUAAAUUCCAGACCAGUACUGGACUAGGGUUCCAUAUAUUUUUCCCAUGAACUUUAUCACCUAAUCAUGCUAGGAAAAAUAAUAUUGUACUCUGGUUCCUAUUUUUGGUGCCCUUUUUUAUUUCUUCAAAGUUUGGUUAAAAACAUAUCCUAGGGAAUAAAAUUUAUAUUAUCUUGGGUACUGGGGUACUCAACAUUUUUAAACAGUGUAACUAUCGGUCAAGUAUCUUCAUAAAUUUUCUCAGCCCUAGUCCAAAAGUAUUUCUAUUUUUCUCUCCAUUAUUAAGUUUUAGGCAGUUUUCUAAUUUAGUUCAAAACUCUAGAAAAUAGUAUAGGAAACAUGGGGUUUAAUAUUUUUGUUUGAUAGUUCAUAUUUUACAGAGUCUAGCAAAAUUGGUUUGACCAAAUUUGUAUGAAUAUUCUUCAAGUUAUGUAUUUAUCAAGUUUGCCGCAGAUUUAAAAUAACUUAGAAAUUCGAAAAGGAAAAGAAAAAACAUCUUUGCACUCGGGUCCCUGGUUAAAGUUUUCUUCUUCCCUUACAAACGAGUCCUUGGUCUAUUAUUCAGCUGAGUCUGUGGCUUAACACUUAACCCCCUAGAAUUUCCUAGCAUCUAACUCGCGGUCCUUACGUUCAUCGGAACAGUAGCUGAAAGGAAAAUCUACGUGGCGCGGCUUACCGGCGAUGGUAAAGUUCCGGUGGGGUGGUCCACGCCAUCGGGAGGUCACGAGGGUCACGUCGAUGGUCGGCUCAUCGCAUGUGGUGGCCGGAGUUGUUCUGGCCUCGCGCGCAGGCGGGCGAGCUCAUCGGUGGCGAGAAGCUCGGCCUGUACACAGCGGUAGAGUUCGAUCCAGUGAGUCGGCGAGUUUCACGGAAAAUCAGUGAGGUCGUGGGUGCAAGGAAUUUGGGAAUGGCUCACCUUGCAGUCCGGUCCACGUGCGGCGGUAGGCGGCCGAAGUCCGGUGAGGUCGAUCUCACUGUUCUGGCGGGGCAGGGCCUUGGCUCAUGCUUGGGAAGGCUUCACGGCCUCUCGGGGAAGCUGUCCAAGGGGUCGGGCGAGGUUGGGGGUCUAUGGGAAUGGCUGGCCACGACGGUCGUGCUCAGGCGAUGGUGGCGGGCGGUGGUGCUUGCUCUUUGCGGCAAACUUCGAUGAUCUCAGGCGCGGGCAGGAGUGAGGGCGGGCGAGGAAGUACGACCGAGGCCUUGUGGGCUCUUAUAGGCGUGGGCACGGGCACAGGCGCGCGGUCGGGUGUGGCUCGGCGCGGGUGCGCAGUCGGGCGCGCAUUGGCGUGUCAGCCGCGGUCGAGCACAUGGCGGCUUGCUUCUGCUCGUGUUCAAGCGCUCAUAGGCUCCAAAUCUUCAUGAAUUUGAGCAAGAUCCCAUUGUAAGAUCUGUUCCCCCGACUGAGCUCUGUCGUUUGCGUGUGGAAGCUUAGGGGUUUUCAAGUUUGUGCAGGGAGUUGUCACGUCGCCAACUUGGGUGUGUCUGACUGCUUCGUCCUGAGGCAAUCCUACACCAAGAUCGUGUCAACCGGCUUGGUUUGUCUUCAAACUUUGCCAGGGUGUGCCUAGGAUAUUUUGGCGCCAUUUUGUUAUUUGGACCAUGUGGUUUUGAGUUUUGGAACAAGGUGAACGCGGUUGAUCUUUGUGAGAGGGUUGGAUUUUAGAAUUCUGAAAUCCUGAUUUUUAUUUGAAGUCCCCACUUGAGUGGCUUGUUUGAGGAUUUUGCAAAACUCUUUUGGGUAAAUGUUGGGGGCCUUCGUCUUCCGAAGGUCCUCAAAAACACGACUAACAUGUUUCCCAAGUAUAAUAUAUGUACAGGAACCUUCGGACAUGGGAUGAAGUUGUACAUGAUAUGAAGAGCGCGGUUCGGGAGAAGGAUGAACCAAUGCCGAAGCUACCCGUGAAAAAGCUUCGGCUUAGCGAUGGAAAAUGAAACCGACUUAAAGGGGAAAAGGUUGUAUAGUCCUCGAUAGUUUAUCCCUAAGUCAAUAGUAAAUGUCAAGGGCAUGAAUGUAAUUCUACACAGGCAGCGUCAUGUGCCUAUAAAUAGAUGAACAUUGACACCGUACUGUUCACGCUGACUUGUAUUCCCUCUCACGUCACGCCUGGAUUUUUACCUUCUGUCAAGCCGAAGGUAUAAAUGUAAUUCAAUACUGUUCAUGUUUAUUCAUGAUAAGAUAAUAAAAAUGUUCUGCUAAUGUCAUAUAAUUAUUCAUGUUAUUUUCCAUGUUUCAUAUGCUUCUACUUACUUUAUUAUAUACUGAGAUGAUGAGGGUACAUCCUUCAUAACCUUCGUCUGAAGACCAUUAUAUCCUAAGGGAGAUAAUGCUUCGAAGGACGAAGGUCUUUAACCAUUAACAUUUUGUGUUGCCUUGUUCUUAACUCAUAGCAUUUGAGAACAAGUCCCCAACAUUGGUGCCCACCUCUGGUGAACUCAUUCGACCACCUUUGGCAAGCUAUGACCUUCAUCAUGCCGCCGAAGAAAGCUUCAGGGCUAGGGGCUGCACUGCAGUCACUAGACGUCAACAAAGACACAUUGCGCGAAGCCUGAAGCCAAAAAAAGGAAGGCUACAAGUCCAACGCCUCAGGAGGAAGAGUUGGACCAAGAGAUCAGGGAUCUCGAAACCAUUCAUCAGCAGGUCCAAAGGAAGAAGGAGAAGAUGAUUCGUCUUGCUGAUCUUCAAAAGAAGAUCGACGAAGCCGCUGAGGAAAUGCGUCAUCUCACCCAAGAUGACCUGGACCGACGACCUCAACGCAUAGAGCUUCGCCAGGACAAUUCCUAUGAUGAUGACGUUUGGUAUGAUGAUUUCCACCAUGGAAAUUUUGCUUUUGAUGAUGCUUCUCCUCUGUUAGCAGAACUGCGGGCUACACCAUGGCCUUCAUCAUACAAGCCACCCCAGCUUCCCAUGUAUGAUGGGCACUCUGAUCCGAAGCAGUUUCUGAUGAGCUAUGAAGCAACCAUAUCUUCAUAUGGGGGCAAUACUGCAGUCAUGGAGAAAUCCUUCGUCAUGGCAGUCAAGAAUGUUGCACAAACCUGGUACUCCUCCCUUCGGCCGGGAACAAUCACAUCUUGACAGAAGCUGAAGGACAUGCUAAUCACCAGUUUUCAAGGGUUUCAAACCAAGGCGGUUACUGCUCAAGCUUUGUUCCAGUGCAGGCAAGACCACGAAGAAUACCUCCUGGCGUAUGUCCGAAGGUUCUUGCGUCUAAGAGCACAAGCGCCUACAAUGCCCAAUGAAAUCGUCAUUGAGGCCAUGAUCAAGGGGCUUUGGACAGGACCUACGACUCAGUAUUUUGCCAGGAAACCCCCUUAGACCUUGGAGAAGCUGCUUCAGAAGAUGGAUGAGUAGAUCCGAGCCGAUAAUGAUUUUCGCCAGAGAAGGGAAGAAGCUUAUAGGUUUUCUGAGAUGACUAGGGGCUUUGGAGGAAGAAUCCACCCUAGGCAUGUCAGAUCAAUCCACAGCUCCAGUCAGAGUGAGGACAGAGGAAGCCAAUUUCAAAGGCCACAACACAGCUCACAGUCUUCAGGGCAGCAGCAAAGCUCAUUCAGGCCACCAGCUCCAAGGGGCAGAGGCGGCAUGUUCUUCGGAGGAAGAUAUGGCGAUCAACCAAAGAAAAUCUAUUGCUUAUUCUGUGGUGAAGACAAGGGCCACACUACAAGAACUGUCAGAUUACCAUUCAGAAGCAAAAAGAGAUUGCCGAAGCAGAAGCCCGGCAGAACCAGCCGAAGCAGGUUUUACAUACUGCUUCGUGCUACUCUCCCUACAUACCAGAAUAUGUGGGCAAUCAACAUGCAGCUUCUAUUGCUUCGGCAAGCCAUUCACAAGCUUCUUGGCCUUAGCUUCCACUGCCACCACCAUUGCCACCUACUCAUACCCAAAGCCAGCAGCCAGAAGGGCGCCAACACCCCCAACAGCAGCGCGACUUCAGGGAGGAGUCCGAAGCUCGUAUAGUCAAUAGCACUAUACCAAAAUCAAAGCACAUAUACUGAGGAAUAUCCUACUUCUGAAGCACUUUUAUCUUUUAUGCCAUUUUACUUUCUGUAUGAGAAACAAAUAAUGAAAAACUCAGUUUCAAUUUCUUGUAAUAAUUCUGCCUACACCAGAAUGAAAUAUAUCUUCUUCAUAGAUUUACGAAGCUCAAAAGACGACUCUUAAAGGAACGAAGUAGAUUUCGAAGCACAAAAGUCGUUCCUAAGGGAAUGCAGAGCCAAAAUUGACGAAGCUACAAAAAGUCGUUCCUAAGGGAGCGCAGUGUAAGUUUUCUGCUCAAAAGUCGUUCCUAAGGGAAUGCAGAGCCAAAAUUGACGAAGCUACAAAAAGUCAUUCCUAAGGGAGCGCAAUGUAAGUUUUCUGCUCAAAAGUCGUUCCAAAGGGAAUGCAGAGCCAAAUACCGCCGAAAUAUAAGGCGAAGAAGUUCAAAAGUCGUUCCUAAGGGGAUGCAGAACUUAUACUACCGAAAUAGAAGGUGAAGAAGCUCAAAAGUCGUUCCUAAGGGGAUGCAGAGCUUAGACUCAAAAGACGUUCCUAAGGGGAUGCAGAGUCUUUCGUGUACUAGUGUGGGCGUAUGUGUGGGUGUUAAAGCAUGAUCAUAUUGCAUCAUGUCAUCGCAUCAUUUAGCAUAGCAUCACAUCAUACAUCAUAUCACAUCAACAGAAUGACUAAAUACGAAGCAAAUCUUUGGAAAUACUUCAAUUGAAUGAAAAUGUGCUAGGGCACAAAGCAAGCUUCAGGUGACAAUUCUAUCAGAUCUGCCCUAGAAGGGGUUUCUUUCUUUACGAAGCAUGAAAAGAAGGGAAGGUGUUUUUUCGCCGAAGGCUCAAAAAGCGGUAUGUGUGUAUGUUUCAUGCAUCGCAAAGAAAUAAAAUACAACAGCUUACAUAUUCGGUUCAAUGUUACAUACAUCAAGGUUACAUAGUUUUGUUACAAUAGAAGCCUAAUAUUCCUUCAAUUGUUCCAUACAUCAAGCAUUUCAAAACAUUAUUACAACAAAAUCUAUUCUUCUCUAAGGACUUUUUCUGCGACUUUGUUCAAAAGUUUAUCGACGACUUCGUCGAUAAUGGAGUUCGCCAUGCUUAUAAUAUCCUGUGCUUCCUUCAUCUUUGGAUCAGCUACGGGAUUGUAUGGCUCCGGUGGCGGCGAUAGUUCAGUUGUAGUAAGUAAACUGUUAGUUCGAAGCUACAUAGCAAGUACUGAAGCCAAAAAAUCAAAAACAAAUACCUAUGCGCUUUUCGCGCUCAGCAGCCUCUUCAGCUCGCUUUGCGUCUUCCCGGGCGUCGUGGGUGCCUUUUUCAUUCUUUUUUAUAAUUUCAUUGGCCAGCUCUCGGCCACCGUUCACCCAGACAUCGGAAUAAAACUUCCCGCCCAUCAAAGUUGCUUUGGCUAAAGGAUCAUUCGUGUCGUCUAUGGAGAAGGCAGCUUCGGCCUAGGCUAUAGCCUUAACGUGAUCACAUAUGGCCUUCUCCAAGAUAGUUGUGAUUCCUCGAGCACCGGAGAAAGCACAAAUAUCCCCGCGAUCAUUCAAGAUUUCCUCGAAAGCUUCGGUUUCCCCACUUAUCCAUUCAAUAACGCCCUCGAGGUCGCCCAGAUAAAAUUUUAUUCAGAGGAGUAGUGCCCACUUUGGAGAAGCUAGUUUUUAAUUUCUUCACGCAAUCCAAGGAUUUCUCAAAACACCUUUCCUUGGAUUCGCGAAGUUCUUCAACAUUUUUAUCUAGCUUAUUUUUCCAAUAUUCACUAAUCUCUUGGUUAGCCUGUGCGAGCGCGCAGUUCUCAUUAGCUUCAGCAAGUUUUUUCGAAGAUCUUCAACCUCAGCUUUAUGAGCUUCGGCCUAAGCAUUACACUUAGCUACAUCUUCUUUUAUUUUAUUCACUAAUGAAAUCAAAAUCUUGUCUUUUUCCAAACCUUCAUUUCUUAGCUCAAUUACCUCUGAGCGAAGGUUGUUGAGAGCUAUUGUGCAACCUUCGUCUUCGGCGCUCUUUUGUGCCCUCAAGGCAUUACUAAGAAUUAAGCCUUGCAAGAAAAAGAAAUAAUUAAGUAUAGCAAUGAAAUUCUUCAUUUCCAACUUUAAAAGUUAACUUUUAUACCUUUAUGCUGUUAUACGCAAGUCUAUCAGCAAGAUCAUCCUUCGACAUGGUCGAAAAGGCCUUCUUCAAGCUUCGGAAAUCCCAUACUUUUAGCUAUCUCUCGGCAAACAGAUAUUUCUUUAUUGUCCGGGAGACAGUACAGGAAAUCAUCUUCAUUAGUGUCGUUAAACACUAAGGCUCCCUUUGGAUAUUUUAAUUUUUGAGCAUAGUGUCUGGCUUCCAGGAUUUCUUCUUCGGAUAUUUUUUUCCCUGAAGCAUGUCGAUAAAUGUAAUCAACAUCUUCGACUGGAGCUUUGGGGGCAUGUUGAACCCAACGGGUAGAAGGGUGCCCGAUCUUUCGAUGAAAGAUGAUGGAGGUGGAAAACUUGUUGGAGAACGACGUUGGCUGCCCGACUACCUCAACCAAGAUGGUGUGGCGCCUUGAGCGACAGGUACACCGUCUCCUGAUAACUAUAAUUUGGGGUGGAGGUCGACGUUGUGCUAUCCAACUACAACAACCACAAGGGUGUUGCGCCUUAGCGAUAGUUACACUGGCUCCUGUUGUUGCUGCUAUUGCCAUGCCAAGAACAGCCUUGAACCUGCAAGCAAUCGAGAACAAGCAAGAACAAGAUAACAAGCAAACACGCAUGGAUCUGAUAAAGUUGGGGUCCCGUUUCAACUAUUCAGGUGGUCUAGCCGACACAUGCGUUUACAAGGAAGUAGCAAAUGCUAAACUUACAUCAAACAAAACCCAAGUUCUUUGGUGGCUACUAGUUGCUUAAAUAGAGAAAUAGGAAGAAGGAAUUCUGGUGGAGUCAUGAAGUUCCCUCGGUAGUUCCUGGACGCCUCGGGUGUAGUCUCCCAUUAAUUCUUGAUCCACCAGCAAGUAGACGAAGGGAGCUUUCCAACAAGUAUUUAUUUGCAUUAAACGGCCUUGGAAGUUGGAAGAUAUGCCCCCAUUUAAACUUGUACUUGAUGCUGUUACGAAAUCCUCUCGGGUGCAGCAGCCUUUAUUGCCUUGUUGCCUUCUCCAGUCCAAGAUGGUUCACCUCCCAAAACACCUGAGCAUAAUAAAGUCAUCGCAAGGCUUUAGUACCUCAUUUAAAGAAGAAUUAGCUUCAAUAGCAAGGAACGAGUUCACCUGAUAAUUAAGUUUACGUGCACGGGCUCGUGUCAUUGGUCCUUGAUUAGCUACAAAUGGUGAAGUGGUCACUGGUAUGGUUGUAUCAAUGAUAGUGAUGUCCUCAUCAGGGCAGGAGAUUUUGCUUUUUCUGCCAUACCUUGCCCUGCUGUCAUGCCGGUAUCUGAAGUUUGCUGACCAGCCUUGUCCUUAGGCACGAUAGCCUUCGUCUCAAUGGGCGUUGUAGGCUCAGCUUCGGCUUCGGCCUGGCCCUUGGCAACUUUGGAAACUUUCCUAAUAGGAGCAGGGGCCAAGGCCUUUGUAGUCUCCAUAACAGCGUCUAGCACGCUGGCCAUCCUCCUCCUUUUGGGAGUUGCGGUAGGAGCUUUUUGCAUCUUUGGCAAAUUUGCCUCUGCCGAUGGGCUCAGGAUUUCUUGCAUUUUUACUGUUUCUUCCACCGUUGGCUCUUCGACCGUAUCAUCCUUAGCUUCAGUUGGCCCGACUGUAGGCACCUUCGUCAUUACAAUAUACUCUUCAGCGCUCUACACGAUGGAAGCAGCUUGUUUUGCUUCGGCAGUUGAAGAGGUCCCUUCGCCAAAUUCAGGAACUAUGGUCGGCUCAAUAUAUCGCGGCCGGUGGGUCAGAACUUUCAUUUUCUUGCCUUUCGGCAUAGCAGUGGUGGCCAAAGUGCCUUCGCAGCGGGUAGUGAUAGUCAGGGUAUAUGAAGCCGAUUGCAUCAAAUACCCUAUUCAAUCUUUUAUUCCCCCAGCCCCCGAAGGUUGUGGACAAGGCAUCAUCUUCGGCCUUGGAAUAUGUCCCAAGCAGCUCGUCACUGGUAGCUUCAAUACAUUUCAACCAGUCAUCAUUUGGCUCGUCAAACUUCUCUCUAGAUCUGAAGGUAUAUUUCAAUCGAACCAGGCCACCUUCACUGGAGUCGGCAGUAGUUUCCUUCGGCAUAUCCCAUCUCUCCACAAGUGGCCACACCCUGAAGGAUAUGUGCUCUUGAAUUAAAUGCCUCGUGCCAAUGAAGGCGCAAACAGUACUAAAAGCCUUCUGGCAUGCUUCAACAUCGCUAUCAAUAUCCACCUUCGGCCUUUGGAGGCCGAAGCAAGACCAGAUGGGACGCUGGAUAAUUUCCUUGAUGUCUUCUCUUUUAAUCAGAUCAUUUUUAACAUAAAACCACUCCUCCAUCCAGGCCCCAAGCCAUCUUUUCCAGUAUGUUGGCACCAGGUAACUUGCAUUAGAGCGGGCAAUGAACAUGUAGCAACCGAAGUUGUUCUGGUAUUGUUCUUUGCCAAUAGCCUUCGUCUCGUAUAAAAGCUCGUGCAUACUGCAGAAGCACUUCGCGCUCGGCUCCAGCCCCUGGCUUCUUACAGCCCAGACAAACAUCCCCAUCCUAAUUAUAGCUUUGGGGGUAAUCUGAUAAAGAAAAAUCUGAAAAUCUUUAAUACCUCAACCACAAAUUUGCUCAGUGGGAACCGGAGACCUGCUUUCAGGAAGCUUCGGUAAAUAACAACUUCGUUUUCCUCAGGAGCAGAGGCAGUGUUGUCUCCUCCAACUCUGACAAUAGACAUGUCGCGAAAAUAUCUCCCCCUCAUGGCGUCAAUAUGACUUUGUUUGAUAGUCGGUUUUCCGAAGAUAGUAUGACUUGGUCGCCAGGGCUAAUCCUCAGAAUCUUCAUCCCCACUCUCCACAUCAUAGUUAUCACUGUCAUCGGAAUCUUCGGACAAACCCUCCAUGAUCUCCUUAGUAAUUUUCUCUGUAUUCGUUUUUGCCAUGGACUCAUAAAACCCAGCGAUGAAAGGAUCCGCAACUUUCUUCUCUUCAUACAGCUUCUUCUCCUCGGUUAUUUUCUUCUCUUCAGUCAUCUUCUUCUCCUCAAAUUUGGAGCAAGCACGCCUUUAAACCAAAGCUCUAAAAGCUCAAAAAUCAGGCGAGAGCUAUUGAGCAAGAGCUAGAAAUUUGAGAAAAUAACGCAAAUAGCAGAAAUAGCGUACCAAAUGCUGCCGCUGUGGGUUCAUAUUUAUAUGCCUAGUGCUUUGCAACUUGGCGGGCCUCAUCUGUCAUUGACUAUCGCUAUUCUAGUGAAGGGAAGGUGUUUUUUCUGACCUUCGGCUUAAGGCCUUUGUUCAUGUCACAGUCUAAAUCCAUUGUUAUAACAAAUUAAUACUACGAGGGGCUACUGUUGGGGGCCUUCGUCUUCCGAAGGUCCUCAAAAACACGACUAACAUGUUUCCCAAGUAUAAUAUAUGUACAGGAACCUUCAGACAUGGGAUAAAGUUGUACAUGAUAUGAAGAGCGCGGUUCGGGAGAAGGAUGAACCAGUGCCGAAGCUACCCGUGAAAAAGCUUCGACUUAGCGAUGGAAAAUGAAACCGACUUAGAGGGGAAAAGGCUGUCUAGUCCUCGAUAGAUUAUCCCUAAGUCAAUAGUAGAUGUCAAGGGCAUGAAUGUAAUUCUACACAGGCUGCGUCCUGUGACUAUAAAUAGAUGAACAGUGACACCGUAAUGUUCACGCUGACUUGUAUUCCCUCGCACGUCAUGCUUGGAUUUUUACCUUCUGUCAAGCCGAAGGUAUAAAUGUAAUUCAAUACUGUUCAUGUUUAUUCAUGAUAAGAUAAUAAAAAUGUUCUGGUCAUGUCAUAUAAUUAUUCAUGUUAUUUUCCAUGUUUCAUAUGCUUCUACUUACUUUAUUAUAUACUGAAAUAAUGAGGGUACAACCUUCAUAACCUUCGUCUGAAGACCAUUAUAUCCUAAGGGAGAUAAUGCUUCGAAGGACGAAGUUCUUUAACCAUUAACAUUUUGUGUUGCCUUGUUCUUAACUCAUAGCAUUUGAGAACAAGUCCCCAACAGUAAACUUUCUUACUAUAUUUUGUAGGUUAUUUAGUGUACUACAACUUUGUUAAUUGGUCCAAAUCAUGAUAAUGUGAUGUACUUGGACUUUCCACUGAGUUCCUUUUUAGUGUUCCCCUAAAGGAAAGGUUUUUAGGGUUUUGGUCUUUUCUUUUUUUUCUUAAACUUCAUAGGGUCAGGGUGUGAUUCUUAGAGUGAAAAAGACUUGAUCAAGUUUUUGCUCCUCAAGUUUGGUGUCUUUUGCUCCAACUAAAACACAUGUGAUAAUGGGUCAUAAGGUGGGUACUGAGGGAAAACCCUGAGUAACACCUGGGGUGUUAUAGACCUAAACACCUCUUAUCGAUGUAGAGCCGAAGAGAAGCGAAGAAUUUAGGGAUUAAGAGGUUAAACUAGGGCUAAACUAGAACUACUCCUAAUGCAUAAGGUAAAAACGAGAAAUAAACUUGAUUUGGUCGAUUGUUGGGGGGUUCAAUCGGUCGUAGCGCUUCAUAUAUAUAAAGGGGAGGUCUAGAUCCAUUACAAAUUGUUUCCUGAGCUCAUCCCGUGAUUUUAGCUAACAAAUCCCGCAAGAAACUCGGAACCCUAACUGAUUCUGCACACACGUGGACCGUCCACGCCACUAUCGCGGAUCGUUCGGCCUCAGGGCCGGACCGUCUGCACAACUCUUUUCUGUGCUCAACAUAUGCCCCAUGCCUUUUGGUGGAGGUUGCCGAACCAAAAGCAUAUGAACUAAACCUGAUGUAAGUCACCGGCUUUUCAAUAUGGAGAUCACUCAAUAAAGCACCAAUGUAUAAAGGUCGUUUCAGAUUGUAUCUUUCUCGGCCAUGACCAUUUGAUCAAUGGAUCAAAAGGAAUAGAAUGAGAUGCCCCCAGUCUGGAAAGACAAAUGGACUAUACACGUAUCAUGGAUUCAUCGUCGUACCAUUCCAUAUUUGAACAGGAUAAUAUACCGAUGAUGAGUAAACGGGUGGAAAGUACCCUGGUCUCAUAGGAAGAAUAGACGAUGUUUGUUGUGUCGCCUUUCGGGCCGUUUUGUUUUAGCAAGUGAUUGGGGUUUCUUCGUUGAUCGAUCACGCAGAACGGUCUUCUCGCUAGCAUUCUUGGAGCGCAACUGAUCAAACACAGGGUUAGCUUUGAUCAGCCGACCUUAUGUGCUCUGCCCUUGCGUCUCUUUCCUUGCUUUGUGUGGAGGCUGACGCCUUCGACCAUAAGCGGACUGUCCGGCUGAGUUAGCCAGACCGUCUGUUUGAGCACCGAACCGUCCUCACGUAGGUGCCAAGCCGUCUGUGAUGCUCGGGCCAAAAUGUCGUGCUCGGCUCUUUAAUUGUGCUUGCCCCCGGUGCCUCUGGAUUUUUUAGCCUAUUCAUCCGGAGCCUUUCGAGCAAUCUCCUUUUAUGAUAUAUUUGAUAUGCGAGGAUCACCAAUGAUGAUGCCCUUGCCUUUGCCUUUAUCGACCAUUUCGGGUCGAACCAAGACCUUUUCGCAUGUGACUUCUAUUGUAUUAACAGGAAAUGGUUGUCUGUCUACUUGCAUCUCCUGAAAAGCCAACCGGACCUCAUUUAUGGCCGAUUGUAUCUGUUGAUAAAAAACAUUACAAUCAUUGGUGGUGUUGGGGACCUUCGGCGUCCGAAGGUCCUCAAAAACAUGAUUUAAUAGUGUUUCUGGAGUAUAAUGUGCAAACAGGUAUCUUCGGACUCGAAUCGGUAUCACAGAGGGAGAAGCUCAAAGCAUACGAAGGUUGAUACAGCACCGAAGCUGUGAGCAGAAAAGCUUCGGCAUGGUGGCAGGAAAGGAAACCGACUUAAAGAUGAAAAGGCUAUUCGGACCUUGAUGGAUUACUAUAGAGUUAUUGUCAGAUGUAAAGGGCAUAAAUGUAAUUUUGUAAGGGCUGUGUCCCGUGUCUAUAAAUAGGUGAACAGUAUCCCCGUACUGUUCACGCUGACUUGGCAUUUGCUUUUGCGUCACGCUUGUACUUUUUACCUUCUCUCAGGACCGAAGGUACAUUUGUAAUUUGAAAUCAUUUCUAUUUUUCCAUGUUAAUAAAAUAGAAAUGAUUCUAUGAUGAUGCUUAUAUUAUAUUUCAUGCUUUAUAUGAAUCCUUCGUCAUUACUUGUUAUGUUUACGAAGGUAUGUCUCUUAUGACCUUCGUCCGAAACUCAUUAUUUCCCGAAGGGACAUAAUGCUUCGAAGGACGAAGGACUUUAACACUUAACACUUUUUAUGUUGCCUUGUUCUUAACUCUUAGCAUUUGAGAACAAGUCCCCAACAGGUGGCAUGAGAAAAAGAAUUAUGUCACUUACAAUAAGCAAGUCUCUUUAAUUCAUUAGGAGGAGGAAUAUUAUGAGUUAAUUUAAUGUUGCCAUUUUUUAGUAACUCGUCAAAUAUUUUAUCGCAUUUGGCAAUAUUAAAAGUAAACUUGACUUCUUCUUGUCAAUUAUUUCGAAUCGACUGUAAAGCAGAACAUUUCAAAGGUUUAGCCUGUCCUGGCCAAACCAGUUCGACGGUAUAUACAUUUGUGGAUUCAUCGUUCGAAUUAUCAUAUCCCCCUAGAUGCAUAUUAUGGCUAGCCGAUUUUGAUGUUUCCUUACUUCGGCUUUCACAGGUCAUAGCCCGCUGAUGCAAGUGCACUAGCGAAAAGAAUUAGGUGCCAUCUAAUUUCUCUUUUAAGUAAGGCCGCAACCCAUUGAAAGCUAGCCCUGUUAGUUGUUUUUUCGCGACAUGGAUCUGAAAGCAUCGGUUUCUAGUGUCCCGGAACCUCUGAAUAUAGUCAUUAACCGAUUCUUCAGACCCCUAUCGGAUUGAAGCUAAGUCAGCCAAUUCUAACUCAUGUUCUACUGAGAAGAAGUGUUCAUGAAAUUUCCGCUCUAAUUCUUCCCAAGAGUUAAUAGAGUUUGGUGGCAAAGCUGCGUACCACACGAAUGCGGUAUCAGUAAGGGACAACGAGAAUAAACGAAUGCGGUAGGCUUCCCCAUCAGCUAAUUGUCCCAAGUGUGCUAUGAAUUGGCUUAUAUGUUCGUGCGUGCUUUUCCCACCUUCACCAGAAAAUUUAGAGAAAUCUGGUAUCCUAGUUCCCUGUGGAUACGGCACGGUGUCGAAUCGGUGGCUAUAAGGCUUCCGAUACAAUUGCCCUGUACCUGACACACUAACACCGAGUUUGUCCCUGAACAUCCUGGCUACCUCAUCUCUGAUCCUCUCUGCCAUGUCUGGCGACCAUCCAUUAAGUUUGUGGGUGGAAAUCUUAGGUUGCCUGACAUCACUCUGUCGACGUUCCUCCCAGGGAUGUCUGAGGUGAGUGUUAGGUGUCCUAUUAAUGUCACCAGCUUCUGUCAUAUACCUCUCAGGCUCUCUAGUGGCCGAACAAUAUUUAGGCCUGUGUCCAUGAGUUGGUAUGGUAUGGUUAUAAUGUGUUGCUGGUGGGGCACCAUAAUGUUGCUGCGAUGAGUGUGGAACUGUGUGUAUUGUGUAGCUCUCGGUUCUGCGUACGCAUGCCUGGACGGUCCGGCGUAAGGGGUCGGAUGGUCCGCGACCGGGCCAAAUGGUUCGAAGGUAUAUCCAGACUAUCCAUCCAUAUAUGGUUCUGCCUGGGUAGUCCCUAUUGGGGUCCUUCCUCUUCUGAAGGUCCUCAAAAGCACAACUAACAUGUUUUUCAGUAUAGUAUACUAUCACAGAAAGCUUCGGCUUUGAGAUGAAGGCGUGUAUGGUAUGAAAGGCGCGAUCUGGAAGAAGGAUGAACCAGCUCCGAAGCUGUAGAUGGAGAAGCUUCGGCUCAGCACAAGGACGGUGGUGGAGAAUGAAACUAACCUAAAGGGGAAAAGACUGCUUAGUCCUCGACAGCUUACCUUUUGGCUAAGACUAAAUGUCAGGGACAUGAAUGUAAUUUUGCCCAAGCUGUGUCCUGUGCCUAUAAAUAGAUGAACAGUAACACCGUACGGUUCACGCUGAUUUGUAAUCUCUCGCGCGUCACUCUUGCUUUUUCACCUUCUAUCAAGCCGAAGGUACAAAUGUAAUUCGAAUAUCAUUGAUGUUUGUUCUCGUUCAUAUAAUGAAGGAAAUAUGAAUAGUCUAAUGAUCUGAAAUGAUUAUUCAUAUUUCCUUUGCAUUUCAUAUGUCUUAGUUUACAUCCUUGCUUAUUGAAAUGAAGAAGGUACAUCCUUCAUGACCUUCGUUCGAAGAUCAUUAUAUCCUAAAGGAGAUAAUGUUUCGAAGGAUGAAGUUCUUUAACCUUCUACACUUGUGUUGCCUUGUUUUUGAUUUAUAGCAUUUGAGAACAAGUGGCCAACAUUGGCGCCCACCUCCAGUGAACUUACUCGACCACAUUCGACAAGCUUUGACCUUCGUCAUGCUACCGAAGAAGACAGCAGGGCCAGGGGCUACACUGCAGCCACUGGACGUUAAUCAGGAAACACUACGUGAAGCUAGGAGCCAGAAGAGGAAGGCUAGCAGCCCAACACCUCAGGAGGAGGAGUUGGAUCAAGAAAUCAGGGACCUCGAAGCCAUCCAUCAACAGGUUUAGAAGAAGAAAGAAAAGAUGCUUCGUCUCGCCGAUCUUCAGAGGAAGAUUGAUGAGGUCGCUGAGGAAAUGCGUCAUCUCACCCAGGAUGACCAAGACCGAAGGCCUCAACACACAGAGAGCUUCGUCAAGACAAUUCAUACAACGAUGAUGAAUGGUAUGAUGAUUUCCAUCAUGGCAAUUUUGCUUUUGAUGAUGCUCCUCCGUUGAGAGCAGAGUAGCAGGCUACCCCCAUGGCCCCCAUCAUAUAAGUCACCUCAGCUUCCUAUGUAUGAUGGGCACUCAGACCCGAAGUAGUUCCUAAUGAGCUACGAGGCAACCAUAUCUUCAUAUGGGGGCAUUACUGCAGUCAUGGUGAAAUCCUUCGUCAUGGCAUUCAAAAGUGUCGCACAAACUUGGUACUCUUCUCUCUGGCUAGGGACAAUCACAUCAUGGCAGAGCUCAAGGAUAUGCUAAUCACUAGCUUCCAAGGCUUUCAGAUGAAGCCAAUCACUGCUUAGGCUUUGUUUCAGUGCACGCAAGACCAUAAGGAGUACCUUCAGGUUUAUGUCCAAAGGUUCCUGCGUCUAAGAGCACAAGCGCCUACAGUGCCUAAUGAAAUUGUCAUUGAGGCCAUGAUCAAGGGGCUUCGGCCAGGACCUAUGGCUCAGUAUUUUGCCAGGAAGCCCCCAACAAACCCUGGACAAGCUUCUUCAGAAGAUGGAUGAGUAUAUCUAGGCUGAUAAUGAUUUCCACCAAAGAAGGGAGGAACCUUAUAGGUUUUCUGAGAUGGCCAGGGGCUUCGGAGGAAGACUUCACCCCAGGCACGUCAGAUCAAUCCAUAAUGCCAAUCCAAGUGAUGAUAGAGGAAGUCAACCCCAAAGGCAACAGCAUAACUCCCAGUCAUCAGGGCCACAACAAAGCUCCUUCAGGCCACCAGCCCCAAGGGGCAGAGGGGGCAGAAGCUUCGGUGGAAGAUAUGGAGAUCAACCCAGAAGACUAUAUUGCUUAUUCUGCGGUGAAGAUAAAGGCCACACCACAAGAACAUGCCAAGUCACAAUUCAGAAACAAAAAGAGAUUGCCGAAGAUGAGGCAUGGCAGAAUCAGCCGAAGCAUGUCCUACAUACUGCUUCGUGCUAUUCUCCCUACAUCCCAGAGUAUGUAGGUAAUCAACAGCCUACGGCCUCUGUCACUUCGGCAAGCCACUCUCAAGCUUCCAGCACCACCACUCCCACCACCACCACUAUUACCACCUACUCUGACCCGAAGCCAGUAGCCAGAAGGGCACCAGCACGCUCAACAGCAGCGCGACUUUUGAGAGGAGUCUGAUGCUCGCACAGUUAACAGCACUGUGCCUAAAUCCAAGCACAUCUACUAAAGAAUAUCCUACUCUUGAUGUAUCUUUAUCUUUUCUGCCAUUUUAUUUUUUGUAUGAAAAACAAGUCACGAAGGACUGAAUUUCGAUUUCAUGUAAUAAUUGCGCUUGUAUCAAUGAGUAAAAUGCGUUCUCCUAACAGACUUCCAAAGUUACAAAAGUUGUUCCUAAGAGAGCAGAGUAAGUUCCGAAGCUACAAAAACCGUUCCUAAGGGAGCACAGAGUAAGUUCCGAAGCUACAAAAGUCGUUCCUAAGGGAGCGCACAGUAAGUUCCGAAGCUCAGAAGUCGUUCCUAAGGGAAUGCAAAGCCAAAAUUUCCACCAAAAUAGAAGGUGAAGAAGCUCCAAAGUCGUUCCUAAGGUGAUGCAGAGCUUAAAUUUCACCGAAAUAGAAGGUGAAGAAGCUCCAAAGUCGUUCCUAAGGGGAUGCAAAGCUUAAAUUCCACCGAAAUAUAAGGUGAAGAAGCUCCAAAGUCAUUCCUAAGGGGAUGCUGAGCUUAAAGACUCCAAAGACGUCCUUAAGGGGAUGCAGAGUCUUGAGAGUUUCAGUGUGGGCGUGUGUAUUCGGCAUAAACAUCAUGUUGCAUCAUAUCAUUGCAUCAUUCCGCAUAGCAUUACAUCAUACAUCAUAUCGCGUCAACAUCAAAGAUUGAGCACGAAGUAGAUCUUCGGCAAUAACGCGAUGAAUGAAAAUGUGCUGAGGCACGAAGCGAACCAUCGGCAAAUACAAUUUUACUUGGAAAGCCUAUUGACAACAAUUGUCACACAAAGGCUUUGCUAUAAAGGGGCUCUUUUCUUUACGAAGCAUGAAAAGAAGGGAAGGUGUUUUUUCGCCGAAGGCUCAAAAACGGUAUGUGCGUAAAUUUCAUGCAUCGCAAAGAAAUAUAUUACAUUAAUUUACAUGUCUAUUAAUUGCCUCAUACACAAAUGUUACAUUAUAUCAUUACAACAAAAGCCUAAUCUUCUUUAAGAAUUUUCUCGGUGGCCUCAUUCAGAAGUCUAUCGACGACUUCGUCAACAAUGGAAUUGGCAACACUCAUCACAUUCAGCGCCUCUUUCAUAACGGGAUCGGCCUGGGGGUCGUAUGGCUCGGGUAGCGGUGAGAGUUCAGUUGUAGUAAACAAACUAUUAGUCCGAAGCCAGAAAAUAAUCACCGAAGCUAAAAUUCAAUAAUAAUACCUAUACGCCUUGCGCGCUCGCAGCUUCUUCGGCUCGCUUAGCUUCUUCUCGAGCAUCGUGGGUUUCUUUUUCAUUUUUCUUUAUGAUUUCAUUGGCCAAUUCUCGGCCACCGUUCACCCAGACAUCGGAAUAAAAUUUUCCGCCCACUAAAGUAGCUUCGGCCGAGGGGUCUUUUGUUUCGUCUGUGGAGAAGGCGGCUUCGGUCUAGGCUACAGCUUUAACAUGGUCACAACCAGCCUUCUCCAGAAUUGUUGCAACCCUCGAGCGCUAGCGAAGGCACAAAUGUCCCCGCGAUCACUAAGGAUCUCUUCAAAAGCAUCGGCUUCUUCGCUUAUCUAAUCAAUAACUCCCUCGGGGUCACCUUGAAUGAAAUUCUCUUCGAAUGAAUAUGCACCCACCUUGGCAAAGCUGGUUUUCAAUUUUCUUACGCAAUACAAGGAUUUCUCAAAGCAUCUCUCCUUGGAUUCACGAAGCUCCUCAACAUUUUUCUCUAACCUAGCAUUCGACCAUUCACUUAUUUCUUUCUUCACUUUGGCAUGUUCAAAAUUUUCAUUAGCUCCGGUAAGUUUUUUCUGAAGGCCUUCAACUUUGGCUCUAUGAGCUUCGGAUUGAGCAUUAAAUUUUGCUUCGUCUUUCUUCACUCUGUCCACCAAUGAAAGUAGAAUUUUAUCUUUCUCUAUGGCUUCAUUUCUCAGCUUGAUAACCUCUGACCGAAGGUUGCCGAGGGCUAUCUAGCAGCUUUCGUCUUUAGCAUUCUUCUGCGCCCUCAAAGCGUUGCUAAGAAUUAAGCCCUGCAAAAAGAAGAAAGAUAAUGGAUCAUCACGAGAAUAAAAUACAAGAUAACCUAUUUUUAAGUUCAUAACUUCCGUACCUUCAGACUGUUGUACGCAAGGCUGUCUGCGAGGUCAUCCUUCGACAUGGCUGAGAGGCCAGCUUCAAGCUUCGGAAAGCCCAUAUUUUUUGCCAUCUCCUGGCAAAUGGAUAUUUCUUUGUUGUCUGGGAGACAGUAUAAGAAAUCAUCUUCGUUGGUGCCAUUGUACACCAAGGCCCCCCUCAGGUAUUUCAGUUCCCGAGCGUAGUGUUUGGCUUCCGCGAUUUCUUCUUCAGACAACCUUUUUCCCAAAGCAUGUCGAAUAAUAAAGUCACGAUCUUCAGAAGGUGCUUUGGGGGUAGGAGAUUUUACUUUUUUAGGCACAUCUUUUUUUCUAGAACCAAACCAACGUCUGAAGGUCCUUCGGUUCUUUCCUCUGUUCCAGUAGGCUCUGCCUCAGGGGGCACUAAAGGUCCAUCUUCAGGUUCGGCACGAGCUGUAGCAACCUCGGCAGCCUUCUUCACAGGGGUAGGAGUUAAUGCCCUUGUCGUCUCCAUGACAGCGUCCAGCAUGCUUGCCAUCCUCCUCCUCUUGGGAGUUAUUAUAGGAGUUUUUGCCACCUUCGGUAAUUCUGGCUUCGGUGGUCCUGCCGUUUCCUCUCGGUCUGGCUUCUCGGCCGCCUUUCCUUUAGUUUCGGUAGUAUGUUUCGGCACUUUGGCCAAUCCGGUUGCAGAAACCUUUGGCACUACAGCCAAUUCUUCGGCGCUCUGGCCGGCAGGAGCAGCUUGUUCUACCUCGACAUUGGAAGAUGUCCUUUCACCAAGCUUUGGCACUGUGGCUGUUUCAAUGUAUCUUGGCCGGUGGGUCAAGACCUUGAUCUUUUUACCCUUCGGCACAACAAAGAUGGUCGAGGCGGCAGUUUUCCUUUUCUUCCCCUGCUUUCGCGAGGGGUAAGUGUAGUCCGAGUACAUGAAGCCGAUAAUGUCAAAAACUCUGUUCAACCUUUUCUUGUCUCGCCCUCCAAACGCUAAGGUCAUGGUAUCAUCUUCGGCUCUCGUGUACGCUCCAAGUAACUCAUCGCUAGUCGCCUCAACACAUGUCAGCCAGUCGUCAUUUGGUUCGUCACACUGGUCUCUAUACCUAAAGGUGUAUUUCAAGUAAACCAAACCACCUUUACUGUACCCAGCAGCAACCUCCUUCGGCAUCUCCCAGUCAUUCACAAGUGGCCAUACCCUGUAGGCUAUGUGCUACUGAACCAGGUCUCUUGUGCCAAUGAAGGCAAAACAUUGUUGAAAGCCUUCUGACAUGCUUCGGUAUCAUUCCCAAGCGCAGUAGCCGGCCUUCUGAGGCCAAAGCGAGAUCAGAUGGGGCGUUGGAUAAUCCUCUUUAUGUCUUCCCUUUCAAUCAGAUUAUUCUUAACAUAAAACCAUUCCUCCAUCGAGGCUUCGGGCCACCUUUUUCGAAAUGUUGGAACUGGGUAACUUACAUCAGAACGAGGAACGAAGCCAUAACAACCAAAGUUGUUGUGAUAUUGCUCUUUGCCAGUGGCCUUCGUCUCGUACAGCAGUUCGUGCAUGUUACAGAAGCACUUUAUGCUUGGUUCCAGCCCUUGGCUUCUCACGGCCCAAACAAAAAUACCCAUUCUGAUUAUAGCUUUGGGAGUAAUUUGAUGAAGAAAGAUCUCAAAUGUCUUCAAAACUUCAACCAAAAAUUUGCUCAAGGGGAACCGAAGACCUGCAUUCACAAAGCUUCUGUAAACAACAACUUCAUCUUCCUCGGGUGCAGGGGCAGUGAUGUCCCCCUCAACUCUCACAAUAGACAUGUCACGAAAAUAUCUUCCCUUCAUGGCAUCAAUUUGACUCUGUUUGAUGGAUGACUUUCUGAAGAUGGUAUGACUUGGCCGCCAAGGCCAAUCUUCGGCAUCUUCAUUCCCGCUUUCCACAUCAAAGUUAUCGUUAUCAUCACAAUCUUCAGACAAAUCAGCUAGUAUUUCGUUUGUAAUCUUCUCUGUGUUUGUUUUUUCCAUGGCCUCGUAAAAACCAGCUAGUGCAGGAUCAGCAACCUUCUUCUCGUCAGCCAUUUGAUGGACAAUUGAACAAAUGCCGAAGCUCACAAAACAAGCGAAAUCUGACAGCAAGAAAAUUAAAACUUGAGAAAAUAGCACAAGUGAUUGAAAUCGCGCAGCAGAUGCCGUCGCUGAGGGUUUCUAUUUAUAUGGUCAGUGCAUUGCAACUUGGUAGGCCCCAUUUUUCAUUGACUUUCGCUAUUCUAGCGAAGGGAAGGUGUUUUUUCGGACCUUCGGCUAAAGGCCUUCAUUCACGUCAGUCUGAAUUUGUUAAACACAAAAACAAAUUAAUACUAUGGGGGGCUAUUAUUGGGGGCCUUCCUCUUCCGAAGGUCCUCAAAAACACAACUAACAUGUUUUUCAGUAUAGUAUAUUGUCACAGGAAGCUUCGGCUUUGAGAUGAAGGUGUGUAUGGUAUGAAAGGCGCGAUCUAGAAGAAGGAUGAACCAGCUCCGAAGCUAUGGAUGGAGUGAUGAGGACAUCCUCCACUAUUACCUGUUGGCAAAGACGCAAUUGGCCCAGUUGGCCCAAUUAUAGUCAGACGGUGAUCGUGUGAGCCUCAGAAUUAUCCCACCUCGCUUAACUUGGGAGGAGGAAGCCACUUUAAAAGGGAGAGCCACCAUUCCCCCAUUGGACUAGUCUUUUGGGGCGACUGGGCCUUUCCCUGAGUUGGGUGUGCUUAAUGAACUGUUGGGAUCCGGGCAACCCUAAUUUGUUGGGCCUUGGCCAACCCCUCCUGGGCUGGGUGUAUCAUCUGGUAUCGGAGCUAGGGCCCAUUUUAAGAAGGUGGGAAUGAUGAGGACAUCCUCCACUAUUACCCAUUGGCAAAGACGCAAUUGACCCAGUUGGCCCAAUUAUAGUCGGACGGUGACCGUGUGAGCCUCAUAAUUAUCCCACCUCGCUUAACUUGGGAGGAGGAAGCCACUUUAAAAGGGAGAGCCACCAUUCCCCCAUUGGACUAGACUUUUGGGGCGAUUGGGCCUUUCCCUGAGUUGGGUGUGCUUAAUGAACUGUUGGGCUCUGGGCAACCCUAAUUUGUUGGGCCUCGGUCAACCCCUCCUGGGCUGGGUGUAUCAUGGAGAAGCUUCGGCUUAGCACAAGGACGGUGGUGGAGAAUGAAACCGACCUAAAGGGGAAAAGACUGCUUAGUCCUCGAUAGCUUACCUUUUGGCUAACACUAAAUGUCAGGGACAUGAAUGUAAUUUCGCCCAGGCUGUGUCCUAUGCCUAUAAAUAGAUGAACAGUAACACCGUACUGUUCACGCUGAUUUGUAAUCUCUUGCGCGUCACUCUUGCUUUUUCACCUUCUAUCAAGCCGAAGGUACAAAUGUAAUUCGAAUACCAUUGAUGUUUGUUCCUAUUCAUUUAAUGAAGGAAAUAUGAAUAGUCUAAUGAUCUGAAAUGAUUAUUCAUAUUUCCUUUGUGUUUCAUAUGUCUUAGUUUACAUCCUUGCUUAUUGAAAUGAAGAAGGUGCGUCCUUCAUGACCUUCGUCCGAAGAUCAUUAUAUCCUAAAGGAGAUAAUGUUUCGAAGGACGAAGGUCUUUAACCUUCUACACUUGUGUUGCCUUGUUCUUGAUUUAUAGCAUUUGAGAACAAGUGGCCAACGGUCCCGUACCCGGACCGUCCAUCAUAAAGGGCUAGACGGUCCACGAUCCGGCCAAAUGGUCCAGGGCUGUACCCAGACGGUUCGGUCAUAUAUGGCGCGACUUGGACUGUCUGCGCGUGGACUCGUGUAGAGUCGGAUGGUCCGGCAUAAUACGCCCGCCGGUUCAUGCCAUAUCCGGACGGUCUGGCGUAAGAUAUCGGACGGUCCACAACAUAUUCGGACGGCUCGGCAUAAGGUACUGGACGGUCCACGACAUAUCCAGAUGGUCCGGCGUAAUGUACCGAACGGUCCUUGAUUGUAACACCCCUGGUGUUACUGGCACUAAAACUUGAGCAUAACAUCAUGUGCAUUAACAUUUCAUGAUUUUUGUUACACCUAGAAUGCAUUCACUAGGUAAAAUUUUCAAACAAGUUGUGAUUAUGUGACUUGAAGAGUGCUUAACCUUAGGGUAGGGUACUUGACCAUGGAAUUAGGGCCUAUGGAUGAAAGUGAAGCCAAAAUGAGUAAAAAUCUCAAAAGCCAAUAGGAAUGUUCACAAGAUAUCAAAUUUGAUGAACUUUUGUGGCACAAAAACCCUAGUGUGCCCAAACCCUAAAGACAAGCACUAGAAAACCCUAAUUGGAACCCUAGGGGGUAAAUGCAAAUUUUAUGCACUUUUGGACCAAAGUGCAAAUAUCAAAGUGAUAGAACACCACAAACCAAGUAACUUUCACAUUGGAGAAUUUUCAAGUUGAAUGAUGAAAUUUGGACUUAUUUGUAAAAUGGACACAUGAACACUAUGUGGCUAAGUCUGAAAUCAGUGAAAUUGAGUCAACCUUGGAGCUUGGUAUCUCUGAAUUCAUAAGGAAUUUGCCCUAGGUCAAUACAUCAAACUUGUAGAGCUAUGUUAGUGGUACAAAUUUGAUUAAGUGAGUAAGUCCUAGUACUACAUGAAAAUGGGAGAAAAAGAGACCUGAAACUGGCCUGUCAGGCAGCCUUAACUCUGAAAACCUAAGUUCAGUGACAUUUGGUUAACUUUGGAAGCAGUUCAUGGUUAAUUCGAUGGAGAUAAGGUUAGGGUCAUUGUGGCAAGUUGAAUUCCUAACAUUAGCAAACAAAUUUGUUGUAUUACACUUGGCCUAGUGCUGUGCAAAUUUUGAAGUAAAUCGCCCCAAAUGUGCUCUGUCAGAACUUCUGAUGAUGAUUGCCAUGGUAAAGUAACCAGAAAAAUCUCAGAUGCAUUGAACCUCGCCGCCGGUGACCUUGCGCUCAAAUUCGUUCCGGCGCUGUGAUAGUCAUACUCCAGUGACUCACCCUCUCCCCUCCGUAAGCCCAACCUUGCUCAAAUUCGUAGCAUUGGUGGUCGAUCUCUAUAAAUUCCUGCCCCUGUCUGCUCCGCCAUCUUGUUACGAAGCUAGUGCACCAUUCCUCGCUCCCGAUUAGCCACUGUAACUCACGAAUUUCGAACUUCCCCCAAAUCGGUCGGAACGCCGCCGUGAGACAUCUCGUCGUUGCCAGCCAUCUACAGGUUAGUUCAUGCCCCUCUGUGUGAUGUUCUAGCCUCCCUUAAGUCUCCUGUUACUCGUAGACCCAUCUGAUUGAGCUAGACUGCACCAAAUCAUCAUGAACACCUCGGAUUGUCUCUAAUUUUCGCUGUCGUCGUGGACAGAGAGAUUCCGGGCCGGAUUCGUGUAAUUAAUGGAGGGAUUAGAGUCGCCGAGGGUGGAAUUAGGUGUCGGCCGAACUAGGGCUCUGGUCGUUGAGUAUAUCGACCGGUACAGGUUCGCCAGAGGGCGUGCUCACCGGCGUUCAUCAUCGGGGAUCUGUCGUUGCGAUGAAAUAGAAUUCUGAGGGCCUAACUAUGAAUGUCAGAGAAACAAAUGAAUAGUGCGUAGGGUUCUUUUCUGGUUAUUUGAAUGACCGAGGUCCUCUGCCUAAAGUUAACAUCACGACCGCGUGCGGGCGCCUGGACGUGGGCCGGUUCGAGUUGGUUUCAGCCCAUCACUAUUCAUCAUUUUCCCUUUUCUUUUUCUGCCAGGCUUAGAGAAUUUAUAAGAAAUUCUAGAAAAAUGAUAAAAAUAUGGGACCAAUUUUACUAGACUCCUAAAUUCUUCUAGUAUUUAAUAAAAAUAUUUCCAAGAUUUUAAGUCCCAACCAGGAAUUAUUUACCAAUUAAAGGUGCUUAAACCUAGUCUUUUAGAAUUUUAGAAUUUAAUUACUAGCUCCAAAAAACAUAGAACUUUUUGGGUAAACUCAAUUUGAUAAUUAGAGCCCUUGGGUAAAGUUUGGUAUGUUUUGGACAUUGUUUGAUUCCCAAACCCAAAACCCUAGCUUCCUUAGGUAAUAAUUGCAUUAUCCUAAAAGAGUACUGAUUCAGAAAACCCAAGUUACCUAGGUGUACCGUGAAGGAAAGUUGUAUUAAAGAUACAACUUGAUGUAUCUCUAAUAUAACUGCAUAUUCAUAGCAUCACAUGAGCAUUCAUGUAUAUGUAUGGUUAUGUAUAGAAAACGAAGAAGAAGUAAUUGUCGAAGAAGAAGAAACUGCACCACCAAUUGAGACUCCAUCUGCCGGGAAUAGUUUUUAUUUUGAUAUCUGUGGAACAGAUCCCCGAAUCCCCUACAACACAAGGCAAGCCCCAGUGCAUUUACCUUUUCCUUGUGAUUUUAAACUCUUUAUCACAUGAAUGAUGCAUUAGGUAAUAGGAGUUGAGUGCUAAACCAAUUGCUGCAUUUCCUUCCUUGGAACUAUUUAUCCUUCCUUGAUACCUGUUUUGCUUAAAAGUUUUUUGAUGGUUAGUUUUGCCUUAGAAAAUGUUGGGGGCCUGCUUCGUCGCUGAAGGUCCUCUAAGCAGAAACAGCUUCGAAAGAUCAGCAUAUAAACAAACGCAGCGUAAAGGUACACGUUGAAGCUACGGUCCAGGGAGCUUCGGCAUAGUGACAUGCCUUCAGACAAAGGGCUGCACCGACCUAAAGAGGAAAAGACCAAUCAGUCCAUGAUAAUUAGAGUCAUGAUUGUAACUAGUCAUCAAGGACAUAAAUGUAAUUUUGACCGGGCUGCGUCCCGUGCCUAUAAAUAGGUGAACAGUACCCCCAUACUGUUCACGCUAACUGGUAUUCGCUCGUGCGUCAUGCUUGGACUUUUGCCUUCUGUCAAGCCGAAGGUACAAAUGUAAUUCAAUAUUGUUCACAUUCAUUCAUGAUGAUAUAAUUAAGAUGCACCAAUGAUGAUAUCAUAUGAUUAUUUAUGUUAUCUCUCAUGUUUCAUAUGCUUCUUCUUUCAUCAAUAUAUACUACGAUGAUGAAGGUACGUCCUUCAUGACCUUCGUUUGAAGAUCAUUAUAUCCUAAGGGAGAUAAUGCUUUGAAGGACGAAGGGCAUUGACCAUUAACCUUUUUGUGUUGCCUUGUUCUUAACUCAUAGCUUUUGAGAACAAGUCCCCAACAUUGGCGCCCACCUCCGGUGAACUCACUUCCACUUUUGAGCUGAUGGCUUCGUUCAAGAACCAAGUCGUAGCACCUUUGGCUACGAAGCUAGUGCUCCCGAUAACAGGCGGUUCAAGUUCAGAGUCGACUAACAAGAAGUAGAAGAAGGAAGCGCAGAGAAGGGUGUAGCAUGUUAGGGUGCAGGGACCCUUCAUCAAGUCCAAGUGGUCCCACAUCCCAAUCACCUUCUCCUAAGAGGACCUUCAGCUCAAAGAUUACCCUCACAAUGAUGUUAUGGUCAUAUCUUGUGUCAUCAAGGGAUUUCUGGUCCAUAAUGUUCUAGUUGACACAGGCAGUGCAGUGGAUGUCAUAUUUGCUAAGGCCUUCAGACAGAUGCAAGAGCCAGAAGACAAGAUUCAUGAUGCUACACACCCUCUUUGUGGCUUCGGAGGAAGGCAGAUUGUCACACAUGGUAAAAUCACAAUGUCAGUUACCUUCGGCUACAUCCACAACACAAGGACUGAACAGGUUAUCUUUGACAUUGCUGAUAUGGAGUACCCCUACAAUGCAAUCAUUGGUCGAGGGACACUUAAUGCUUUCGAAGCAAUACUUCAUCCAGCAUAUUUAUGCAUGAAGAUACCUUUGGAACAAGGGCCCAUUGCUAUCCAUGGGAGUCAAGAAGCUGCAAGAAGGGCUGAAGGGAACUGGACAGAUUCAAAGGCAAUCCAUAACAUAGAUGGAGCUGAAGCCUGUCAGCAGUACAAAUACAAAAGAGAGAAGGCUGCUUCGGUGGAUCAGUCGAAGCCUAUGCUUCUAUGCCAAGAUAUAGCAGAACAAAGGGUACUGCUAAGGUCUUAGUUAUCUGAUGAACAAGAGAAGACUUUGCUAAGAUUUUUAUUUAACAACAAAGAUGUCUUUGUUUGGUUAGCCAAUGAUCUCUGUGGUGUCAACAGAGAUGUUAUUGAACAUUCACUCAAUGUGGAUCCAUCUUUCAGGCCAAGAAAACAAAGGCUUCGGAAGAUGUCUGAAGACAAAGGUGAAGGUGCUCGGAACGAACUUCUUAGUGCCAGUGUCAUCAGAGAGGUGAAAUACCCAGAAUGGCUAGCCAACACUGUUAUGGUGAAGAAGGCCAAUGGUAAAUGGAGAAUGUGCAUUGACUUCACAGAUCUCAACAAGGCCUGUCCAAAGGAUGAGUUCCCAUUACCAAGAAUAGACUCUCUUGUAGAUGCAGCAGCUUCUUCAGAGCUCAUGAGUCUACUGGAUUGUUACUCAGGCUACCAUCAAAUUUGUAUGAAGAAGGAAGAUGAGCCGAAGACUAGUUUCAUAACUCCCUGUGGCACCUAUUGCUAUCUUCGGAUGCCUGAGGGGCUCAAGAAUGCUGGAGGAAGCUUCAGCAGAAUGACAGCCAAGGUCCUUCAUUCUCAAAUAGGCAGGAAUGUACUGACCUAUGUUGAUGAUAUCAUAGUGAAGAGCACGAAGCAAGAAAAUCACAUUGCUGAUUUGCAAGAGACAUUUGCCAAUUUCAGGCAAACUGGCCUCAAAUUAAAUCCAGAAAAGUGUGUUUUUGGAGUGAAGAAGGGCAAGUUCUUUGGAUGUUUGGUAUCAUCGAAGGGAAUUGAAGCCAACCCGAGCAAGAUUGAAGCUAUCCUUCGGAUGGAGCUACCAAAUUCAAAAAAAGGGGGCUCAACGAUUGGCAGGAAGGCUUGCGUCAUUGAAUAGGUUCAUAUCAAGAUCAGCAGAGAGAAAUUUACCAUUCUUUGAAAUUCUAAAGUCAGCCGAAGUUUUUCAGUGGGGUCCGACCCUGCAAAAGGCUUUUGAAGAAUUAAAGCAAUACUUGAUAGAUCUAACACCUCUAACUCCACCUUCGCCAGAGGCUCCAUUACUCCUGUAUGUAGCAGCUUCUCACUCUGCAGUUAGUGCGGCGCUCGUACAGGAGAAGCUAGAUGGCCAAAUCAAAAAGCAGGCCCCAGUAUACUUCGUCUUCGAAGUUCCAAGUUUAUCAAAGAAAAACUAUACAGAAUUGGAGAAGGUGUUGUAUGCCGUGCUAAUGGCCUCCAGGAAGCUUCGGCAUUAUUUUCAAGCAUGUCACAUAAUUGUUCCUUCAUCACAGCCUCUGAAGGACAUAAUGAAAAAUAGAGAAGCUACUGGAAGGAUUGGAAAAUGGGCUGCGGAGCUUAACGAAUUCAGUAUUGACUAUGUACAUAGAUCCUCAAUUCAGUCCCAGGCGUUAGCAGACUACAUUGCUGAUUUGACGCUAGGGGCUCAAGAAGAAGAAACAAAUAAAGACGACGAAGCUUGGACAGUGUUCUGCGAUGGUUCCUGGGGAACCUUCGGCGCAGGAGCGGCCGCUGUCCUAGUUGCGCCUUCUAAAGUCAGAACAUGUUAUGCAGCAAAGCUUGACUUCAGUUGUACAAAUAAUAUUACUAAAUACGAAGCACUUCUGUUGGGGCUUCGGAAGUUAAAGGCAAUGGGAAUAAGAAGGGCCAUCCUUAAAACUAACUCUCAAGUCAUUUCUGGUCAUGUAGACAAAAGUAGUAAGGCGAGAGAUCCGAAGCUUGAAAAUAUCUGGAUACAGUUCGAAGGUUGGAGGCUUCUUUCGAAGGUUUUUCUGUCAAGAAUAUUCCAAGAGGAGAGAAUGAGCAUGCAGAUCAAUUAGCCAAAUCAGCGGCACAGGGGCUCCCUCUACCUUCGUAAGUAUUUUUUGAGACAAUAAAAGCACUUUCAGUUGAACUUAUGGAGAGAGUAGUGCUUAUAAUUUCCCUUGUACAUAGUGAAGAUUGGAGGACUGAAAUUAUAUCUUUCCUUCAAGGUAAUUGUCUUUCGGAUGACGAAGCUUAUAAUAAGAGAAUGGAAGCAAGGACAAGACCGUAUGUAAUAAUAGAAGGGGAAUUAUACAAGCAUGGAGUCUGUCCUCCACUCCUCAAGUGUUUAUCCAGAACCGAAGGUAUAGAAUUAAUGAAGGAGAUACAUGCAGGUCUAGGCCCUUGCUUGGAAAAGUGUUUAGACAAGGAUUUUAUUGGCCGAAGGCAGCUUCGGAUGCAGCAGAGUUAGUUCCAAAGUGCGAGAAUUGUCAAAAAUGUGCAAGAGAUCAGAAGCAACCUUCUUCUCUCACGCAGCUGAUACAGCCUACUUGGCCAUUACAAAGAUGGGGCUUGGAUUUGUUAGGUCCACUUCCACUGGCACAAGGUAAUUUGAAGUAUGUUGUAGUGGCAGUAGAAUAUUUUUCUAAGUGGAUUGAAGCAAAGCCUUUGGCUACAAUAACUUCAGCCACAGUUCAAAAAUUCUUCUAGCAAAAUAGUCUGUCACUUCGGCGUGCCGAAGGCUAUAACUAUGGACAAUGGAACACAGUUUGAUGCUGAAACAUUCAAAGAUCAGUUAGGCAUCCAGAGUCAAACGGGCUGGUAGAAAGAGCAAAUGGCAUUAUAAUGACAGGAAUAAUGAAGUGAAUCUUCAAUCAGCCCAGAGGAAAGUGGCCAGAUGAGUUGAUUAAAGUAGUGUGGAGCCACAAUACAACCAUGUCAAGAUCAACAGGAUUUACACCUUUCAAACUAUUAUUUGGUGACAAAGCUAUAACUCCAGAAGAAGCUAAAGCAGGAUCAAUAAGAACAGCAGCUUCGGCAGAAGACGAAGCAGAUUAUCAUGUAGCAAAAGAUACUAUAGAGGGGACUAGACUUCAGGUUGUGGAGAACAUCAAUAAAUAUCAAGCUGAAACAAUAAAAUGGCGUGACAGAAAAGUUCGAUUGAAAAAUACCAAGCCAGGGCAUUUGGUACUUCAGAGAGUGGCCAACUCAGACACAGUGGGAAAAUUACAACUGAAGUGGGAAGGUCCUUUUCUGGUUGUAUCUUCGUCAAGACCUGGUUCUUACAGAUUGAAGGAUAUCGACGGCAACGACAUACCCAGGUCUUGGAAUGCGGAUGAGCUUCGGCGAUAUUAUGUGUAAUUUGAUGUAAUCUUUUUUCAUUUUUUUCUAUGGCACCCUUUUCCUUUCCAAAGGGGGAGAAAGGUUUUUAAUGGCCAUAGCUUGUAAUUUUUCCUUUCUUAUUUAGCUCCACGAGAGCCAAAUCCCCCAAAAGGAUGUAAAAUGUAAAAUCUGAGCAUGCACCAUCGAGUGCAGAGAGAAAAAACAGGAAAAACAGGGAGAAGCUCAAAAGUCGUCCCCAAGGGGAUGUAGAGCAUGACGAAGCUACAAAAAGUCGUUCCUAAGGGAGCGCAGCGUAAGUUUUCUGCUCAAAAGUCGUUCCUAAGGGAAUGCAGAGCCAAAUACCGCCGAAAUAGAAGGCGAAGAAGUUCAAAAGAUGUUCCUAAGGGGAUACAGAACUUAUACCACCUAAAUAAAAGGUGAAGAAGCUCAAAAGACGUUCCUAAGGGGAUGCAGAGCUUAAGACUCAAAAGACGUUCCUAAGGGGAUGCAGAGUCUGGGUGUGGCUUCAUGUGCGUGUGUUUGGACAUUCAUUUGCACAUUACAGUACAUCAUUCAUUGCAUUCAUACACAUUCAUGUAGACAUUCAUAAGAUCAUCAUCAUAACAUAGAGUACAAAUAGAUGCUUCGGCUUUGAUGACAAUGCUUCGAUGAGCAUAAAGAAGCAAAGAUACGCUUCGUUGUGUACGAAAAGAAGGGAAGGUGUUUUUCGCUUUUGGCUCAAAAGAUACAUGUUUCGUCCACAUCAAAGCAAUUCACACACGGAUGAAAAGGUAAAAAUAUAUUACAAGGUAUGGACAAAUUUACAGAGUAAUGUUUGAUUCUUAAGUUACAAUAUCUUUUACAAAGAUAAUUCAAAUGUCUCUAAAGCUUUGUGCAGCAGCUUCAUCAAUCUUCGUUGAGCUUCGGAUUAUUGAGCUUCAGCAUCGUCAUCCUGUACACAACAAAGUAGUAUAAGGUAAAAAGUAAUUAUAAGAGAAGGUAAGCAACAGGUACAAGUUUUAUAUCGGCUUAAGAUGACUUCGUGCUUCGUCACCAGCUAAGUCCCGCCCACCCUUCGUCCAAAUUUGUGUUACAAAUCUAUUCCCAAUACUUCGGGCUAGGCUAGGGAUAUCAGCUAGGUCCGCUGGUGAUAGACUGAAGUUCGGUUUGUUUACAAUCUUUCCGUGCGUGCAACCAGCCUUCAUAAAAGCUACAGCUGUGCCGCGAGAAGCCAGCAGGGCAUAGAAGUUGCCAUGCCUAGCUAUGACUUCGUCAAGCGCCUCAACUUCGCUUUCAAUAUGAUUGAAGGUGCUUGGCGAGUCUUCAACCGAAGGUUCAAAUUUUUCAGAGUUGGCUCUGACUGAGUUGAAGACCUGUCGUAGCCGUUGCACGCAUCGGUUGCCGAAGUUUAAGCAAACAUUCCGAAGCUCUUUUAGGGAUUCUUGCUGUUGGGGACUUGUUCUCAAAUGCUAAGAAUUAAGAACAAGGCAACACAAAAAAUGUUAAGUGUUAAGGUCCUUCGUCCUCCAUAACGAUAUAUCCCUUCGGGAUAUAAAGCAUCUCGGACGAAGGUUACGAAGGACAUACCUUCGUAAGCAUAACAACGAAGAAUGAAGCAUUCACAUAAAUCAUAGAAUAUGAAAUAAACAUUUAAAUAUUGUCAUAGAAUUAUCUCUACUUGUAUUAAUGAAUAUAAAUGACUUUGAAUUACAAAUGUACCUUCGGUCCUGCGGAAGGCAAAAGUACAAGCGUGAUGCGAAAGCAAAUGACAGGUUCACGUGAACAGUACAGAGGUACUGUUCAUCUAUUUAUAGGCACAGGUCGCAGCCUGUGACAAAUUACAAUUAUGCCCCUUGCGAAAGUUUACAGCAUUGACUCAGACCUAUAUGUAUAAAAAGGUCAUUCUAUCUCUAUGUCGGUUUAAAACGCCGAAGCUCCAUGAAAAGGGACCUUCGGCCAUCUCUUGGAGACGACUUCAGCCGAAGCUGCUUCUUCGUGUGAGACCUUCGGCGCACCGAAGCACGACCCCAACAGUAGCCCCUUUCGCGGUGCUAGAUCGUUCUUCGUAACGAGCUUGACCCGUGAAAAAAGCCUCUUCAGCUUCGGGAAGCCGAAGGUCCAAAAAACACCUUCCCUGAGCUCGUUGCGGAGAAACGAUCCGACUUCCGAGCGCGUGUCGGUCCCACCUUGCAGAGUUACUGUUUGAUCCUUGCGGUCCACUGUGCAGCGGGUACAAGUUACUGCGCGCCUGGUGUAACAAUUCCGCCGCUUCGCCUUCUUACCUGCAGCACUAUAUAAACUGACAAGUAGUUGUGAAGUUACCACAGCAUUCAUUGCUAUUUGCACUGUUUUGCUGCCGAAAUUUUCCAUCAUAGCCGAAGCUUAAGUCCCAAAAUCGAACGAAGGUGCUUCUCAACGUCCGCUUCGUCAGAAAGAAGAGCUUCGGAGAAAAGAAAAAAGUAAAAAGUUUUUGACUUCCCAAACUUAGAAUCAAAUGGCGAGAAUACGAUCUACUGCCAAAGUUGUACGUGAGGGAGACGAAGCCGAAGGUUCAGACACUGUGCCCAUCUCCGAAGCAAUGCAGCGUUCCGGUCUACUGACUACAGAAGAAAUGCCUGCUGCUGAAGCAGGCCCAACAACUGCCGAAGGAGAAGAAAACAUUGAAGGGACUGACUCCGAAGAUGACUAUCACCUUGCUACGCCCAGCAAGCCCAGUCACCUGGAUUUUGGGAAAUCAACUGUUUCAAAAGCUGACCUUUCGAAGAUGGUGAAAGCAGGUUAUUUCAAUGAGGACCAGAAGAAGCUACUCCGCUUCGGGGAAGAAGAAACCACCCCGAAGCCAAGGAAGGAUGAGAUUGUUAUUUUCAAGAGUUUUUUAAAAGCCGGGCUUAGAUUCCCUCUCCACGGUAUUGUUGCGGAGAUACUAAGGAGGUUUGGUAUCUACUUUCAUCAAUUGACUCCUAACGCCAUCGUUAGGCUCAAUGUUUAUAUCUGGGCCCUCCGAAGCCAAGCUGUGGAACCAUUUGCUGACAGCUUCUGCCGAGCUCACGAAUUACAUUACCAAACAAAGGCCAGAAAAGAUGGGCUACAUGAUAAUUUCGGUUGCUAUAAUUUUGCCUACCGGAAGACAACAAAGUGCCCUGUCAUCAGCUACCGAAGCAAAUGGCCAGCAGGUUGGAAAUCUGAGUGGUUUUAUGUAAAAGUCGAUGAAGACAAAGAAAAAUUGGUACAAAGCCCUCUGGAGUUAAUCUUCGGAGAGACAAGGCCACAAUGCCGCAUUGGCGACCUAAAAGGUCCCACCUGGGCUGCUCUGAGUGAAUUUGAAAUUAUCUCAGAACAUAUUGGCACCAGGGAUCUAGUUCAAGAGUUUUUGGCAUUCAGAGUUUUCCCUACUCUAAAAGAGUGGGAGAUGCCGAAGCUGGAGGGAGAGAAGAAGAAGGGGGAGCUUGUCCGGCUUCCCUAUUACUUCAAGUUCAAGAAGUUCUUCAAAAAACCCUGCAAAGAAUGGUUAGAUACUGUUGAGGUGAUGUGCAACGAAAUCCUGGGGAAUUACUCCAAAAAAGAGGAUCAACUAAUGACAGCAGCCUUCGGUGCCCGACCGAAACGAAGGCUGAACCGAGUGCUUGACGCCCUAGGCUUCGAAUACCCAGACUACGAACAAUUGAACAAGGGCGCCGAGGGCCUCAAAAGAAAAAGAGUAGCCGAAGCUCUGAUCAGGGAUGAAGAAAUACCAGCAAAGGAGAAGAAAGUUCUCAAGAAAAGAAAAAUAUCUGCUCCGAAGCGCAAAUCACCCGAAGAAGAGGAGACCCCCACACCGCCUUCUACCAGCGACGUGGAGGAAAUUUUGAAGGUAAUGACUGAACCCAUGCCUACGAAGCUAAGUCCACUAGGGCUCCAACUGACGAAGCUUUUUGAAAAGGUGGACGAGCCGGAUCAACCGAAGAUAAACAAACCCAAACGGCAAAGAAUUAUUGCGGUAACUGAGGUUAUCGACAAAACUCCACCUAGGUUGUCAAUUCAGAAAACGGCAGCUGCUGAAGGUAGAGCUUCGGAAGUCGCGGCUACCGAAGCUGCCACACCCGAAGAUGUGAAUUUAGAAACUACUCUUGAAAAUAUUGACAAAAUUUUGACGGAAAACAUUGAAGAAGCUGCCACCGUUACUGAAGAAAUCCUGGCCACAGUGCCAGGGAAAGGGAAAGAAAUAGUCGAAGAAACUCCGGACGACGAAGCCUAUUCUUUCCAGAAUCUAAUUGGGCAGAAACUGACGAAGGACGAAAUAGAAGAACUCAAAGACUAUGCCAAAUCUUGCGGCUACAAGCCAGGAGCCCUUCUAUUUGGGGGUGUAGAUGAUGAAAAACUAGGCUGUAUUCGAGACCAGACUGAAGCUAAGGUAAUCUGUACUCUAUCGAAGAGUAUCGGUUUUCCGAAGUUAGAGACAGACAUCAGCCGCUACCGACGACAACAUAUCGUCGGCAGCUUGUUUUAUUCUAACUUCAAGGUAAACAACCUUUUUCUCUGGUUUUUAUUGCCGUUAAUAAUGAAAAUAUUACUUAACGUAAGUUGUUUCUGUUCAGAGCAUGCUACUGAGCAAAGCUCUGAAGAUGCAACAAGACUUGGAGGACAAAAAGCACGAAGCUAUAAUUGAAAACUUGGAAAGCAAAAUAAAAGAGCAAUCUGCCAUCAUUGAAAAGAAAGACUUCGAGCUCCAAUCGACCGAAGGCUUGCUGGCUGAAACUGAAGCUAAAAUAUUAGAGUUAAAUUCGAAGCUUAUCAAUCAAUCAAAACAAUUUGAUCAGGAGAAGCUAGAACUGAAUUCGAAGCUUAAAGCCGAAGUCCAGACCAGCUCAGAAUUGAAGAAAGCAUUAACAAGCCUUCAAGACAAAUGCUUAAACUUUGGCAAUAAUUGUAUUGGACGAUUAAAAAAGAUAUUUUACUCUGUUGGAGCCAGCAGUGGGAAAUUUAACCCUUCGGCGGAAAAUUUACCCCAGGCCUUCGAUCAUAUUGAAGCUGAAAUCGAAGAGCUUGACGAAGUUAUAGCCGGGCACGGCGACUUCUGUGCCUGGGUAGCUUCUCGGGGUACCGCUGCUGCAUUUCUGAAGGCCGGCUGCGAACAUGGAAAGGUUGUCAACAGGCCCAACUUCACCUUAUCUUCAUCAAUCCUGGAUGAUAUGCCCGACCUCGCCCGAAGUAUCUCCAAUAGAUUUAUAAAAAUGGUAUGGACAAAGGGCGGGCGAGAGAAAGCUGGAGACGAAGCCCGAAGUCAUCUUGAACCAGUAAGAAAUGACAUUUCGUGCUUACCUUUUCCUUUGGGCUUGAUUCUUAUGAUUCCUUGACUCAUGUAGGAUGACGAAGGUGAAGAUGAUGCCUAGGAUAUGUCGCCGAAGUUGUCUUCGAAGCUGAAGCUUAAUGAAGACUUGUAAUAUAUUCUUACCCUUCGAUUGAGGUGCUUUGAUGUGGACGAAAUCAGUUUUUUGAGCCGAAGGCGAAAAAACACCUUCCCUUCUUUUCGUACACAACGAAGCAUAAAAGGCCGCUUCCUCUUUUUGCCGAAGCCUUUCCUUACAUAACAAAACAUAAAAGAAUGCUACUCUUGUCUGCCGAAGCUUUUAUUUACAUAACAAAACAUAAAAGAAUGCUACUCUUGUCUGCCGAAGCUUUUAUUUACAUAACAAAACAUAAAAGACUACUACUCUUGUACACAACGAUUCAUAAAAAACCAAUUCUCCCCUGUGCCGAGACUAUUCUUUUACACAACGAUUCAUAAAAAACCACUUCUUCGAAACCUUUCUUUUACAUAACGAAUCAUAACAAACCAUUUAUCCGAAUUUUUCUCUGUGCCGAAGCAACCAUUUAGGAACACAAAUGCUAUGAAUGAAUGCUUAUGCAUGCAAAUGCCAUGAUGUAAUGUGCAAAUGAAUGUCCGAAGCGUAUGUCCGAAGCGUAUGUCCGAAGCCACAGUUAUUCAUCACUUUCUUAGGAGCAAACACACGUCAGCUCUGCAUUCCCUUAGGAACGACUUUGGAGCAUCUUUGCCUUUUACUUAGGCAGUAUCAGCGUUGACUUUUCGCUGUAAGCUCUGCAUCCCCUUAGGGACGUCUUUGGAGCUUCUUCGUCUUUUACUUAGACGGUAUAAGCUCUGCAUUCCCUUAGGAACGACUUUGGAGCUUCUUCGCCUUUUACUUUUGGCGGAAUCAGCGUUGACUUUUCGCUGUGAGCUCUGCAUCCCCUUAGGGACGUCUUCGGAGCUUUUUCUCUUUUUUAGUUUCGGCACUCGAUGGUGCUCUCUCAGCUUUUACAUUUACAUUCUUUGGGGGAUUUUGCUCUUAUAAAACUAAAAAAGGAAAUUACAUAUGAUGGCCCCAUUAAAAACCUUUCUCCCCCUUUAGAAAGGAAAAGGGUGCCAUGAAAAAGAAAAGAAAAGUCAAAAUUACAUCGAGUUAUACAUGAAACCGCCGAAGCUCAUCCGCAUUCCAAGAUCUUGGAAUUUCAUUGCCAUCCAUGUCCUUCAGUCUGUACGAACCAAGCCUUGACGAAGAUGCUACUAAGAAAGGCCCUUCCCAUUUCAGUUGCAAUUUGCCCACUGUAUCCGGAUUGGCCACUCUCCGAAGCACCAAGUGUCCUGGCUCAAUAUUUUUUAACCGGACUUUUCUAUCUCGCCAUUUAACUGUUUCAGCCUGAUAUUUAUUGAUAUUCUCCACGGCCUGAAGCCUGAUCCCUUCUAAAGCAUCCUUUUCCACAAGGCAAGCAUCUUCGGGACCUGAUUCUGCCGAAGCUACUACUCUUAUUGAUCCAGCUUUGGCUUCUUCCGGGGUUAUUGCUUCGUCUCCGAAUAAUAACUUGAAUGGGGUAAAGCCUGUGAAGAAAAUGGGUUUUCCUCGUGGGAAACAACGAAAUUAUUACAUGAAAACUAACAAUGUUCUUUGUUUCACAGAAAAUAAAACUGAAUAGAAAAGACUGCUAUCAAAGGUAGGAUAUGUGUCAAUAAAUGUGCUUCGACUCUGGCACAGUGCUGUUGACUGUGCGAGCUUCGGAUUGUUCUCUGAAGUCCCUUCGGUGUGGGGCAUAUUGACUCCCUUCUGGCUGUUGACCCUGUUGCAGUGGAGGUGGAGGCGGAGGCUGCUGCCAGGAAGCUUGAGGUUGACUUGCCGAAGCUACAGAAGUUGCAGGGUGGUUGUCUAUGUAUUGUGGGAUGUAAGGUGGAUGAUACGAAGCAGUAUGCAUGACCUGCUUCGGCUGAGCUUGUUGAGAUGCAGCUUCGGCUAUUUCCUUUUGCUUCUGGAUUGUAAUAUGGCACGUCCUGGUGGUAUGGCCCUUGCUUUUUCCACAGAACAAGCAAAACAGUUUCCUUGGUUGAUCUCCGAAUCUUCCGCCGAAGCCCCUGGCGCCUCUGCCUCUUGGAGCUGGUGGCCGGAAGAAAGUUUGUUGUUGCCCCGAAGCCUCGGAUAGGAUCUUCCUCCGAAGCCCCUGGUCAUUCCAGAAAAUCUGAAGGCCUCCUUCCUUCUUUGGCGAAAGUCAUUGUCAGCACGAAUGUACUCGUCCAUCUUUUGGAGCAGCUUCUCCAGGGUCUGAGGAGGCUUCCUAGCAAAGUAUUGAGCUGGUUGGGGUCCAGCGGUUGCGGUGCUGCAGCUCCAGUCGCUGAAGCUUUCUUCGGCGCCAUAGCGAGGGUCUAUAGCUUCCGAAGGUGUUCAAAAAACUCGAAGUGGAAGUGAGUUCACCGGAGGUGGGCGCCAAUGUUGGGGACUUGUUCUCAAAUGCUAAGAAUUAAGAACAAGGCAACACAAAAAAUGUUAAGUGUUAAGGUCCUUCGUCCUCCAUAACGAUAUAUCCCUUCGGGAUAUAAAGCAUCUCGGACGAAGGUUACGAAGGACAUACCUUCGUAAGCAUAACAACGAAGAAUGAAGCAUUCACAUAAAUCAUAGAAUAUGAAAUAAACAUUUAAAUAUUGUCAUAGAAUUAUCUCUACUUGUAUUAAUGAAUAUAAAUGACUUUGAAUUACAAAUGUACCUUCGGUCCUGCGGAAGGCAAAAGUACAAGCGUGAUGCGAAAGCAAAUGACAGGUUCACGUGAACAGUACAGAGGUACUGUUCAUCUAUUUAUAGGCACAGGUCGCAGCCUGUGACAAAUUACAAUUAUGCCCCUUGCGAAAGUUUACAGCAUUGACUCAGACCUAUAUGUAUAAAAAGGUCAUUCUAUCUCUAUGUCGGUUUAAAACGCCGAAGCUCCAUGAAAAGGGACCUUCGGCCAUCUCUUGGAGACGACUUCAGCCGAAGCUGCUUCUUCGUGUGAGACCUUCGGCGCACCGAAGCACGACCCCAACACUUGCAGAUUUGAGUUUUUCUCAACUUCGACUUCAAGCCUGAUGAGGACAUCAAAUACAACACCAGUACGACUACACCAGCAGCACCUUUUCUAGCACCACCAGAUGCACCUUCUCCUCAGGCGCCACCUUCUUCCUCAUCUGGGCCAAUCACCCGGGCCCAUGCAAGAGAUCUAAACUUCGUCAUGCUACUGAAGAACGAAGGCCCAGAAGAAUAGACGCUGGCCCAACUGAGGCCCUUGUGUGGGCGCCCAGGGCUGGCCGCUGUAACACCCCAGGUGUUACUCAGGGUGUCCACCCAGGGCUACACCAUUUAAAUUACUAUCACAUAUGGGUUAGUUUGAGCAAAGUACCUCAAACUUAAAAUUCAAGGUCCUAAGCAAGUGCAACCCAUCUUGGAUAUCAUGCCCUAGCUUGUCAUGUACAUCUAAAGGGGAGAAUUGCCCAAAACCCUAAAGCAAACCCCUUUGGACAAUGGGAACCCUAGAUGUAAGUAUGAUCAAAAGGUCAUGAAAACCUUAUGAUCAUGGCUUGGGCCAAAUAUAAAAGUUGUAGUACACUUAAUAACCUACAAAUAAUAGUAAGAAAGUAACCCCAAAAAGAUUUCAGAAAAGCCCCAAAAAGUUCACCAAAGGUUUGAACACAAAAGAAAAAUCAGAAAAUGCCUAAGUCCAAAACUAACCUUUGGACAAAGAUCACACCUGUUCACCCUCAUCCAAAAUUCAAAACACUUCGACCCAAUUGACAAAGUGGCGCCAAAUUACCCCUAGAAUGCCCUGGUAGAAGUUGACACCUACCCUAAGUCGUUUGACACGACUUGGCAUAGCUUUUGUCCCGGUUUGGACAGCUAUGACAUAGGCAACUUCUCACCCCUCUAUCUCCCUACCCCGACCGUAUCUUGACUUGGAACUCACAGCAAAAAGGUAGGAUAUGGAGCAGGGAAGAGACCGUACACAGUGGUUUUGCCAAGAUACGCAUGCUAAGGUACUCAAAUCCGCCGUUGAACCAUGGCAGAAGCGAGCUCCCACGUGUUCGACGCGGGCUGACACUCGGGGGCGCGCUUAGAGCACGCCCGUGCGCAAACCCCCGCACGCCCGCGGCCGCCCGUGACCACACCCGCGCCAUGGCUAUAAAGCCCGUCCCAGUGCCCGGCUGCCUUCCCUGUUGCCUCCUCUGUUCCACGCCUAACUUCCCCGAGCUCGCCCAUAGCUCCGGCGACCUCCCCGCGACACGCCAGAGCCGCCCGAGGGCAACCACCAUGGCCAGCCCCUUUCCUGCCCUCCUCCGCUCGGUCCAAGCCCUCGGAUAGCUUCCCUGAGAGGCCGUGAAGUUUGCACGAGCUUGAACCGAGGACCCGUGCCACCGGAAUAGCGAAAUCGUGCUCGCCAGAGUUCAGAACCCCGCCGACGCACGUGGACCGGGUAAGUCACUGCGCCAUUUUCUGAUUCAAUGCACAGAUAGCCUCUACAUCACCCCGUGAAGCUCACCGUGCCAUCGGAUUGAACUAGAUCGUCGUGGUUUGACCGGAACACUCGCCGCCGACGAGAGCCCCCGCCUGCGCACGUGGACCGGACGAUUCCGGCCACCUCCGCCGUCGAGCCGUACACCGUUGUGACCGCCAGGACCUCCCGGAGCCAACCCCACCCCUCGCCGGACCUCUCUCACCGUCGGUAAGCCGCGCUGCCCUUUUCUUUCUUGUGGGUACUAUUUAAACCUAGGGAGGGACCGCGGGGAGAAGAAGAGAAAGCUAGAGGGUUUUGCGCAAUGUCAGUGACUCAGAGAAAUAGUAGCGCGGGGGUAUAACUGAGAGAGUUAGUUUGGAAAUAACCCAGGGACCUCGGUGCAAAGUGGUUUUCCAGGAAACCUUUUAUUAAAUCUGAUUUAAAAUUUGAACAAAACUUGAAUAAUUCAUAUCUUCUGUUUUAUUCAUCCAAAUUUAGUCAAACCAAUUUUGCCAGAUCUUAAAUAAUUUAAACUACUUAAGAAAAAUAUAAAACCCCUAUGUGCUACAGAAAACUUUAGGGUUCUGAUUUAAUUAUUGUUUUGGCCAAAAGCUAAAUAAUAGGAAGAAAAAUAGUUGCUCUAUUUGACUAAGGUUAAGAAAAUUUGGAGAAGUUUAUGUCCACCUACUGACCUGUUUAAAAAUGCUAAACCCCUCUGUCCACCCCAUUAAGGUAGCUUUUGCCAUUUAUUUCACAUUGUGUUUAAAGUUAAAGAAAAUGAGAAAGGUGAUUUAAUUAAGGAACCAGGGAGCACCCAUACUUUUGUUAGUCCCCUUAUUCAGUGUAGUUCACUAGAAAAAUCUAUUAUACUCUGGUUUAGUAUAAAUUAGUUGGGAUACCUUUUAUUUUAAGAAAAUAAGGAAAACUUAGAAAAACCCUAGAAAAAUAACCCCAGGGUGAAAACACCCCAAACCUUGGGAUAAUUAAUGUUUUUGUUAUUAAGAACAUAGGAAAAAUAUGAAAUCUGCUGUUUGACAUUUUUCAAAUAAUAAGAUAGUAGAAAGUGCCUUUUUGGCAUUAAAACUUUGGAAAAUCACAACUAAAUAACCAUCCCUUAGCUUUCUGUGAUUUUUGGCACACAAGCUUAUUAUUACUGUUAAAUGCCAACAAAAAUAACCCUUAGGACAGAACCCACCCCUAGUUAAGAGUUGAAGUACAAAGUUGCCCAUUUACACAACUUUUGUUAUUUUUGUCUAAAGCAUAGCCUUUUUAUUUUGAACCUCAAAUUCCUAGAAUGGGCUAUAGUGACCAAGGGCAACCCACUCUAAUUUUUACAGAAUUUUUGGAAAGUUAAACCACUGUUGUAGUUCAAAUCUACACUAGAAUUCAUAAAUAGAAAAUAAAGAAAGGGAAAAUGAAUAAUGGAAAUUAGUGUCAUCCUAAAACCCUUUGUAAAUUGUCCACUAAAAUAUAUAAAGGAAAUACCAAUCCACUAUGCCUAUCCCUAACAAAACAUAAACCAAGAGUGAUAAGCAUAAACCACUAAAAGCCACGUAUGACCAAGAAAACCCUAGGUUACUCAUUAACUUAGUUUUUCUUCCUGUAGCAUAUUGUUAUUAAAUCCUGCAUAAUAAUGACCUACAUAUUCAUUGCAUUUCGAUAGACUGUAACCUCGCUGACGGAGAGUACGUCCUCGUGCCGGAGCAAGGAGCUGCUCAGGAGGUAGCCCGGAUCCAGCACCAAAGCCUGCACCAGAGGAUCUGCCUGCCACUGCUUUGGAAGGCAAGCCCCAGUUUAUGCAUAACCUGUUAUUUAUGCUAUUUUACUAUACUUAAUGAUUGUAGGAUUGAAUGUGCACUUAGGUGUAGGAGUUGUUUGAAACCCUAGUUGCAUGAUCUCAGGAAUCCUUUGAGAUGGAUACUAGUAUGCUAGGUCGAGUAGCUGCUUUAUUUAAUUAGGAUCUCGGUAGAAGACGAGUGAUUUUUCUAGCACUCGCGCGAGAUCAGGAAUUGGUUGUACCCACUUUCAUAUUAGCAUGAUACUAGUCUGUGGACAACAAUCCAUGGGGAUUGGUUGUCUACGAGAUGGGAAAAUUGGAAUAAGGAUUAACGUGCGGAUACAUGUGUCAAGCAUUUGAACGUACUAAACACAUACCAAGAAAUAUGGUAAAUCGGUAAGCCUAGUACCUGAUUGAACCUGGCAGCAGAUUGCCCUCCUCAUGCGACCUAAGACGUGGUCUCCCAUUCCGGUUAUGGUGGGUACAAGUGCGGUCACUGCACGACGGCAGUCGGGGUCAGUGAGGCAUUGUACGCCAAGGCGGUGAGCCCCUCUCUGCUGACGGGGAAUCGAUGAGGACGGUUGAUGUGUGUGGGGACGGAGUGCCUCGCCAUGUCGUGUGUUUAGGUUUACCUUGCAAGGAUAAAAACUCGAUUCGAAUCGUCUGCUUCUCGCAGCUAAUGAGACUGCUUGAUCCAUUGUACUGCAUUGAGUAACAAGUGAAAAUAUGAUGAGUUGAUACAAGAUGUUGAUUGCUAAAAAUGUUUGCUACUAUGUAUGAGUAGAUAGUACAUAUUUAGCCUUAAGAGAGUCACACUUAAAAUUGACAAAGCUAAAACUUGAUUUAGAAACUCAGCUAGUGCUUUUGGCAACCAAACCCCACAGCCAAACAGCUGCAUGUCUAGAGGUAGAGUAGACUCCUCACACCGGGUAAGUCUAGCUGAGUAUUAGAAUACUCAGCCUUGCUUGUGGCAUAAUUUUUACAGGUUCUCUGGAGGACAUGGUUGUUGGAGUGACUUGGCCGUCCAUCUUGCCACCGGGUUGGACUGUCGAGUGUGACCCCGCCUCGGCUGAGGAGGAGCAUGAGGAGUGAUGGGAUAGGCUUCCCCAUCCCUCCAUUUAUCUAUCGUUAGUUUUAUUCCGCUGCACUUCGAACAAUGAUGACUACUUUUGCAAAAACUCCGAUGAUGAUGUAAUAACUUAAUACUCCUUAAUGUAUGGUUUUACGUUUUAUUGUAUUUGCUAUGUGACUCACCAUCGAGUGAGAUUGUGGUACUUGAUCCUGUCAGUGGCCUUGUCGGACUAGAUCCGAGGGAUUGACGGGUUAUUCCCAUUUAAGUGUGGUCUAGCCUCUAAGGUGGGACUUAGGCACUUAAGUCGGAAUAAUUCGGGCAGUUCCGCCACAGCCACCACUAGGGGUUGUGCCCCCUCCUUGGCCGCCCUUCCCUAGGGGCUGCGCCCCCCCCCCCCCUCUCCCUCUAUUUAGAUGGAGGCUUCUUUUCUUUUCGGACUCGAGUUUUGUUUUACAAUUAACUUUAGCUACUCUUGAACACGCGCAAAUCUGCGUUGUCCUCGUGUAUUUUAGAACUCCACCUUCGAGUGAUAAUUAGAUUGCUCGCAUCUCUUUCUUGUACGUUCUUCGAUUGCGGACAGGAAACGAUCUUCGUGAUCAGGCUGAUCUUGCAUCAACAAGGUUGGUAACCACAGGGAGUUGGUUCAGCGAUUGCAUUGGUGCUUCGGGCUCGCUCGUCGUAGUCGGAUCGUGAGGGUCAUCUUCCACCAAGUCGAAACUUUCCCCACUCACCGAAAGAUCGGGCACUCCGGCUCUAUCAAGUGGUAUAAGGUUUCCAGGUUGUUCGGUGAGUUUAUCGAGUGUUUUCAAAUUCCUAUAGUCCAUAAAACCAAAACACAAAUAUAUAUUCCUUGCCCCAGAAACUUUUUAGCCUUUCAAUAAUUCGCAUUGUUGAAUUUGUGUGCUUACGCGUUCAACUGUUGCUGGUUAUUUUGUGUUCUUUUACCAUUUUUUUUCUUCGAACCUUAGUGCGCCACCACAUCUCUUUCCCUUCUGCAUCACACGCGCCCCCUGGAUCGCGUGCCGAUCACCUCCCCCUAGAUUGCGCCUCCUGUUUUGCCCCUGCCUUGUGCGUCCUUUGGAAAGUCAGCAAAAAAAGAAAGGAAAGCAAAAAAAAUAGUGUAUCCUGAUUUCCUAUUCCUGAUCGACAGCAAAAAAAGAAAGGAAAAGAUCUUUUAAUUACCGGAAUACCCCUACCCUUCUAGAAAAAAGUGUGUGUGGUAACUUGCUUUUGUAUUCCUUUGCCAUAUAAUCAGUUUGUGAGUUUCUUAGAAAAACAAAAAAAAGAAAAAAAAAGAAAAGGGGACACAAACCGGAGGUUACCUUGUGUGGGCGCGUCACGCAGGAUGCCCAGGGGUGCGCACCCGCUACUACUUGUUCUCCUCUUUUUCUGUUUUCCUUUGCCCCCUACCCUUGCUCCACCUUUGCACUUUGUUUCUAGCAGCUUUGAUUACGUGUUUGGCACUAUAAUUCCACCUUGCAUUAUUGUUUGAUUGUGCUAAUCCUUGCUUUGAGUGUAGCCUACCCAGAACUCCACAUAGUUCUACAACGAGCAGACUUUGUUUCUCUAGGCAAUCGCUCCUCCAAUCUUUCGCCGAUUCUACCUGUUGGUUGCAGCUCACCCCUGUGUGCUUGGUAAGAAUGGAUAAGAAUUUGAUAACAGCACUACUAUGAGCGCCUAACCCACACCCUUGUUGUCGUAGGCUUUGCUUUGUGUUGCGCUAACUAUGACAGGAAACGACGACAUGACAGAUGCACAGCUGCGGGACGUGCGGACACAAGUUGAUGGACUUGCCGUGGACGUGAAGAUGAUGCAUGAACGGCUUGAUUCAUCGAUCACUUCAUCGAACAAGCGGUUCGACCAGCUAGAUCUCGCUCAGACAGCCACUGCGACCACGCUCGACGACAUCGUGUCACGACUCGAUGUGUUGACUACGACACUCAUGGAGUUGCAGAAGGAUUAUGGCGGUGACACGGAGCGGGAAGAUGGAGAUCGCCGCUGACGUGCCCGCCGUAUGGUACAUCGACCAUCUAAUGACUCAUUCGCCAAAAUUAAAUUUAAAAUCCAUCUUUUAAUGGCAAAUAUGAUCCUGCUGCAUAUCUUGAUUGGGAAUUAGAGGUCGAACAGAAAUUUUUAUGCCAUGAUAUUUCUACUUCUUCUCAAGUUAAAGCUGUUAUUAGUGAAUUUAUUGAUUUUGCUUUAAUUUGGUGGCGUGAAUAUAAACAAAAACAUCCCACUGCCACUCCCACCACUUGGACUCAAUUAAAAGCUGCUAUGCGACACAGGUUUGUGCCUUCCUAUUAUGCCCGAGAUUUGCUUAAUAAAAUGCAGCGUUUUUAGCAAGGUCAACAAUCUGUUGAGGAAUAUUACCAGGAACUACAAAAGGGUAUGAUUCAUUGUGGUUUGUUUGAACAGGAUGACGCUGCUAUGGCACAUUUUUCGCGGUGGUUUGCACCGAGAAAUUCAGGAUAUACUUGAUUAUAAGGAAUAUUUUGAUAUGACCACAUUGUUUGAAUAUGCUUGCAAAGCUGAACGUGAAGUGCAGGGGCGCUGAUCCAAGACACAUACUGGCUCUUUUGCAGGACGGAGCCCGACAUCCAGCUCAGCUCCUGCUCUUCCCGCGCCAUGCACCACUAGCACUACACCGCGCGAGAGGACGGCCAAACCUGCAGCGCCCCCAGCUAUAGGCGCUGUUCCUUCCAUAGGACAUACACGAGAUAUUCAGUGCCAUCGUUGCAAAGGAUUUGGGCACGUAAUUUGGGACUGCCCCAGCAAGCGUACCUUACUCAUACGUGACAAUGGUGAGUACUCUUUCGCUAGUGAUUCCGAAGAAACUCGACAUGCUAUUUGCCACUGACCAUGCAGAUAAUGAGGAGGUACAUGUCGCUCCUGGCGAUGCCGAGAGGUAUGAGAGUCUUGUUGCACAGCGUGUUCUUAGUACACAGGUUGCCCAACCUGAGAACAAUCAGCGACACACUCUAUUACAUACUAAAGGCGUUGUACAAGAACGAUUGAUUCGCAUCAUCAUCCAUAAUGGCAGCUGCAACAAUUUGGCGAGUACAACUUUGGUAGAGAAGUUAUCCUUGCCCACUCGUAAGCACCCGAACCCAUAUCACAUUCAAUGGCUUAAUGAUGGUGGCAAAAUCAAAGUUACACGUUCGGUACGUGUUUCCUUUUCCUUGGGCUCUUAUUCUGAUUAUGCUAAUUGCGAUGUUAUUCCUAUGGAAGCAUGCUCUUUGUUACUUGGUAGACCGUGGCAAUAUGAUACUAAUAGUUUACAUCAUGGUCGUUCGAAUCAUUCUUCUUUCAUGUUUAAGGGUCAGAAAAUAAUUAUCCAUCCCAUGACCCCUGACUAAAUUAUAAAAGAUGAUCUUGCUCGGGCUUCAAAAACUACAAAGCAACAUGCACCUACGCCAUCCACCCCUGUUAAUGCUGAAAUCAAGUUGCAUGCUCCGGUUUUACUUGCUACACAUGCUGAUUUUGAUGACCUACGUGAUACUCACUUGCCCUGCUAUGCACUUGUAUGUUCUAGUAUGCUCGUUUCACUUGAUGAUGCCCCGCCUUUGGAUAUUCCCCCUGUUGUUUCUAACCUUUUGCAGGAGUACGCUAAUGUUUUCCCCACGGACUUGCCACCGGGUCUUCCCCCGCUUCGCGGCAUUAAACACCAGAUCGACCUCAUCCCCGGCACCCAGCUCCCAAACCGCACCCUGUACCGUACGAAUCCGGAUGAGACGAAGGAGAUCCAGCGCCAGGUGCAGGUGUUGCUUGAUAAAGGUUACAUUCGUGAAUCUCUUAGUCCUUGCUCAGUUCCUGUUUUACUUGUUCCAAAGAAAGAUGGGUCAUGGCGUAUGUGUGUCGACUAUCGCGCUAUUAAUAACAUCACAAUUCGUUAUCGAUAUCCUAUACCACGCCUUGAUGAUAUGCUAGAUGAGCUUAGUGGUGCCAUUAUUUUCACUAAGAUUGAUUUGCGUAGUGGAUACCAUCAUAUUCGAAUGAAACUGGGUGAUGAAUGGAAAACGGCUUUUAAAAUGAAGUUUGGGUUAUAUGAAUGGUUGGUUAUGCCGUUUGGAUUGACUAAUGCUCCAAGCACCUUUAUGCGUUUGAUGAACGAAGUUCCAAGGCCCUUCAUAGGAUUGUUUGUCAUUGUCUAUUUUGAUGAUAUCCUUAUUUACAUCAAGACUAUGGAAGAGCAUUUCGAACAUUUGAGUGUUGUUUACUUGUUUUUGAUGCGUUGCGUGCUGCCGCUUAUUUGGUAACGUGGACUAAUGCAUCUUUUGCACACAACGUGUCUCGCUUCUUGGUUAUGUUGUUACUCCACAGGGCAUAGAGGUGGAUAGUAGCAAGAUUGCUGCCAUUCGGGACUGGCCUACACCGACGACGGUCACACAGAUUUGGAGUUUUCUUGGACUUGCAGUCUUCUACCGUAGGUUCGUCCAUGAUUUUAGCUCCAUUGCAGCCCCUCUACAUGAGCUUACAAAUAAAGGUGUGCCAUUUGCUUGGGGCGACGCGCAGGAGGUAGCGUUCAACACUUUGAAAGAUAAGUUAACACAUGCUCCCCUCUUGCAAUUGCCUGAUUUUAAUAAAGUGUUUGAGCUUGAAUGUGAUGCUAGCGGUAUUGGACUAGGUGCUGUUUUGUUGCAAGAUGGAAAGUCGGUUGCUUAUUUUAGUGAAAAAUUAAGCGGUGCUAGCCUGAGAUAUUCUACUUAUGAUAAGGAGCUUUAUGCUUUAGUUCGCACUUUGCAAACAUGGCAGCACUAUCUUUGCAUCGUGAGUUUAUAAUUCAUUCUGAUCAUGAGGCUUUGAAACAUAUUCGUACUCAAACAAAUCUGAACCGCCGUCAUGCUAACUAGGUCGAAUUCAUCGAGUCUUUCCCUUACAUUAUUAAACACAAGAACAGGAAGGAAAAUGUCAUUGCUGAUGUGUUGUCUCGUAGAUAUACCAUGCUUUCAUAGUUAGAUUUUAAAAAAUUUGGCUUGCAAACUAUGAAGGAUCAAUAUGUCAAUGAUGCUGAUUUUAAAGAUGUUUUAAUACAUUGCAUGCAUGGCAGACCAUGGGGCCAUUUCCACGUGCAGGAUGGGUUCCUGUUUCGCGCUAACAAGUUGUGUAUUCCAGCAAGCUCGGUUCCUCUGUUGUUGUUACAGGAAGCACAUGGAGGUGGUCUCAUGGGACACUUUGGCGUCUACAAAACGCACGAGGUGCUGGCUGCACACUUCUUUUGGACCCAGAUGCGCCGUGAUGUCGAGCGCCUUGUUGCACGCUGCACUACUUGUCAGAAAGCUAAGUCACGAUUGAGCAACCAUGGUUUGUAUAUGCCUUUGCAUGUCCCUACGUUUCCUUGGCUUGAUAUUUCUAUGGACUUUGUUUUGGGUUUGCCUAGAACUAAGAAGGGGAGGGAUAGCAUUUUUGUGGUUGUUGAUAGAUUCUCCAAAAUGGCUCAUUUUAUACCCUGUCAUAAAACUGAUGAUGCUAGCAGUGUUGCUGAAUUGUUCUUUCGAGAGAUUAUUCGUUUGCAUGGUAUUCUGAAUACAAUAGUCUCUGAUCGUGAUGCUAAGUUUCUUAGUCAUUUUUGGAGAUCUCUUUGGAAUAAAUUGGGAACUAAAUUGUUGUUUAGUACAACUUUUCACCCUCAAACUGAUGGGCAAACUGAGGUGGUGAAUAGAACUUUAUCAACCAUGCUUAGGGCUGUUUUAGACAAAAAUUUGAGACGUUGGGAGCAUUGCUUGCCUCAUAUUGAAUUUGCUUAUAAUCGUGCAACACAUUCUUCUAAAAAGAUGUGCCCCUUUCAGAUUGUUUAUGGUUACAUUCCUCGGGCACCUAUUGGUUUGUUUUUGCUUGAUGCUGAGGACGCCCUACAUAUCGAGGUUGUUGCACAUGUUGAACAAAUGAUUGACCUCCAUGAACAAACACACCAAAACAUUGCUGCUGCUAAUGCUAAGUAUCAGGUUGCUGGUAGUAAAGGAAGAAAACAUGUUACUUUUGCACCUGGUGAUAUGGUUUGGUUGCAUUUGCGCAAGGAUCGUUUUCCUACUUUGCGUCGUUCUAAAUUGAUGCCUCGUGCCGCUGGUCCUUUUAAGGUGCUAACCAAGAUUAAUGAUAAUGCUUAUAUCCUAGACCUACCUGUAGAAUUUGGUGUUUCCCCUAGUUUUAAUGUUGCAGAUUUGAAACCAUAUGUGGGCGAGGAUGACGAGUUGCCGUCGAGGACGACUUCGGUUCUAGAAGGGGAGGAUGAUGAGGACAUCAAAUACAACACCAGUACGACUACCCCAGCAGCACCUUUUCCAGCACCACCAGAUGCACCUACUCCUUAGGCGCCACCUUCUUCCUCAUCUGGGCCAAUCACCCGAGCCCAUGCAAGAGAUCUAAACUUCGUCAUGCUACUGAAGAACGAAGGCCCACAAGAAUAGACGCUGGCCCAACUGAAGACCUUGUGUGGGUGCCUAGGGCUGGCCACCACUAGGGGCUGCGCCCCCUCCCUGGCUGCCCUUCCCUAGGGGCUGUGCCCCCCCCCCCUCUCCCUCUAUUUAGAUGGAGGCUUCUUUUCUUUUCAGACUCGAGUUUUGUUUUACAAUUAGCUUUAGCUACUCUUGAACACGCGCAAAUCUGCGUUGUCCUCGUGUAUUUUAUAACUCCACCUUCGAGUGAUAAUUAGAUUGCUCGCAUCUCUUUCUUGUACGUUCUUCGAUUGCGGACAGGAAACGAUCUUCGUGAUCAGGCUGAUCUUGCAUCAACAAGGUUGGUAACCACAGGGAGUUGGUUCAGCGAUUGCAUUGGCGCUUCGGGCUCGCUCUUCGUAGUCGGAUCGUGAGGGUCAUCUUCCACCAAGUCAAAAUUUUCCCCACUCACCGAAAGAUCAGGCACUCCGGCUCUAUCAAAGCCUUGCUUCAAAACUUUUCUUUUCUUGUUCGAAGUUUUCUGAUCUUCGGAGGAGUUCAUCGUUUAAUCUGGCAACUUCGGCUUGGGCUUCUGCCAACGAACCCUCCAUUGUCUGAAGAAGGAAGUCUUUCUUUUCUAGAGAAGCUUUAUGAUCUUUGAUUUUCUUUUCCAAGCCCUCGAUUAUAAUUUCAUUCUUUUUUAUCCUCAAUAUCUUGCUGCAUCCUCAGUGCUUUGCUUAGUAGCAUACUCUGUACAAAAUAGUCUUCAUCAGAAAUUUUUUGCAUCAUCACAAAGAUUAAAAAGAUGAGGAAAAAAGCUUUACCUUAAAGUUGGAAUAGAAUAAGCUGUCGACGAUAUGUUGUCGCUGGUAGCUGCUAAUGUCAGCUUCAAGCUUCGGAAAACCAACACUCUUCGACAGAGUGCUGAUAAUCUUCGCCCCAGUACGGUCUCGAAUGCAUCCUAAGGCUUCUUCAUUGAUUCCUCCCAAGAGCAUGGCUCCUGGUUGGUAGCCACAAGAUAUAGCAUAUUCCUGCAACUCCUCCUUCUCGGCCUCGGAUAAUUCUUGAAAGCUGAAGCCUUUUUCUUCCGAAGUGUCUUCGGCAAUUUCUUUCCCUUUUUCAGGCACUGCGGCCAGGACUUCUUCUGUAGCCACAGCAGUUUCCUCUGCAGCUAUAUCCAUGAGCACUUUAUCAAUAGCAAAUAACGUACUCUCUAGAUUGGUAGCUUUGGCGGACGCAGCUUCGGCAGAAGUAUCUGCUUCGGCAGCUGGUGUCAUCUUUGAUGCUGAGGCCGGCGGUGGCGUUUCCUCAAUAUCUUGCAUAAUAGUAACAAUUCUUCACUUUUUAGGCCCAACCGCCUUUUUCGUUGUCGAAGGCUCGUCCUUCUUUUGUAAAAGCUUCGUCAAAUACUGUCCUAGAGGACUUAGCAGCUUGAUAGGUAAGGAUUUAGUCAUUACCUUUAAAGUUUCUUCUACUUCCGCAGUAGAAGGCGUUGAAGGAGUCUCCUCCUCCAUCUCAGCCACCUUCGGCUCCGGGGUUGCAGUUUUCCUCUUCUUUGAAGUCACCGCCUUCGGCUCAGGACUGGUUUUUCUCUUCUUCAGAGUUUCUUUGUCCUCUUUCACCAUUCUAGCAGCCUGCCUGCUCAGAACACUAACAACCCUUUUUUCUCUUUGUCCCUUCGGCACUCUUGUUGAGUCUUUCAUAAUCAGGGUAUUCAAAAUUUGAAGCAUCCAUUACCCGAUUCAACCUUCGUUUUGGUCGGGUGCCGAAGGCUGCAGUCAUUAAUUGAUCUUCUUUUUUGGUAUAAUUGCCCAAAAUUUCAUUGCACAUAGUCUCAAUCAUCUUCAACCAUUCUUGGCAAGGCUCUUUGAAUUGUUUCUCAAACUUGAAGUGAUAGGGCAAUCGAACAAGUUUAUUCUUCUUUUUUGUUCCUUUUAGCUUCAGCAUACUCCAUUCACUCAACGUUGGAGAUACCCUGUUGGCCAAGUAUUCUUGUACUAGAUCCCUAGUGCUGAUUUGUUCAGCCACCACUCUGAAUUCUGCUAUGACCAGCGGGCAUGCUGACCCUGGCUUCAUGUUGCCCAAGGGUCUGGUCAUCCCGAAGCUUAAAGCCAGCGGGCUCAUCACCAUCAUCAUCAGUUUCCCUCUUUUCUUCUCAUCAGCCUUAAUAUAAAACCACUCACUCUUCCAGCCGGUUGGCCACUUCGUGCGAUAACUGAGGACUGGAGCCUUCGUAUUCUUGCGAUACGCGAAGUUAUAACAACCAAAAUUUUCAUGUAGCCCGUCUUCUCUAGCCUUUGUUUGGUAAUGCAGCUCAUGCACUCGGUAGAAAGCUUCAGCAUUUGGGUCCAUCCCUUGGCUUCGAAGGGCCCAAAUGAAGAUGCUGAGCCUAACGAUAGCGUUAGGAGUCAGUUGAUGAAGAAAAAUUUCAAAAUUAUCCAAAACUUCUCCAAUCAUCUCGUUCAAGGGAAACUGUAAUCCUGCCCUGAAAAAGGUUUUGAAAACCACCACUUCAUCAUUCUUCAGCGUUGGAGUGGUUUCUUCUCUGGCAAAACGAAUAAGCUUCUUUUCAGCUUCUCCGAAGUAGCCCAGUAUCAUCAUCAUGGGCAUGUCGGCUUCAGACACAGUAGAUUUUUCAAAAUCGAAGUGGCUGGGUUUUGGCAGGAUCAGAAUGCUAUAGUCUUCCUCUUCUUCGUCAGCAUUUUCUUCCUCAAUAUCAGCUUGCUCAGCUUCGGUAGCAGAAGUACCUUUGUCAAUGACUCCCUCCGUCACAACUAAGCCUGAUUGUCUCAUGACUCCCUUAGUCUCCUCUCCUUCACGAGUCACCCUCGCAGUCGAGCGUACUCUGGCCAUCUGAUGAAUUUUUGCGGUUUUUACGAAGCUGAUGUUUUUUACAGUUUUUGACGAAGCUAAUUCAAAACGUUGGUUCGCUCGAGAACGCAGUGAAAAAGCUUCGGCUAUGGUUAAAUUUUUCAACAGCACAACAGUGCAAUGGCAAUGAAUGUUGUGGUAACUUCACACCUACCUGUCUGUUUAUAUAGUGCUGCAGGUGGGAAGGUGAAUCGCCAAGUCGACCGCACCCGCUGAACAGUCACCCGCACCCGCUGAACGGUGGACCACUCGACGCUUGAGAGUGAAUCGACAUAUCGCUCGUACCCGCUGCGUGGUGGGCCACCUUGCGCUUGGAAUAUUUUAAUCGUUUCUCAGCAACGAGCUCAGGGAAGGUGUUUUUCGGACCUUCGGCAUUCCGAAGCCUUGGAGAUUUUUCAUGGAUCAAGCUCAUUACGAAAAACGAUCUAGCACCGCGAAGGGGCUACUGUUGGGGGCCUGCUUCGUCGCCGAAGGUCCUCUAAGCAGAAACAACUUUGAAAGAUCAACAUAUAAACAAAUGCAGAGUAAAGGUACACGCCGAAGCUACGAUUCAGGGAGCUUCGGCAUAGUGACAUGCCUUGAGACGAAGGGUUGCACCGACCUAAAGAGGAAAAGACCAAUCAGUCCAUGAUAAUUUGAGACAUGAUUGUAACUAGUCAUCAAGGACAUAAAUGUAUUUUUGACCGGGCUGUGUCCCGUGCCUCUAAAUAGGUGAACAGUACCCUCGUACUAUUCAUGCUAACUAGUAUUCGCUCGUGCGUCAUGCUUGGACUUUUGCCUUCUAUCAAGCCAAAGGUACAAAUGUAAUUCAAUAUUGUUCACAUUCAUUCAUGAUGAUAUAAUUAAGAUGCAUCAAUGAUGAUAUCAUAUGAUUAUUUAUGUUAUCUCUCAUGUUUCAUAUGCUUCUUCUUUCAUCAAUAUAUACUGCGAUGAUGAAGGUAUGUCCUUCAUGACCUUCGUUUGAAGAUCAUUAUAUCCUAAGGGAGAUAAUGCUUCGAAGGAUGAAGGGCAUUGACCAUUAACCUUUUUGUGUUGCCUUGUUCUUAACUCAUAGCAUUUGAGAACAAGUCCCCAACAAAAAACAAAAUGAUUUGUUUUAAGCAAAGAUGAUGCUUCAUGUGGGAAGGGAGUUUUCAAAGAAAAGAAUUGAUGGUGGAUCCAUCAUGGCCUUGAUGGGUUCAACAUUGGAAAAGAUGUACCUCUGACAGGUACCAAACUUUGGGUUUUAAAUGAUAAAGACGAGACCGGGCGGGUGGCUUGCACGAGAAGGAAGUCUCGGUGUAGUGCCUCCGUCUAAGUCGAUUAAGGACUGUAUCGAUGUAAGCUUGCUGAUUGAGGACCUUUUAACUAGCCACAUGCCUCGUCAUGGGUAAACUUUGCCUCAGGCAGACCAAUACCAGAAAGGCCAACACACAAUGGGAGUGGAGAGAUGGUGAGAGUAGUGUGUACCCUUGUUGGGGGCCUUCGACUUCUGAAGGUCCUCAAAAGCGUGAUUUAACGAUGUUUCUGGAGUAUAAUACACGAACAGGUACCUUUGGACUUGGACCCUUCGAACUUGAGUCAAAAUCACAAUGUGAAGAAGCACAAGGGAAACGAAGGAUGGAACAGAGCCGAAGCUGCGCGCAAGGGAGCUUCGGCAUGAUGACAGAAAAAAGGAAACCGACUUAAAGGGGAAAAGGCUAUCUAGACCCUGAUGAAUUACUAUGGAGUUAUUAGCAAAUGUAAAGGGCCUGGAUGUAAUUUUACAUGGGUUGCGUUCCGUGCCUAUAAAUAGAUGAAUAGUACUCCCGUACUGUUCACGCUGACUGGGAAUUUGCUUUUGCGUCACGCUUGUACUUUUACCUUCUUUCAAGCCGAAGGUACGUCCUUCACAAUCUUCGUUCGAAAAUCAUAUCUCUCAAAGGGAUAUAAUGCUUCGUAGGACGAAGGAUUUUAACGUUUAACAUUCUCUGUGUUGCCUUGUUCUUAACUCAUAGUUUUUGAGAACAAGUCCCCAACAUUGGCGCCCACCUCCGGUGAACCCUUUCUGACCACUUUCGGCAAGCAUCGACCUUCGUCAUGCUGCCAAAGGAAGCUUCAGCAACAGGGGCUGCCGCUCUGCAGUCGUUGGACCCGAACCAGGAGACCCUUUCUCUUCGGGAGGCCCGAAGCCAGAAGAGGAAGGCCACCAGUCCAAUGCCUCAGGAGGACAAUUUAGACCAAGAAAUCAGGAAUAUGGAGAUGCUUCAUCAGCAAGUGCAACGGAAGAAGGAAAAGAUGGCUCGGCUAGCUGACCUGCAAAGGCAGAUAGACGAAGCUUCUGAAGAAGUUCGUCAUCUUGCUCAGGAUGAGCAAAACCGAAGGCCCCAGCACAGAGAGCUUCACCAAGAGGGCUUCGUCAACGAAGAUGAUUGGUAUGAGGACUGCACCAUGGAAAUUUCGCCUUUGACGAUGCUUCUCCUCUGUCAGCUGAACUGCAAGCUACACCUUGGCCUCCGUCUUACAAGCCACCUCAGCUCCCCAUGUAUGACGGACACUUAGAUCCGAAGCAAUUUCUGAUGAGCUACGAAGCAACCAUAUCUUCAUAUGGUGGCAAUACUGCAGUCAUGGUGAAAUCCUUCGUCAUGGCAGUCAAAAAUGUUGCUCAAACCUGGUACUCCUCUCUUAGGCCAGGAACAAUCACAUCAUGGCAAAAGCUGAAGGACAUGUUUAUCACCAGUUUCCAAGGGUUUCAGACGAAACCAGUCACUGCUCAAGCUUUGUUCCAGUGCACCCAGGAUCACGAAGAAUACCUUCAGGCGUAUGUCCGAAGGUUCUUACGACUGAGGGCACAGGCGCCAACGGUGCCCAAUGAAAUGGUCAUUGAGGCCAUGAUUAAGGGACUUCGGCCAGGACCUACAACCCAAUACUUCGCCAGGAAGCCCCCUCAGACCCUGGAGAAACUGCUUCAGAAGAUGGAUGAAUACAUCCGAGCUGAUAAUGACUUUCGACAGAGAAGGGAGGAAGCUUACAGAUUCUCCGAAAUGACCAGGGGCUUCGUAGGGAGAGUCCAUCCUAGGCACGUCAGAUCAAUUCAUUCCACUCAGAAUGACGACAGGGGAAGUCAGCAACAGAGGCCACAAUAUUCCUCCCAGGCUUCGGGGCAGCAACAGAGCUAUCCUCGGCCCACAGCUCCAAGGGGUAGAGGCGCCAGGGGCUUCGAAGGAAGGUUUGGGGAUCAGCCCAGAAAAAUUUAUUGCCUAUUAUGUGGUGAGGACAAGGGCCAUACUACCAGUUGUGCCAUGUCACCAUCCAGAAACAGAAAGAGAUAGCAGAAGCCGCAGCACAGCAGAGCCAGCCGAAGCAAGUUAUGCAUAUUGCUUCGUAUCACUCACUGUACAUUCCAGAAUAUGUGGGUAACCAUUCUGCAGCUUCUGUUGCUUCGGCAAGUCAACCUCAGGCAUCUUGGCAACAGCUUCCACCUCCACCACCAAUACAACGAGGCCAGCAGCCAGAAGGGAGCCAGCACAGUCAUCAGCAACGAGACUUCAGAGAGGAGUCCGAAGCUCGUACAGUAAACAGUACUGUACCAGAGUCGAAGCACAUCUACUAGAAGAUAUCCUGCUCCUGAAAUAGUUCUUGCAUUUGUUUUCAUUUUUCUUUUUAAUAAGGAACAAUAAUUGAAAGCCUAAGUUUUUCUUGUCGUUUUCAAUCUCUUGUAAUAGCUUCGUUUUUGUCAUAGUGAAAAUAUAUCUUAUACACAGAUAUACGGAAUCCAAAAACUUGUCGAAGCACGAAAACUCGUUCUUAAGAGCUCGUGGAUAUAGAAAGUAUCUCCGAAGAUACAAAAAGUUGUUUUAAGAAACGCAGUGUAAGUUUUUGUCGGAGCGACAAAAGUCGUUCUUAAGGGAACGCGGCGUAAGUUUUCUGCUCAAAAGUCUACAGCAAAAAAUAAACGCUGAUACCGCCGAAGUAAAAGGCGAAGAAGCUCCUAAGGGAGGCUUACAGCGAAAAAUAAACACUGAUACCGCUGAAGUAAAAGGCGAAGAAGCUCCUAAGGGAGGCUUACAGCGAAAAAUAAACGCUGAUACCGCUGAAGUAAAAGGCGAAGAAGCUCCUAAGGGAGGCUUACAGCGAAAAGUCAACGCUGAUACACCGAAAAAUAAAUGGUGAAGCUGAAAAAUAAACGGCAAAGAAAUUGUGUUCUACUGUGGGAAUGUGUGUGUAUCUUCGGCACAAAUAUCAUUUUGCAUAUCAUAGCAUCAUCACAUCAUUCGCAUAACAUGACAUCAUACAUCAUAUCGCAUCAAUGGCACAAGAAGGGAAUACGAUGCUAACCUUCGGAAAUUGUUUUGAAGAAAUUGUGCCAAGGCACAAAAUAAAGUUUGAAGAAGUGCAGUUUUGUCAACUUUAGUGUCAGAGGAAAUCUAUUGCUUACGAAGCAUAAUAUUUUCACGGAUAUGGAUACUCUUCACGAAGCAUGAAAAGAAGGGAAGGUGUUUUUUUGCCAAAGGCUCAAAAACGGUAUGUAUGUAAAGUUUCAUGCAUCGUAAAGAACUGAAUUACAUACAGCUUAUAUAUUACUUUCAAAACUAUAGAAUAUUACACACUUUGUUCAGCAAACAUUACAUUAGUAUUCCGAUUUUUUUUACAACAAUAGCUAUUCUUCUUUUAAAACUACUUCUGCAGCUUCGUUUAGUAGUUGAGUUACAACUUUGUCCAUAAUAGCUUCGGCCAUCUUAAUAAUUCCAUCUUCAUUUUUUGCUUCGGGGUCGGCUUGUGACUCGAAGGGCUCCAGAGGAGGAGAUAAUUCGGCUGCGAUAUAAAACAUGAAUAAGUUCGAAGUCACAAGAAUAAAACAUAAAGUCAAAAGUAAUUAGACAAUACUUGUCCGUCUUUCAAGUUAUGCAGUUUUUCCAACUGCCUUUGCUGCUUCUCUAGCAUCGUGGGUAUCUUUUUCACUUUUCUUUAUAAUUUCGUGAGCCAUCUCUCGGCCACCAUUUUCCCAGAUGUCGGUAAAAAACUUUCCGCCAAUCAAGCUUGCCUCGGCCGAAGGGUCUUUUGUAUCUUCAAUAGAAAACGCAGCUUCGGUUUGGGCCAAAAUCAUCACAUGCUCGCAUCCUGCCUUCUCUAAGAUGGUCGCAAUUCCCCUGGCACCUCAGAAGGCGCAGACAUCUCCGCGGCCACUCAAAACUUCCUCAAAGGCUUCAGCUUCGCCCUUGAUCCAUUCGAUUGGACCUUCGGGAUCGCCUACUACGAAGUUGUCCUCAUUUGAGUAUGCGCCAAUAUUGGCGAAGCUGGUUUUUAUCUUUUGUACACAUGCCAUAGAUUUUUCAUAGCAUUUUUAUUUCGAGAAACGAAGCUCCACAACUGUUUUUUCCCAGUGAUUUUUCCAGUAUUCACUGGCGUCUCGGUCAGCUUCGGCAACUGCACAUUUUGAUUUUUCUUCUGCCAGCUGUUUCCGAAGAUCUUCAAUUUCGCACUUCUGGGUCUCAGCUUGGGCUUUCGAAGUAGCCUCGUCUUCUUUUAUCUUGUUUAUCAAUGAGUUUAAUAUUUUGUCUUUUUCAAGACCUUUGUUCCUUAGCUCAAUUACUUCGGAACGAAGGUUAUUCAAGGCCAUGGUAUAUCCCUCGUCUUCAGUGCCUUUUUGCGCCCUGAGGGCGUUGCUAAGAAUAAGGCCCUGCAAAAGAAGUGUGGUAUUAAGUAUAAGCAAACGAAAAAAUCUUGUUUUUAAGCACAAAAAUCUUAUUCUCUCACCUUUAAGCUGUUGUACGCUAAGUUGUCGGCCAAUUCAUCUUUUGGUAAUACUGAGAGCCCAUCUUUUAGCGUCAGGAAUCCGAAGCUUCUUCCCAUCUCCCGGCAGACAGAGAUCUCCUUGCUGUCUGGGAGACAAUAUAAGAAGUCUUCUUCUCCGCUGCCAUUGAAAAUCAAUGCCCCCUUCGGAUAUUUCAAUUUUUGGGCAUAGAACUGAGCCUUUUGCUUUACUUUUUCAGUUAAUUUUUCCCCAAAGCAUGUCGUAAAAUAUAAUUAAGAGCUUCGGAAAAUGCUUCGGGGGUGGCAGUGGCAGUUUCUUCAGCAAAAAUUUGUUCUGCCGCUUCUGUUUCUUUUUCUAUGGUUUCCAAGGAUUUCAUCUUGGUAGGCUCUGAAGGCCCAGCUUCAGUCUCAGCUUGGUGCUUUGUAGCUUCGGCCUCAGAGGCUGUUGUCUCAAUUUGCACUUUGGGAGCUUCGGCAAUUUUCUUCGGAGUAGUGCUUGAAGACUUUAUUGUCUCCAAUACAUCUAGAACAUUAACCAUCCUUUUUCUUUUGGGGGUCAUUGUUGGACCUUUUUGGGUUUUUGGUACUUCAACUUCUGCCAAAGGACUUAAAAUUUCUGAUGUUUUUGUCCCUUCAGCUCUCGGCUCUCCAAUUUUUUCAGCCUUCGGCGUUGCAGCCGACUCUUCAUUCUUCCGGGUAAGAGCAGGUUUUUUGGCUUCGGUAGCCAUAGAGGUCUCACCACCAAAUUCGGGCACUGAGGCCGGUUCAAUGAAGCGCGGUCGGUGAGUAAGGACCUUCACCCUUUUCCUCUUUGGCGCGGCCUCACUUAGAGCAACUGAAGCACCACCUUUUCCAGAAGUUACGCUUUUUCUCUUCUGCCCUUUCAGCGGGUAGCGGUAAUCAGGAUACAUAAACCCGAUAGCAUCGAAAACUCUAUUCAACCUCUUCUUCUUCCGGCCUCCGAAGGUCGCAGACAGCGCGUUAUCUUCUGCCUUGGAAUAUGGUCCAAGCAGUUCGUCGCUUGUAGCUUCGAUGCACUUCAGCCAAUCAUCAUCUGGCUCAAUAAACUUACCCUCGUAUCUGAAGGUGUAUUUCAACCUAACCAGUCCACCUUCGUCAGACUUACUGAUAGUUUCCUUUGGCAUUUCCCAUUGCUCUACAAGCGGCCAUACUCUGAAGGCUAUGUGCUCCUAGACUAAAUCCCUCGUCCCGAUGAAACAACAGACUAUGUCGAAGGCCUUUUGGCUUUUUCGGCUGCUUCAUCAAUUUCCAGCUUCGGUUUCCGAAGGCCGAAGCGCUGCCAGAUAGGACGCAUGAUAAUAUCUUUAAUGUCCUCUCGUGCCUUUAAAUCAUUUUUCACAUAAAACCAUUCCUUCAUCCAGUCCCUAGGCCACCUUUUCUGGAAGGUUGGCACGGGGCAGCUCGAGCCAGAACGAGCGACGAAGCUAUAACAGCCAAAGUUGUUAUGAUAUUGCUCUUUGCCCCAGGGUUUCGUCUCAUAAAGCAAUUCGAGCAUACUGCAGAAACUUUUUGCAUUUGGCUCCAAGCCCUGGCUCCUCACGGCCCAGACAAAGAUUCCCAUUCUUAUAAUUGCUUUGGGAGUAAUUUGAUGAAGGUAAACCUGAUAGAUCUUUAAAACCUCAACCACAAAUUUGCUUAAGGGGAACCAAAGCCCAGCUUUAAAAAAGCUUCGGAAGAUCACAACUUCAUUCUCUUCGGGAGUAGGCACAGUCCUCUCUCCGUCAUCGGCCCUCAUAGUAGACAUGUCUCGAAAAUAUCUUCCCCUCAUGUGAUCGAGAUGACUCUGUUUAAUAGUCGACUUUCCAAAGACUGUGUGACUGGGUCGCCACGGUCGAUCUUCGGAGUCUUCACCUCCACUUUUUAUAUCAUAGCUGUCACUUUCACCAGUAUCUUCAGAUAAACCUUCCAAAAUCUCCCUAGUGAUCUUCUCUGUGUUCGUCUUUGCUAUCGAUUCAAGAAACCCAACAUUCUUCUCUUCAGAAAGGCUCAGCUUUAUUUCGGCGACAACUUUGUUAUCUUGAGACAUCUUCGGAAAUGGUGAAAACGUGCUCUUAAGGCCGAAGCUAAAAAAUCUAAAAAGCCAGGCAAGCGUUGGUGUGCAAGAGCUAAAAAUUGAGAAAGCAAGAGCAGAUGGCAAGAACGCGUGCCAAAUGUGCUCGCAGUGUGCUCUUAUUUAUACGCCCAGUGCGUUGCAAGUGGGAGGGCCCCGCUUGUCAUUAACUGUUGCUAUUCUAGCAAAGAGAAGGUGUUUUUUCGGACCUUCGGCUUAAGGCCUUCGUCCAUAUCGCAAUAUGAAUUUAUCAUUCUAACAAAUUAAUAUUGCGAGGGGCUACUAUUGGGGGCCUUCGACUUUCGAAGGUCCUCAAAAACAUGAUUUAACGAUGUUUCUGGAGUAUAAUACACGAACAGGUACCUUCGGACUUGGACCCUUCGGACUUGAGUCAAAAUCACAAUGUGAAGAAGCACAAGGGAAACGAAGGAUGGAACAGAGCCGAAGCUGCGCGCAAGGGAGCUUCGGCAUGAUGACAGAAAAAAGGAAACCGACUUAAAGGGGAAAAGGCUAUCUAGACCCUGAUAAAUUACUAUGGAGUUAUUAGCAAAUGUAAAGGGCCUAGAUGUAAUUUUACAUGGGCUGCGUCCCGUGCCUAUAAAUAGAUGAAUAGUACUCCCGUACUGUUCACGCUGACUGAGAAUUUGCUUUUGCGUCACGCUUGUACUUUUACCUUCUUUCAAGCCGAAGGUACGUCCUUCGCAAUCUUUGUCCAAAAAUCAUUAUCUCUCAAAGGGAUAUAAUGCUUCGUAGGAUGAAGGAUUUUAACGUUUAACAUUCUCUGUGUUACCUUGUUCUUAACUCAUAGUAUUUGAGAACAAGUCCCCAACAACCCUCCGUGGCAAGAGACUGGACGGUAGUGUAUCUGUGCUCUCGGUUGGCGUGAACCCGGUCUGGUCUUGAGAACCCCGGUGGCGAGUUGACAUAUGCAAGGUGAAAGGGAAACAGGCUUACACCUUUUCCUAAAUUAAUUUUGGUGGUUGAAUUGCCCAACACAAAUAAUUGGACUAACUAGUUUGCUCUAGUCUAUAAGUUUUACAGGUGCCAAAGGUUCACAACAAGCCAAUAAAAAGACCAAAGCUGGAUUCAAAUAAAGAGAGCUAAAGACAUCCCAAAGGGCACCCUGGUCUGGCGCAUCGGACUGUCCGGUAUGCCACCGGACAGUGUCCGGUGCACCAGGGAACUCGAAGCUGAACUUGCCACCUUCGGGAAAAUGGGAGGCCGCUCCGCUAUAAUUCACCGGACUGUCCGGUGAAGCACCGGACAGUGUCCGGUGUCACAUCGGACUGUCUGGUGUGCCAGCGGAGCAAUGGCUACUUCGCGCCAACGGUCGACUGCAACCACAUUAAAUGCGCUACAGUACGCGCUAGAGUCAGAGCACGCGCAGAAGGGGCACCGGACAGUCUACAGGACCUGUCCGGUGCACCACCGGACAGCCCAGAGGCCCCACCAGUCAGAGCUCCAACGGUCAGAACCCAACGGCCGGCUGACGUGGCUGGCGCACCGGACAGUGUCCGGUGGCGCACUGGACUGUCUGGUGCGCCAUGCGACAGACAGCCUCCCAACGGCCACUUUUGGUGGUUGGGGCUAUAAAUACCCCAACCACCCCACCAUUCAUUGCAUCCAAGUUUUCCAACUUCCUACACCGUACAAGAGCUAUAGCAUUCAAUACAAGACACACCAAAGAGAUCAAAUCCUCUCCCAAAUCCUUAGUUCAUUCCAAAUCAAAUAGUGACUAGUGAGAGAGUGACUUGUGUUCAUUUGAGCUCUUGCGCUUGGAUUGCUUCUUUUUCUCAUUCUUUCUUGUGAUCAAACUCAAUUGUAACCGAGGCAAGGGACACCAAUUGUGUGGUGGUCUUUGCAGGAACUUUGUGUUCCGUUUGAUUGAGAAGAGAAGCUCACUCGGUCUAAGUGACCGUUUGAGAGAGGGAAAGGGUUGAAAGAGACCCGGUCUUUGUGACCACCUCAACGGGGAGUAGGUUUGCAAGAAUCGAACCUCGGUAAAACAAAUCAUCGUGUCUCACUCUUUAUUUGCUCACGAUUUAUUUUUCGCCCUCUCUCUCGGACUCGUUUAUAUUUCUAACGCUAACCCGGCUUGUAGUUGUGCUUAAAUUUACAAAUUUCAGAUUCGCCCUAUUCACCCCCCCUCUAGGCGACUUUCAAUUGGUAUCAGAGCCCGGUGCUUCAUUAGAGCUUAACCGCUCGAAGUGAUGUUGGGAGAUCACGCCAAGAAGAUGGUGAUCGGCGGUGAGAAGUCCGCUACAAGCCACGGGAAGGCUCCAUCAAGGGAGUCCGCCAACAAGAAGGAUGGAUCCCCUUCACGCAUUCGAUCGCACAAGAGUGGCGAGAAGAAGAAGAAAAUGAAGAAAGUGGUCUACUACGAGACCGACUCUUCCUCGCCCUCUACAUCCGGAUCUGACGCCUCGUCCGUCACUUCUAAGCGCCAAGAGCGCAAGAAGUAUAGUAAGAUCCCCCUACGCUACCCUCGCAUUUCCAAAUGUAGUCCUUUACUUUCCGUCCCAUUAGGCAAACCACCUAUGUUUGAUGGUGAAGAUUAUAAUAUGUGGAGUGAUAAAAUGAGGCAUCAUCUAACCUCACUCCACACUAGCAUUUGGGAUGUUGUUGAGAUUGGAGUACAGGUACCAUCACCGGGGGAUGAAGACUAUGAUUCGGACGAGGUCGCCCAAAUCCGGCACUUCAACUCUCAAGCCACCACUAUACUCCUCGCCUCUCUAAGUCGAGAGGAGUAUAACAAGGUGCAAGGAUUGAAGAGUGCCAAAGAGAUUUGGGACGUACUCAAGACCGCGCACGAAGGAGACGAGGUGACCAAAAUCACCAAGCGGGAAACGAUCGAGGGGGAGCUCGGUCGCUUUCGGCUUCGCCAAGGGGAAGAGCCACAAGAAAUGUACAACCGGCUCAAGACCUUGGUGAACCAAGUGCGCAACCUCGGGAGCAAAAAAUGGGAUGACCAUGAAAUGGUCAAGGUUAUUCUUAGACCACUCGUUUUUCUUAACCCUACGCAAGUUCAAUUAAUACGUGGUGAUCCUAGAUAUACACUAAUGUCUCCCGAGGAAGUGAUAGGGAAAUUUGUGAGCUUUGAGUUGAUGAUCAAAGGCUCAAAGAAGAUCAUCGAGCAAGAUGGCCCCUCCACGCCCGAAGCUCAACCGGUCGCAUUCAAGGCGACAGAGGAGAAGGAGUCUACAUCAAGUAGACUACCCAUCGACGCCUCUAAGCUCGACAAUGAGGAAAUGGCGCUCAUCAUCAAGAGCUUCCGCCAAAUCCUCAAGCAAAGGAGGGGGAAGGACUACAAAUCCCGCUCCAAGAAAGUGUGCUACAAGUGUGGUAAGCCCGAUCACUUUAUUGCAAAAUGUCCAAUAUCAAGUGACAGUGACAGGGGCGACGACAAGAAGGGAAAGAAGAGAGAAAAGAAGAAAUACUACAAGAAGAAGGGCAGCGAUGCCCAUGUGUGCCGCGAGUGGAACUCCAACGAGAGCUCCUCCGACUCCUCCUUCGACGAGGACGCCGCCAACAUCGCCGUCACUAGAGGACUCCUCUUCCCCAACGUCGGCCACAAGUGCAUCAUGGAAAAAGACGGCAAAAGGAAGAAGGUAAAAUCAAAAUCCUCCACUAAAUAUGAAACCUCUAGUGAUGAGGAUAACUCUUGUGAUGAGGAGGAUAAUUUGCGCAUCCUUUUUGCCAACCUAAACAUGCAACAAAAAGAAAAAUUAAAUGAAUUAAUUAGUGCUAUUCAUGAGAAGGAUGAACUCUUGGACUCUCAAGAGGACUUCCUAAUUAAAGAAAACAAAAAGCAUGUUAAGGUUAAGAAUGCUUAUGCUCUAGAAGUAGAAAAAUGUGAAAAACUAUCUAGUGAGCUAAGCACUUGUCAUGAUAUUAUUGCCAACCUUAGAAAUGAAAAUGCUAAUUUAAUUGCUAAGGUUGAUUCUAAUGUUAGUGAUGUUUCAAUUCCCAAUCUUAGAAAUGAUAAUGUUAGUUUGCUUGUUAAGAUUGAAGAAUUGAAUAUCUCUCUUGCUAGCCUUAGAAAUGAUAAUGAAAAAUUAAUUGCUAAGGCUAAAGACUUAGAUGUUUGCAAUAUUACAAUUUCCAAUCUUAGAAGUGAAAAUGACAUUUUACAUGCUAAGAUUGUUGAAAUAAAAUCUUGCAAACCUUCUACAUCUACUAUUGAGCAUGUUUCCAUUUGCACUAGAUGUAGAGACAUUAAUGUUGAUGCUAUUCAUGAUCACCUAGCCUUAAUUAAGAAACAAAAUGAUCACAUAGCUCAACUUAAUGCUAAGAUUAAUGAGCAUGACCUAGAAAAUGAAAAAUUUAAAUUUUCUAGAAGCAUGCUCUAUAGUGGGAGACGCCCUGGCAUCAAGGAUGGCAUUGGCUUCCAAAAGGGAGACAAUGUCAAACUUAAUGCCCCUCCUAAAAGAUUGUCUAACUUUGUUAAGGGCAAGGCUCCCAUGCCUCAGGAUAACGAGGGUUACAUUUUGUACCCUGCCGGUUAUCCCGAGCACAAAAUUAGGAGAAUUCACUCUAGGAAGUCUCACUCUGGCCCUAAUCAUGCUUUUAUGUAUAAGGGUGAGACAUCUAGCUCUAGGCAAUCAACCCAUGCUAAAUUGCCUAAGAAGAAAACUCCUAUUGCAUCAAAUGAUUCUAACAUUUCAUUUAAGACUUUUGAUGCAUCUUAUGUUUUAACUAACAAAUCCGGCAAGGUAGUUGCCAAGUAUGUUGGGGGCAAGCACAAGGGGUCAAAGACUUGUGUUUGGGUACCCAAAGUUCUUGUAUCUAAUGUCAAAGGAACCAAAAUCGUUUGGGUACCUAAAAUCAAGAACUAAAUUUGUUUUAUAGGUUUAUGCAUCCGGGGGCUCAAGUUGGAUCAUCGACAGCGGGUGCACAAACCAUAUGACAGGGGAGAAGAAGAUGUUCUCCUCCUACGAGAAAAACCAAGAUCCACAACGAGCUAUCACAUUCGGGGAUGGGAAUCAAGGUUUGGUCAAAGGAUUGGAUAAAAUAGAUAUAUCACCUGACCAUUCCAUUUCCAAUGUUUUUCUUGUAGACUCUUUAGAUUACAACUUGCUUUCAGUUUCACAAUUGUGUAAAAUGGGCUACAACUGUCUUUUUACGGAUGUAGGUGUUACUGUCUUUAGAAGAAGUGAUGAUUCAAUAGCAUUUAAGGGAGUGUUAGAGGGUCAGCUAUACUUAGUAGAUUUUGAUAGAGCUGAACUCGACACUUGCUUAAUUGCUAAGACUAACAUGGGCUAGCUCUGGCAUCGCUGACUAGCACAUGUUGGAAUGAAGAAUCUUCACAAACUUCUAAAGGGAGAACACAUUUUGGGACUAACAAAUGUUCAUUUUGAAAAAGAUAGGAUUUGUAGCGCAUGUCAGGCAGGGAAGCAAGUUGGUGUUCAUCAUCCACAUAAGAACAUCAUGACAACUGACAGGCCACUCGAGCUCCUACACAUGGACCUAUUCGGCCCGAUAGCUUACAUAAGCAUCGGCGGGGGUAAGUACUGUCUAGUUAUUGUGGAUUAUUAUUCUCGCUUCACUUGGGUAUUCUUUUUGCAGGAAAAAUCUCACACCUAAGAAACCUUAAAGGGAUUUUUGAGACGGGCUCAAAACGAGUUUGGCUUAAGGAUCAAGGAAAUAAGAAGCGACAAUGGAACGGAGUUCAAGAACUCACAAAUUGAAGGCUUCCUUGAGGAGGAGGGCAUCAAGCAUGAGUUCUCUUCUCCCUACACACCACAACAAAAUGGUGUAGUGGAGAGGAAGAAUCGAACUCUAUUGGACAUGGCAAGAACCAUGCUUGAUGAGUACAAGACUUCGAAUCGGUUUUGGGCCGAGGCGGUCAACACCGCUUGCUACGCCAUCAAUCGGUUGUAUCUACACCGAAUCCUCAAGAAGACAUCAUAUGAACUCCUAACCGGUAAAAAGCCCAAUGAUUCAUAUUUUAGAGUCUUUGGUAGCAAAUGCUUUAUUCUUGUUAAAAGAGGUAGAAAAUCUAAAUUUGCUCCUAAGGCUGUAGAAGGCUUUUUACUAGGAUAUGAUUCAAACACAAGGGCAUAUAUAGUCUUUAACAAGUCCUCUGGACUAGUUGAAGUUUCUUGUGACAUUGUGUUUGAUGAGACUAACGGCUCUCAAGUAGAGCAAGUUGAUCUUGAUGAGCUCGAUGAUGAAGAGGCUCCGUGCGUCGCGCUAAGGAACAUGUCCAUUGGGGAUGUGUGCCCUAAGGAAUCCAAAGAGCCUCCAAAUGCACAAGAUCAACCAUCUUCCUCCAUGCAAGCAUCUCCACCAACUCAAGAUAAGGAUGAGGCUCAAAAUGAUGAAGAAGAAGAUCAAGAAGUUGAGCCACCUCAAAAGGAGAGCAAUGAUCAAGGGGGAGAUGCCCGUGAUCAAGAUGAGGAAGAUGAACAAGUUCCAAGACCGCCACACCCAACAGUCCACCAAGCAAUUCAACGAGAUCACCCCGUCAACACCAUCCUCGGCGAUAUUCAAAAGGGGGUAACUACUAGAUCUCGUGUUGCUCAUUUUUGUGAACAUUACUCUUUUGUUUCCUCUAUUGAGCCACACAGGGUAGAGGAAGCACUACAAGAUUCGGAUUGGGUGGUGGCAAUGCAAGAGGAGCUCAACAACUUCACUAGGAAUGAGGUAUGGCAUUUAGUUCCACGUCCUAACCAAGAUGUUGUAGGAACCAAAUGGGUCUUCCGCAACAAGCAAGAUGAGCAUGGUGUGGUGACAAGGAACAAAGCCCGACUUGUGGCCAAGGGAUAUUCACAAGUCGAAGGUUUGGAUUUCGGUGAAACCUAUGCACUCGUAGCUAGGCUAGAAUCAAUUCGCAUAUUACUUGCCUAUGCUACUUACCAUGGCUUUAAGCUUUACCAAAUGGACGUGAAAAGUGCCUUCCUCAACGGACCAAUCAAGGAAGAGGUCUAUGUUGAGCAACCUCCUGGCUUUGAAGAUAGUGAGUAUCCUAAUCACGUAUAUAAACUCUCUAAGGCACUUUAUGGGCUCAAGCAAGCCCCAAGAGCAUGGUAUGAAUGCCUAAGAGAUUUUCUUAUCACUAAUGGCUUCAAAAUCGGAAAGGCGAAUCCUACUUUAUUUACUAAAACUCUUGAAAAUAAUUUGUCUGUAUGCCAAAUUUAUGUUGAUGAUAUUAUAUUUGGGUCUACUAACGAAUCUACAUGUGAGGAAUUUAGUAGGAUCAUGACACAAAAAUUCGAGAUGUCUAUGAUGGGGGAGUUGAAGUACUUCUUAGGAUUUCAAGUGAAGCAACUCCAAGAGGGCACCUUCAUUAGCUAAACAAAGUAUAUUCAAUAUAUUCUAAACAAGUUUGGGAUGAAGGAUGCCAAGCCCAUCAAGACACCCAUGGGAACCAAUGGGCAUCUCGACCUCGACACGGGAGGUAAAUCCGUAGAUCAAAAGGUAUGCCGGUCGAUGAUAGGUUCUUUACUCUAUUUAUGUGCAUCUCGACCGGACAUUAUGCUUUUCGUAUGCAUGUGUGCAAGAUUCCAAGCCGACCCUAAGGAAGCUCACCUUACGGCCGUAAAACGAAUCUUGAGAUAUUUAGUUUAUACUCCUAAGUUUGGGCUUUGGUACCCUCAGGGAUCCACAUUCGAUUUAAUUGGUUAUUCGGAUGCCGAUUGGGCGGGGUGUAAAAUUAAUAGAAAGAGCACAUCAGGGGACUUGCGAGUUCUUGGGAAGGUCUCUGGUGUCUUGGGCUUCAAAGAAGCAAAAUUCUGUAGCUCUUUCUACCGCCGAGGCCGAGUAUAUUGUCGCAGGCCAUUGUUGCGCGCAAUUGCUUUGGAUGAGGCAAACCCUUAGGGACUAUGGUUAAAAUUAAUCAAAGUUCCUCUUCUAUGUGAUAAUGAGAGUGCAAUCCGCAUGGCGGAUAAUCCCGUUGAGCAUAGCCGCACUAAACACAUAGCCAUUCGGUAUCAUUUUCUAAGGGAUCACCAACAAAAGGGGGAUAUCGAGAUUGCUUAUAUCAACACUAAAGAUCAAUUAGCCAAUAUCUUUACCAAGCCACUAGAUGAACAAACUUUUAACAAACUUAGGCAUGAGCUAAAUAUUCUUGAUUCUAGGAAUUUCUUUUGAUGUUUUGCACACAUAGCUCUUUAAUAUACCUUUGAUCAUAUCUCUUUCAUGUGCUAUGACUAAUGUGUUUUCAAGUGUAUUUCAAACGAAGUCAUAGAUUGAAAGGGAAUAGGAGUCUUCGGCGAAGACAAAGGCUUCCACUCCACUCCAUUGAAUUUACUCAUCCUUCGCCGUCACUCCGCGCCGCUCUCCAACUUUGGUAUAAUCUUCACUCAUAUUUUGUUCGCCAAAGGGGGAGAAAGUAGUUAGAAAGGGCUUAUAUUUCACUCAAGUAUCCGUUUUUGGCGAUUCAUGCCAAAGGGGGAGAAAGUAUUAGCCCAAAGCAAAAGGACCGCACCACCACCUAAUUUUAAAAAUAAAGAUUCUAAAAUUGAUAUCUUAUUGUGUUCAAAAGGGGGAGAAAGUAGUAUUGCAAAACCCUCUUGAACACUAAGAGGAGAAUUUGAUUGAGGGGGAGUUUUGUUUAGUCAAAGGAAAAAGCAUUUGAAACAGGGGGAGAAAAUUUCAAAUCUUGAAAAAUGCUUCUCAAAAUCUUACUCAUUUGUUCCUUGACUAUUUACAAAAGAAUUUGCAAAAACAAAACAUGUGGUGCAAACGUGGUCCUAAGUGUUAAAAAUAUAAAGAAACAAUCCAUGCAUAUCUUAUGUAGUAACCUUUGCACUUACAUUAUGAAAACUAGUUCAAUUAUGCACUUCUAUAUUUGCUUUGGUUUGUGUUGGCAUCAAUCACCAAAAAGGGGGAGAUUGAAAGGGAAACAGGCUUACACCUUUUCCUAAAUUAAUUUUGGUGGUUGAAUUGCCCAACACAAAUAAUUGGACUAACUAGUUUGCUCUAGUCUAUAAGUUUUACAGGUGCCAAAGGUUCACAACAAGCCAAUAAAAAGACCAAAGAUGGUUCAAAUAAAGAGAGCUAAAGACAUCCCAAAGGGCACCCUGGUCUGGCGCACCGGACUGUCCGGUGUGCCACCGGACAGUGUCCGGUGCACCAGGGAACUCGAAGCUGAACUUGCCACCUUCGGGAAAAUGGGAGGCCGCUCCGCUAUAAUUCACCGGACUGUCUGGUGUGCCAGCGGAGCAACGACUACUUCGCGCCAACGGUCGACUCCAACCACAUUAAAUGCACUACAGUACGCGCUAGAGUCAGAGCACGCGCAGAAGGGGCACCGGACAGUCUACAGGACCUGUCCGGUGCACCACCGGACAGCCCAGAGGCCCCACCAGUCAGAGCUCCAACGGUCAGAACCCAACGGUCGGCUGACGUGGCUGGCACACCGGACAGUGUCCGGUGGCGCACCAGACUGUCCGGUGCGCCAUGCGACAGACAGCCUCCCAACGGCCACUUUUGGUGGUUGGGGCUAUAAAUACCCCAACCACCCCACCAUUCAUUGCAUCCAAGUUUUCCAACUUCCUACACCGUACAAGAGCUAUAGCAUUCAAUACAAGACACACCAAAGAGAUCAAAUCCUCUCCCAAGUCCUUAGUUCAUUCCAAAUCAAAUAGUGACUAGUGAGAGAGUGACUUGUGUUCAUUUGAGCUCUUGCGCUUGGAUUGCUUCUUUUUCUCAUUCUUUCUUGUGAUCAAACUCAAUUGUAACCGAGGCAAGGGACACCAAUUGUGUGGUGGUCCUUGCGGGAACUUUGUGUUCCGUUUGAUUGAGAAGAGAAGCUCACUCGGUCUAAGUGAUCGUUUGAGAGAGGGAAAGGGUUGAAAGAGACCCGGUCUUUGUGACCACCUCAAUGGGGAGUAGGUUUGCAAGAACCGAACCUCGGUAAAACAAAUCAUCGUGUCUCACUCUUUAUUUGCUCACGAUUUGUUUUUCACCCUCUCUCUCUCUCGGACUCGUUUAUAUUUCUAACGUUAACCCGGCUUGUAGUUGUGCUUAAAUUUACAAAUUUCAGAUUCGCCCUAUUCACCCCCUCUAAGCGACUUUCACAAGGGUUAAGUGCUACAUAUGUCGUGUGGUUGGAGAUCCCCAGUUGGGUAUUAAUCGAUUCGGAUCGCCGUUACUUCUCGGAUAUGAAGACUUGGUCACUGCCCUACACGUAGCAAUCCAGUGAAAUGAAAGGUUGAUAAAAGACGGCUAGUAUAGGCCAAGUGCUUGAACUAGGGUAAAAAGAACUCUAGAUACAGGUAAUGACUUAACCUGGUAAUAAAACUGGAUUUUUAAGGAUACACUGUUAGUAAGCAUUUCUGCAAACAGAGUCUUUGAUUCUUGAAUAGCCUUACCUUGACUCCCUCAAGCCAGCAUAUCCUUGAGAGUCUUUUUCUUUUGUCGAGUAAGACUUGCGAAAGUACACUCCGUACUCAGGGUUUUCAAACCCAUGUUGUUUAGGUGAGGAAACAACAGAGUUUUGUUGUUUCUGUUCAAAGGUGGUACCCAAGGAAGAGCCCCAGCAGUGAAGUUGGUCGCGGGAGGAUGUUUGCCUCCCACUUUGAAAACAAUAAACUUCUGUGUGGGAGGGUGUUUUGCCUCCCUGGUCUGUAAUAAUACUUUAUGCACUCAUAAUACCCUGGUAUUGUAAUAAUAAUACUCUCUCUAUAUAUUGGAUGAAUGUAAAUUAAGUUAUUGUAAUUUGCUUCCGCUUAUUCUUUCCUCCGAUGUGAUGAAAUAUCUGCGUGACGGGUGAAGCGCUCUUGGGCGAAAUGAUGAUGAUACAGUUACCGAAAUUGUCGAGUGAUUAUGUGCAUCUACAGGGUUGUCCAAGGUCCUUGGGACAAGAACAACUAUAGGUGGGCCUAAUACCUUGUGAGGUUCCGUCACAGUGAUGGGGCCGAAUUGUCCGGGGUUGUACCCGGAUGAUCCGGCCAUGCACGGUGUGACCUGAGCAUUCUGUGUGUAGGCCUGCGUCGGGUCGGACGGUCUGACGAAAUACACCGGAUGAUCCUCGAUAUAACCGGACUGUCUGAGAUGAUGCUCGGACGGUCCAGCCGCGUCCAGAACCUACCGCGUGCCUAGUGGCGGCGGCUGUGAUGGUGACACGAAAGCGUGCAUCGACAUACCAUAUGAUGGCUGGGUCAAGGGUGACCCAUUUAUAGCCAAUGUGCUUGGCGCAUGUGGCUCUGUAUUAGACUCUCGCGAUGAAAAGCUAGGAGCAACUGAUUUUUUGUAUGAACAUAUAUGCAUUUUAAUAGAUUCAUCUACAUAUUGCUUUAACUGAUCUCCUUGUUGAUCCAUGAAAGUCGUAAGAGAUAGAUCUGAAGCACUUACAGCAGGACCCUAAAGUGGAGGUAGGAGAGAUUCCAUAUCGAUCUCCCCUUGACGGAUGAUCUUUUGGUGGCGAUCCACCGUGAAGUGUGACAAGUACUUUUCCGUCGUCUCUUUGCGACGUCCGGAGAGUUUAUGCAGCAGUUAUGUGUCCUCCUUGUCGCGUUGUUCGUUCCAUUGCUGCAUCACCUCUUUCUCAUUGUGCAUUACGAGGUCCUCAAAGGGUCUUUGGUCAUCAGUCGGGAGUGCCUCUAUGAGCCGAUUUUUAGCAGAUCUAGACACCUAGGCCCCAACGGAGUCGCUAAAAGUGUGUUGACGCUGAUUUGGGCGCCAAUUACUGCGAUGACAACCAGCGACGGUGCGACGGUGUCCUCUACAGAGGCGCAGACGGUCCGCGGCCAGAGGCUAGACGGUCUGCGACCUGGUACAGGGACUGGUGUUCCUACCUGACGGGCCAGACGGUCCGCGCCUAUAGGCCAGACGGUCCGCGCGUACGCAGGGUCAGCGAAGAUUGUUGGCGGCGUCUGGAUCUCGCUCUCGGGAGGGACUCCGUCGGUGAGGAGAGAUUCUAGGUGUUGUCCAGGCUCGGUAGGCCGACCUAAACACCUCUAAUCGACGUAGAGUCGAAGAGAAGCGAAAAAAUUAGGGAUUUAGAGGCUAAACUAGAACUACUCUUAAUGCAUAAGGUAAAAACGAGAAAUAUAUUUAAUUUGAUCGAUUGUUGGAGGUUUAAUUGGCCGUAGCCCUUCAUCUAUAUAAAGGGGAGGUCUGGUGUGGCGGAACCACCCGAAUUAUUCCAACUUAAGUGCUUAAGUCCCACCUUAGAGGCUAGACCACACUUAAAUAGGAAUAACACGUCAGUCCCUCGGAUCUAGUCCGACGAGGCCACUAACAGGAUCAAGUACCACGUACUCACUCGAUGGUGAGGCACAGAGCAAAUACAAUAAAACAUAAAACCAUACAUUAAGGAGUAUUAAAUUUAUUACAACAUCAUCGGAGUUUUACCAAAAGUAGUGAUCAUUGUUCGGAAUGCAGCGGAAUAAAACUAACGAUAAAUAAAUGGAGGGAUGGGGAAGCCUGUCCCAUCACUCCUCAUGCUCCUCCUCAGCCGAGGUAGGAUCCCACUCGACUGUCCAACCCGGUGGCAAGACGGACGACCAAGUCACUCCAGCAACCAUGUCCUCCAGAGAACCUGUAAAAUUAUGCCACAAGCAAGGCUGAGUAUACUAAUACUCAGCUAGACUUACCCGUUGUGAGGAGACUACUCCUCUACCUCUAGACAUGCAGCUGUUUGGCUGAGGGGUUAGCUUGCCAAAAGCACUAGCUGAGUCUAAAAGUCAAGUUUUAGCUUUUUCAAGUUUUAGUGUGACUCUCUUAAGACUAAAUGUGUUCCUAUCUAAUCAAACAUGGUAUCAAACAUUUAGCAAUCAACAACUUUUACCAAGUCAACACAUUUCCACUUGUUACUCAAUGCAGUACAAUGGAUCAAGCAGUCUCAUUAGCUGCGAGAAGGAGACGAUUUGAAUCGAGUUUUUAUCCUUGCAAGGUAAACCUAAACACACGACGUGGCGAGGCACUCCGUCCCCACACAUAUCAACCGUCCCCAUCGAUUCCCUGGCAACAGAUCAGGGCUCACCGCCUUGGCGUACAAUGCCUCACUGACCCCGACUGCCGUCGUGCAGUGACAGCACUUGUACCCACCAUAACCGGAAUGGGAGACCACGUCUCAGGUCGCGUGAGGGGCAAAGUCUGCGGGCAGGUUCACUCAGGUACUAGGCUUACCGAUUUACCAUAUUUCUCGGCAUGUGUUUAGUACGUUCAAACGCUUGACACAGGUAUCCGCACGUUAAUCCUUAUUCCAAUUUCAUCUUGUAGACCACGCAUCCCCAUGGAUCCGUGUCCACAGACCAUCAUCAUUCUAAUAUAAAAAUGGACACAACCAAUUCCUGACCUCGUGCGAGUGCUAGAAAAAUCACUCGACUUCUACCGAGAUCCCUAAUUAGUAAAGCAGCUACUCGACUAGCAUACUAGUAUCCAUCUCAAAAGGAUUCCUGAGUUGAUGCAACUAGGGUUUCAAUCAACUCCUACACUUAGUGCACAUUACAAACCUACAAACAUUAAGUGUAGUAAAAUAGCAUAAUAAACGGUUAUGCAUAAAACCGGGGCUUGCCUUCCAAAGCUGGGGCAGGCAGAUCCUCGAAGGCAGGCUCUGGUGCUGGCUCCUGGGCUACCUCCUGAGCAACUCCUUGCUCCGGCACGAGGAUGUAUUCCCCGUCAGCGAGAUUACAGUCUAUCGAAUGCAAUGUAUAAGAUAUAUGCUUAUUAAUGACAUGAUAAAUUGUAAAGGCUAUGCAUAGUAAAACAGUACUAAGUUUAGUGGUACUCUAGGGUUUCUUUUGGGUAUACUUAAGGGUUUUGUACCUUCAUCUUUGAGAUUUUGAAUGAAGUUACACCUUUUAAUUACAUUUUUAUGUUCCAUGAGCCCCUUGGAAGGUUUGGUUGUACAUUAUCUAUUUCUCCCAAAAUUCCCUCUUUCUUGCUAUUGCUUCUUAUUAAGCAUUUUUGAACUAUCAUGGUCAGUUAACAUUUUCCAAAAAUGUUGUAAAAAUUACAGUGGGUAAAUAUUUACCUCUAUGGGUUAUCCUAGAAAUUUGAGGUUGAAAUUAAUUCAGAUGCUCCUUGUGUAAAAUUAUCAAAAGUAAGGGUAAAAGGGCACUUUAUACUAUAGCUCUAAUUUAGGUGAGGUCUCUGCACUAAAUUUUAUUUUUCUCAAGAUUCAUAGGUGAUAUUAGGCCUCUGUGUUAAAAAUCACAGAAAAAGACCUACUGGAUAUUUAGCUGUGAUUUUCUAAAGUUUAAUGCCAAAAAGUACUUAUAACUAACUUGUCAUUUGAAAAAUAUCAAACAACAAAACUCAUAUUUUUCCUAUAUUCAUAAUAACAAAAUAUUAGUUAUCCCAAGGUUUGGGGGUGUUUUCUCCUCAGGAUUAUUUUUCUAAGAUUUUCCUAAGUUUUCAUUGUUUGCAUAAAAUAAAAUAUAUCUCAUUUCUUUUGUACUAAACAAAGGUCUAAUAAAAUUUUCCAGUGAACUCUAUUAAAUAAGUGAGCUAACAAAAAUGUGGUUGCUCCCUGGUUCUCAUUUUCAACUCCCUUUUCUAUUUUCUUUAACUUUGGGCUAAAAUGAUUUUAAAUGAUAAAACCUACCUUAAUUUGGUGUACUUAGGGGUUUACUAUUUUUAAACAGAUUAAGGAGUGAUUAAGUACUUCUCUGAUUUUUCUUAACCCCAGUCUAGCAGUGUAACUAUUUUCCCCUAUAUUAUUUAGCUUUUGGCCAGAGCACUAUUUAAUUCAAAACUCUAAAUUCUUCUACAACACUUAGAGGGUUUUGUAUUUUUCCUAAAGAGUUUACUUUAUUGAGAAUCUGGCAAAAUUGGUUUGACUAAAUUUGGUCGAAUAAAACUGAAGUUAUGAAUUUUACAAGCUCUGUUUGUAUUUAAAUUAGAAAUAUUAAAAAGGUUUUCUGGAAAACUGGUUUACACCGAGGACCCUGGGCGUUUUCUAAACCAAUCUUUUAACUUAUACCCCUGCGCUACUAUUCAUUUGAGUCGCUGACAUUUCAAAAACUCCCCUGACUUCUAUUCCUUCUUCCCCGAGGUCCCUCCCCCCUUUUGAACAGUACCCGCGAAAGGAAAAAGGGCGGCGCGGCUUACCGGCGGUGAGGGAGGUCCGGUGAAGGGUGGGGUUGGCUUCGAGAGGUCCUUGCGGUCACAACGAGGUAUGGCUCGACGACGGUGAUGGCCGGAAUCGACCGGUCCACAUGCGCAGGCAGGCGAGCUCAUCGGCGGCGGUUGCUCCGGCCUAUCCACAGCGAUACAGGUCAAUCCAAGGGCAUGGGGAGCUUCACGGGGUGCCAAUGAGUCGACCCGUGCAAGGAAUCGAAGAAUAACUCACCGUGGAGCUCGGUCUACGUUCGUCGGCGGUCGGGUGAAGUCCGGUGAACUUAAUCUGGCGUCUUCGGCGAGGCAAAGCUCGAUCCCUCGCUCUGGGGGGCUUCACCGAGGCACGUAGAGUCUCUCUCGAGGGUUGGACGGGGUUGGGAAUGGCUCUACUGGCCGGUCUACGGCGGCGAGUGCUCGGGCGGCCGGUGCCACGUCGUGUACAGGGCAACUCCGGCGAUCUCUUGCUCCGGUGAGGUCGAGAGCACGCGGGGGCAUACGACUGAAGCCCUGGCUGGCUUUAUAGGCGCGGGCGCGGGCAGGGGACACGGGCGUGGCUUGGCGCGGCGCGGGGCGCGCGGGGUCGGGUGCUGGGCGUGCUCUGGCGCGUUCAGGGCGCGUCGAACACGUGGAGGUGUUCUUCUGCCCAUGUUCAAAAGCUUGCCGAGAUCGCAAACGUGCGAAUCUUGGCAAAAAUCCGGUGCAGGCCUCCUCCUGGCACCUAGGUCUGUCUCUUGUAUGUGAGUUCCAAUGGCAGAUAUGCCCUAGGUAGGGAGAUUUGCGGAUGCCAAAUCUGGCUUGUCUCCCAGUCCACUCCGCGACAAAAGUGAUGCCAAAUCAAGUCAAACGAAUUUGGCUCGUGUUCAAAUUUUUCCAGUGGGUCUCUUAGGUGGUUUGGCACCUUUUUGGUAUUUAGACCAAGUGGUUUUGGCGUCAUUUACUAAGUGAACACAUCUUAUCUUUAGAUUAGGGUUAAAUUUUGACUUAGAGAAGAUUAGAGAGCUCUAGUGUGCUCUCUACUUAAGGAGUGGAUUUGGGGUCUUUAAGGGGUCUUUUUGUAAUGUUUCCCCUCUGCAUUUUGUAGGUUAUAAUGUUACUUAAACUUUGGUUAAGGAUUAAAAUCAAGAUUUGGCAACUUGAUUAACUUAUCCACUGAUCCCUUGCUUGGAAGUUUAGUGCCCUUAGGGGUCUUAGGGUUUUAACCUACUUGGCUCAAGAUGACAAUUGUUCAAAAUGUUUGGGUAAAGCUUUUGUCAUUAUCAUUUCUUAGCUAACCCAUGUUUUCAAGGUUUUAGGUGCUCCUUCUCCUCUAAUUAACCACAUGUGAUAACAAGUCAUCAGUGCCUAUAUGAAGCUGGUGCCUGGGUAACACUUGAGGUGUUACAUCUGGAUCCGUUACAAAUCGUUUCCCGAGCUAAUUCCGUGGCUUUAGAUAACAAAUCUUGCAAAAAAACUCGAAACCCUAACUGAUUCUGCGCACGUGCGGACCGUCCGCGCCACUAUCGUGGACCGUUCGAACCGCGGACCGUCUGGCCCCACAGCUCUUUUGUGUGCUCAACAGAUAGAUUAUAUAAUGUUAUAGAUUAUAGAUUCACUCUAUUCUAUAGCGCAAAAUAGUGUCACGACGAUAUGCAGUUAAGCAUGUACGAGCCGCGCAAAGCCGAUUUGAGCUUCCUUGAACGCAAGCCUGUUCCAUGCAUCCGCCCAAAUUCUGUCUGGCCCGUUCACCAUUUCUCGUUCAGAGUUGAGACAUCAGAGAAGGGCCACAGCACAGAGAGAGUCAGUCUAAAAAAGGCAUAGAGAGCCUCCCUGCCAGUGCCGGACUGCCAGUGUACUGUGACUGCGAGGGAUCACCUCCGACUCCGACUCAGAUCCAACCCCGACCGAUGCGAGCGCCGGCGAUGCACCGCUGGGCCGCGGCGGCGCUCGCAGCGUUCCUCGUUGCCUUGCCGGCUGCCGCCUUCUACCUCCCUGGCGUGGCGCCCAAUGACUUCCACAAAGUCAGUUCCCUUCACUCAUUCCCAUCUUCCUCGUAACGUAAUGGUUCUCCCCACCCUUUCUCGUUGGAUCUCGACGGCCAGAUCCAUAGUUUGGUGUCUAUCGAGUUGGAUGCGAGCGGUGGUGUUUGGGAUCUCAGGGUUCUGCAGCUCUCGCUCGCUCCCUUACUCUUCUCUUACUAGUCUUGUGUCGUUUCGGGUGGCACACGCUGUUCACUCACCUAACAUGAUAAUACGUUGGCGCUUCUGUGCGCACUGGUGUAAUCUGACGAAUUGCGUGCCUGUCGUUUCAUUUCUGCACGGUGCUGCUUAGUGCUAAUGACGUACCACCACUUCAGUUGCUCCCUGACAUUUGAUCGGGGUGCACAUGGAAUUCUUCACCACUGGCAUUCACUUUUGGCUAGGUCCCUUGCUUCAAAUCUCAAUGACGAGGCAACAACUUUUCCCCCUAUAAAUAACUGAAAACUAUAGUUGAUCUAGUGUCUGUAUUCGUGUACUUGAAACUUUAAAUAAGAAAAUUGUGCGGUGAGUAUGCCAGAGUCUGUGCCCAGAUGUGUUUAAAAUCUGCAGAUCACACAACAGUCUGCACCCAGAUACACUCAAAUCUGUACUCACUCGUAUUCAAGAUAUGCAGUUUUUCAAAUUUUUGUACAUACAGUAAAUGCUCCACUUGAUCUCAGAAGGUGAAUUUCAUAUGUUUCAUUGUAUACAUGAUACUUAUAGUUCGAACUUGGCAGCUGCAGGUGAUGUUUUCUUUAACAAUAAGCCAUUGUAUACCAAACCAUUUUUUUCACUUCUGUUUCCAUUGUUCCUUGUUGCCUGGUGUAACAUGUGGAUCUACACUUGUGUGUUACCGUCAUGGCGACAACUAAUAUGCAACCAGGCAUUAUGUGCAAGCGUGCAAGUGAGCAUUCUGUUUCGUUAGAUCAUGAUCCAACUGUAGAUAUAAAUGUGGUUUGUUAGAGGUUUUUUUAUAAAUCUACGUGAGCUGGUGGUGGAAGAGUUAGUGUUAAAUGUAACAUAUGGUUGAGUCGUGAUCUAACGGACCAGAAUGCUCACUUGCACAUAAGGCCUGAUUGCACAAUAGUCAUUGCCGUACAGUCAUAUGUUUCUCAUGCAUCAUGCUAAUUAAUUCACUUCUGCUUCUGAUGAUGAAUUGAUGACAACCCAUUAUUUUAAUAUCCUUAAGUAUGUAUGUGUGCUAGUAGUUAUGUUUAGAGAAACAAAUGUAAAAUGGUGUGUGUGUUUCAAUCUUUUGAGCUAUGGGGAAAAUGAUUUAUCCUUCUUAUGAUGUUUUGCAUUUCCUUCUUAACUUGUAGCCUUUUAUUUACUGAAAUAUGUUUUGCAUGUUCUCUAACUGGUUCAUAGAUAAUUUUCUGCAGAAAGAUCCACUUUUGGUGAAGGUGAAUAAGCUGACAUCAACAAAGACACAACUUCCCUACUCGUAUUACUCUCUUCCUUUUUGCAAGCCAAACAUGAUAGUUGACAGUGCAGAGAAUCUUGGAGAAGUUCUGCGUGGUGAUCGCAUUGAGAACUCUCCUUAUGUGGUCAGUACUAGAUUACUGCUAGUCACAUAUUCACCUUUGUAAUUUGUAAUGUAUUAAAUCACUGAGCUGUUAUCUACUUUGUUGUUUCUCGUUUGUGCUAUAGUUUGAGAUGGGGGAGCCCAAGAUGUGCCAGAUUAUUUGCAAAACAAAAAUUGAUGAUAAACAAACAAAGGAGCUCAAGGAAAAGAUAGAGGAUGAGUAUCGGGUGAACAUGUAAGGAUUUUAUACGUGGCACUGUAAUUUUGAUUGCAUGAAAAAGGCUGUAGUUACAUGAUGAAUUUUCUUCACAGGAUUCUUGACAACCUCCCACUAGUUGUUUCUAUUGCAAGGCAGGAUAGGGGUGCUACUGUUUACCAGGCUGGGUGUCAAGGGCCAAUAUGCUGGUGUAAGUUCGUGUGCUCAGCUGGUGUUUUACUUUUAACAGUGUGUAGGUCUCCUUUUUUUUUCUCUUGAGAGGGUGUAGCUAUCUUAUUAUAAAAUAUAUAUGUUACAGAACAAGGAUGAGAAAUCCUUUAUCCACAACCACUUGACAUUUUUAGUGAAAUACCACAAGGAUGAAACUACAGAUCUCUCUAGAAUUGUUGGAUUUGAGGUCAAGCCAUUCAGGUUUGUUUUAGUUAUGUUUGCCAUAUUUAUUGGUAUGAUGUCUUUUACACGCUGACACUAUCUUGUUCACUCACUUAUACACCUUCGUUAAAUUUCUUGUGCCAGUAUCAACCACCAGUUUGAAGGGCCGUGGAAUGAUAAAACCACUCGUUUAAUCACAUGUGACCCUCAUGCCAGCAAGCUUGUGGUAAACUCAGAUACUCCUCAGGAGGUUGAAGCUGGAAAGGAAAUCAUAUUUACCUAUGAUGUGGGCUUCGAGGUGAUAUUUCUCACAUCUGCUUCUCUUUUUGUGCUCUAACUCCUGUCCUUAAUACUCCCUCUGAUUCUUAAUGUAGGCCCUUUAGGAGACUGACAUGGCCUUAAAUAGGGGUGAAAACGGGUAGGGUACCCGAAACGGGUACCGGAUACGGGUACUGAUUCGGGACCAUUUUUCGGAUACGGAUACGGGUAUUUUUAUAUUCGGGACGGAUACGGGUAAUACCCGGAUAGUACAGCUUCGGAUUCGGGUCGGAUACGGAGCGAGUACUACCCGGUAAAUACCCGGAUAUUCGGGUCGGAUACGGGUACCCGGAAUUCGGGUACCCGUUUUUUCUUUUUCUGCAUAAUAAUAUAGUUAUAAAAUCAUAACUUUUACAUAUGAAAUCGGAUGAAGAUAAAUUUUAUAUGAAAAUUGUAGAGCUCGAAGAGAUCUAUAACUUUGUAGUACAACACAUUUUUGUUUAAACAUAUCUUUAGGCCAAAAUCAUUGAAAUAAUGUUUAAAUUUAUAUCAAAAUAAUAAACUUUAUCAUUUUCAUGUGGGGACUUAAGAUUCUAUCCAUGUGGGAACUUAGGAUUAUCUUUUUAUAAACUAUUUAUUAAUAUUGGUAACUUAUUUGCAAUUUCCGGUCGACGCUACAAUAUUUUUAUGAAUUUAAUUAUAUUUUAAUGAUUUUCUACAACAAGAAAUUAAUAAUACACCAAAUAGUCUAAAAAAUUCAUGAAUUUUUACGGGGACACAACAUAUAUCCACAUAUAGUUCUCAAAAACAUUUGGACUAUAAAAUCCACAAGAUGUUGGUGUUUCUUCCAUUCCGCUCCCAUUUAUUGCGUGAGUUACACGUGAAAUCAUUUUAUGUAUCGAAGUUUCAACAUAAUUAAUAUUUCACUUAUCAUUUUCACGCCGCGACUUGCACAACAGCACUAUGCACCAUUUUCGGCGGCCAAGCUUAUUUUCGGCGGCCAGGGCUUGGCCGCCGAAAAUAAGGACCUGGCCGCCGAAAAUAAAGGCUUAUUUUCGGCUGAUUUUUUUUGGCGGCCAGAAACCACCGAAAAUAAGCCUAAAACCGCCGAAAAUAGCUUAUUUUCGGCGGCAAAGGCCUUAUUUUCGGCGGCUUCUGGCCGCCGAAAAUGACUGUGUCUCUUGUAGUGUUGAGGUUUUAUUUGAAUAGAAUGUUUAUUUGUUUUGGUAAGCUUUUUGCAAUUUUGGAUCAAAACUAGUGUAUUUAUGAAUUUUAAUUAUAUUUUGAUGAUUUUAUGUAGAAAGAAAUUAAUAAUGUAUAGAUAGCCUCAUGAAUCUAUGAAAUUAUACGAAGGUACAACAUAUGGCCACAUAUAGUCAUAAAAAAUAAUGGGACCAUAAAAUCCACAUGAUGUCAACGUUUCUUCUAUUUUAUUUCCACUUAUUGUGUGAGUUACACGUGAAAUCACUCUAAGUAUCCAAGUUUCAACAUAAUCAAUACUUCACUUUACCAUUUUUAUGUGGAAACUUGAGAUUAUCUUCUAUUAAAUGUUUAUUAGUAUUAAUUUACUUGCAAUUUCGUGGUCGAACAAGAAUAUUUUUUAUAACCAAUUAAUGUAUUAUCCGACAAGUAUCCGAUAUCCGAUCAAAUAAUAUCCGUAUCCGUCACUUAUCCGCCCGGAUAAAUAUCCGGUCCCUGUAUCCGUAUCCGUCCCGUUUCUAACUAUCCGUAUCCGAUCCCGAAUCCGUUUUAAAUACAUUAGGGUAGGAUACAGGAUGAGCUAAUAUCCGUCCGUAUCCGCUCGUUUUCACCCCUAGCCUUAAAUGUGACACUUUGACUUGCAAUUUUUGCAGAAGUAUAUUAUGUUUUCUAUAUGUAUUAUGAAAGUAUUUUCCAUCAUGAAUCUACUACAUGAACUGUGUUGUCAAGUUACUUAAUCAUACAUUUUAAAUUUUGAGAUUGUUUUAAUGUUUACUGAUUUGCUUGGUAUUUCUUUGCAGGAGAGUGAUGUCAAGUGGGCUUCUCGCUGGGACACAUACCUGUUAAUGACAGAUGAUCAAAUUCACUGGUUUUCUAUUGUGAACUCUCUCAUGAUCGUACUCUUCUUAUCUGGGAUGGUGGCCAUGAUUAUGCUCCGCACCCUGUAUAGAGAUAUCUCUAGAUACAAUCAGCUUGAAACUGAAGAAGAAGCCCAAGAGGAGACAGGGUGGAAGCUUGUUCAUGGAGAUGUAUUCCGACCUCCUGCAAACUCUGAUUUACUCUGUGUCUGUGUUGGGACUGGUGUUCAGUUCUUUGGUAUGCUGCUAGUAACCAUGAUUUUUGCUGUUUUGGGUUUUCUUUCGCCAUCAAACCGGGGAGGACUGAUGACUGCCAUGCUGCUCACUUGGGUCUUGAUGGGGUUGUUCGCUGGCUAUGCUUCUUCACGCCUAUAUAAGAUGUUCAAAGGAUCAGAAUGGAAGAGCAUCACCCUAAGGACCGCUUUCCUGUUUCCCGGGAUUGCUUUCGGUAUUUUCUUCAUUCUGAAUGCUCUUAUAUGGGGGGAGAAGUCGUCUGGUGCUGUUCCUUUCACCACAAUGUUUGCCUUGGUCCUCCUUUGGUUUGGUAUCUCGGUUCCUCUUGUAUUUGUUGGGAGCUAUCUGGGUUUCAAGCAACCUGCCAUCGAGGCUCCGGUGAAGACAAACAAGAUCCCCAGACAGGUCCCCGAGCAGGCUUGGUACAUGAACCCUGCCUUCACCAUUCUUAUUGGUGGUAUUCUUCCGUUCGGAGCAGUUUUCAUUGAGCUCUUCUUCAUCCUGACAUCAAUCUGGCUUCACCAGUUCUACUACAUCUUUGGCUUUCUCUUCCUGGUGUUCAUUAUCCUCAUCAUCACCUGUGCGGAGAUCACGAUCGUGCUGUGCUAUUUCCAACUGUGCAGCGAGGACUACAUGUGGUGGUGGAGGUCCUAUCUCACAUCAGGAUCAUCUGCAAUCUACCUCUUCCUGUAUGCGGGGUUCUACUUCUUCACUAAGCUGCAGAUCACCAAGGUGGUGUCGGGGAUACUAUACUUUGGUUACAUGCUUCUUGCCUCGUUUGCCUUCUGUGUGCUCACCGGUACGAUCGGCUUUUGCGCUUGCUUCUGGUUCACAAGAUUGAUUUAUUCGUCUGUGAAGAUCGACUAGGCAAGUUGCACGACCUUGCAGAGUAUGCUGAUCUGAAGCGGCCUCCAUUUUCCACUGUUUUUUUUUCCUGAUUUUUCAGGAAGCUGUACUUUAGCUUGUGAACCAUUUAUGCCCACUAUGGUUCAGACUUGAGUUGUAUAAGGAUAGGACACUACUGUCAGCUUCAUAUGGGGUUAAUUUUCCUUGUCUUUGAGAACUGCUGUAUACGUUCAAUCCAUGGCUCAUUACCGUCUGCCACCCAAUUUCUACCUCUGCUGCAUGUUGAUGUUGCUGCAUGGUGAUGUUGAUACGUGCUUUGGUUUCAUCAAGAAUUGCUUGCAUUCACUUGUGCAUAUUGAGGAAUGUUUGCUUCAUCUCCACAGAAUAUUCGCGCUGCAUGGCAGGAGGCAGGCCUCCGGGAGAGCUUCGGUGUGCUGUGUUGCCACCUCAGAUGGCCUAUGAGGUCGACGACACCUCCGGUCCGGACACAGUCGGCAUCAGCCUCUCUCCGGCGGCGCUCACCGUCACUCCCCCACCAUGCGAAUACCGUGGACUAGCGGGAUUUAUUUAUGCAAAACAAUCGUGUUGUGAUUAAUGAUCGCUAUCCAUUUACUUAUUUCGUAUGAAUGAUACGUAUUUUUGAUAGACUUUUUGGAUCUACCAAUAACCCUAACCACUAGAUCAAAUGCAUAAAGCCUUGUUCGUUUCUGUCGGAUUGGUGGGUCGGAACGAUUCCUAACCGGAUUGUUUCUCUAAUUUAUAUAAACUUUGGUUAGCUGGAACAAUUCCGGGUGUAAUCCGAUAGAAACGAACAAGGCCUAAAACAGAUCGUACCUUUGUUUAGAUCUGAUUAUGUCGCGUUCUUCACUAGGGCAGGGCAGCGGCGGUGGUAGGGGAAGCGAGAUCGAUGUCGCUGGUGGACUUUCUGUUAGCCUCCCCUUGAGAUCGGUCUAGGGUUGAGGUGGGAAAUUGAGACAGUAGAACCUCUUACUAGGCCAUCAACUCCCACCUCUCUAUUUAUAGACUGCACAAUAGAAGCUCACCAAUCUCGUCUUAUGCUAGACACUCCCGAUUAGGAUGCGAGGUCAAGAGUAAGCCAUUGGGCUAACUGAUGGAGAUCAAUUCUAAUAUUCUCUCCCUUGAUCUUAUCUUGUACUUUCAAUUUUAUACCUUUUAAUUCUUUUCGUAUUCCAUCAUAGAUUAGUGCAUAGAACAUACUUCGUCGUCACGGUCAAUCGCUGAUAGACUUAUCAGCUACAAUACACGUCUCUGUUAUGAAAUAGAUCGUUUAACUUUAGGCCCUUUUAUUGUCCGGAAAACAUACUCUAUAUCAUAAACUCGUGUCGACUGUGUGUUUUCUGGUGGUGAGGCUUUAGUAAGCGGAUCCGCAAGCACUUGUCUGUUACUUAUAUGUUCAAUACUUUUGAUAUUAUUCCGGGCUUUCUCCUUUAUAACGUAUAACUUUGUGUCAACAUGUUUGACAGCACACUUGACCCGUUUUAUAUGAGUGAACUAUUUGAAUGCUUAUUGGUGUUGUCAACCAUUAUCAAUUCUGGGUACAAUUUUCCUUAACCAUUUUACCUGUCCCUUAGCCUCAUAUCAUGCUAUAUCAUGUCUUUGCAUCACAUUGAUGAUAAAUGCUUGUUUGGAGUUUUCUACACAAAAACUCCAAGUGUGAAUGUUAGCGACAAUUGUGGAUUUUGUGACGAAUUUCAGAGGGUUCUAUCUUUGUACUCACAAUCUUUGAGAGCACUAGUUCCUUUUUUUUCAUCAUGAUACCAACAUUCGUAACUCCAUUCCAGUGACCUAUAUCUGGACUGGACAUUGUCAAAACAACCCAGAUAUGUGAACAACGUCAGGUAACACCAUACUUGUGCAUUCAUUGAGCUUCCAACAGUUGAUGCAUAUGGUAUGUAAUACCCAAAAGUGUAAACAAUGAAAAUAGAGAUGAAUCUCUUUAUGUGUGUGGCUUCCACUCAUUUGAACAUGUGAACAAACACAUUUUUAAGUGAGUAAUUAAUUAAUGAGCUAUAAAACAAAUCAUGCAUCAUAUUGGAGUUCCCUUGUGUGUGCAUUUGGUAACAAUAAAUAAUGUUAAUAGAAAAAAUAUAUUAGUAACCCAAUUUGGAAGUAAACAUCUAAUUGGAAAUUCUAGAAUUUGAGAAAAGAGAAGCACUAGUCAUCACAAAAUAAAAUUCAAAAAUAAGUAAAUUCAUCUUGUACCAUGUUUAAGUGGGACAUUUAAUGUGAAGACAAAUUACCACGAAGUUUGAAUUUAAAUGGGAAUUUGAAUUUUGAAUUUUUAAAUAGAAAGAAAAGAAAACAAAAAAAAGAAAAGAAUAAAGAAAGAAAAGGGAAAACCGCGAAUGGGCCUAAUUCUUAGCGCUCGACCCAUUUCCACUCCCUCCCCUCGCUGUGCAGUCCGGUUUCUUGUGUACUGCGCAGAUCGGUGGGCCCGUGGUGGCAGUGUCGCGACGCUCGCGCCGCUGUUCUCACUAGACAUGGUCGUGUGGGCCCCAAUUUCAGGUUCUCUCCCUCUCUCUCGAUGCCAUGGCCGCGGGCGUGCGCAACCACUCGUGCGGGUAAAGCGGCGCCGUUGCCCCAGACCCGGAUGUAACACCCUGAAUUUAGGGUAUAAAACUUCUUUCUAAUUAUCACCAAAUUCAGGUGUUACUCUUCUCUAUCUAGUUUCUUUCUAUCUCUAGAUCCUCUCUCUCUCUUUUUCCCUUUUGAGUAGAGUUAGCUUAAUUAGGAGAGAUUAAUUAUUUAUUUUUUUGCCAAAACAUUGUGAGUCAUGACAUGUUGCAUCAUGCUGAGCUUAAAUAUUCUUUGAAUUGUUGCACAUGUUUGAGAUAGUUUGAAUUUGAAACUUGAUUUGAAUUUGAAUUAAAAACCCUAGAGAAAAAGAAAUGGAAAAUCAAAUAGAAAUUCUAGGAAAAACGAAAAAGCCAAAGCUGUGGCAGAACCUCCCAAGUUAUUGGGCCCACAUGCACCUGCCCUUAUCUAAAAGACCUCAGAUGGCUAUGCAUGUGCACCAGAUAACUUAACAUGAUUUGUCCGAGUGUCCCAAGGACCUCGGAUAAACCACUUACAUCCAGGACCGCAGGAUUAAGUAAACACAAAUCACACACCAACAAUUUGCAGCGGAAAUAUUAUUACCAAAUUUUACAAGUUACAUCCAGUUUACAUUGUACAUGAUCGGAGUGAUUACAAAAGUGAUUCAAAGCAAUAACUUUGAACUGUUAUAAAUUAUUUAUAGUUUUGAAAUAUAUGCUAGCUUAAGUGACCAUCCUCAAUAAGAAGUAUAGAAGAGUUACUUAGACUUAUAAGAAGGUCGUGCCCACCGGCGCUUAACACCAAUCACAAUCAAAGUGACUCGUAACCUGCAGCAACAAUGGGAAUAAAACCCUAAGUACGCAAGUACUCAGCAAGACACUUACCCGACUAAAGAAAAGACUCUCAAGGGUAUGCUGGUUUUAGAAGGAUUCAAGGUAUGGCUUAUCAAGAAUCAAAGACUCUAUUUGCAGAAAAACUUACUAUGAGUGGAUCCUUAAAAAUUCAUUUUUACUUGUCAGGUAAGUAAAGUUACCGGCAUCUAGAGUUCUUUCUACCCUAGUUCAAUCACUUGGCCUAUACUAGCCGUCUUUUUAUCUUCCCAUCAGUUCACUGGAUUGCUACGUGUAAGUCAGUGACCAAGUCCUCAUAUCCGAGAAGUAACGGCGAUCCAAAUCGAUUAAUACCCAGCUGGGGAUCUCUAAUCACACGACAUAUGUAGCACUUAACCCUUGCAUAUGUCAACUCGUCACCGGGUUUCUUAAGACCGGACCGGGUUCACGCCAACCGAGAGCACAGAUACACCACCGUCUAGCCUCAUGCCACGGAGGGUACACGCUACUCUUGCCAUCUCUCCACUCCCAUUGCGGGUUGGCCUUUCUGAUAUUAGUCUACCCGAGGCAAAGCUUACCCAUGAUGAGGCAUGUGACCAGUUAAAAGGUCCUCGAUCAUCAGGCCUACAUCGGCACGGUCCUUAAUCGACUCAGACGGAGACACUACACUGAGACUCCCUUCUCGUGCAAGUCAACCGCCCGGUCUCAGCUUUAUUAUUUUCAACCCAAAGUUUGGUACCUGACAGAGGUACAUCUUUUCCGAUGUUGAACCCAUCACGGCCAUGAUGGAUCCACCAUCAACUUUUAUUUUUGAAAACAUUCCCAUCCACUGUGAAGCAUCACUUUUUGUUUAAAAAAAUAUUUUGUUUUUCUAAAGCAAGGCUAAGCAUCAUAAAAAUCCUUUUCAUAAAAGGGUAUCAAGGAAGGGUAAUCAAUUUUCUAUGGAAGGAAAUGCAUCAAUUGUUUAGCACACAACUCAUAUCACCUAAUGCAUCAAACAAAGUGAUAAAAGAUUUUAAAACAGCAAGGAGGUGGCAAAUGCACCGGGGCUUGCCUGGAUAACACUAGGUUUGUGUUUGUUAGACGUCGAUCACUUGGCGACUAGUUUUUUGUGUUGGCACUCGUUCAGAUUAUCCAUCUUCAGGUUCGUCCAUCAGCUUCACUAUGCGGAGUAGUCCACUAGUUACGUCAUCUUGGGGUCGACUCAGUUCUUGUCUUCCGCAUCACGUGAUCAACUACCGUACCUAAUGAGAUGCAUGAUGCACAUGUAUGAAUGUACAUAGGAAUAGCAUAAGACAAAUAAUCUACACCAAAGAGGAUGAAAGACUUAUAAUAAAGCAUUAAGCAAAUACUAGCUAACGGUAUAGGACUAAUUAUAAUAAUUACGCUAUUCCAGUCUAGUCGGAGGUAGCUCAUACAUCAAGAAACCCUAAACCUUGUACGAGUCCUAUAUUUUCCUUAGAUAGCGCAUAACACCGAAAGACUAACAAUAUUCAAACUCCUAUUAUUGGACACCCUGAGUUAUAGUACAUGCAGGAAUAAUUUAACUAACCUUUUAAAUCAGGUUUUUAGAUUAAUUUGAAUUACAUACUAAUUAAAUAGGACAUUACACUAUUCGCUCUAACGGAUAAAACAUUAUCAAAUAAUAUAGCGUUUGAUAAAACUACAUUCUCAACAACUUAAAUAUCGAGAGUACUUAUGUACACUGGCCAUUAUGAAAUUCUCGGAUUUUACUUAAGAUCUACUUCAAGCAUCGACGAAAUAAAUCCAAAGCAAUUUAAUCAACAUCUAUCUGCCAGACCUUAGAAACACUAGUCCUAUAAUUUUUUAUUAUUAAUUUGGUCACAUAAUUUAGAUGUGUCUACCCUUACCUUUCAUAUGAAUCACAUCUAAAAUCUUGAUUUCAACACACAUAUGCUAAAUCAAGAAAAUCACCACAUUCAACAAUUUAGCUAGCAGGAAUAAUAGAUCAUCUUACCAUGACCGAUCUGACACGAUAGUCGGAAGAACGACAAUGGUUUUCGCUUGACGUCUUUGACCGCACACACCUGACGAGCGAUGCACAUAAUCUCGUUUUUUACUAGAUACUCAGGGGAUGCAUUUUGUCGAGCUGGUGGUGCGUGGCCAGCACAAGAGCAUCUUCACGGUUUGAUGACGACAUAAUGGAAACAGAUUGGUUUAACGCGAUGAGCAGAAGCACUCGUGACGUAAAGAAGUCCCCACGAUAACGUCGUGGAAGCAGCUACAAGGUGUGGCAACGGGCUACACGGACUUGGCGUACACACGUUGCUGGGGAAUAGCGCAUGAUGCGACGGGGAGGUGAGAUGUCUAGGAGAGCUCACAGCGACAGUUGGCUAGAGAAUAAUGUCCCGGCGAGCAUGACCAGGGAGGUGAGCAAGGGGCAGAGGGCACCGAUGUCCCUCGACCAGAGACCGAGGCACAUAGCACGAUGGACGAACUUAGUCGCGGCGAGGUCGGCCGACGAGGCAAAACAAGGAACACGACGGUCAGUCGGUGAGCUGAAGAUUGGGAGCGACAGCCGGUGAGGAGCUUAGCUCUAGAGAGCUGCGCGAGAGGAGCUAAAAAUUAAUUCGCCAGUGGUUAAGCGGCAAACGAUGGCCGGGUCCGAGGGCCAGCGAUGCGGCCAGGGGCGCGCGCACGGGAGAUAGGAGCUCGGUAGCUUGCGGCUAGCAGGGAGGAGCUCGCAGGAAAGGGGCUUCGGCUGGGCGCGGCUGCCAGGACAAGCGCAGCAGGGAGCCGGGACGAGACCGCGGCCGAGCAAGCUCUGGCCGACAUGGGCGCGAUGGCCAGGGAGCUCGGCACAGUGCCGGAGCCGGAGGCCGAGCGGGGAGAGAGCGCCAUGGGAGAUAGCAGGGAGAGCGCGCGACGCAGAGGCGAGCAGGGCACGAACUGGGCAGAGUCAAGCCAGGGAGCUUCGGAUGGGGUCUUGGCGAGAGAGCUCGGCCGGCUGGCAGAAGCUGGGAAGCCGCGACGCCGGAGGAGCAGGGGAUAUGGGCGCGCGCGCACAGAGCACAUGGAGAUGGGCGCCGAGCAGGAACGCGGCAGGGAGGAGCUGGGGGGAGAGCUCCGCGCGUGGAGAGCAGAGAGGACGACUGCGGCGCUGGAAGUUGGGCGCAAACCAAGCUCGGCGAGCAGGGAAGACGCACGGCUAGGGAGGGGAAGCAGGGGCGCGGCCAGGCGAGCCAGGGAGCUCGACGGUGGCCGGGCAGAGGGUCUUGCGGCAGCACGCGCAGGGAGCUCGGCAGGAAGAUGGCAAAAAAAUCCCAGUUGUGGCUGAAGGAUAGAGACGAGAGAGCAGUGGCGGCUGAAGGAUAGAGACGAGAGAGCAGUGGCGGCUGAAGAAAAAUCAGAGGGAUAGAGAGACGUGCGUGAGGGAGAUAAAGAUCAACGGCUGAAAAGAUCAGAUGGAGAGAGGCAGCUGCUGGAGAUCUUUUUCAUUUUUAUAGUUUCCUUUUUUUUACAGAGAAUCGCAGAUAUUUUGAAUCACGAUUUUUUAGCAAUGUAUACUGGGUCGACACGUUACACGAAUACACAUUUCAUUUUCCGGAUUUAGCGAACCAAAUUAUGUACCAAUUGCUUAUAUCCGAAGAUUUGGAUCCGAGCGAGAAACGACAGCUCAAAUAAAACCGAUUUCGACUUCGAUAAUCUGCUCUGCGUGAUUCGACCGAAAUUAGCCGAAACCAGAUCUGCUAAUGUACACUCAAUUUCAUUGCCCAAAAUAACGUGCCGAAGAAACAAUCUGAAUUAUUAACCUUGCGCACAAUUUCUUGGAUAAAACACGCAGUCAAAAUUAUCAGAUCAGGCGCUUUCCAGAUUGCAUUUACUUAACCGAGCAAUUUUAAACAAGCGUAGAACUUGUCAUCAUGCGCGAUGAUUGCAUUCCAGGCUAAAUGAGAUUUUUUGAAUAAUCUCGGAAUAAAUGAGAUUUUUUGAAUAAUCUCGGAAAUCAGGAAUAGACAUACUAUCGAAAUCAUUAUGCACCCCGGCCUUUCUUACUUACGUCCAUAAUUGCUGUUACGCACCUGGGGUGUUACAAAAGCAGCCUAGCUGGCCCAGCUCGGCCCAGCCAGGCCAUGCGCCCGCGCCGCCUGACAGGUGGGUUCCACUUGUCAGCGGCGGUUGCCUUCCCCGCACGCUCUCUCUCCCUCUCUCUGCCCAGUGGGGCCGGGCUGUCGGCGCCAGUUGCCUUCGCCCGCGCGCCCCUCUCCCCCUCUGCCUCGCGGGUCCGCAUCGUCAGUGCGCCAAACCGUUACCCCCGCGUGCCCGCUCUCUCUCUCGCUGCGCCGUGGGACCACCCUGUCAACUCCGCCUUCCCCGCACCCACCGUGGACUAGCACGGGCGCACUCGCGCACGCACACCGAGAUCCCCGGCCACGUCGCCCGCCCACGCACCCUAGCUCCAUUGUGAGCACCGCCCGCGCCCGCCCUCGCUCCCCCGUCCCAUUUCGCACAGCCUUGCCCUCUCUCACGCUCUGUCCACGGCGUUGGACCUCGCCGAAGACCCGCACUCGCCGUGCCAGUCGUCCAGUCCGCCGGAAGCCGCGUCAAGCCACCCCGAGCUCCACCCCAAGGUGAGACACCCUCUCCCAUGCUCGGUUUUCCCAAUUGUGCUACGUUGUUGGUCAAUUUUGGCUUCUCCGGAAGUCGGUCGUGGCGGUCUGCCGCACCCGCGCGGUGGCCGGCCAAAUUGGCCCAAUCCAGUGCCCCCCGCGCCGGCCCCUGGCGUUCCCCUCGCCCUACUGAAGAUAGUCCAGGCCUUAGCGCGCCUCAGACCCCUCCCUGUGGCCGAAAUCCCUCACCGGAGUUACCCCGACCCACCCGGAGUCCUCCCUCAGCCGUUCUCUCCUCUCUGACCCCGGUCUCGCGACCACAACCCUACCAGUGAGUUCACCGUGCCUUCCCCUUCGUUUUUGGCCAGCUCCGGCGACCCCAGAGCCACCAUAGUUCGCACCCGCCCCAACUCCGACGACCUCACCGCCACGAGAAGGAGCGGCACCGCCGCAGCUGCUAACCCCUUUUCGGCUUUGAUCUCCCUCGUCCGAUCUCUAUCGCACGGCCUAGAUCACGGGAUAUCGCUUCGUGCCCCGUGUGCCGACCCGCCUGUCAGCACCUGUGCCUCCUGGCGCAGGGCCCAACUGGUUAGUCCACCCCCUUCUCGGUCGCUGACACCGCCGGCCCGCCUGUCAGCGCUCGCUCGCCCCCGCGCGCGCCCUCGCCCGCCGAUCUAAUCUCGGCUGUUGGUUUUAGAUCUGACGGUUGAGUGGAUCCCGUACCCCUUCACGUGGUUAUUUUGCGUAAGAAACCCUCGGUUUGUUGGGAAUCAACCCGCCGUCCCUGGUUUUCGCGCGCAGGACCCUGUAAUCUUGUAGAUUGAACCCUGGGCGUUUAAAUAAUUACAGAAUUAGACCUAUUUUCAUAUUUUAAAUUCCCAAACUUGUUUAUUUCAUAUCUUUUGCAUAUGAACUCCAAAUUUAGUGAUUCAAAUUGCAAAAUAUUCAUAGGAAUAUUCUCUAUUUAAAUAAAUUAGUUCCAUUUACUACCUGCACACUCUAAGUUUUAUGGUUAACUAUGAACUAGUAUAUGUGUAGAUUUAUUCAUUUAAUAAAAUAAAUAAAAGGGAAACCCUAGAGAUUAAAGUAUACUUAAUCUUGUAGAAUUAAUAGUGUGUAGUACAUGAAUUUAUCUUUGGUUUAAUUUUUAUGUCUCAUUGAAAGUAAUUAAAUUAGAUUAUGUAAUCAUGGACAUUACUUAGGGAAUAAUCUAAAUGAGAUUUAGUUCACCCUAUAAUUUGAUUUCCCUCUUGGUUCUAUGCUUUUCUUUUGAGAUGUGUUCCCAUGUUUGUACAUGAUUGAUGUGUUGUUUAUUUGUCAUUUACCAAAUGUAUUGAAUGCAUGAUCGCUUUAUUUAGACAACGAGCAGUCCGUGGUUCCUGAGUGUGUUGCUGAAGAUCUUCCUGAGCAACAACCUGGUGAAGGCAAGUGUCCUCUGACCCAUUAUGUCCUAUUUUACUUUACUAGUCGGUUGCCCGUGCGUUGCGACGGCUUACAACAAUACCCAUGUAAACUAUCCACCAAAAAAAUUUCAAGAUUUUUUAUUGAUUGUUUCCACUCUCCGUAUAAUAUUUUUUUGAUUUGGCUAACUGAUGUUAUUGUUUACUCCAUCCAAUAUGUCUUGGUACAACACGACCAAUGAAGUGAACGAUUAGAAGAGAGUUCACAACGACUGAUUGAACGAACAGAGAUUAUAAAAUGACAUAAUUCCACCAUACAGAGACCAAAUAAGAAAAUGUUUGUGAGCUCAAGUUUCUAAAAUAAGUCACAUGAAAUCAAAUUUAUAAAAAAGAUAGAUCAAAAUAUGAAGUGAUUGCUAAAGUCAACAUCUAUAAAAACUGGAUGCGCUCUAUAAAUUAUGCUACUUCGUAACAAUUACUAACGUUUAAAACCAACAAAUAACCUUUUAUUUUACUGUUAGUGUGACAAAUCACUGUUUCUCCAUCCAAUUCAGCAACCCAAACACCAUGGAGUCCAUUGCGCCAAUGUAGUCUCAGAAACGACCUAAUGCUUGCAAGAGCCAAGAACGUUGUGUCGUGCUUGGGCUGUAGCCUCGGCCCGUAGUGCUGGCCCGACCCGACACGAUUAUAUAUUUUUAUUUUACAAAAAACGUAUAUACAUAUAUACAAUUUAUAUUCAAUAUUAAAAAACAUUUGAGCAUGAUGUUUGUCAGGGACCAUAAUUAGGGGUACCCUCAAGACGCCUAAUUCUCAGCAGGUAACCCCCAUCAGCAUAAAGCUGCAAAGGCCUGAUGGGUACGAUUAAGUCAGGGAUCAGUCCACACGAGUGACUCGAUCACGCUUCGCCCGAGCCUAGCCUCGGCCAAGGGCAGCCGACCUCGAGAGACUUCCGUCUCGCCCGAGGCCCCCCAUUUUACGGCGGACACACCUCCGGCUCGCCCGAGGCCUUGGCUUCGCUUAGAAGCAACCCUGACUAAAUCGCCGCGCCGACUGACCGGGUUGCAGGAGCAUUUAACGCAAAGGUGGCCUGACACCUUUAUCCUGACACGCGCCCCCCGGCAGAGCCGAAGUGACCGCCGUCACUCCACCGCUCCACUGACCAGUCUGACAGAAGGACAGCGCCGCCUGCGCCACUCCGACUGCAGUGCCACUCGACAGAGUGAGUCUGACAGGCAGUCGGGCCCUGCCAAAGGCGCCAUGGGAAACUCCGCUCCGCCCGACCCAAGGGCUCGGACUCGGGCUAAGACCCGGAAGACGGCGAACUCCGCUCCACCCGACCCCAGGGCUCGGACUCGGGCUAAGACCCGGAAGACGGCGAACUCCGCUCCGCCCGACCCCAGGGCUCGGACUCGGGCUAAGACCCGGAAGACGGCGAACUCCGCUCCGCCCGACCCCAGGGCUCGGACUCGGGCUAAGACCCGGAAGACGGCGAACUCCGCUCCGCCCGACCCCAGGGCUCGGACUCGGGCUAAGACCCGGAAGACGGCGAAUCUCCGCCUCGCCCGACCCCAGGGCUCGGACUCCGCCCUGGCCUCGGCCAAACGAUCUCCUCCUCGCCCGACCCGGGGGCUCGGGCUCGGCCUCGGCAACGGAAGACAGACUCGACCUCGGCUUCGGGGGAGCCCCCACGUCGCCCUGCCUAGGGCACAGGCCCGCCACGUCAACAGGAAGCACCAUCACCAACCUACCCCGAGCCGACUUGGGUCACGAAGGACAAGACCGGCGUCCCAUCUGGCCAGCUCCGCUGGAUGGGCAAUGAUGGCGCCCCCAAGCUCUGUGACGACGGCGGCUCUUAGCUCUCUUACGGCAGCAGGGCGACGUCAGCAAGGACUCGACCGCUCCAACAGCUGUCCCUCCGCCAGGCUCCGUCGCUCCUCCGACAGCCACGACAUCACGCCAGCAAGGUGCCAAGACCUCUCCGGCUGCCACAUUGGCAUGUACCCAGGGCGCUAGCUCUCUCUCUCCGCUAGACACGUAGCACUCUGCUACCCCCCAUUGUACACCUGGAUCCUCUCCUUACGACUAUAAAAGGAAGGACCAGGGCCUUCUUAAAAAAGGUUGGCCGCGCGGGGACGAGGACGAGACAGGCGCUCUCUUCGGGCCGCUCGCUUCCCUCACCCGCGUGGACGCUUGUAACUCCCCUACUGCAAGCGCACCCGACCUGGGCGCGGGACGAACACGAAGGCCGCGGGACUUCCACCUCUCUCACGCCCGACUCCGGCCACCUCGCCUCUCCCCCCUUCACGCUCGCCCACGCGCUCGACCCAUCUGGGCUGGGGCACGCAGCACACUCACUCGUCGGCUUAGGGACCCCCCUGUCCCGAAACGCCGACAGUUGGCGCGCCAGGUAGGGGCACGCUGCGUGCUGACGAACAGCUUCCCGUCAAGCUCCAGAUGGGCAGUCUCCAGCAACCUCUCCGGCCCGGGACGGUGCUUCGUUUCGGGACUCUUGAGUUCAUGUCCUUCAACGGCGGCUACGACAUGAUACUUCUUCCACCACCGCGCGACAACGACAAUGGCGGCCGACAACCCGCCCGCCGGCGGCGGAAUCGACGACACCUUCCCCGCGUGGUGGAAGAACAACAUUCGAGCUCGCUCCGUCCUCUCCCCCGUCAACGGAGGAGGAGGCGAGGCAACCAAGGCCAAGCGGGAGGCCGCGCUCCGUCGGCUGUCGAGCGAAUCGACGCCCCCGACGCCCCGACGGAAGGCACGCCGGACGUCGACCUCGCGUUCGAGACGAAGGCAAGCGCCGUCCCCCCGCGACACGCUGAUCCCGAGCAAGAAGACGACGCCAGCGCGCUCGCGGAAAGCCUGCAGGACGUCGCCCUCGUACCUGAGAUGACGGUGCAACCAGUCCCCGAUGUGACUACGUCGCUCCUCGUCGACCAAAAGGUACCGACUAACUCCCAUCUUACGUCAUUUCGACUCGGCCUCAACCCGCCAAACGACCUCGCUUUGGCGGGCGCUCUCAUUGAGGCGAGUGCAACCCCACUAGGGUUUCGUAUGCGGUCACCUUGGGACCGGUUGACGGACGUCUCGACCUACGGGCCCUCUGGGUCUGAGGAAGAUGACGAUCCCAGGAUCUGUUGGGAUUUCUCCGGACUUGGCAACCCCGGUGCCAUGCGGGACUUCAUGACCGCAUGUGACUACUGCCUCUCCGACUGUUCCGACGGAAGCCGCAGCCUUGACAACGAGAGCUGCGGCCCAAGCCGCGAAUGUUUCCACAUCGAGCUAGGGGAUCCCUCCGAAGGCAACCGUCUCGGCAUGCCGGAGGAUGGUGAUCUUCCUAGGCCGGUGCCUCGCGCCGACAUCCCACGGGAGCUAGCUGUGGUCCCCGCUCCGGCGGGGGGUUACGACCCACAACUCGAGCAAGUCCACGAGGUGCAGGCCAGGCUCAACGAGGGAACGGGAGCGCUUGAGCCGAUCCGUCGGGACGUCGGGCAGGUAUGGGCGGGCCAACCCCUGGCCGGAGAAAUACAUCACCUGCCCCAAGGUCUCCAGCACCGCGUCGCCAACGAUGUCAGGGUCAGGCCGCCGCCCGCAUCCAGCGGGGUUGGUCAGAACCUGGCAGCCGCGGCGAUGCUCCUCCGCGCGAUGCCGGAGCCAUCAACCACCGAGGGUCAGCGAAUCCAGGGAGAGCUCAAGAAUCUCCUGGAAGGCGCUGCGGCCCGACGGGCCGAGAGCACUGCCUCCCGAAGGCAGGGACAUCCCUCGGAACCUCAUGCCACGACUUCCCGAUUCAUGCGGGAAGCCUCGGUCUACACCGGGCGCACGCGUAACACCGCGCCUGCGGCCCCGGGCCACCUCGGCAACGAGCACCAUCGACGCGACCGUCGGGCCCACCUCGACGAAAGGGUGCGCCGAGGCUACCACCCCAGGUGUGGGGGGCGCUACGACAGCGGGGAGGAUCGGAGUCCCUCGCCCGAACCACCCGGUCCGCAGGCCUUCAGUCGGGCCAUCCGACGGGCGCCAUUCCCAACCCGGUUCCGACCCCCGACUACUAUCACGAAGUACUCGGGGGAAACGAGACCGGAACUGUGGCUCGCGGACUACCGCCUUGCCUGCCAACUGGGCGGGACGGACGACGACAACCUCAUCAUCCGUAACCUCCCCCUGUUCCUCUCCGACACUGCUCGCGCCUGGUUGGAGCACCUGCCUCCGGGGCAGAUCUCCAACUGGGACGACUUGGUCCAAGCCUUCGCCGGCAAUUUCCAGGGCACAUACGUGCGCCCCGGGAAUUCCUGGGACCUUCGAAGCUGCCGGCAACAGCCGGGGGAGUCGCUCCGGGACUACAUCCGGCGAUUCUCGAAGCAGCGUACCGAGCUGCCCAACAUCACCGACUCGGAUGUCAUCGGCGCGUUCCUCGCCGGCACCACUUGCCGCGACCUGGUGAGCAAGCUGGGUCGCAAGACCCCCACCAGGGCGAGCGAGCUGAUGGACAUCGCCACCAAGUUCGCCUCUGGCCAGGAGGCGGUCGAGGCUAUCUUCCGAAAGGACAAGCAGCCCCAGGGCCGCCCAUUGGAAGAGGCUCCCGAGGCGUCUGCUCCGCGCGGCGCCAAGAAGAAAGGCAAGAAGAAGUCGCAAUCGAAACGCGACGCCGCUGACGCGGACCUUGUCGCCGCCGCCGAGUACAAGAACCCUCGGAAGCCCCCCGGAGGUGCAAACCUCUUCGACAAGAUGCUUAAGGAGCCGUGCCCCUACCAUCAGGGGCCCGUCAAGCACACCCUCGAGGAGUGCAUUACGCUUCGGCGUCACUUCCACAGGGCCGGGCCACCCGCCGAGGGUGGCAGGGCUCGUGACGACGACAAGAACGAAGAUCACCCAGCAGGAGAAUUCCCCGAGGUCCGCGACUUCUUCAUGAUCUGCGGUGGGCAUGCGGCAAACGCCUCGGCUCGGCACCGCAAGCAAGAGCGCCGGGAGGUCUGCUCGGUGAAGGUGGCGGCGCCAGUCUACCUAGACUGGUCCGACAAGCCCAUCACCUUCGACCAGGCCGACCACCCCGACCACGUGCCGAGCCCGGGGAAAUACCCGCUCGUCGUCGACCCCGUCGUCGGCAACGUCAGGCUCACCAAGGUCCUGAUGGAUGGGGGCAGCUGCCUCAACAUCAUCUACACCGAGACCCUCAAGCUCAUGCGCGUCGAUCUGUCCUCCGUCCGAGCAGGCGCUGCGCCCUUCCACGGGAUCAUCCCUGGGAAGCGCGUCCAGCCCCUCGGACGACUCGACCUCCCCGGCUGCUUCGGGACGCCCUCCAACUUCCGAAGGGAGACCCUGACGUUCGAGGUGGUUGGGUUCCGAGGAACCUACCAUGCCGUACUAGGGAGGCCAUGCUACGCGAAGUUCAUGGCCGUCCCCAACUACACCUACCUGAAGCUCAAGAUGCCGGGCCCCAACGGGGUCAUCACCGUCGGCCCCACGUACAAACACGCGUUCGAAUGCGACGUGGAGUGCGUGGAGUACGCCGAGGCCCUCGCCGAGUCCGAGGCCCUCAUCGCCGACCUGGAGAACCUCUCUAAGGAGGUGCCAGACGUGAAGCGUCACGCCGGCAACUUCGAGCCAGCGGAGACGGUUAAGGCCGUCCCACUCGACCCCAGUGGCGACACCACCAGGCAGAUCCGGAUCGGUUCCAGGCUCGACCCCAGAUAGGAAGCAGUGCUCGUCGACUUUCUCCGCGCGAACGCCGACGUCUUUGCGUGGAGUCCCUCGGACAUGCCCGGCAUACCGAGGGAUGUCGCCGAGCACUCGCUGGAUAUCCGGGCCGGAGCCCGAUCCGUCAGGCAGCCUCUGCGCCUCGGUCGUCAAGGAAGGGUCGGCCUCGCCUCGCCAGAGCCCGACCCUCCCUCGGGGGCUAAUAAAGGGGAACCCCUCUGCGUCAAGAUUGGGUGUACUUCUCCGUAUCAAAAAUUUUCAAUCAAAAAAGGGGCCUCUUGCGUUCUCCCAGCUAUGUCAGAAGCAGGGUCUCGAGGAGCGAACGCGGGCACAUGUAAAUGGCAAGACCGACUGAGCCGAGGAACUCCCGUGCCUCCGGGUUAGGGAUACCUCACUCGUCACCUGCCACGAAGAAUAACCCAACUCGAGAAGCCACCCUAUUAUUGACAAGCUAGGACGAACAUGCAGAUGGAAAGAAAGGAGAGUACGACUUCAAGCAAGAAAGACAAAGUGUUCAGGCCUCAGCGGCCAUGGUGAGACGCACAUCCAACAAGAAAUUGUUCAAACAAGAAUUAGGCGCCGCCUUGGGAAGGAGCCGCGCCCUCAGCCCCAUCCCCGCCGUCGGUGGGGUCCAUCUCGGCCUCCGGCGACGGCGCAGGGGGAAGGAUCUCCGCCUCAAAGGUGGUCGCCAGCACCGCGCUCGGACCCGCGGCGACCGCGUCAAGCCGCUGGAUCUCCGCCAGGGCAGCAUCGUCUUCGUCAGGAAGACAGUACCCCUCACUAACCCGCUCCAGGUCCACAACGUAGUGGGAAGCAAGCACGGCGAAGGCCCGCCUGACGCCGUGGUGUAGCGCUUCGCGGACUCUGCCGCGCGCGUGAUCACCCAAGGCUCGAAGGCGGCUCUGAGGGGAGCUUCCUGAAGGGACGUCGCCGGAGCCGAGGACACGAUAAAAGUCCGAGACGGCCUCGGACAUGGCAGCGAGGUCCGCCUCCCUCUGCUCGGCAGCUCCGGCAAGCGCCUCGGCAAGCGCCUUGGCGGACUCGUCAAGGACGGACUCAAGCUCUGCAAGCAACCAGGAGAAAUACCUCAAGCACAAGCGAAGGAAACGGACAAGAACAAGAACCAGGGAGGACCAAGACAUACCUCCGGCUCGGGCACGAUGCUCCGAGGCCGUGACCUGGGCCGCGGCUAGGUCAGCCGCGAGGGUCUCGGCUCGGCUUUCGGCCUCGGCAGCCCGACCCUGAGAUCGGUCCCAUUCCUCGACGACCUGGACGAGCUCCGAUCGCUGCUGUUGCGCCUCCGCACGCGCUGCUGCCGCCUCGGCUCUCAGGUCGGCGCAGAGCAGCUGGAGGUCCGCCACCUUGGCAUCCUGCUGAGAAAGGCGCGCGGUAGCCCCGGCGAGCGAGGACCUCAGGGAUCGCAGCGAGCCCCAGACAUCAACCUCGCGGCGGAUGAACGACGACUUGGCGGCGCUCCGAUCCGUCAGAUCCUGGGGAAAGGAAACAGGGCGUCACGACGAGUGUCUCACUCACAGAAGGAAAAAAGGUAUACCUGAAACCGCUACCUGGAGGAUCUUGGGGAUGUCUCUGCAGAAAACCUCCAGCGAUGACCGGAGCGACCCCACCGUUGCCUCUGCACACUCGCGGAGCUCACCCCAGGACUGGUCCUCCUGCUCGUCAUCGAGAACGAAGACAGGGUCCGAGGCCUCGCGGGUCCGGAAUCGGAGCAACGGGCGCCGGGCCUCGGGGCUCCGCCGCACAGCGAUGAGGCUGUCACCCGGCUGGACGGAUUGCGCGUCCACGCCCACCUCUUCUGAGGUCUUGGGCGCCGAUGCAUCAGCCGUCCCGACGCUGGCGGCAACUGGACGCCCUUCGACAGGGACGGCGGCAACCUCGGCGGUGGCAGGCGCCGGCAUGACCGGCACGACAGGCGACCUCAGGGCCACGUGGGCGUCAGCCGCCUCCUCAACCACGAUAGCCGCCUCGGCUGAAGAGCCAGCCUCGGGAGCCCGCUCCUCAGAGAUUGGCGACGCCCGAGCCCCCUGCGGUGAAGUACCCCGCGGAAGGGUCGGCUGAAUGGCGCUGGCCACACAGUCCGGCGCCGUCUUGAGGGCCUUCCGGGGUGCCAGGUCGGUCUAGCCGUGACUUCGCUUGCUGGAUAUAAAAAAAAGAGAGGAGGAAAGAAAGAUCACGACCGAGACAUAUGAAUGGGAAACCAAGACGGAGACAUUCCGAGAUACUCACCCACUUCGGGCCAUGAUCCACCGCGCCUGGGGGGAGCCUUCCUGGGUCCCGGCUCCCGAAGCAGCCGCCGAGGUCCGCUUCGCCGGCACCUUCGGCACCGCCCCUGCUUGGGGCGCCCGGGAAGCAGAUCCCCUGGGCACGGCCGCGACGACUUGAGGGUCACUCCCAUGCACCGCCGACACGAGCGGCGGCCCCUGGAGAACAGACGCCUCGGCCUGGACCUCCGGAGCUGCCUCAGCUCCUCCGGCUGAGGGGUCAGGUGACCUCUCGGUUCGCCCCCGUGCCUCGGGUCGGGAGCCCGACGCCCCGACUUCGGGGGCUGACGGAGUCAGCCCGCUCGGGGGCUGGCUCGACGGCUCCUGGCCACACCCCAAGCCAGGGCUGAGGCCGAGACGGGCGGCCAUGUCAUCCUCUUCAUCAUCAUCAUCGUCAUCAUCGUCGUCGGGCGUCUCCGGCGACGGCUCCCUCGGGAGUCCGUCCCUCUCCUGCUGGCGACGGCGCUUCUCCAAGGCGUCCUGAGCCCGCCUCCGCUCGUGGGCCCGAGCCUUCUCCGCGUCCUUCUUUUUCUUCUUCUCCUCCGCGGUGACCCACCGCGCUGCACGGGCCACCGCGUCCUCCGGGACCCGUGGCUGGGAGGGUUUGUGCCACCCCACAUCCUGAAGGGAGGGGAGAAAGGAACCCGAUCAUAAGGAUCCGGAGCGACCCGAUAUACGAAGAAGGAAGGAGCGAACACUUACCAAAGUGACACACCCCUGGUCGGGGCGCAUCCGAAGCUGGGAGUAUGCGUGGGGGUCCGGCUUCCCCAUAGCAGCCGACACCCGCCAUUGGAGGGCGUUGAAGGGGAGAGGAUCAGGGGACAUUCGCGAGCCCUCCCAGUCAGCUUCCGGGGUCAUCUCCCAGAGCGACAGCCGCCGCUCCGCCAAUGGAAGCACCCUUCGACGGUGGAUAGCGGCGAUCACUCCCGCAGCGGUAAGUCCCCCCUCCCGCAACUCCUUCAGGGCCUGGAGAAGGGGUUCGAGAUUCUUCUGCCUCUCGUGUGGGGUCCCGUGGCGCCAAGCGUCGGUGGCAGCAGUAACUACUCGCUGGGAGAACGGUGGGAGCAACUCACCGUCAUUCCGGAGGUAGAACCACUGGCGCUGCCACCCCUUGUUCGAAGACGCAAGAAUGGCAGGAAUGUACUGCAACGCCCGCGACUGCCUCAACAAGAGAAUACAGCCGCCGGCCCGCACCGCUGCACGGAUCCUCCUCUCCCCCGUCGACAAGGCGAAAGGCUCGGCGAGGAAGAGAUGGGUCCACAAAUCCCAAUGAGGGGCGAUCCCCAAGUACCCUUCGCAUACCGCUACGAAAAUAGCGGCCUGCGAGAUGGAGUUGGGGGAGAGGUUGUGCAACUCCACCCCGUAGUGGAAUAGGAUGGCCCGCAUAAAGCGGCCCGUCGGCACACCAAAUCCCCGCUCAUGGAAGGAGACAAAGCUCACGACGUACCCCGGCGGUGGAGACGGAGCGGCUCCGCCCACGGGAGGAAUCCACUCUGGCCGCUGCUUGUCGGUGAGGGGGCGGAGCAAACCCUCGCCGACCAGCUCCUCCAGAUCACUUGCCGUCACCGUGGAGAAGGGCCACGGAUCGCGCGGGGGGAUUAUGGUCACUCGAUCUGCCAUCGCCGAAAUGGAAGAGAUGGCGGCGCGGGGGGCUGGGAGGGCGGUUUUUUCUCUUCUCCGACUAAAGUUUCCCGGGUUGCGAAAACCUAAAGGGAAAGAAAGGAAGCAGAGCAAAGAACCGUCACCGGACCCCCUCUCGAGUAUAUGAAGGCCAGGGCGAAACCGUUUCCAGCGCACCGCCCGGACCGGACGCGAGAUUCAAAAAACGUGAGGCGAAACAGCCGUUCCUCGAACGGCUCGCGCACGCGUAACGGCCGCCCCACCGACCACUCGCCCCGUCGCAUUAACUCCGCGGCGGGACAGGCGGUGCCUCUGGCAGGAGAAGCGGACGACGCUUCACCUUCGCCGUAAUAACCGCGUCAAAAAGAGGUACGCCACGUCGUUCGAUUUCACAUCCUUUUCCUUUUUCCUCUUUCUCUAUCUCUUGCAACAGGGACCGGGAAAGGGGGAUACCCCGAAAAGGAUCCUUCUCCGCGAAGGAACCGGGCUCCGAGCCCCUCCCUACUGAUCAGAGGUUCGAAGACUGGCCCUCCGAAGGGUUCAACAGUCGCCUCAGAUCGCGUGGGCCCGACACCCACUACUGGUCAGGGGUUCGAAGGCCAGCCCCCCGAAGGGUUCCAUGGCCGCCUCAGGCUACUCGGGCUCCGCGCCCACUACUGAUCAGGGGUUCGAAGGCUGGCCCCCGAAGGGUUCACAGUCGCCUCAGACACCGAGCGAGGGAUGACCGGGGGUACGUUCGAUACAUAACCGAGGCUCGGGCUGCGCUCCCGAGGUACCCUAGGACAUUUCCGAGACCAGCGGGAACGAUCUUGUAACGGAAUCCCAUCGGAGGGAGGCAUCGAGCCCUCGGACCCCGUCGCCAGGGGACCGGGUCCGGCAAAUCACCCGCAGGUACUUUUGGGCGUGCCUCUGGGCCCCUAGCCGACCCCCAACGAACGGGGCACGGACGUCCACUCGGAUUACCCGCUUGCAGCUCACCGGAGACACCAUGUUCGGUGCCCAUCGAGGGUAACAUGGCGCUCUCCCCCCUCCUCCUUGCGGAAAGGCGACGUAGGGGCGUAUGUAAAAAAGCCGAGUCUGUCCCUGAUCGUCCUCUCGCCCUGUGCAGAGGCUCGGGGGCUGCUCUCGCAAACCCGGCUCCGGCCAAACCGUUGACAGCGUCAACAUACCAGCCCGAGAGCUUGGGCCCCGACCGUGCACCCGGGCUACGGCCAGUUCGCAUGAGGGAACGACUAGACCAGCCGAAGCAUUACGCAAGGCAUUAAGACCUCGAAGGAGUGUAACCACUCCUCCGAGGCCUCGGGGGCUACACCCGGCGGGUGCGCUCGCGCGCACCCACCGGAACGAAAUGCAACCGAGAAAGGCUGGUCCCCUUGCAAAAAAGUGCGACGGAAGCCUCCAAGCGAGUGCUAACACUCCCUUCGAGGCUCGGGGGCUACUGUCGGGGACCAUAAUUAGGGGUACCCUCAAGACGCCUAAUUCUCAGCUGGUAACCCCCAUCAGCAUAAAGCUGCAAAGGCCUGAUGGGUACGAUUAAGUCAGGGAUCAGUCCACACGAGUGACUCGAUCACGCUUCGCCCGAGCCUAGCCUCGGCCAAGGGCAGCCGACCUCGAGAGACUUCCGUCUCGCCCGAGGCCCCCCAUUUUACGGCGGACACACCUCCGGCUCGCCCGAGGCCUUGGCUUCGCUUAGAAGCAACCCUGACUAAAUCGCCGCGCCGACUGACCAGGUUGUAGGAGCAUUUAACGCAAAGGUGGCCUGACACCUUUAUCCUGACACGCGCCCCCCGGCAGAGCCGAAGUGACCGCCGUCACUCCACCGCUCCACUGACCAGUCUGACAGAAGGACAGCGCCGCCUGCGCCACUCCGACUGCAGUGCCACUCGACAGAGUGAGUCUGACAGGCAGUCGGGCCCUGCCAAAGGCGCCAUGGGAAACUCCGCUCUGCCCGACCCCAGGGCUCGGACUCGGGCUAAGACCCGGAAGACGGCGAACUCCGCUCCACCCGACCCCAGGGCUCGGACUUGGGCUAAGACCCGGAAGACGGCGAACUCCGCUCCGCCCGACCCCAGGGCUCGGACUCGGGCUAAGACCCGGAAGACGGCGAACUCCGCUCCGCCCGACCCCAGGGCUCGGACUCGGGCUAAGACCCGGAAGACGGCGAACUCCGCUCCGCCCGACCCCAGGGCUCUGACUCGGGCUAAGACCCGGAAGACGGCGAAACUCCGCUCCGCUCGACCCCAGGGCUCGGACUCGGGCUAAGACCCGGAAGACGGCGAAUCUCCGCCUCGCCCGACCCCAGGGCUCGGACUCCGCCCUGGCCUCGGCCAAACGAUCUCCGCCUCGCCCGACCCGGGGGCUCGGGCUCGGCCUCGGCAACGGAAGACAGACUCGACCUCGGCUUCGGGGGAGCCCCCACGUCGCCCUGCCUAGGGCACAGGCCCGCCACGUCAACAGGAAGCGCCAUCACCAACCUACCCCGAGCCGACUUGGGUCACGAAGGACAAGACCGGCGUCCCAUCUGGCCAGCUCCGCCGGAUGGGCAAUGAUGGCGCCCCCAAGCUCUGUGACGACGGCGGCUCUUAGCUCUCUUACGGCAGCAGGGCGACGUCAGCAAGGACUCGACCGCUCCAACAGCUGUCCCUCCGCCAAGCUCCGUCGCUCCUCCGACAGCCACGACAUCACGCCAGCAAGGUGCCAAGACCUCUCCGGCUGCCACAUUGGCAUGUACCCAGGGCGCUAGCUCUCUCUCUCCGCUAGACACGUAGCACUCUGCUACCCCCCAUUGUACACCUGGAUCCUCUCCUUACGACUAUAAAAGGAAGGACCAGGGCCUUCUUAAAAAAGGUUGGCCGCGCGGGGACGAGGACGAGACAGGCGCUCUCUUGGGGCCGCUCGCUUCCCUCACCCGCGUGGACGCUUGUAACCCCCCUACUGCAAGCGCACCCGACCUGGGCGCGGGACGAACACGAAGGCCGCGGGACUUCCACCUCUCUCAUGCCCGACUCCGGCCACCUCGCCUCUCCCCCCUUCGCGCUCGCCCACGCGCUCGACCCAUCUGGACUGGGGCACGCAGCACACUCACUCGUCGGCUUAGGGACCCCCCCUGUCCCGAAACGCCGACAAUGUUCUACUGUUUUUAACAUUUUGCAUUGAUUGAAUCAAAUGGGCCGCCAGGCUAACGGGCUGGCCCGACACAGUUAGCAAGCCGGCAUGACGUGUCUGGGCCAGAGUUGUGCUCGCGGGCAUUCGACCCGUGCCACCGUUUGGCCAUCUAUAGGCGUGCAGCGGGUUAAUUUGAAAUAACUGUGAGGGGUUAUUUAUAAAAAAAAUGACGCGGGACGACCGUUGAAACUGAUGCUUUAAGUAUAACUAGUCGGUUGCCCGUGCGUUGCAACGGCUUACAACAAUAUCCACGUAAACUAUCCAUAAAAAAAUUUCAAGAUUUUUUAUUGAUUGUCUCCGCUCUCUGUAUAAUAUAUUUUUUGAUUCGGCUAACUAAUGUUAUUGUUUACUCCAUGCAAAUAUGUCUUGGUACAACACAGCCGAUGAAGUAAGUGAUUAGAAGAGAGUUCUCAACGAUUGACUGAAUGAACAAAGAUUAUAAAAUGACAUAAUUCCAUCAUGCAGAGACCAAAUAAGAUAAAGUUUGUGACAUCAAGUUUUUAAAAUAAGUCCCAUGAAGUCAAACUUAUAAAAAAGAUAGAUCAAAAUAUGGAGUGAUUGCUAAAGUCAGACAUCAAUAAAAAUUGGAUGUGCUACAUAUAAAUUAUGCUACUUCGUAGCAAUUACUAACGUUUAAAACCAAUAAAUAACCUUUCAUUGUGCUGUUAGUGUGACAAAUCAUUGCUGCUCCAUCCAAUUCAGCAACCUCAAACACCAUGUAGUCCAUUGCGCCAAUGUGGUCUCGGAAACGACCUAAUACUUGCAAGAGCCAAGAACGUCGUGUCGUGCUUGGGCUAUAGCCUCGGCCCGUAGUGCUGGCCCGACCCGACACGAUUAUUUUUUUAUUUUACAAAAAAAACGUAUAUACCUAUAUACAAUUUAUAUUCAAUAUUAAAAAUAUUUUAGCGUGAUAUUCUACUGGUUAGACAGUUUUAUCCAGUGUCUCCCGCCCUUCUUCCAUUAGGGCAUGGGUUCGAACCCCACCUCCUGCACCGUUUUUUAACAUUUUACGCUGAUUUAAUUAAAUGGAUCGACGGGCUAACGGGCUGGCCCGACACAGUUAGCAGGCCGGCAUGACGUGUCUGUGCCAUAGUUGUGGCCCGCGUGCAUCUAGCCCGUAUCGGGCGUCGUUACGCUGAUUUAAUUAAAUGUAUCGACGGGCUAACGGGCUGGCCCGACACAGUUAGCAGGCCGGCAUAAUGUGUCUGUGUCAUAGUUGUGGCCCGCGUGCAUCUAGCCCGUGUCGGACGUCGUUUGACAUCUAUAGAUGUGCAUCGGAUUAAUUUGAAAUAGCUGUGAGGGGUUAUUUGUAAAAAAAUGACGCAUGACGACCGUUGAAACUGGUGCUUUAAGUAUAGUAUAGAUAAUCCACUGUCCCGCAUUACAUUAUUUAAAACUUAAGGAUUGACUAGUCUGUAUUUACCUUCUCCUUGUUUACCUUUUGGGUUAUUCUGAUUAGCAUGAUGCUAUUGCUUUAACUUAAUGAAUGGACAUGAUGUGAAUAUUUAUGAUACGAUGAUGUUAUCCCGAUGAUGUUCCUGUAAUACUUUAGGGGACUCAGGCUGUUUUCUGAGUACCUCUUCGUAAGGACCUGUUUGGGGAGUGCCAACCCGGGAUAACAGUGCAACCAUGAGGGUGGAAUGAGACACCCUUAGCUGAUUAAUUAGAGGAACCAGAGGAGUAGUUGGCUUCGCCAUAGGGCCGCCAAUGGGGUCCGGGCACGGUACUUGCUCUGCCGAGGCUGGUUGCAGAGGUUCUUGAUUUGGUUUUGUUAGUCACCCUUCCUUUGGGGAGAUGUACUAUGUUUAUCAAACUGGAGAAACCUAACGGGCGACUAUGACCUCUGGGAAAUCUUUGUAAAGGCUACGUAGUGAGACCCUGCUAGGUCACCUUGGUAGUGAUCAAUGGGGAGGCUAUAACCCCGGGCAGAAUGGGAAUCACGACUUGUGGAUAAAGUGUGCGACAUGUACAGAGUGUUAGAAACUGGUAUAUCAUCCGUGCUCACGGUUAUGAGCGGCCUUGGGAUCCUCUUUGAUUGGAAGAACUUUGGUUACUUUUAUAAUGAUGGUUCGCAAUGAUGGUUAUAAUUUUGAUCUCUGGUAUUUCCUCUUGGAGGGAGGGCUUCUAGGUAAUAACUGGGUUUAUUACUAAAAUUUGGCUCUACUUAUAGUAACAAAACUUGACCAGCUAAAAGCAACAGCUUAAUCUUAACUCCACAUACAACUAGUCCACUUUAACCAAAUGGGACAUUUGUUGAGUACGUUGAUGUGUACUCACCCUUGCUUUACAAACCACCCCACCCCACCCCAGGUUGUCCCCAUUGUACUCAGUGCUCAGGAGGAGAUGUUGGCAACAUGGAGGACUUUGAGGAGUUUCAGGACUACGAUGAGUUCUAGUUUAUCUUAGUGGCAAACCCCCAGUCAGCUGCCUGUGUAGGCUUAUCCUCUACAUUUCGUUUUCCGCACUUUGAUAUUAAUGUUAAAGACAAUGGUUAUGUAUUAGACUCUAUGGAUGUCUUGGACAUCUUGAUGUAAUUAAAGUACCUUUCCGCUAUUUACUUUGAGCAUUGUGUGAUGAUGUCCAAUUAUGUAAUCGCUCUGUACGUGAGUUCUGAUCCUGGCACAUACAUGGUUCGCAUUCGGUUUGCCUUCCAAAACCGGAUGUGACAUAAGUGGUAUCAAAGCCUUGCUGACUGUAGGAACGCUAACCUAGACUAGAAUGGUCACCCUAAGGACUAUAGACCCCUACUCUUACCUUGACCUAAGUGUCAUUUCAAAAGUUGGUCAUCUUGACCAAUUCUAUGUUAUCUACUUAUCUCACAAAAUUUUGUCUCACUUUUCUUUCUGUUUACUUUCUAGUCUUAUAGUUCUACUCUCACGCUUGUGCUUACAAUGUCUUUUGUAGAUGGCUCAUAUUAGAUGCACGACACAUAAGUCUAUGAUCCCUUUUUUGCCUUCCCACCUGACGAAGCGUCCACUGCGUCGCAUGGUGCCAGGUCAGUGUGUAAAACUGGUAUACUAGCCGUGCUCACGGUCAUGAGCAGCUCAGACACUCACAUGAUUAAUUUAUGGAAUUAAAUUCAUUUUGUCAUUUGCAUCACAUUGGGAUUAUUUUAUUAUUACUUUUACUUAUUAUUACUAUGGUUUGGUAUUUACUUACACUUAGUAACUGCUAAUAAAAUUUUGACCAACUUAUAAAAGCAAUGCUCAGCUGCAACCUUUAUUUUAUUGAUCAGCCUUACACUUCACAUGAACUUCCACCUUUUGUGAGUUCAUGCACAUUAUUCCCCACAACUUGUUGAGCGAUGAACAUAUGUGAGCUCACCCUUGCUGUCUCACAUGCCCACAGGAGAAGAACAGGUGGUCGAAGAGGAGCCGCCCAACACUGAAGCUUACAAUUUGAUCUAGGUGGCGUCUCCUAUUCAGCUUUGUGGCGCCAGGGAAAUAAUAAUAGUUUGCUUUAUUUUAUCAUUUAUUUUGUAAGACUUCCGCUAUGUAAUAAGUACGUUUAUGAUAAUUAUGACAUUUAUCUCUAUUCACUCUGUUAUUAUAUGUGUUGUUCUUCCUUGGCGCACAUAUGAGACGCACUCGGCUUUAUCCCUUAAAUCCGGGUGUGACAGAAGUGGUAUCAGAGCAAAUGUUGACUAUAGGACGAAACCUAGAUAGAAAUGGACAAAACCCUUAUCUACUUACCUUACUCUGAUUCUGUCUACACUUAUCUUGAUCCUGUCUCACCUUCUACUAUUCUACUCUGAUUAUUCUUACCUUUUCUAUUCUAAGACAAGGAGGAUUUCACACCUUGGAAUCCUACAUCCAUGACCCUCUUAAGAGAUAGGAGACCUAAGACAAAAUUAAAAUUAUUUUCUUAUUUAAAAAUGUUGGUUUAUUGUUCUGAUGAUAAAUGUCUGAUUUGCUUCUUUGAUUGAUUGAAACAUUAUAGUUGGGCAUGUUAGCAUGUACCACCAUAAGGUAAUGUAUUAGCUUAGUAGGUAACAUAUUAAUCUACUUAGCUAAUAAAUCCCCCAAAGUAACAUGAUUCGUAAUUACUUGCCUUGUCUACAAUUCUUUCUUACCAUAUGUUUCUAACUCAGAUGGUCAAUACCAGGAAGGGUGGUGGAAUUGAUCUACCCCCCAAUCGACACAGUCGGAGGAUAUUUAGACAACCACAAUAACAAACAAGCUGAGUUGGAUCCUCCUAAUCCUCCACCAGCCGGUGAUGACCCAACAGUUGCAGCCCAGAUGUAGAUAAUGCAGCAGAUGGAAGAUACUAUGGCGGAUAUGCACGCACAGAUGCGGCAGGAACGCCAAGAGAUGCGCCAGGAAAGGAGGGUGCAACAGCAGCAAGCCCCAUUUCCACCACCGCCACCACCAGUUCCACCCCGGGACAAGCACCAGGAGUUUAUGAGCCACAAGCCGCCUACCUUCGCCAGCUCGCCAGAUCCACUACAUGCCGAUGACUGGUUGAAGUCAGUUGAGAAGAUGCUAAACAUCGCCUAAUGCUCUGACCGAGAGAAGGUUCUUUAUGCUUCUGGUCGUCUGAUUGGUCCUGCUGCUGACUGGUGGGAUUCUUAUGUAGCUGCCCAUGAUGCUGCUGACACUAUUACUUGGGCGAAUUCACAACUCAGUUCAGAAACUACCACAUUCUUGCUGAAUUAAUGAAGAUCAAGAAGAAGGAGUUUCUGUCAUUGAAGCAAGGCAACAUGUCUGUCAGCGAGUACCGUGAUAAAUUCAUUCAGCUGUUAAGAUAUGCUCCUGAUGAGGUGGCUGAUGAUGAGAGAAAGCAAGAGCACUUCACAGAAGGACUUAAUGGGCCACUACAAUAUGCAUUGGUUUCUCAUACAUUUCCAUCAUUUCAGAGGCUGCUUGAUAAAGCUCUAGCUAUUGAACACAAGCGUGUUCAACUGGGUGACUUGAUGAGGAAGGCCAUUGCCCAGGGGCAGGGUAGCAGCAGUGUUCGUCCUCGCUACGUUCCGCCCUAGGGUAAACCAGCUCAUCCAGGAGGAGGACCACGCCCAGAUCAGUAUACUCCAUAGGGGACUCCACAGACGCCCAACACUCGUCAGGCUACCCCCACUGGCACCCCGGCAAGGCCUACAGGACAGAAGACAUGCCCUACAUGCUUCAAGUGCAGUCAGGUUGGGCAUUAUGCAAAUGCUUGUCCAGCGGGGAAUUUCAGUGCAUCAGCUCUAAACAAGCAACAGACUCCUGACAAUGGAUUAAGCAUUGCCACGGUAAAUCAAGUCAACGCUGAGGCCACUACUGAUGGUGCCGACAUCGCACUUGCUAUGUUUUAUAUUAAUGCAAUUCCAGCAACAACAUUAUUUGAUUCUGGUGCUACACAUUCAUUUAUGUCUGCUCGAUAUGCUAACACAAAUGAGUUACCACUGAGAAAUAUGAAAACACCAUUGAUAGUAAUUACACCUAAAGGGCCUGUUGAGGCAAAUCAUAUGACACAUAGAUUGACAUUGACAAUUAUGGGAAGAGAAUUCUAGACUAUCCCUAUAAUAUUAGCAGAAAGACAGAUCUGAUCCUUGGUAUGUCAUGGUUAAGAAAGGCAAAGGCCGUUAUACAAUGUGGUAGGGGUACUGUAGAACUCACUAGCCCUAAAGGAGAAAGAUUUGAAGUUGAAAUUAUAGUAACUACCACUACCAGACUUGCGACAUUCUUAGUAGAUGGGAAGUUUGUUGGUGACAACAUCCGUGUGGUUAGGGAUUUUCUAGAUGUUUUUCCCGAGGAGUUCCCAGGGAUGCCACAAGAUAGGGAAGUUAAGUUUGUCAUUGAUCUCUUACCUGGGACUGCUCCUAUUUCUAAACGGCCAUACAUGAUGUCCGUAGAAGAACUAAAAGAACUUAAGAAGCAACUAACUAAGUUACAGGAGGCUAGGUACAUUCGUCCGAGUUCCUCACCUUGGAGAGCGUCAGUUCUAUUUGUACAGAAGAAAGAUGGAUCGCAAAGGAUGUGUGUGGAUUAUAGAUCCCUUAAUGAUGUUACUAUGAAGAACAAGUAUCUGUUACCCCGCAUUGAGAAUUUAUUUGAUCAGAUGAGAGGUGCAAGGGUAUUCUCGAAGAUUCUUCGAUCGGGUUACCAUCAAAUGAAGAUUAGGCCAUCUGAUAUUCCCAAGACGGCUUUCUCAACUCGAUAUGGUUUAUAUGAAUUCACAGUUAUGUCGUUUGGACUAACUAAUGCACCAGCCUAUUUUAUGAAUCUAAUGAAUAAGGUGUUCAUGGAGUAUCUUGACAAAUUCGUCGUGGUUUCCAUCGACGAUAUUCUUAUUUAUUCCAAGAAUGAUAGCGAUCAUGAGGAACAUUUGAGAUUGGUGCUACAAAAGCUACGGGAUAAUUAACUCUACACCAAGUAUAGCAAAUGCGAGUUAUGGAUUGAUGAAGUGCUAUUCCUUGGACAUAUCAUUUCUAAUGGUGGGAUAUUAGUGGAUCCUGCUAAAGUCAAGGAGAUAGUGGAGUGGAGAAUACCCAGUACAGUUACUGAAGUCCGGAGUUUCUUCGGACUUGCAGGCUAUUAUCGGCAAUUUAUUGAAGGGUUCUCUAGGAUUGCUAAGUCUAUGACCUCACUUCUGGAGAAGGGAAGAGAGUUUAAGUGGGACGAGAAGUGCGAAGAUAGCUUUGAUCAAUUAAAGAUGAGGUUGAUGUCACCCCUAGUGUUGGUUAUGCCAGAUCUACAGGAGGGAUUUGACAUUUAUUGUGAUGCAUGUGGCCAAGGCUUCGAAUGUGUGCUUAUGCAAGAAGGACAUGUGAUCGCCUACGCGUCUCAUUAGUUGCGGAAACAUGAGUUGAACUAUCCCACUCAUGACUUAGAACUGGCAGUCGUAGUGCAUGCGCUUAAGAAUGGAGACAUUAUAUUAUGGGAACCAAGUGCCAAGUUUACACCGAUCACAAGAGUUUGAAGUACAUAUUCACUCAGAAUGAUCUCAACCUUAGGCAACACUGAUGGUUGGAACUCAUAAAGGAUUAUGAUUUGGAGAUUCACUAUCACCCUGGCAAGGUGAAUCUGGUUGCAGAUGCCUUGAGUCAUAAAGAACAAGUCCAUUCAGCUAUUGUUGCCUAGCUACGCGAUGAGAUUGUUGAAGAUUUCAGGAGACUCAACCUAGGAAUUGUUGCACACACUGAAGGAGUCACCAUUGAAUUGGAACCUACCUUGGAGCAAGAAAUCUGUAAGGGUCAGAUUGGUGAUGCUAAAAAUUCAAGAGAUCAAGGAUCUUAUUACUGAAGGUAGAGGUCCAAAAUUCACGGAGGAUGAGCAAGGCACAAUAUGGUUCAAGGAUCGGAUAUGUGUUCCUGAGAUUGAUAGCCUUCGUGAGACUAUAUUGAAAGAAGCCCGUGAUUCUGAUUACUCUAUUCACCCUGGUAGCACUAAGAUGUAUCAGGAUUUGAAGCAGAAGUACUGGUGGUAUGGGAUGAAGAGAGAUAUGGCUGCAUAUGUGGCUAAGUGUGAUGUGUGUCAAAGAUUCAAGGCCGAACAUCAAAUACUAGCUGAACUACUGCACCCGCUUAAGAUACCCGAGUAGAAAUUGGAAGAAAUUGGCAUGGAUUUCAUUGUUGGACUUCCCCGCACUCCUGCAGGGUAUGACUCUAUUUGGGCGAUUGUGGAUAGACUAACCAAAGUGGCUCACUUCAUACCUGUGAGGACUAAUUACACGAGAGCCAAGCUAGCAGAAUUGUAUAUGACUCAGAUAGUUUGUCUACAUGGGGUGCCUAAGAAGAUUGUGUCUGACCGAGGAUCACAAUUCACUUCUCGGUUUUGGAAGAAGUUGCACGAGUGCUUGGAUACACAGUUGAAUUUCAGCUCAGCCUACCAUCCUCAGACUGAUGGGCAGAUCGAGAGGACCAACCAAGUACUGGAGGAUAUGUUAAGGGCUUGUGCUCUUAAACAUGGUGGAAGUUGGGAUAAGAGCUUACCGUAUUGUAAAACCCAAAAUUGCAAAAUAAUAAUAAUAAUAAUAAUAAUAAUAACGAAUAAAGUCAUCAUAAUUAGUGCCCUUGAUAAAUGUUUGAACUUUAGAAUUCACUCUUUCUAUCAAAACAAAGGGGGUUAAGAAAAUUGGAAUAUACCUUUAAUUUAACUACACACCUAAAAUAAUAUCCCAUUGGAAUAAAUAAGGUGUGAAUCUCAUGUUGAAAGUAUUACCUAGAAUAAAAUAAUAAUACUAAAUAAAGUAAUUUAGUAUAAUUAAUGCACAUUAUGUUGGAAUUCCAUUUGUGCAUUAAGACUUGAAUUUAGAGCAGAUUUGGGAUUCAAAUUUGAAUUAAAAAUAGAAAGGAAAACAAUAGGGAAAAAAAGAGAAACUCACUACUUGGGCCGACUUCUCCCCUGCGCCUCGGCCCACCUUAGUUUUUCCCCUUGCGUGGCCCAAGUCCACGCGCGACAAUGUGCUUGGCUCCAGGUACUAUCGCGUUGAGUCACUUGUUGGCGGGCCCGGUCUAUCAUGUCUCCCUCCCUCGUGCGCGCCGUCACUGCUUGUGGGCCGCUCUGGUCAGCUGUGUCUUCAACUGAAGACCGAUCCAACCGGGCGGAUUUCGUUGAGGAUCGUGCAUGGCUUGCGGCCGUGGUAAACCCUUCCCUUAUUCCUUGUCGACCUCCUACGGAUUCGGUCGUUCCAGCUCGACCCCAAUCCACAGACCCCUCCUCCGAUUCUUCUAGCUCCGGCCGUUGCGAAUCCAUGUUGAAUGCUUCGGGUUGUUGCAACAACCGAAGUCUCCGUCGAUUGCCGAAAUCCGUGCGGCGGGCACCUAGUUCCCAGACCGUAAAUAGCCGCCGCGGUCGCCUGGGGCCUUUGUCACGCACCCAUUGCUCGCGCGGGCAGAGGGAUUGAGCGAAUCGUGCGCUAUGCGAACAGAGUAUUGGGGAAGGAGUAGUGUCUGGGCCACGGCUUUGGCACCGUCGUCGUCCAAAUCUCUAUUGGGAGUCCUGGGUGCUUGGUUUGGGGGCGGCAAGGACACUCAGAGUGCCGUUGUGGGUGAUACUCGACCAACGCGCGAGGAAUUGCUCAUCAUACCAGAUUCAUCAUCGGAAAUCCGCCCUCGGCAUGGUUUCAGACCUCCAUGCGGGUCCUAUCCCUGGUAAGCCCACCAUCUAACUCGCGACCACCUCCACAUUGUUUUGCAUCAGCGCUUGUCGUGAAUCGGUCGCUGGGGGAAAUCGAUUUUACCUCUCCGGUGAGGGGCGCCGCCGUGCUUGGGUUCACGGGCGUGGAGUGCGCUCGUAGGGGGAGAAGCUCGGGUGCCGUCCGUCUUGAGAUAAACGGUCACGAUUAGGCGGGCAGCUCGGGGAGAAAUGAGUGGGCGCGACCGUGGGAUCUCAGAAUUGUGGCUCCGAUCGGAUCUGGCGAUGGUUGAUUAGUGGUCGUUCAUUUGCGGAUGAACGUACGGGAUUAGAACAACUUACCCCUUCGCCUCAUUAAUUAAUGACCGUAGAUCACGAAUCCGACGACCACGAUCAUGUACUGGUUCAGCGCAUAUGCACAUUUAAUCCGAGCCCUCCAUCUCAGAUCUCACGGUCAAGAUGCCACCAUACCCCUUCAGUCGUGACUCAUUUGCAGAAGAGCCCCCGUCUUUAGUAAAAAUAAACCCGCCAUCCUACACGGUGAUUACUGAGUCUUGAGAAAUCUUAUAGUUUAGCCCCUGCAGUUUCUGAUAUUUAUGCGCCUAGUCCAGUGAUUUAGGAAAGUAGGAAAAACAAUAUAGAAAAUACUUUCCUAGCACAAAAAUAAUUCUAGGUGCAAAUUGAGUCAUUCUAGUUGCAAUAAUUUUGUAUUAAUAUUUUUUAUCACCUAGUACCUUUGUUUAACCAUGAAACUUGAAUUAAAAUUGCUCAAUUAAAUUAAUCUAUUCUAGGUGCUAAAUAAUUUCAGAAAUUCAUAACUCAAUAAUCAUAACUCCGUUUUGAUCCAAUCUAGUUGCAUUAGUCUCACAAUAAUAUUUAUUAUCGUGGUAACUUUUUUUUUUGUCAUGAGAUAUAGGUUAAAAUGUUGCACUUAGUCUAUUAUAUACUUAACCACGUGGAUCUUCGGAAAACCAUAACUUCUUAAACGUAGCUCCGAAUUUAGUGAUUCUCGAAACCACGAUCUCGUAGCAGCGUGUAGACUAUUAUUAUGCAAUAUGUUCUUAUGUUUGGUGUGAUGUUAAUUUUGUCUAUACCAUGUCUGUUUGUAUUGCUACGACUAGCAGUGCGGUCACGAGGAUCUAAAGAAUUACCCUGGUAACUGGAAUCUCAAGUGCCAGGAAAGUUGUGCCCUAGAUCCACUUUUGUUACCCAAUAAUGUUCUUUAUUAUCACUUAUUCAUGCAUAGGUUUAAUUUUGAUGGGACCUAAUAGGUCACCCUAGACUGUUUAUCUUUUUACCUUGUUCACCCCUGAAUCAUUAGGUAGUUAUGCUAUUGCUUUACACAUUUUUUGGUUUAAUAUUUCAUUAUAUCCAUGUUCCUAUUAUUCUAUUAUGUUAUUUAUGUUCAUGAUAAGAUCAUUAUGUUAAUGGGAACAUGGAGCGACCACCCGGGAAAACAGUGCUACCACAAGGGUAGUAUGGAAUGCCCUUGGCUGACUAAUUAGGAAAGCUAGUGGAUGACUACCUUACCCGAAAGGGGCAAGGGCAGUAGGGGAGUGGUUAGUGUAGGGAGGUCCUUGGGUUGAUUUUGCUGCAAUGACGGUCAGGCGAGGGAUCCCUGCAUUGGAGCUUCCUAGAAACUGUAGCGUGUUUUCUGAAGCUAGUGGAACUUUGUAAAGGACUCGUAGUGUUACCCUGCAUCGCUUCCUUGGUAGAGGUGUAUGGGGUUCAUGAUCCCUUGGCAGAUGGGUAACAUGACUUGUGGGUAAAGAUGCGCAACCUCUGCAGAAUGUAAAACGGGUAUACAAGCCGUGCUCACGGUCAUGAGCUGCUCGGACCCUCACAUGAUUAAUUUAUGUAACUUAAAUUCAAUUUGUCAUUUGCAUCGCAUUGGGAUUAUUUUCUUAUUACUUUUACUUAUUAUUACUAAGGUUUGAAAUUUACUUAUACUUAGUAAUUGCUAAUAAAAUUUUGACCAACUUAUAAAAGCAAUGCUCAGCCUCAACCUUUAUUUUGUUGAUCAGCCUUACACUUCACAUGAACUCCCACCUUUGCUGAGUUCAUGCACAUUAUUCCCCACAACUUGUUGAGCUAUGAACGUAUGUGAGCUCACCCUUGCUGUCUCACACCCCCCACAGGAGAAGAAUAGGUGGUUCAAGUGGAGCCACACAUCGAGGAGUUCGAUUCGAUCUAGGUGGCGUCUCCCAGUUGACUUUCUGGCGCCAAGGAUGGAUUUUAGUUCGAUCUAUUUUUAUAUUUUAUUUUGUAAGACUUCUGCUAUGUAACAAGUACUCUGAUUUUAUUGUGACAUUUAUCUCUAUACACUCUGUUAUUAUAUGUGUUGUCUUCUUUGGCCAUGUAUGAGAUGCACCCAGCUUUGUUCCUUAAAGCCCGGGUGCGACAGAAGUGGUAUCAGAGAAAAUGUUGACUGUAGGACGAAACCUAGAUAGAAAUGGAUAACCCUUACUUACUUACCUUACUUUGAUUCUUUUCUAAACUUAUCUUAAUCUUUUCUCAUCUAUUUCCGCUUUACUCUGAUUAUUCUUACCUUUUCCUUCUAAAGACAAAUGUGGAUUUCACACUUUGAAAUCCUGUGCCUAAAGUGACCUUUAGGAAUAGGAGACCUACUCUUAAGAACAAAAACAAAACUAUUUUUAUAGGUAUCUACACGCUUGAAUGUUUGUUCUUGUGAUACAUGUCUGAUUUGGAUUUUUGAUUGAGUGUGAUGAGUCGUGGAGUAGUAUCCACAAUAACAUCUACAUAUACGUAUAGGCAUAAAUAUAAAUAAAUAAAAUUCAUGAGAUAACUAAACAAAUUAGAUUGUCCUCCAUUAAAGUGUAUCUAUUUUAUAUAGAUCCAUCUUAUCUUAGAAGGUUCUCUCUUAUCUUAAUAGAUCCAUCUUAUAUCGAAAAGAUUUUAUCUUACCCUGAUCGCAAAGAUUCUAUCUUAUUCUUAAAGACUCAUCUUGUCCUAAUAAGCAUACUUAUCCCCACCACUUUGCUUAUCUCAUAACUGUAUAACAAACAUGAUCUAUUCCAACUCGUCCGUGAAACCACGACCUAGCCUAUGGUAUAGGUUGCCCAAACCCAUUUAUCUCAAAGGCAAAGUAAAAUUCUAUUUAAUCUACCUACCCCAUGUAACCGCAGUGGUUAUCCCAGCUCAGAUAAAGGCAUUCAACACCACAACCGAUGAUUCCUAAUUCAGACCCCAAAAGAAUCUCGAUUAUGCCAUGGUACACUCAUUCUAUGUCAACACUCACCUAAUAGUUAAAACAUGAUGUACCCUUGUUUCUAUACCACACCUAUUAAUGGCAUGAAAAUUUAGGUGUGAAAAAAACGUAUUGGAAGUUCUACUUAGAUAAAAAAUAUAAUACUAGAACUUCGUAAAGAUAAGUCAGCUGGAUAUGCUCAAUUAAAUGGUAUUCUUAAAUGGGAUCAUGGAUUCUAGUGUGAUCUAAUCCAAUGUGGUCUGCUUAAAAAAGUUAGUAGUACUUGGACCCUUCUAGCCAGGUGUUAACUAAACUUAGCACAUUAGACGAACUCAACCAUGAACAAAAGAUCUAACUCAACCAGUAGAGUCAUGAUGGAUUGCAUAAUCUAUCUAUCCCCACCUAACAUCAAACAAACUUUUGAUCUACAUCAUGUAGUCUAUCUCACCCAUAUCUAUCUCAUUAUGAUAGAUUCUAUCAUACCUUUGGACAUUCACCGUAUACGACUAGUUAUCCCAAUCUUGAUAUAAAACAAAGAUUAAGCCCUACUAAAGAAUCAUCAGAUCAUAACCAGCUACUAGCUUAUUCAUUCCGCUUAUCGAAUAAAUUCCCUUGCAAAACUAUUUUGCCAUAUGCUUCUAACUCUCAUGGUCAAUACUAGGAAGGGAAGAUUACCAGACAACAGCAAACCGAAAUGAAUCCUCCAAAUCCUCCACUGGUUGGAAUCGAUCAAGUGGUUGCCACCCAAAUGAUGGUAAUACAACAAAUGGCAAACAUGGUUACCGAAAUGCAAAACCAUAUAAGACAAGAACACGAGGAAAUACGUCAGGACCGGUUGGAGAUACAUCGAGAAAUAAGGCAAGCACAGUUGGAAAGACAAUGACAACAACAACCUCCACCACUACCACCAACUCCACCAAUAAGACAAGAACGCGAGGAAAUACGUCAGGACCGGAUGGAGAUACGUCGAGAAAUAAGGCAAGCACAGUUGGAAAGACAACGACAACAACAACCUCCACCACUACCACCAACUCCACCAAGCUACAUAAACAUAUAUAUAUAUAUAUAUAUAUAUAAAUUACUACUAUUUGUAAGAUCUAAAUGUUACUUUAGUUAGUAAAUGGUAUGAUACUAUUUCAGGAGGAAUAAUAAGGUCUAAUUGACCCAUGUGUUGCUAAUAUAUCAUACAUCAUGCUGAGAUUUUUGUUUGUGCAUAUGUUUUGAGAUAACAUGGUUAGAUACCCUUUUCUUACAAAUCUCGAGGACGAGAUUUCUGUUAAGGGUGUAGGAUUUGUAAAGCCCAAAAUUGCAAAAUUAAAUCAUAAUAAUAAUAAUAAUAAUAAUAAUGAAUAAAGUCAUCAUAAUUAGUGCCCUAGAUAAAUGUUUGAACUUUAGAAUUCACUCUUUAUAAAGUAGAUGCUCAUAAUAGAAUAACUAGGUGAGUGCCCGUGCGUUGCAACGGGAACAUAUAAUAUCAUGGUAAUUUAUGUACCUGGUUGCACGACUGACUGACCCAUCUGCCCCGAGCACUCCUCGAUCCUCAUCCGUGCUCGCCAAGCGACGAAACCCAAGACGGCAACACCAUAGCCCACAGCACACCAGCGACCACACUAAAGCCAAGCAAGCAGCUUAGGAACCCACGCGCCCGGCGCCUUGGACAUGCUGGGCGUGCGGCGGUUCGUUAGUGGCAGGAUUUUUCCUUGCAUUUCCCUGCUGCCGUAUUAGCCCCUCUGCCCCUCGGCGCCGUGCCAACGCCACGGGAGCUAUAGCCCCCGAUUUAAAGUUCAGUUCGUGGUGGGGGGGUGAUCGACGUAUCCUGCCGAUUGCCCAGACGCAGCACGCUCUCUGCCCAAAAUUCGCCUGCAACCCCGAGCGACGACAAUGGGGGGAGGGGUCGAUGGCGAUGCUGGCCAAGCCCAUCCAGCUCAUGGACCAGGUGGCGCAGCAGGCGGGCUGGCAGUGCCUCAGGGCAGACUGCACGGAGCUACGGUCCCGUGCUAUAAAGCUCACCGAGCUCCUGCGGCAGGCGGCGUGGGUCGAGCUGUACGAGCGCCCUGCCGCGCGCAUCAUGGCCGACAUGGAGCGGGCGCUCCACAAGGCCGCGGGCAUGGCUGUGCGCUGCUUCCAGAGCCACUCCCGCCUCCGCCGCUUCUUCAUGCUGAACCCGGUGUCUGGGCUCCCACGCACCCUCGCCCUGCUCGACACCGCGCUCGAGGACAUCGACUGGCUCAUCCACGUCUCGUCCCCACAGGUCGACGACGGCGACCUACGGGGGCUCCCCAACAUCGCGCAGAAUGAGCCCAUGCUUGGCAUGGUAUGGGACAACAUCGCGCGCCUCCACACCGGUGGCCUCACCGCGUGGGCCGACGCGGCCGCCACCCUCGCCUCCCUCGCCGUGGGCAACUCCUACUUCGCCAAGUACAUCGUCAAGGAGGACGGUGUUGCGCCCCUCGUCAAGCUGCUCAAGUAAGGCACCGACGACAGGCAGGAGGCCACGGCCAUGGCGAUCGGCCUCCUCUGCUGUGACGAGGACAACUUGCAUAAGCUCCUCCACUCCGGGGUGUGCUCCAUCUUCGUCGCUGCGCUCAAGGAGCCACCGAUGCGCGUGCAGGCCGCGGUCGUGGACGCCAUCGCGUCGCUGGCGCGCCAUAGCCACAAGUGUUAGGACCUGUUCGCGCAAAGCAACGCCGUCCGACAUCUCGUCACCCACCUCGCUUCCACCCCAUCCGUACCACCGCCCUGCCCGCACCUCGCCGCGCACCGCCUGUCCUCGCACCCGCUGCGCUUCCUCCGCCGCUGCCUGCGCGUGCGCCCAUUCGACCGCCCCAAGAUCCAGCGGGACCCGUGUGAGCUCCCGCGCGGCUCGCCCUGCACCGCCGCGUCCCCGCCCCCACCUCCCACCUCUACGCCUGCCUCUCCUACGCCACCGUCUUCUGCCCCUCCCACGCUGCCACGCACGCCUCCGCCUCCGCGGGGCCCGGCCACCAGAUCACCGUCGACGUUGAUCGCGCCGAGCUCUUCUGCGCCGCCUGCGGGUACCAGGUCUACGAUCCCGACUUCGAUCAUGUCGUCUUCCUUGCCCAGUCCUCCUCGCUUCUCCCCUCCACCUCCACAUCCUCCGCGUCUGCCUCCCUGUCCCUCCGCAAGAGCGGCGUGUCGAUUACCGUGCGUAGUUGCGGACCUCGAGCAUCACGGACGUGGAAUGGGGAUGGGACUGGAUGACAACUGUUGGGGGCGUGGCAGGUUUCUCGGCGUGGUGGUUGCAGCUUUCGCGGGGGAAAGAUGGGGGCGUGCGCGUAGAGGGGGGAGGCGGGAACACAGGAGAUGGUCUACACUAUUGCCUUAGUAGUUAGUAGAUAUAUAUAUAAAUAUUAAAUGUAAUAUAUCAAAUGAUGAUUAAUAUUGAUGACACAAAAAUCGAUAACCAAAUUGAUUCCAUUAAUUUGUCAUUUUUCAUAAUCAUGUGAGUGGUCUGAAUAGACAAAUGUAGCUCAAAGUUCAGGAACAAAGGACAACAGUCCUAGGCACACGACCAUCAAAACAACUCAGUUCAAUGUGAAAAGUACAUUACUACAGACCCCUUUUCAAAUGUUCAGAUGUGCAUUAAGACUAAAACUGAAACAAAUCAAACACUUCAUAACUUCAACAAUGUGCAGCAUAACUUCAAGCUUGCAUCAGAAAAUGGGAUAGGUCUUUUCUUGCCAUAAUAUGCCAUCACAUCUUCAAGCUUGCAUGAGAAAAUUGAUCGGAUCUUUUCUCUUCUUGACAUAGUAUGACAUCACCUUGUCCAAUGUCAACAGUUUGUACUAAGGACAACAAUAGAGACUACAACUUCUCAGCAUCAUAUUUGGACAUUAUGAUGAAGUACUAAAAAUAAGGAGUAGAGUGAUCAGCUUGCCUAUAAUUUUAAGUUGGCAACAAUAAGAUGGUGUACAACGAACAAAGCCUAAUGUCAGGUACUUAUGUUGGUAGCCAAAUCAUCAGUAUGCCUACUGUUGGGUACUUGUUCUCAAAUGCUUUGAAUUAAGAACAAGGCAACAUAAAAUGUUAAAUAUCAAAGCCCUUCGUCCUUCGAAACAUUAUUUCCCCUUGGAUAUAAUGAAUUUCAGACGAAGGUUAUGAAGGUCAUACCUUCAUAAUUACAAUAGAAGACAAGAAAAGAUUUAUGCAUGAAAUAGAGAGAAUAUCAUAAUUAUUCUAAACAUUAUUAUUAAUUUAUUUCUAUUUAUUUUACUUGUAUAAACGAUGGCAAAUUACAGAUGUACCUUCGGUCUGAAGGAAAAUAAGGGUACAAGCGUGAUGCCAAUGCCAAGUCAGCGUGAACAGUACAGGAAUACUGUUCAUCUAUUUAUAGGCACGGGACACAGCCCGUAAAAAAUUACAUUAAUGCCCUUUACUUCUAUCAAUAACUCUAUAGUAAUUCUUCAAGGGCUGAUUUGGCUUUUCGUCUUUAAGUCGGUUUCCCCUUUCUGCUGUCAUGCCGAAGCUCCUCUGCACAUAGCUUCGUGAUCGUUUCAUCCUUCGUCAUGAUUGUCUUCCAUUUCAGUCAAGCUUCGUCUUGACCAUGCUUCUGUAUACCCGCAACCUGAUUCCGAAGAUACCUGCUCGCAUACUUAGAAAACAUUGUCAAAUCACGUUUUUGAGGACCUUCGGAAGCCGAAGGCCCCCAAUAGUAGCCCCUCGCAAUAUUAAUUUGCUGUAAUGAUAAAUUCAUAUUGCGAUAUGGACGAUGGCCUUAAGCCGAAGGUCCGAAAAACACCUUCCCUUUGCUAGAAUAGCAACAGUCUUUGACAAGCGGGACCCUCCAGUUUCAACGCUCUGGGCGUAUAAAUAAGAGCUCAUCCCGGGUUUAUUUGGUACGCUCUCUUGCCAACUGCUAUUACUCACCCAACUUUUAGCCUGCGCGCAACAACGCUUGCUUGGCUUUUUAGAUUUUAAAGCUUCGGUUUUGAGAGCACUUUCUCAGCAUUUGGAAGGAUGUCUGAAGAUAAAAAGCUGUUAGUGAUUCGAAGCUAAGUCUUUCUGAGGAGAUGCAUCUGGGUUUCCUUCAAUCAAUGUCGAAGACUAAUACAGAGAAGAUUACUAAAGAAAUUUUGGAGGGUUUAUCUGAAGAUACUGGUGAUAGCGACAGCUAUGAUGUGGAUAGUGGUGGUGAAGACUCCAAAGAUCAACCUUGGCGACCAAGCCAUGCGGUUUUUGGCAAAUCAAGUAUUAAAGAAAAACAUCUUGUCAACAUGAGGGGAAGAUAUUUCCGGGACUUGUCCGUUGUGAGGGCUGAUGAAGGAGAGAAGACUUGUCCAACUCCUGAGGAAAAUGAAGUCGUGGUAUUCCGAAGCUUCUUGAAAGCUGGACUACAAUUUCCCUUAAGCAGCUUUGUUGUAGAGGUGCUGAAGACAUUUGAAAUCUACCUUCACCAACUUACCCCCGAAGCAAUCAUAAGGAUGAAUAUCUUCGUGUGGGCCGUGAGAAGCCAAGGCUUGGAGCCUGAUGCGAAAAGUUUCUGCAACAUACACGAAUUGUUAUACGAGAGAAAACCCUGGGGUAAGGAACAGUAUCACAACAAUUUUGGCUGCUACAGCUUCGGCUCCCGGUCUGGGUCAAGCUGCCCCGUGCUGACCUUUCGAAAGAGGUGGCCUGACGACUGGAUGACGGAAUGGUUUUACGUGAAGAAUGACUUGAAAUCACAAGAAGAUAUAAAGAAGAUCAUAAUGUGUCCCAUCUGGCAACGCUUCGGCCUACGGAGGCCGAAGGUGGAAAUGAAUGAAGCCGCCGAAGAAUACCAGAGAGCCUUCGGAGUUGUUUGCUCUUUUAUUGGGACGAGGGAUUUGGUCCAAGAACACAUUGCCUUCAGAGUAUGGCCACUUGUGGAAAAAUGGGAAAUGCCGCAGGAGACCAUUAAAGAGACUGACGAAGGUGGACUAGUCAGGCUGAAGUACACAUUUAAGUUCGGAGACAAAUUCGUUGAGCCAGAUGAUGACUGGCUAAAAAGCAUUGAAACUGUAAGUGAUGAACUGCUUGGGGGUAUAUUCAAAGGCCGAAGAUACUGCAUUGUCAGCAGCCUUCGGAGGCCGAAAGAAGAAGAGACUGAACCGAGUAUUUGACGCAAUUGGGUUCGUCUACCCCGACUACCAUUAUCCAGUGCGGGGUCAAAAAAGAAAGAACACUUCCUCUGUGAAGGAGACUACUUCAGCCGCUCCUAGUGAGCCGGCGCCGAAGAGGAAAAGGGUAAAGGUUCUCACACACCGGCCACGUUACAUUGAACUGGCCACAGUGCCUGAGUUCGCCGGUGAGACCUCUUCGGCCACCGAAGCUAAAGAAUCAACUCUGCUGCCAGAAAUAAAAGAGCUGGCCGAAGUGCCAGCAACAGAAAAAAUGGAAGAACCAAGGACUGAAGAAGCAAAAACAUCAGAAGUUUUAAGUCCUUCGACAAAGAUUGAGACAGGAAAAAGCCAGAAGGGUCCAACAGUGACUCCGAAAAUAAAAAGGAUGGUUAAUGUGUUAGAUGUUUUGGAGACAAUUAAAUCUUCAAGCAUAACUCCAAAGAAAACUGUUGAAACUUCUGAAGUGUCUACUGAAGCCUUUGUUGCUGAAGCUUCGAAGCAACAAUCUGAAACUGAAGCUGGGCCCUCAGAGCCAACCAAGGUAAAACCUUUGGAAACCGAAGAAACGAACAUUGCAAAGGCAGCCAAAAAAAUACAAAUGUCAGAGCCAAUUUUGGUUGAAGAAACUGACACUGCUGCCCCCGAAGCACCUUCCAAAAUAUACGAUUAUAUUGUGCGACACGCUUCGGGGAAGAAAUUAUCCGAAGAAGAGAUUUUUGAAUCUAAUCACUAUGCCAGAGAAUUGAAAUAUCCGAAGGGGGCACUAGUGUUCAAUGGGACAGACGAAGAUGACUUCCUAUACUGCCUCCCAGACAACAAAGAAUUAUCCGUCUGCCGGGAGAUGGCUAGAAGCAUGGGGUUUCCGAAGCUUGAAGCUGGACUCUGCGCUAUGACGAAGGACGAUCUUGCGAAUAGCCUUGCAUAUAAUAGUCUGAAGGUGUGAGAAUUGUAUAUUUGGAAAUUUACAAUUUUUGAAUUAUUCUUUUAUUCUUAUAGUAAUUCUUUUUCCACAUAGGGUUUGAUACUAAGCAACGCCUUGAGAGCGCAAAAGAAUGCUGAAGACGAAAGCUAUAAUAUCGCUUUCAACAACCUACGAGCAGAGGUUAUCAAGCUGAGGAACGAAGCUUUGGAAAAAGAUAAAAUUCUGCUUACACUAGUGGAUAAAAUAAAGGAAGACGAAGCUACCUCUAAGGCUCAAGCUGAAACCCAAAAACACGAAAUUCAAGAUCUUCAGAAACAACUGGCCAGAGCUAAAGAAGAACGCAUACUAGAAGAAACAAAACGAGAACUUAGUGAUCAAUGGGCAAAUCAUUUGGAAAUAAAUGUUGAAGAGCUUCGUGCUUCCAAGAAAAGAUACUAUGAUAAAUCCAUAGAGUGUGUUAAGAAGAUAAAAUCCAGCUUCACCAGCGUUGGCACAUUCUCUAGCGAAGAGAAUUUCACAAGGGGGGAUCCAGAAGGCCCAAUUGAAUGGAUUGGUCACGAAGCUGAGGCCUUCGAAGAAAUCUUGAAUAGCCGCGGAGACAUAUGCACUUUUUCAGGCGCCAGGGGGAUUGCUACUGUUUUGGAAAGAAAAGGCUGUGAUCAUGUGAAAUCUUUAGCUCAAACAGAAACCGCCUUGUCUUCCGAAGACAUAAAAGACCCCUCGGCCGAAUCAAGCCUGGUUGGUGGAAAGUUUUUCACCGACAUUUGGGACAAUGGAGGCCGAGAAAUGGCUCAAGAAAUCAUUCAAAGAAGCGAAAAAGGCAUCCAUGAUGCUAGGAAGAUAACAGAGGCUGCUGAGAAAGGCACAGAGCCCGAAGGGCAAAUAGGUAUCAACUAGUGGUUUUUUUAUUCUGUUGUAAUCUUUGAUUCCAGACUUUGUUCGCGGUUUGUAAUAGUAAUAUAGCCGUAUCUUCUCCUCCCUCAGAACCUGCUGAGGCAACUCCGGGCCCCCACCGGAAUGGGGACAAUGAAAUUAGAAAAAUGGCCGAAGCCAUCAUGGACAAGGUUGUCGAUCGGCUGCUGAACGAAGCUGCAUAAAUAGUUCUUAGGGAAGAUUAGAUGCUAUUGUAAAAAUAUUCAGAAUGUAACAUGUGUAAUACAUUGUAACUUUGAAUGUAAUAUAUAAUCUAUUUAUAGUUUAAUUCUUUACGAUGCAUGAAAUUUUGUAUACAUACCGUUUUUUGAGCCUUCGGCGAAAAAACACCUUCCCUUCUUUUCAUGCUUCGUGAAGAAAAUCUUUUAUAUAUCACAAGAAUUUCCAUACUUCUCUGAUGAGAAAUAUCCAGGCUUCGUGAAAUAUUCUCCGAAGCUAUAAAAAGUUUUAUGUUGCCUUUCUAAUGAAGCUACACUUCUUCUCAAUUUAUCUUGUGCCUUAGCACGAUUUUCUCUUUUUCAAAAUAUUCUCCGAAGAUCAAUAUUGUAUCCCCUUCUUGUUCCACAUGCAAUAUGUUGUAUGAUGCUUAUGUUAUGCAAAAUGAUGUGAUGAUGUUAUGUUAUGCAAAAUGAUAUUUGUGUCGAAAAUACACACAUCCCUGCAAUAAAGCACACCAUCUUUUUAUAUCAGCGCUGACUUUUCGCUGUAAGCCUCCCUUAGGAGCUUCUUCGCCUUUUACUUUCAGCGGAAUCAGUGUUUAUUUUUCGUUGUAAGCCUCCCUUAGGAGCUUCUUCGCCUUUUACUUUCGGCGGAAUCAGCGCUGACUUUUCGCUGUUAGCCUCCCUUAGGAGCUUCUUCGCCUUUUACUUUCGGCGGAAUCAGCGCUGACUUUUCGCUGUAGGCUUAGAAAACUUACAUUGCGCUCCCUUAGGAAUGACUUUUUACUUCUUCGAAUAAAUUGCACUGUGUCCCUUGGAACAAAUUUUUGAUAAUACAAAGGUCCUUCAUGCCACCAUAAAUUCGUAUGCUUCAACAACUCAAGCCUAUGGAGAAGAUAUAUUUUCAUUAUAGCGAAAGGCGAAACUAUUACAAGAAAUUGAAAAACAAUAAAAAACUCUUAGACUUCCCAUAAUUGUUCCUUAUUAACAAAAAGGUAAUACUGAAUGUAAAAAUGCGAAAAAACUGCUGUCGAGGUAGGAUAUUUGUUAGUAAAUGUGCUUCGACUCUGGCACAGUGCUAUUGACUGUGCGAGCUUCGGACUCCUCUCUGAAGUCCCUCUGAAGGUGAAUGUGCUGACUCCCUUCUAGCUGCUGUCCUCGCUGCGUUGGUGGUGGCAGUGGAGGCUGUUGCCAAGAUGCUUGGGGUUGACUUGCUGAAGCAACAGAAGCUGCAGAGUGAUUGCCUACAUAUUCUGGGAUGUAAGGCGAAUGGUAUGAAGCAGUGUGCAUGACCUGCUUCGGCUGACUCUGUUGUGCUGCAGCCUCUGCUAUCUCCUUUUGCUUUUGGAUGGUGACGUGGCACAUCCUGGUGGUAUGGCCCUUGUCUUCGCCACAGAAUAGACAGUAAAUUCUUCUUGGCUGAUCCCCAAAUCUUCCCCCGAAGCCCCUGGCGCCUCUGCCCCUUGGCGCUGGCGGCCGAACAGAGCUUUGUUGUUGUCCCGAAGCUUGCGAAGAGUAUUGUGGCCUUUGCUGUUGGCUCCCUCUAUAAUCACUGAGUGGAGUUAUGAAUUGACCUGACAUGCCUCGUAUGAAAUCUUCCUCCGAAGCCCCUGGUCAUUUCAGAGAACCUAAAUGCUUCCUCCCUUCUUUGGCGGAAGUCGUUGUCGGCCCGGAUGUACUCAUCCAUCUUUUGGAGCAGCUUCUCCAAAGUUUGUGGUGGCUUCCUAGCAAAGUAUUGCGCUGAAGGUCCCGGCCGAAGCCCCUUAAUCAUGGCCUUAAUGACAAUUUCAUUGGGCACUGUUGGUGCUUGUGCCCUCAGAUGCAGAAACCUUCGGACAUACGCCUGGAGAUAUUCUUCGUGGUCCUGGGUACACUGGAAUAAAGCUUGAGCAGUAACUGGCUUCGUCUGAAACCCUUGGAAGCUGGUUAUCAACAUAUCCUUCAGCUUCUGCCAUGAAGAUAUGGUUGCUUCAUAGCUCAUCAAGAAUUGCUUCGGAUCUGUAUGACCGUCGUACAUGGGGAGCUGGGGUGGCUUGUAAGACUGGGGCCAUGGUGUAGCCUGCAAUUCUGUUGAUAGAGGAGAAGCAUCAUUGAAAGCAAAAUUUCCAUGAUGGAAAUCUUCAUACUAGUCUUCCUCAUUGUAGAAGCCUUCCUGAUGGAACUCUCUGCGCGGAGGCCUUCGGUUCUGAUCAUCUUGAACAAGAUGACGAACCUCUUCGGAAGCUUCAUCUAUCUAUCUCUGAAGGUCAGCUAAACGAGCCAUCUUCUCCUUCUUCCGUUGCACCUGUUGCUGAAGGAUCUCCAGGUUUUGGAUCUCCUGAUCCAAGUCGUCUUCCGGAGGCGUUGGACUAGCAGCCUUCCUCUUCUGGCUUCAGGCCUCCCUGAGAGAAAGGACAUCCUGAUUGGGGUCCAACGGCUGCAGAGUAGCAGCCCCUGUCGUUGAAGCUUUUUUCGGCGACAUGACGAAGGUGAUGCUUGCCGAAGGCGUUCAAGGCUCAAGAAAUGGAAGUGAGUUCACCGGAGGUGGGCGCCAAUGUUGGGGACUUGUUCUCAAAUGCUUUGAAUUAAGAACAAGGCAACAUAAAAUGUUAAAUAUCAAAGCCCUUCGUCCUUCGAAACAUUAUUUCCCCUUGGAUAUAAUGAAUUUCAGACGAAGGUUAUGAAGGUCAUACCUUCAUAAUUACAAUAGAAGACAAGAAAAGAUUUAUGCAUGAAAUAGAUAGAAUAUCAUAAUUAUUCUAAACAUUAUUAUUAAUUUAUUUCUAUUUAUUUUACUUGUAUAAACGAUGGCAAAUUACAGAUGUACCUUCGGUCUGAAGGAAAAUAAGGGUACAAGCGUGAUGCCAAUGCCAAGUCAGCGUGAACAGUACAGGAAUACUGUUCAUCUAUUUAUAGGCACGGGACGCAGCCCGUACAAAAUUACAUUAAUGCCCUUUACUUCUAUCAAUAACUCUAUAGUAAUUCUUCAAGGGCUGAUUUGGCUUUUCGUCUUUAAGUUGGUUUCCCCUUUCUGCUGUCAUGCUGAAGCUCCUCUGCACAUAGCUUCGUGAUCGUUUCAUCCUUCAUCAUGAUUGUCUUCCAUUUCAGUCAAGCUUCGUCUUGACCAUGCUUCUGUAUACCCGCAACCUGAUUCCGAAGAUACCUGCUCGCAUACUUAGAAAACAUUGUCAAAUCACGUUUUUGAGGACCUUCGGAAGCCGAAGGCCCCCAACACCUACCAUUUGAAGAUGAUGUCAAUCAGUAGCAUACCCUAGUAGAAGAACCUAUUUGCCUAGGUGUUGGAAGCACCAACUUCUGUCAAUACUACUUUUUUAUGGUAACAGUUGCAGAAAUGAGCUUACUCGAGCUAUAUCAAAUGUGACCAUAACAUUAGGUAAGACAUGAUUUCGAUUGUUUGCGGAUAGGGUGCUGCUUCUAAUAGUUGUCACCAAGCAAUGGUUAAUUUGGAUGUCUAGAAAUACUACGAGACAUAGAAUUUCAGCACCUAGAUUUUAGAGGGUAAUACACCAUCCCAUUUGUUAUAGGUACUGCAACAAUUUUUUGUCCAUAAACCAUAGUCCAUCCUCAGUAAAAAACAUGAGAUUGAGAAUCCAAGCAGAUAUGGAUAAAUAAAAGGAGUGUGGCUUCGGCGGGAGUGGCUCUGGAAGCAGCGCGUGGCCAUGCCCGCGGCCUUGUGGAGCGCCCGCUCCAUGUCGGCCAUGAUGCGCGCGGCGGGGCGCUCGUACAGCUCGACCCGUGCCGCUUGCCGCAGGAGCUCGGCGAGCUUCAUGGCGCGGGACCGUAGCUCCGUGUAGUCCGCCCUGAGGCACUGCCAGCCCACCUGCUGCAUACUACCCAACAACAAAGAAUGCAUAGCCAUCCAAGUGUUAGCUCUGAACAUUUGUGGCAUUAUUUUGGAAUAUAAUCUCCUUAAAGCCCUAAUAGGUGCUAUUUGUAAUAUAAUUGUGUCAACAUUUGGUAGGUAUAAACAUCAAAAGACUACAGACAUAUUAAACUGAAUAGUCACCAAACCCCAAACAUCUAUGAACUAAACCAUCGGUCCUUGCACGCGUCGCACUGGAAACACAACACCCGUCGGUCAUUGCUCCACGCAUGACAGUCGAUGCCAUUCGCCGUCGUGGUCGCGCCAGAUGCUGGGGAUGCCUAGAACAUGGCGUUGACGGGCUAGAGCCUGUAGUACGCCAGCAGCUUGCAGCAACCAGAGUGCGCCGCACAGUGUUAGUGUUACACAAGAGAAUAUCAAUUGAGUUUAAAUAUUCCCUGCAAGAAACAAAAUAGGCGGAUAAUGACUGUUUUUUUGUUUUGCGAUUAUGCAUAAACUCUGUGACAAGAACCAUGCAUUAGAUGAAAUUCAUAAUCACUAACUGAAAUAUGGACAGAAACCCGUAAUAACUGGGAAAUCAUCUACACGGGAGUUCUGAACCCAAACCCAAAGAAUCCCCUUCUCUGUUUAACUUGUGGAAUGCCGGUUGGGGACCAAUUCCUCACAUGAUUGAACUUGUGUCGCAUGAUUCCACUGCAUUUGCGCCAGAGGCCAUAGAGAGCACUGCACUUUUAAGCCUCCACCAGAUGCUCGAAAGAAUCUGUCGCCAAAGAAACAUUGGGAGCAGAAAAUUAUCCUGCUAUUUUCUACCAGCGGACGACAGAGGUAAGGGAAAAACAUGAUGACGACAGAGGGAUGGGCAGAGCCGACGGACCUAUGUAGGUGGGGAUGUCGAUGAUGUCGCUAAGCAUCUUCUAGGACAUAUGAUCAUGAGCUAGCGGAGCCGACGGACCUGACAUUGCUCGAAGAGCUCGAAGUGCGCAGCGAUCCACACGGUGCCUAGCGGGCUCUUCUGCGUGAGGACCGUGUGCGAGUAGAAUAUCCUCUGUGAUCCCCUCCAGGUCACCGAUAAAAUGAAACUACCUGAAGAAAGAUCCAAUAUAACUAUGCGAGAGAAAGGACCUCCUAAUCAUGUGAUGCGAAACACUGACAGUGACAGCCCCAAUCCAUACGAACACAAUCCAAGCAUACGAUGAUACAAUAAUAAUGUACUAAGGAAAAAUGUAUGGACUUUUAAAAAUGGUACUCCAAGAUUACCUUGCAGCAGAUCAUAGUUGACGACAACAACAUUAGUACUUGUAGGAAAAGAUGUGAGCCUAGUGGUCGCCAUGCUCGUAGCGGUUCCCCGCGACGCAGCAAGGGACACCGCCGCGGAAGUCGUCUCCAUGGCCACGCUAGCUCCGAAGCCGUACUGCAGCAACCCCAGCGUCGUGUUGUGCUCGUGCGCCGCGUCGCUUGCCACGGUGUUGGUCACCGUGGUGGUAUUGUUCUUAUGGUGUUGAUGGUGAUCAGCGCCACCCACGGGCCAGAACUGCCCGAGCCCCGCCGGGCCCCAGGCGCAUGUCCUGUGACAAGUGACAGUCGGCUCUGUCACCUCAUUGCACAGCCCCAAGAACGCUCCCGCAGGUAACGCCGCUGGUGGUUGCUGCUGCACGGGCACGUCGUGCCUAUAUUGCCCCCGAGAAUGGUGGCGACCUCGGCAGCCGACAGGAAGUAGCCUUGUGGCCACGGCUGGAAGACGGGCUCGUCGGAGGCUACAGGGUCCUACACCUUGUGCGCUAGCGGCGCCGAGACCGGCGCCACAGGGUGGGCUUGGUAGUAUAUCUACGCACACACCGCACCAAGCGGCCCUAGAAUGUCCAUGACCGCUGUCGUCGCGAACAUCGGCUACGGCGCUGGCUUGCUGGACCCAGAGGAGCGGUCGGAGGAGGACGAGGACGAGGAAGCUGGCGCCUGCGCCUGUGCGAGCGAGGCGAGCAGCUGGAAUUGGUUCUGGAUCAAGGGCAGUGGCUGCGGCAUGACGGGUGCCGCUGCCGCAGCGGCCCCGCAACCUGGCGUGCGCGCAAAGCCCAGCCCUAGUGUCCAGUGCGCAGCUUGUUCUUGGAGCGGGACUUGCGGUUCUGGAACCAAUAGAAGAAGUUGGCAUCACCGACCUGGUCGUACUCCUGCAGGCGCAUGCGGAUGCGGGGGAUCUCCUCGCGCGGCGGAUUGACCAUGCCGGAGUUGAAGAUGGCCUCUAGAAUCCGGAUCUGCUCCGGCCUGGGGUUCCACCGGGGCUUUGGAUCCGGGGUCCGCUCCUCGCCACCUACGCAUGCACAAAUCGAGAACCAAAAUAAUCAACCAGUACAUACGUAGUCAGCUUUAGUUCACCCCUCGAUCUUGAUCCCCGUCUCGCUACAAAUAAACACUACCUCUAAAACUGAUAGGUUGCAUCACGAAUGGGGCGUCCGCAUGGCAAUUGUCGGGGCGGGGAUCGCACGACAGGUAGGGGCGCGGGCCAUGGAUGGUGGCGAGGCGUAGUCCAAUGCAGAUGCGAGGUCGAGCACCAAGAACGACCGAUGCUAGGAGCGGCGGGAGCAGGGGCAGUGGUCGUGGAUUCUGGGUAUCCCGGGCGUGGCGCUGGGUGUGCGACGGUGGGGGCGGCCGCAGGGGCGACAAUCAUGGUGCCGAGGUCAGGGAAAUGGGGGCGUCGGGUGGGGGAGGCAGCCAUAGCGGAGGCAGGCAGUGGGGUUUUAGCAGAGAGAGGUUCGGUUGGUUGACUAGCGGAGCGCGCGGGAUGAGGACGGGGCGGGGGCAUGUGCUAUAGUCUACACUAUUGCCUUAAUAGUUAGUAGAGAUAUUAGUUAAAUCGUAACCUAAUUAAGAUUAGACAUUGGAAAAUGUUUUCUAUCAAAACAAAGGGGGUUAAGAACAUUGGAACAUACCUUUAAUUUAACAACACACCUAAAAUAAUAUCCCAUUGGAAUAAAUAAGGUGUGAAUCUCAUUUUGAAAGUAUUACCUAGAAUAAAAUAAUAAUACUAAAUAAAGUAAUUUAGUAUAAUUAAUGCACAUUAUGUUGGAAUUCCAUUUGUGCAUUAAGACUUGAAUUUAGAGCAGAUUUGGGAUUCAAAUUUGAAUUAAAAAUAGAAAGGAAAACAAUAGGAAAAAAAGAGAAACUCGCUGCUUGGGCCGACUUCUCCCCUGCGCCUCGACCCACCUUAGUUUUUCCCCUUGCAUGGCCCAAGUCCACGCGCGGCAAUGUGCUUGGCUCCAGGCACGAUCGCGUUGAGUCACUUGUUGGCGGGCCCGGUCUGUCAUCUCUCCCUCCCUCGUGCGCGCCGUCUGAUGAGGACAUCCUCCACUAUUACCCGUUGGCAAAGACAUAAUUGUCCCAGUUGGCCCAAUUGUAGUCGGAUGGUGACCGUGUGAGCCUCAGAAUUAUCCCACCUCGCUUAACUUGGGAGGAGGAAGCCACUUUAAAAGGGAGAGCCACCCUUCCCCCAUUGGACUAGUCUCUUGGGACGAUUGGGCCUUUCGCUGAGUUGGGUGUGCUUAAUAAACUGUUGGGCUCCAGGCAACCCUAAUUUGUUGGGCCUUGGCCAACCCCACCUGGGCUGGGUGUAUCAUCUGGUAUCAAAGCUAGGGCCCAUUUUAAGAAGGUGGGAAUGAUGAGGACAUCCUCCACUAUUACCCGUUGGCAAAGACGCAAUUGGCCCAAUUGGCCCAAUUAUAGUCGAACGGUGACCGUGUGAGCCUUAGAAUUAUCCCACCUCGCUUAACUUGGGAGGAGGAAGCCACUUUAAAAGGGAGAGGCACCCUUCCCACAUUGGACUAGUCUUUUGGGGCGAUUGGGUCUUUCCCUCAGUUGGGUGUGCUUAAUGAACUGUUGGGCUCUGGGCAACCCUAAUUUGUUGGAUCUUGGCCAACCCCACCUGGGCUGGGUGUAUCACCGUCACUGCUUGUGGGCCGCUCUAGUCAGCUGUGUCUUCAACAGAAGACCGAUCUGACCGGUCGGAUUUUGUUGAGGAUCGCGCAUGGCUUGCGGCCGUGGUAAACCCUUCCCUUAUUCCCUGUCGAGCUCCUACAAAUUUGGCCGUUCCAGCUCGACCCCAAUCCGCAGACCCCUCCUCCGAUUCUUCUAGCUUUGGCCGUUGCGAAUCCAUGCC
This 241881-nucleotide long non-coding RNA is filed under the name Zea mays. RNAcentral describes it as "long non-coding RNA (ZMAY_LNC002404)". Lineage: Eukaryota; Viridiplantae; Streptophyta; Magnoliopsida; Poales; Poaceae. The record is from RNAcentral.